This 219430-nucleotide long non-coding RNA is filed under the name Hordeum vulgare. RNAcentral describes it as "long non-coding RNA (HVUL_LNC004750)". The record is from RNAcentral. Lineage: Eukaryota; Viridiplantae; Streptophyta; Magnoliopsida; Poales; Poaceae.
GAAAUUCCAACACGGUAUAGCUACGCACGCUCGCAAAAAUCAUAUCGCCCCAACAGAUCAUCCGCAGUUACCAACCAAGCACAAACCGAUCUAUGCCAGAGCAGCCUAAACACCACCAAAGCUAUAAUUAUAGGGGUAGAUCACUGAUCCGGGCGACGAAUCGGGAGCGCGAGCAAAGGGAUAAGGAUGACAUCAUACCUCGUCGUAGUCCUUCUCGGCAACCUUGGCCUGCUUGAGCAGCUUGGCCUUCCCUCUUGCAAAACUACCCCCAAACCAGAAGAGAAUAUCAAGACGACCCCAGGGGACAAAAUCGGUCGGCAACAAAUGACGACGGGAUCGAUCUCGCGUUGAUCGGCGGGGAGCGCGCGGACAAAUCGUGGUGGAGAUGGCGGUGUUGAGCGUGAGGGUUUCGCCCCGAACUGCUGGUGGUUUGGAUCUGGGGGGGGCGAUGCAGAGCUACUGGAGAGGGCGGAGCGGAGGAGAGGAGGGGAUCCGGUGGUGGCCUAGUUGCGGAGGAGCCGAUCCAGUUGUGGCCUUGUCGAAGAGGAGAGGAUCCAUCGGAUCUAGCGAUCUGGCAACGAGGUCCACCAUGGGUGAGGGUUGCGGGUGCGAGAGAUGGAUCUAACGGGAGGGGAGGAGAGAGAGGCGCGAGGGUACCCCAAAGGUCUGCUGCGCACGGGCAAGAGCUGCGUCAACUCGUCGGAAUCGAGCAGCACAGGUGAAGGCGACAGAGGAGUCGUGGGAGGGGGACAAAGAGAGGGCUCGCAGGGGGAGAAGGGGGCUAGUGGUUUUCUUUAGAUUAGGUCAAACGAGAGACGUUGGAUGUGUAGGGUGUGGACGGCCUAGAUCGGCUACAAUGGGGUGAUCCGUGGGAGGGUGCUUUCUACCUCCUGAUUGGUUCAAAAUAUGCGUCAUUGAAAAUUGUUUUUAGUGCUAUAAACAAAAGAAAUUUUGUGAAGCAGCUACCAAAAUAAUUUAUAAAAUGACAACAUUAAAAUUUUCAAUAAAGUUAGACCAUCUAUGGAUGAUCACCAACGUUUAUGCACUUGUGAUAUUUCUAGCUAUUUUCAGUCAUUCAAAGGGUUUUCUAUCAAAUCACGUGGAACCGGGUCAAAUUUGAACUAUAGCUUCCUCAUAUUUUACUCAUUAUUAUUUCCAAAAAAUAUUUUCAUGUAUAUAGGUACCUAUUUCAUCAAACAUACAUCAACAGUUUUUCAAGGUUCCACCUUUAGCUACGAACGAUCGUGCCCACCGUUUUCACCGUGUUUCGAAAGCGGCAUAAAGAAUUAAAAAAGUACAAAAAUACAAAACCUUUGCAUUGUGUCAUUAUAUGUGACCAAGUUACGAGGAAAAUUAAUAAACUUGGAUUACGACAAUUAUUUUUGAAAAGUGUUCUCAGAAAUGAGCUAUCAUGUGUGAAGAUUCAUGGCUUUCAAGAGAAAUGAUCAAUCUUAUGGCCACAUUCAUGGCAUAAUUUGUUCAAAUGAUCUUAUAUUGAGUACAAGUGUGUGUAUUGGAAUGGCAAACAAUGUUGCCUAAGGAAGUUUUCAUUUUCUUUGGACAGAAAAUUCAUUUUCCAUUUUUUGAGUACCCAAAAUGAGGUUUUUUGUGAAGGACUACCAUAUAUUUGUUGCAAAAUUGGACCAAAUCAUUUUUAUAAAAUACUAGGACAUAUUUAAUGUACAAUUUACCAAAUUUUUGGGUGUUAAAACUUUUAUCCACCUCUCGUGAAAAAGACAAAUUUUCGUCGACUCAGUUGGAAGCGGGUCAAAUUUGAAGUGCGGCUGCAUUAUAAUUGCUCUUUAUUUUUCCAAAAAUCAUUUAUAGGUACAAUAGUAUCUAUUUUAUCACAGAAACACCAAAUUUUUUCCAGGAUUCAACCGCUAGCUAGGAACUUUCAUACCCACCUUUUUUGACCGCAUUUUGAAAUGGGCAUGCAAAAUUCAAAAAAAUCAAAAGAAUGGAAAACCUUCACAUUGUGUCAUUAUAUGUGACAAGGUUACCAGGUAAAAUAAUAAAUUUUUAGUACGGCAAUUACUUUUGAAAAGUGUUCUCAGAAAUGAGCUACCAUGUGUGAAGAUUCAUCGUUUUCAAGCCAAAUGAUCGAUCUUAUGGCCACAUUCAUGGCAUAGUUUGUUCAAAUGAUCUCAUAUUGUGCACAAGGGUGCGUAUUGGAAUGGCAAACAAUGUUGCCUAAGGAAGUUUUCAUUUUCUUUGAACGGGAAAUUGAUACCAUUUGGACAUGCCAAAGUGACACUUCCUCCACAAUGUGCCAAUGUGGACAAAAAAUGGUAACUAAAACUGGGCUCACAUAGAUGAUUGGAUUGAGCUGCAAUUUGGAGGAGGAUGAUAAUUUGGGCACAUUAAGUCACUGUAAAAAUUUCAUAAAAUUUGGAUAAAUAAAAAUUGUACUUCCUUCACAAUGCUCUCUACUGAAGAGAAUAUUGGGAAAAUAUUGAGGGAAACUAGCUAAAUUAAAUGAGCUAAAANNNNNNNNNNNNNNNNNNNNNNNNNNNNNNNNNNNNNNNNNNNNNNNNNNNNNNNNNNNNNNNNNNNNNNNNNNNNNNNNNNNNNNNNNNNNNNNNNNNNGGAGUCCGUCUGGUACCCGAACGGUCGACCGUAGCGGCACCUUCUUCGGUCUACCGUCGGAUGGUUGCCGGUGUUUUAAAAAUCGUUGCCGCGUCGCCCGUUUUUCCUCUCGUCUCCGGAUAACUACUCUACAUGGCCACUUACCCGUUCCCACGUGCGGAAUCGUUCGAAUCCGACCGCGCGGUUGAAACCGGGGCGGAAUUUCGCUAAACCUAGCCCCCCUUUGCCUAUAAACAGGACCUCCCAUGCCAUUUUUAGAUACCCGACCCGUGUGCCUCGAAAACCAUGCAGCCCCGAAACCCUAACCCAUUCUCUCUCUCCUCCCUCCCUCCUCUGCGCAGCCGCCGGCACNNNNNNNNNNNNNNNNNNNNNNNNNNNNNNNNNNNNNNNNNNNNNNNNNNNNNNNNNNNNNNNNNNNNNNNNNNNNNNNNNNNNNNNNNNNNNNNNNNNNNNNNNNNNNNNNNNNNNNNNNNNNNNNNNNNNNNNNNNNNNNNNNNNNNNNNNNNNNNNNNNNNNNNNNNNNNNNNNNNNNNNNNNNNNNNNNNNNNNNNNNNNNNNNNNNNNNNNNNNNNNNNNNNNNNNNNNNNNNNNNNNNNNNNNNNNNNNNNNNNNNNNNNNNNNNNNNNNNNNNNNNNNNNNNNNNNNNNNNNNNNNNNNNNNNAGGCCAGCAGCGCUCGCCAGCUCCCGUGGGCCUCGCUCGUGCCGAGCCGGCCCACCAGCUCCUCCUGCCCCGUGGCCAGCCUCCACCCCUCGGCCACUACAGCCUAUCUCCGAGCCGGCCCAAGUGGCCUUCCCCCGAGGUGAGGUAAUCCUCGCCCCCAGCGCGCCUUAGGUAUUUUGCGCCCCCUGUUGGCCGAUAGAUUAGCUAGAUUUCACGAUUAUAUAGAUAUUUUAGAUUGCCCGAAACUUUUUUCCGUAAGUCGGAUCGCGACAUGUAGUAUAUGGUUUUUGUGUAGUUUUGCGCGUAGAUUACGAUUUCACAACUUGCAUAAUAGUUUGACGUAGUUUAGCGUGCCAAAUACAUAGUUUUACGUGUUGUUCCAAUAGGAUUCGUUCCGUAGUUAUUUUUCGCGCGUGUCCGGGUUGCUCGAAUGCUGUAGCAGAAAUGUUCAUGUUUUAGGAACCCCUUUGCCAUGUAUUUUAGAGUAGUCAUUGGUAUUUUUGCAUGUAGGGUUUAGCCGCUAGUUUAUUUUCCAUGUUUAGGAUGUUAUCUCGCAUUUACGUGCGGCGAUAUUAUUGUUGUGCAACCCCACAUGUUUUAUAUGUUUUCGGGGUAGAAAAAUCCAUAGGAUUUAUUUGUGCAAUUAGUUUUAGCUUUUGAGCAAGUUAGUUCUCGCGAUAUUUUUUUUAUGUUGCCCUCUUGUCUCUUUCAUAGUAUUUAUUCCGUGCUUGAUAUGAGGUAGUUGUCAACUAGAGAUUUGCCCUUUGAUGUUUAGUCUAGCCCUGGUAUUUUUGGUUGCAAUAGAAAUCCAAGUUUAGGUGUGGUUUGCUUGUUCUUAGUUGCAAGAAAUAGUGCUGAUUUGGAGGUGCUGAAAUAUUUCUAAGUCUGAGAUCUGUUAUAUUUUGUUGUUGUCUUGUCUUGUUCUAUCUUGUGAUCUGUAGCUCUUUUGAGGUUGGUGCAAUGGAGUUAGUUGUAGACUUUGGGAUUCUCUAGCCUGUUGUGGAUUUUCAUGUCAUUUGGAGUCCUGUAGCUAUUGGUUUUGUUGCUGUCAAUAUGCCUUCAGAUCGAAAACUGCAUCUUCAUAAACUGCUAUUUUCACUAAGUCUGAAAUAGUGUGUGGGAUGCCAUUUUGUGACUUCUUUUCCUAGUGUUCCAUGCUUUCCAUGCUAGUUGUUGUUAGUUGUUUGUUGUAGUGCUUCUUGCCCUCUUUCGUGUCAUGCCUUGGUUGAGUAUAUUGGAAUUGUGUAGCUCGUAGUUGUGGGGUGUAGAUAAUGCUAUGUGGCUGAUUUUGGCUGAUUGUAGUGAUAUCUUGUUUAGCUCGUAGAUUUUGAACCGUUGCUCCGUUUUCAUCGUGUCCUAUAUGAAACUUUCUUAGAAUCUCGUGUAGUUUCAUAUUGUCUUGCUGGUUGUAUGUUUUGGAGUGCUCGUGAACGUCGUUGCACACAUAUUGCAUUCAUGUCAUCAGAUCUUGCGGUGUCCGUAUCCUUUGAACCGUAGCUCCGUUGGAGAUGAUCUCUAUGUGUAAACUGCUUGUCACGAUGCGUAGAAUCACGUGAACCUAUUUGUUUUUUUGUUUAACAACUAAUUAAACGUGUUAGUUCAGAUCUGGACAGAAUUGUAAAUUAACAUAUGAGGUCGUUUCGGAGGUGCUAUAUGUCAUUUCCGACCUCAUUUAAAAUGCCUAGAUAGGUAGUUUAAUUACGCUUCACCUCUUGCCAUGUUUAACCACAUUCAAUACUGCCGUGUAUCUAAUAGGGAUAGAACUAAAUAAUUAAACGUGGAGUUUCGUCAAUAUGCAACUCGUUGCAUAUUGAACUUCACUUAAUGUGUAAUGUUUGAUUGUGUGAUUUGACGUGCCAUGACUUGCAUGAAUUCAGCUGCUCAUGCAUCAUAUGUGUUGUGCCUCGUGUGGGGAAUAUCGUGUGUUGAUUCUUGUUUCCGGUUUCCUUCGUCUCGAUAGAGUUCAGCAAGCGUGUCGGAUUGUGAGGACCCGUUCGAGUACAUCGGUUCAUCUGCUUCACGGAGUCAUUCUUCUUCCAAGAGGGAUCUCACGCAAGAUGACCAUCUCCCUAGAUAGCAUUACUAUCAUUGCCAUGCUAGUUUUAUCGCUUCUAUCGAUUAUGUCUCGUUGCCUACCACAUGUUAAAUAUCAGCCUCUCAACAAUGCCAUGAAACCUUCAACCUGUUCAACCUAGUAAACCACUAUUUGGCUAUGUUAUCACUUUCUUAACCAUAUUGUUAGCGUUGCUAGUUGCAGGUGCAGUUGCUUCCAUGUGAUAACAUGGGUUCCUUGUUAUAUCACCCUAUUAAUUUCUGUUUAAUUUAAUGCACCUAUAUACUUGGUUAAAGGUGGAAGCCUCAACCUUUCUAGCCUGGUGUUUUGUUCCACCUUUGCCCCCUUAGUUUCGGCUACCGGUGUUAUGUUCCAUAAUUGAGCGCUCCUAACACGAUCGGGGUUGUUAUGGGGACCCCCUUGAUAAUUCGUUUUAGAUUAAAGCUGGUCUUGGAAGACCCAACAUUGGUACUACAUUUGCCCAACAUAAUAAUUCUGGUAAACUAAAAUCCAUAGGGAGUUAGCGCUACCCGAGGAGUAAUUCUACAUAAUACAGGGGGGCAGUGCUGAUGGUGCUGGUCCAAAACUAGAGCCGUUUGCGGGGCCAACCCAGGGCAACUUGGGAGAUUUCUAUCAGGCCACCAUACGCUGUGCUUAUCCGUCGUGUCCUGAGAACAAGAUACGCGGCUCCUAUUGGGAUCGUCGACACGUCGGGCGGCCUUGCUGGAUUAGUUUUACCUUUGACGAGAUAUCUUGUGCAUCGGGAUUCCACUAAUGCUUUGGGUAAUCUCAGAGUUGAGGUUUUCCACUAAGGAGUCCGACGAGAUCGCGAGCUUCGUGAUUGAGGAUUUCUAAGCGGCUUGUGGUAAUUUGUGAUGGACUAGUUGGAGCAUCCCUGCAGGGUUAAAUCUUUUGGAAAGUCGUGCCCGUGGUUAUGUGGCAAUGUGGAAACUUUCUUUAACACUGGUUCUAGAUAACUUGAAGUUAACUUAAUUAAAACAUGCCAACUGUGUGCGCAACCGUGACUGUCUCUUUCGUGAGUUCCUUCUCCGAUCGAGGGCACGGUGGGGUUAUGUCCGACGUAGGUAGGUGUUCAGGAUCAUUCAUCUGAUCAUCAGUAGUCACGUCCGCUAUGCGUAGAUCUUUCCCCUCUUACUCUUGUACUCGUAAUUUUAGCCACCAAAUAUAUGCUUAGCCGCUGCUGCAACCUCACCACUUAACCAUACCUCACCCAUUAAGCUUUGCUAGUCUUGAUACCUUUGGAAAUGAGAUUUCUGAGUCCCCUGUGGCUCACAGAUUACUACAACACCAGUUGCAGGUACAUGUAAAGGUUAUUUGACAUGAGCGCGUUGAUUGUUCAUUUGGAGUUGCUUCUUNNNNNNNNNNNNNNNNNNNNNNNNNNNNNNNNNNNNNNNNNNNNNNNNNNNNNNNNNNNNNNNNNNNNNNNNNNNNNNNNNNNNNNNNNNNNNNNNNNNNNNNNNNNNNNNNNNNNNNNNNNNNNNNNNNNNNNNNNNNNNNNNNNNNNNNNNNNNNNNNNNNNNNNNNNNNNNNNNNNNNNNNNNNNNNNNNNNNNNNNNNNNNNNNNNNNNNNNNNNNNNNNNNNNNNNNNNNNNNNNNNNNNNNNNNNNNNNNNNNNNNNNNNNNNNNNNNNNNNNNNNNNNNNNNNNNNNNNNNNNNNNNNNNNNNNNNNNNNNNNNNNNNNNNNNNNNNNNNNNNNNNNNNNNNNNNNNNNNNNNNNNNNNNNNNNNNNNNNNNNNNNNNNNNNNNNNNNNNNNNNNNNNNNNNNNNNNNNNNNNNNNNNNNNNNNNNNNNNNNNNNNNNNNNNNNNNNNNNNNNNNNNNNNNNNNNNNNNNNNNNNNNNNNNNNNNNNNNNNNNNNNNNNNNNNNNNNNNNNNNNNNNNNNNNNNNNNNNNNNNNNNNNNNNNNNNNNNNNNNNNNNNNNNNNNNNNNNNNNNNNNNNNNNNNNNNNNNNNNNNNNNNNNNNNNNNNNNNNNNNNNNNNNNNNNNNNNNNNNNNNNNNNNNNNNNNNNNNNNNNNNNNNNNNNNNNNNNNNNNNNNNNNNNNNNNNNNNNNNNNNNNNNNNNNNNNNNNNNNNNNNNNNNNNNNNNNNNNNNNNNNNNNNNNNNNNNNNNNNNNNNNNNNNNNNNNNNNNNNNNNNNNNNNNNNNNNNNNNNNNNNNNNNNNNNNNNNNNNNNNNNNNNNNNNNNNNNNNNNNNNNNNNNNNNNNNNNNNNNNNNNNNNNNNNNNNNNNNNNNNNNNNNNNNNNNNNNNNNNNNNNNNNNNNNNNNNNNNNNNNNNNNNNNNNNNNNNNNNNNNNNNNNNNNNNNNNNNNNNNNNNNNNNNNNNNNNNNNNNNNNNNNNNNNNNNNNNNNNNNNNNNNNNNNNNNNNNNNNNNNNNNNNNNNNNNNNNNNNNNNNNNNNNNNNNNNNNNNNNNNNNNNNNNNNNNNNNNNNNNNNNNNNNNNNNNNNNNNNNNNNNNNNNNNNNNNNNNNNNNNNNNNNNNNNNNNNNNNNNNNNNNNNNNNNNNNNNNNNNNNNNNNNNNNNNNNNNNNNNNNNNNNNNNNNNNNNNNNNNNNNNNNNNNNNNNNNNNNNNNNNNNNNNNNNNNNNNNNNNNNNNNNNNNNNNNNNNNNNNNNNNNNNNNNNNNNNNNNNNNNNNNNNNNNNNNNNNNNNNNNNNNNNNNNNNNNNNNNNNNNNNNNNNNNNNNNNNNNNNNNNNNNNNNNNNNNNNNNNNNNNNNNNNNNNNNNNNNNNNNNNNNNNNNNNNNNNNNNNNNNNNNNNNNNNNNNNNNNNNNNNNNNNNNNNNNNNNNNNNNNNNNNNNNNNNNNNNNNNNNNNNNNNNNNNNNNNNNNNNNNNNNNNNNNNNNNNNNNNNNNNNNNNNNNNNNNNNNNNNNNNNNNNNNNNNNNNNNNNNNNNNNNNNNNNNNNNNNNNNNNNNNNNNNNNNNNNNNNNNNNNNNNNNNNNNNNNNNNNNNNNNNNNNNNNNNNNNNNNNNNNNNNNNNNNNNNNNNNNNNNNNNNNNNNNNNNNNNNNNNNNNNNNNNNNNNNNNNNNNNNNNNNNNNNNNNNNNNNNNNNNNNNNNNNNNNNNNNNNNNNNNNNNNNNNNNNNNNNNNNNNNNNNNNNNNNNNNNNNNNNNNNNNNNNNNNNNNNNNNNNNNNNNNNNNNNNNNNNNNNNNNNNNNNNNNNNNNNNNNNNNNNNNNNNNNNNNNNNNNNNNNNNNNNNNNNNNNNNNNNNNNNNNNNNNNNNNNNNNNNNNNNNNNNNNNNNNNNNNNNNNNNNNNNNNNNNNNNNNNNNNNNNNNNNNNNNNNNNNNNNNNNNNNNNNNNNNNNNNNNNNNNNNNNNNNNNNNNNNNNNNNNNNNNNNNNNNNNNNNNNNNNNNNNNNNNNNNNNNNNNNNNNNNNNNNNNNNNNNNNNNNNNNNNNNNNNNNNNNNNNNNNNNNNNNNNNNNNNNNNNNNNNNNNNNNNNNNNNNNNNNNNNNNNNNNNNNNNNNNNNNNNNNNNNNNNNNNNNNNNNNNNNNNNNNNNNNNNNNNNNNNNNNNNNNNNNNNNNNNNNNNNNNNNNNNNNNNNNNNNNNNNNNNNNNNNNNNNNNNNNNNNNNNNNNNNNNNNNNNNNNNNNNNNNNNNNNNNNNNNNNNNNNNNNNNNNNNNNNNNNNNNNNNNNNNNNNNNNNNNNNNNNNNNNNNNNNNNNNNNNNNNNNNNNNNNNNNNNNNNNNNNNNNNNNNNNNNNNNNNNNNNNNNNNNNNNNNNNNNNNNNNNNNNNNNNNNNNNNNNNNNNNNNNNNNNNNNNNNNNNNNNNNNNNNNNNNNNNNNNNNNNNNNNNNNNNNNNNNNNNNNNNNNNNNNNNNNNNNNNNNNNNNNNNNNNNNNNNNNNNNNNNNNNNNNNNNNNNNNNNNNNNNNNNNNNNNNNNNNNNNNNNNNNNNNNNNNNNNNNNNNNNNNNNNNNNNNNNNNNNNNNNNNNNNNNNNNNNNNNNNNNNNNNNNNNNNNNNNNNNNNNNNNNNNNNNNNNNNNNNNNNNNNNNNNNNNNNNNNNNNNNNNNNNNNNNNNNNNNNNNNNNNNNNNNNNNNNNNNNNNNNNNNNNNNNNNNNNNNNNNNNNNNNNNNNNNNNNNNNNNNNNNUAUAUAUAUAUAUAUCUUAUUUUCAGUACAUAUACUUGUAACGAUAUCCAUUCUUGCGACACGACGAGAUGCGCUUCUAUCCCUGAUGAGGCCCUCGUGCCAAAUUGAGGAUAGGGUCGCAUCUUGGGCGUGAUAAGUUGGUACCAGAGCAGUACCAACCUAGGAGCCCCCUUGAUUGAUCGAACUUGGCCGAGUCGAGUCUAGUGAAAAAUUGAUUUGAAUCAAGUUAUGUAGGGGAGUGUAGGAUUCUUUUUUCUCCUCUUCUAUGCUCUGGUGAGGAAUCUUGACGUAAUAAUUUAUUCUACUCCUCUUCUCACUCAAAAAAAAUUUAGGAUCACGCGGAUAUUUUUGGAAUCUAUAUGAUGCCGAUGUGACGAAGUUCUGUAUUCGUGCCUCCUGUCUGACUUGAUUUCUUCCGAGGAGUUGAGCUCCAGGGGAUUCUCAAACACAUCGUUAUCAUUCAGAUUUGUUAGUAUCUCAGAACGAAGAAUGUUCGUAAUUGCCUCAAUACUAGUAGUGGCGAGGUAACCCCGAUGUCCCUAGUACUCGUGCAGAUUGUUCGGGAGUACCGUCAUACUUUGUAUCGUUGUGAUCACGAGGGUCUGUGGUAGAUGAAGGUCCGAGAUUCUGGUUAUGUGUUGACGGAUGUGAUACAUUGGACGGGUUAGUAUAGGAGUUGAGUGAUAUAUUACUCCUUUGUAUCCGUGUACCAGAUUGCAUGACCAGAAAUUUCGGGAAUUCUUAGGUGGGAAUUCAAGUAGUUACUUAUAGGACAAUCUUCCAACAAAUGCAUGAUGUUAGGUUGGGGUUCGACAUCUAGUGGAUUCGUUUGUUGACGGUCGUCUUACAUCGGUUCUUGUUGUGUCUUAAAGCGUCAUUGUAGCUUGCUAUGACUCGGGGACGCUUCGUAUGUCGGGUGCACUACCUUGCACUUGAUGGCUACUGUAAGGUUCGAGCCCGUGCGAUCUUGUGCUCGAAAAUAUCGAACGGAAAUCUUUCUCAUGAGUUUGUUCUGGCUUGUUUCAUAAGCCUCACCCUUGUUUUGUUGGAAUAUGGUAAUUCGAGUUGCUUCGAUGUCAAGUGGUGAUUUCAGAUCUUUUCUAAGUAGUGUUCUCAUAUUCAUAUGAGAGUGCUAAUCCUUUUGCUUAAUCAAUUGUCUUAUCAAUUCUUGUCAACCGGAGUCAUCGUGUUAAUUCUUUUCCAACCGGUGUGCUUCUCUUCAAGUGAACUCAAUCCUCUCCAAUUUUGCAAGAUCAUUCCCUCAUUUUAUUCCGGAGUUCAUCUCAUCUGUCUCAAGUUGUCUUUGUUUUCCCCGUCCUCCCACCCUUUUCUUCAGUGAUUCAAUUUUCAUCCAAGAGUUUUCUUUUCAUUGUUGCUUCUGCUAUCUCUUCUUCCUUUUGUAGGCGGUGAUUCUUGUGAAGAUUCUCAGGAGCUUCGUGUUUAUCUUUAUUCAAUCGUGUUAUCUUUUCCGGUGAAUUCAAUUCAGCUAUCCGUGUUCAUCAUAUCCUUUUCCUCCUUGUAAUUCUUUCCUAUGUUGGAAAUUCUUAUCAGCCUAUCUUGUUUGUUCAUUCCUCUCUUUUCUAUCCGGAGUGUUGAAGUCAUCCCAGGACUUUCUUGUUUUCAGAUCUUCCAUUAUUUCGAGGGCGCAACCUCAUCUAGUUUUUCAUUUGUGUCGGUGCAAUAUCUUUCUUUCUUAGAAAUAUUUGGUUUCUUUUCAGUGGGCCCAUAACCCACAAGUUUUUCCCAGGAUCUUAUUUGUCUCUUCUAAUCUUUCCGGAGUCUCUAAUUCUUUCCAACUAUGAUGUAAGUAUGAAUUUCAUCAGUCAUAUCCCUUCUCCAAGGCCUAUUCGAAUUAAUUCUCAUAUUUGGCUCAACCUUUCAUUCUUCAUUAUUCUGGAGUGUCUUAGUUAUUCUUGGUGUUGUUUGUCGUUAUCAUUCUCAGCUUGCGAUUCGAAGGAGUGUUCCUCAUAAUCUUGGUCCAUUCUCUUGGAGACUCAUCAUUUCAGCUUUGUGUUAUCCUCUUAGUUGUUGUCAAUCAUGAGUAAUACCUUCGUCCUAUCCGGUGUUUCUCUGAGUUGUUUUCAUUCUCGAUCCUCCGAAGGCCAUCAUUUGAGAAGACUUCUUCCUUCUCAGCUUUCAACUUUCAUUCUCUAAUUCUUCUCAAUAUUUGUAUCUUCGUUCGUCUCUCAGUUAUUCCGGCGCCUUGUUCAAGUUUUCUCUCAGGUGGCUCAUGAUCUCUUCAUUCUCAUGUAUCUCCAUUAAUUCUUGGUUUUCCCAUUCAGUUGUGAAUUCUUACCGGUGCUUCCUUCAAUUAUGCUUCAAGUGGUGCUUACCUAUCUCUCUCUUCAAGUUUCAUUUCAAGAAGAUUAAGUGGUAUGCUAAAUCCAUUGCUUGUCAUCAAAUAAACUUGAUGAAGGAUAAGCAUAACAUAAUUCUUACUUUUGGUCAUAGUGAUCUGAAUUCUUCUUCCGGACUCGCUCAUCAUAUCAAUUCUUAUUCCAUGUACUUAUCUUUCUUCCGAAGUUCCAAGUUCUUUUAAGUACCUCUUUGUGAGGCUUUAUCUAAAUCUUGGCAAGGUCAUAAUCUUAUUCUUUUCUACCUUCAUAUCUUUGCAUCAUUCAUUUGUAUACGGAGGUCCUUCAUGGUGGUUCAUCAAGGUUUCAACCCAUUCUCGAGUUCUUCAAGAUUCUUGUGAUAGUAGUUGUCAUUCUCUUAUUCUUUCUUUCUUCACAAUGAGUUAGUUCAUACUCUCUUGUUUCGGAGGCAUUGUGAUAUUGCUCUUUUGGGUCAAUCUUAUUGUUCUAUCAAGAUCAUGGUGUUCCCUUGUUCUAUUUUAGUUGUUUGUUGUGAAUAUUGUCUAUUUCUCCCGUCUUAUCUAAUUUUUUGUCCCAUUUUCCUACCGAAGUGCUGCCGAAAUUUUCCCUGAAUUCUUGCUUGUUUCUCAUAUCAGUCCUCAUCGCUUUGCAACCUUCAAGGAUCGUUAGUUUCACUCGUUUGUCAAAGAAGUGACUAAGUUUUACCUCGUGCUUCCUCUUCCUCUUCCCCCUUUCAUUCUUGGAUCUCGGGGCGAGAUCCUCUUGUAGUGUAGGAGAGUUGUGACAACCCGAUGCCGACGUUCCAGAAGAUUCCCCUUCUAUUCCGUUUUCAUCGUGUGUCUAUUUUCUUUUGUCGCAUCAUAAUCGCAUAAUGCGCAUCAUCAGCAUUGCAUUGAGACUCCGUUGCCGCCAGUUUCCAAAACUUGCAUCCGUUGUUAGUUGCCGGUUCUCGUCGUUGUCCGUUCUAAGCUCGACCACACAUGCACGCGCCCGCGGCAUCGUUCGAAUCUUGUUUUAAAAAGUGUGCGUAAAACUUUAUCUGAUAUGGUUGAGAUUUGACGUGCGGUCUUACUUUAAUAUAGCUAGGCCGCCUGUCGAAUUUCGUCGCGAUCGGAGUCCGUCUGGUACCCGAAUGGUCGACCGUAGCGGCACCGUCUUCAGUCUAUCGUCGGAUGGUUGCCGGUGUUUCAAAAUCGUUGUCGCGUCACUCGUUUUCCCUCUCGUCUCCGGAUAACAACUCUACACGACCACUUACCCGUUCUCGCAUGCGGAAUCGUUCGAAUCCGACCGUGCGGUUGAAACCGGGGCGGAAUUUCGCUAAACCUAGCCCCCCUUUGCCUAUAAAUAGGACCUCCCAUGCCAUUUUUAGACACCCUACCAUUCUGCCUCGAAAAUCGUGGAGCCCCGAAACCCUAACCCACUCUCUCUCUCCUCCCUCCCUCCUCUGCGCAGAUGCCGGACCGCCCAGCCCGGAUCGGGCCCUCUUGGGCCCAUCUGGCCGGCCGCCGCCGUCUGCCCGAGCAGCACAGCCCCGANNNNNNNNNNNNNNNNNNNNNNNNNNNNNNNNNNNNNNNNNNNNNNNNNNNNNNNNNNNNNNNNNNNNNNNNNNNNNNNNNNNNNNNNNNNNNNNNNNNNNNNNNNNNNNNNNNNNNNNNNNNNNNNNNNNNNNNNNNNNNNNNNNNNNNNNNNNNNNNNNNNNNNNNNNNNNNNNNNNNNNNNNNNNNNNNNNNNNNNNNNNNNNNNNNNNNNNNNNNNNNNNNNNNNNNNNNNNNNNNNNNNNNNNNNNNNNNNNNNNNNNNNNNNNNNNNNNNNNNNNNNNNNNNNNNNNNNNNNNNNNNNNNNNNNNNNNNNNNNNNNNNNNNNNNNNNNNNNNNNNNNNNNNNNNNNNNNNNNNNNNNNNNNNNNNNNNNNNNNNNNNNNNNNNNNNNNNNNNNNNNNNNNNNNNNNNNNNNNNNNNNNNNNNNNNNNNNNNNNNNNNNNNNNNNNNNNNNNNNNNNNNNNNNNNNNNNNNNNNNNNNNNNNNNNNNNNNNNNNNNNNNNNNNNNNNNNNNNNNNNNNNNNNNNNNNNNNNNNNNNNNNNNNNNNNNNNNNNNNNNNNNNNNNNNNNNNNNNNNNNNNNNNNNNNNNNNNNNNNNNNNNNNNNNNNNNNNNNNNNNNNNNNNNNNNNNNNNNNNNNNNNNNNNNNNNNNNNNNNNNNNNNNNNNNNNNNNNNNNNNNNNNNNNNNNNNNNNNNNNNNNNNNNNNNNNNNNNNNNNNNNNNNNNNNNNNNNNNNNNNNNNNNNNNNNNNNNNNNNNNNNNNNNNNNNNNNNNNNNNNNNNNNNNNNNNNNNNNNNNNNNNNNNNNNNNNNNNNNNNNNNNNNNNNNNNNNNNNNNNNNNNNNNNNNNNNNNNNNNNNNNNNNNNNNNNNNNNNNNNNNNNNNNNNNNNNNNNNNNNNNNNNNNNNNNNNNNNNNNNNNNNNNNNNNNNNNNNNNNNNNNNNNNNNNNNNNNNNNNNNNNNNNNNNNNNNNNNNNNNNNNNNNNNNNNNNNNNNNNNNNNNNNNNNNNNNNNNNNNNNNNNNNNNNNNNNNNNNNNNNNNNNNNNNNNNNNNNNNNNNNNNNNNNNNNNNNNNNNNNNNNNNNNNNNNNNNNNNNNNNNNNNNNNNNNNNNNNNNNNNNNNNNNNNNNNNNNNNNNNNNNNNNNNNNNNNNNNNNNNNNNNNNNNNNNNNNNNNNNNNNNNNNNNNNNNNNNNNNNNNNNNNNNNNNNNNNNNNNNNNNNNNNNNNNNNNNNNNNNNNNNNNNNNNNNNNNNNNNNNNNNNNNNNNNNNNNNNNNNNNNNNNNNNNNNNNNNNNNNNNNNNNNNNNNNNNNNNNNNNNNNNNNNNNNNNNNNNNNNNNNNNNNNNNNNNNNNNNNNNNNNNNNNNNNGCCCUGGUGGCUGGACCUAUCCCCGCCGCCGGUUCCUCACCGGAGCCUCGUCUCCCUCCGCAUCUUCCCUGCCUCCGACUGCAGCCGCCACCGGCAUCAGCUCCCGGUUGGGAGAAGCACGACGAGGAGCCCCACGUCCAGGCCAGCAGCGCUCGCCAGCUCCCGUGGGCCUUGCUCGUGCCGUGCCGGCCCACCAGCUCCUCCUGCCCCAUGGCCUGCCUCUUCCCCUCGGCCGCUACAACCCAUCUCCAAGCCGGACCAAGUGGCCUUCCCCCGAGGUGAGCUAAUACUCGCCCCAGCGCGCCUUAGGUAUUUUGCGCCCCCUGUUGGCCCGAUAGAUUAGUUAGAUUUCAGGAUUAUAUAGAUAUUUUAGAUUGCCCAUAACUUUUUUUCCGUAAGUCGGGUCGCGACGUGUAGUCUAUGGUUUUUGUGUAGUUUUGCGUGUAGAUUACGAUUUCACAACUUGCAUAAUUGUUUGACGUAGUUUAGCAUGCCAAAUACAUAGUUUUACGUGUUCUUCCAAUAGGAUUCGUUCCGUAGUUAUUUUUCGCGCGUGUCCGGGUUGCUCGAAUGCUGUAGUAGAAAGGUUCAUGUUUUAGGAACCCCUUUGCCAUGUAUUUUAGAGUAGUCGUUGGUAUUUUUGCAUGUAGGGUUUAGCCGCUAGUUUAUUUUCCGUGUUUAGGAUGUUAUCUCGCAUUUACGUGCGGCGAUAUUAUUGUGGUGCAACCCCACAUGUUUUAUAUGUUUUUGGGGUAGAAAAAUCCAUAGGAUUUAUCUGUGCAAUUAGUUUUAGCUUUUGAGCAAGUUAGUUCUCGUGAUAUUUUUGUAUGUUGCUCUCUUGUCUCUUUCGUAUGAUUUAUUCCGUGCUUGAUAUGAGGUAGUUGUCAACUAGAUAUUUGCCCUUUGAUGUUUAGUCUAGACCCUGGUAUUUUUGGUUGCAAUAGAAAUCCAUGUUUAGGUGUGGUUUGCUUGUUCUCAGUUGCUAGAAAUAGUGCUGAUUUGGAGGUGCUGAAAUAUUUCUAAGUCUGAGAUCAGUUAUAUUUUGUUGCUGUCUUGUCUUGCUUGUAUCUUAUGAUCUGUAGCACUUUUGAGGUUGGUGCAAUGGAGUUAGUUGUAGACUUUGGGAUUCUCUAGCAUGUUGUGAAUUUUCAUGCCAUUUGGAGUCCCAUAGCUAUUGGUUUUGCUUCUCAAUAUGCCUUCAGAUCGAAAACUGCAGCUUCAUAAACUGCUAUUUUCACUAAGUCUGAAAUAGUGUGUGGGAUGCCAUUUUGUGACUUCUUUUCCUAGUGUUCCAUGCUUUCCAUGCUAGUUGUUUUUUGUUGUUUCUUGUAGUGCUUCUUUCCCUAUUUCAUGUCAUGCCUUGGUUGAGUUUAUUGGAAUUGUGCAGCUCGUAGUUGUGGGGUGUAGAAAAUGCUAUGUGGCUGAUUUUGGCUGAUUGUAGUGGUAUCUUGUUUAGCUCGUAGAUUUUGAACCGUUGGUCCGUUUUCAUCGUGUCCUAUAUGAAACUUGCUUAGAAUCUUGUGUAGUUUCAUAUUGUCUUGCUGGUUGUAUGUUUUGGAGUGCUCGUGAAUGUCAUUGCACACAUAUUGCAUUCAUGCCAUCAUAUCUUGCGGUGUCCGUUAUCUUUUGAACCGUAGCUCCGUUGGAGAUGAUCUCUAUGUGUAAACUGCUUGUCAUGACACGUAGAAUCACGUGAACCUAUUUGUUUUGCUUUUUAACAACUAAUUAAACGUGUUAGUUCAGAUAUGGAAAGAAUUGUAAACUAACAUAUGAGGUCGUUUCGGAGGUGCUAUAUGUCAUUUGCGACCUCAUUUAAAAUGCCUAGAUAGGUAGUUUAAUUACGCUUCACCUCUUGCCAUGUUUAACCACGUUUAAUAUAACCAUGUAUCUAAUCGGGAUAGAACUAAAUAAUUAAAUGUGGAGUUUCGUCAAUAUGCAACUCGUUGCAUAUUGAACUUCACUUAAUGUGUAGUGUUUGAUUGUGUGAUUUGACAUGCCGUGACUUGCAUGAAUUCAGCUGCUCAUGCAUCAUAUGUGUUGUGCCUCAUGUGGUGAAUAUCGUGUGUUGAUUCUUGUUUCCGGUUUCCUUCGUCUCAAUAGAGUUCCGCAAGCGUGUCGGUUGUGAGGACCCGUUCGACUACAUCGGUUCGUCUGCUUCACGGAGUCAUUCUUCUUCCAAGCGGGAUCUCAGGCAAGAUGACCAUUUCCCCAGAUACCAUUACUAUCAUUGCCAUGCUAGUUUUAUCGCUUCUAUCGAUUAUGUCUCGUGGCCUACGACAUGUUAAAUAUCAGCCUUUCAACAAUGCCAUGAAACCUUCAACCUGUUCAACCUAGCAAACCACUGUUUGGCUAUGUUACCGCUUGCUUGACCAUGUUGUAGCAUUGCUAGUUGUACGUGCAGUUGCUUCCAUGUGAUAACAUGGGUUACUUGUUAUAUCACCCUAUUAAUUGCUAUUUAGUUUAAUGGACCUAUAUACUUGGUUAAAGGUGGAAGGCUCGGCCUCUCUAGCCUGAUGUUUUGUUCCACCUUUGCCCCCUUAGUUUCGGCUACCGGUGUUAUGUUCCCUAAUUGAGUGCUCCUAACAUGAUCGGGGUUGUUAUGGGGACCCCCUUGAUAAUUCGUUUUAGAUUAAAGCUGGUCUGGCAAGGCCCAACAUUGGUACUACAUUUUCCCAACAUAAUAAUUCUGUUAAACUAAAAUGCAUAGGGAGUUAGCGCUACCCGAGGCGUAAUUCUACAUAAUACAAGGGGGCGGUGUUGAUGGUGUUGGUCCAAAACUAGAGCCGUUUGCGGGGCCAACCGAGGGCAACUUGGGAGAUUUCUAUCAGGCCACCGUACGCUGUGCUUAUCCGUCGUGUCCUGAGAACGAGAUACACGGCUCCUAUCAGGAUCGUCGACACGCCGGGCGGCCUAGCUGGAUUAGUUUUACCUUUCAUGAUAUAUCUUCUGCAUCGGGAUUCCGGUGAUGCUUUGGGUAAUCUCAGAGUUGAGGUUUUCCACUAAGGAGUCCGACGAAAUCGUGAGCUUCGUGAUCGAGGAUUUCUAUGCGGCUUGCGGUAAUUUGCGAUGGACUAGUUGGAGCACCCCUGCAGGGUUAAAUCUUUUGGAAAGCCGUGCCCGCGGUUAUGUGGCAACGUGGAAACUUUCUUUAACACUGGUUCUAGAUAACUUGAAAUUAACCUAUUUAAACAUGCCAACUGUGUGCUUAACCGUGACUGUCUCUUUCGUGAGUUCCUUCUCCAAUCGAGGACACGGUGGGGUUAUGUCUAAGGUAGGUAGGUGUUCAGGAUCAUUCAUCUGAUCAUCAGUAGUCACAUCCGCUAUGCAUAGAUCUUCCCCCUCUUACUCUUGUACUCGUAAGUUUAGCCACCAAAUAUAUGCUUAGCCGCUGCUACAACCUCACCACUUAACCAUACCUCACCCAUUAAGCUUUGCUAGUCUUGAUACCUUUGGAAAUGAGAUUGAUGUGUCCCCUGUGGCUCACAGAUUAUUACAACACCAGUUGCAGGUACAUGUAAAUGUUAUUUGACGCGAGCGCGUUGAUUGUCCAUUUGGGGGUGGUUUUUCUUCUUCUUCAUUGAUCUAGGAUGGGUUCCAGGACGGCAGCCUGGGAUAGCAAGGAUGGACGUCAUUCUUCUUUUCUCAUUUGUUUUCAUCCGUAGUCGGACCCUGCUCUUAUUCAUGAUGAUUAUGUAUUGUACUGUUGUGACUCUGAUGUAGCUUGUGGCGAGUGUAAGCCAAUUCUACAUAUAUAUCUCUUCUUUUUAGUACAUGUACUUGUAACGAUAUCCAUUCUUGCGACACGACGAGAUGCGCUUCUAUCCCUGACGAGGCCCUCGUGCCAAAUUGAGGAUAGGGUUUCUUCUUGGGCGUGACACCGCGGCAAGGCUGCCGUGCAUGUGGUUGACCCCCCUCCGGACCCUGCUGAUCCGCUUCACACCACCCUUGUUGGGCUGACCAAGCCCAUCGCCAUGACGGCGAACACAGCAGAGGCCAGGCCGAGCUGGAGGAAGCUUGCAAGAAACUCCUGGUGGAGGGCACCGCUCUUGCCACCUCCAAGCAUCGGUUGGAGGCACGCAGCACGAGUAUAACUCCGCUUACGGUCUCACUCCUGCCGCUGAUGGUUCUAGCCGGCGUGGAGAGGUCCGCGGACGUGGCCGGGUCGUCGCCAAAAUCUUAGGCGGCAAGCUGCCCCUACGACACUCCCGCAACCAACAUACGGGCAGCCCAGACGGCUCUAGCGGAAAUAGGUGGUCUGGAGGGCGAGGUGCAUGCUCGCUAAGAAAAACGCGUCAAGGAUCUCCUUGUCGCUGCCAACGAGCACCAGACUCGCCUUGACCCUAAUCAUGUGUUCUCGAUGUCUCCGGCGCUCGAUCCCGAGGCUCACCAUGACCCCAGCGGCCGUCGGCAAGCUCAACAUUCCUCAGCUCCUCGCUCCUCUGGCCGGAGGGCUGAGGGAAGCGAAGACCGGCGUUCUCAGCGCCGGAGCGAGCCACGAGCAGUUUCUAGCCAGCACCGCAAGGCGGUCGGUGACCAAGGAGAUUCGGUCCACGAAGUUCCCCGCCAAGGCGUCGGGAAAGGUCCAACAGGCUUGUGCCCCCGAUCCGUCCCGAGCUGGCGGCUCGGAUCGGCCCACGCGUCCCUCACAGCGAGAACGAUGCUCGUCUCCACAACGACCUUCUGGCGCAGUCGGCCCUCCUGGAGGAGGAAGGUCCCAUUGGUCCGGCGUGCUUCAGCCCCUGGAUCCGAGGGGAGCCAUUCCCUACUGGCUUCACCCUUCCAUGCGACAUGGCAAAGUACAACGGCACUGCCAAGCCUGAAGACUGGCUGAUCGACUACACUACAGCGGUCGGCAUCACCCGGGGCAACAAGGGAGUAGUCGUCCGCUACGUGCCACUCAUGUUGACCGGCUAGGCUAGGACAUGGCUCAAUAGCGUACCAGCCGGGAGCAUCAACUCUUGGGUUGACUAAGGAGCCAUUCGUCCACAACUUCACCCGCACUUACAAGUGCUCUGGCCGGCCUCGCGAGCAAGCCAUGUGCGUUCAGAAGCUGGACGAGCCCCUUCACGAUUACGUCAUGCGCUGGACAGAGCUGCGCAACUCAUGCGAAGGAGUGCAUGAGGUACAAGCAAUCCAUUACUUCAUUGACGGUUGCCGAGACGGCACCCUGCUUAAGCACAAGCUCAUGUGCUCUAAGCCAACCUCUUUGGCGGUUCUCAUGGCCAAGGCGGACAAAUGCGCCACUGUUGAUUCCGCCAUGAGGAUCAAGAUCUGCACAACAGACAAGACCGCCCAACAGCCGGCUAUGUCUAAGCCGGCUGGCGACAACCGAGGCGGCCUGAACAACAAGCCCAAGGCGGAUCAACUUGAUUUGCGGUCUGGAAACAAGUAGAUGACCAACGUAGAGGAUGAGCAGUCGGUUGCUCAAGUCGGCGCUCAGCGACAGCGGACCGGCAAAAACACCAAGCAGCCUAAGCUCACCUUCGAGCAGAUGCUCGACGCGCCUUGCAAGAUGUAUACCGGGGAGAAGCCGGCCACCCAUACACUCUGGCAUUGCAGCUUCGCACAGCGUUUGUCCCGGGGUGAGGGUCCGCUGGCUCCCCCAGGGGCGGCCCUCGAGGUCCGGCUCCCGGGCCGGGUCCGGCUCCAGCUCAGCCGCCUCCCAAUGAUGAUCGUCUCCAUGAUUGGUUCCCCGAGAAGGACGGGGCCUACAUAGUCUUCACCAGUGAAGGCAACGACAAGCAUAGCCAGCGUCAACACUGGCACGAGGUGAAUGCCAUGGUCUCCUCGGUUCCCCAAUAAAUGCAUUGGUCUGAAAAGCCAAUUACAUGGAGCGGGGCUAACCAUCCUGCUGUGAUGCCAAACCCCGACAUAUACGCGCUCAUCCUCGACCCCCACCCUUGCAUCCAAGAGACUCACCUGCCGGUUCUCACGGGUGUUGGUUGAUGGCGGCAGCAGCAUCAACAUCCUCUACCGAGACACUCUGCUCAAUAUCUUAUAACACCAACAACUCAAGAAUUUAAGCUACAAUCAGAGCAAAAGAUAAUUUUUCUGGCAGACUAUUCUUUGAAAUAUUCAGUAUUGCUGCCUGGAAUAUCUGGAAAGAGAGGAAUAACUAUAUCUUCAAUCAGAUCAACCCUACUCAUAACUCCUAGAUUGAAAGGACUAAGGCUGAUCUUAAUUGGCUCAAGUAUAGAGUACCUACUGAUCUCAGUGAUUAUAUCACUUCCAUUGUGAACAAUCUUUAGACUAGCUUUAUCUUGCUCUUUCUCUUUCUUUGAGGAAAUUUCUCCUCUUCAUGUAAAUAUUACUUAUUAUAAUAUAGCAUAGUAGGAGCCUCUCCUACUAUUUUCCAGUCAAAAAAAGAAGGACCUGCAGGCGACCAUGACUGUCUUCCACGACAUCGUGUCGGGACAGUCCUGGUCGCCAAUCGGCAAAAUCCAGCUGGACAUCCUUUUCGGCGAGAAGGCGCAUUUCCGCCACGAGCCGGUCUAAUUCGAGGUGGUGGACCUCAACAACCCCUACCACACGCUGUUGGGAAGGCCGGCUUUGGCAAAAUUCAUGGCUAUCCCCAUUACGCCUACCUAAAGAUGAAGAUGUCGGGUCCCAAGGGCAUCAUCAUUGUUGCUGGUGACUACAAGAAGUCGCUCGAGUGCCCGUGCGACAGCAGCCGGCUGGCCGAGGGACUGGUGAUUGCCGAGGAGAAGAGGCAGCUUGACCGGCUCGUGGCUCAGGCUACCUAGCAGCCGGCAAUGCCCACUCCUCCAUCCCAAUCGGCCAGCGAGGGAUCGUUUGAACCGUCCAAGGAGACGAAGCAAGUGUCGCUCGACCCGGCCAACCCUAAGCAGUGCGUCACCAUUUGUGCCAACCUAAGCCCCAAAUAGGAAGGCGAGCUCAUCAACUUCCUCUAUGAGAAUCAAGAUAUCUUUGCAUGGUCCCCAAAGGACAUGCUGGGAGUCCCGAGGAAGUAUGCCAAGCACAAGCUUCAUGUGUGGCCGGAUGCAAAGCCGGUCAAACAACCUUUGCGCCGCUUCACCAAGGGGAAGCGACGCACAAUUGGAGAAGAGAUUGCCCGGCUUCUCGCAGCUGGCUACAUCCUGGAAGUUUUCCACCCGAACUGGCUGGCCAAUCCAGUCCUCGUGCUGAAGAAGAACAAGACAUGGCACAUAUGUAUCGAUUACACAAGCCUAAAUAAGGCAUGCCCGAAAGACCCCUUUUCCCUGCCACGGAUAGAUCAAGUGAUCGACUCCACGGCCGGCUGCGAAUUGUUGUCCUUUCUAGAGCUUGUUACGGCUACCACCAGACCAAGCUAGACUCGGCCGGUCCGCUCAAGACCUCCUUCAUCACACCUUUUGGAGCCUACUGCUACACGACAAUGACGUUCGGCCUGAAGAACGCCGGCGUGACCUUUUAGCGUUGCAUGAAACAAUGUCUCCUGUUGCAAAUUGGCAGGAACAUUCACGUCUACACCGACGACAUCAUCGUCAAGACCAAGUAGCACUUCAGUUUGCUUGACGAUCUGCGGGAUACCUUCGCCAACCUGCGCGAGUACAAGAUCCGGCUCAAUCCGGAGAAGUGCGUCUUUGGAGUUUCAGCCGACGAGCUCUUGGGUUUCUUCGUGUCGGCUCGCGGCAUCGAAGCUAACCCCGAGAAGAUCAGAACCAUCAAGCGCAUGGCCAAGCCGGCUCAACUCCUCCACGUCUAGAAGUUUGCCGGCUGCCUGGCAUCCCUCAACCGGUUUGUCAGCCGGCUGGGCGAAAAGGCGCUUCCGCUCUAUCAGCUGAUGCAGAAGACAACCAAAUUUAAGUGGAAUGAUCAAGCGAACGAGGCUUUCCGCAACCUCAAGCGCGUGAUCUCCAGCAUGCCAAUCUUGGCCGCGCCGGCAGAGAGGGAGCCCAUCCUCUUAUACAUCACAGCAACCACACGCAUGGUCAGUGUGGUCUUGGUUGUGGAGCGCAAGGAGGAGGGAAAGUUGCUGCUGAUUCAGCGCCCUGUCUAUUAUCUGAGCGAGGUCUUGUGUGCCUUCAAGCAAAACCACCCCCACUAUCAGAAGAUGUGCUAUGGCGUGUACUUUGCCGCAAAGAAGCUGAAGCAAUACUUCCAGGAGCACGCCAUCACGGUAGUGAGCACGGCUCCACUUUCAGAAAUCAUGGGCAACUGUGAUGCCACGGGCUGGAUCGCCAAGUGGUCCAUCACUAUGGCCGACCACGACAUCCGAUACGAGCCGCGCACCGCCAUCAAGUCAGGUGGUGGUUGACUUCCUCGUCGAUUGGGCCGAGACCCAGUUCUUGCCGGAUUGGCGGAUGCACUUCGAUGGAUCGAAGAUGCAAACUGGCCUCGGAGCCGACAUUGUCUUGACGUCUCCGAAAGGAGACCAACUCAAGUAUGCUCUCCAUAUACACUUCGCCGCCUCCAACAACGUCGCCGAGUAUGAAGCGCUUGCUCACGGCCACCGACUCGCUAGAGAAAUUGGCAUCCGGAGGAUUCUUUGCUUUGGUGACUUGGAUCUUGUGGUGCAGCAAGUCUUUGGCGAGUGGGAUGCUAGGGACGCCACCAUGGCCAGCUAUCGCUUCCUCAUCCAGCAGCUCAGUGGCCCUUUCGAGGGCUGCGAGUUCCAUCAUGUCCCCCAAGUGGACUACGAGGCGGCUGAUACAUUGGUGAAAAUUGGAUCCACAAGCCAAGCAAUCCCGGUCGGCGUCUCCCUCGAGCAGCUGCACGAGCCCUCCAUCAAGUCGUCUCUAGAGUCGGCAUCAAUCUUCGUGUCGGUGGAGCCAUCCGUCCCAAUGACUCUGGGUUCGGAGAAACCGCCAGAAACGUCAUCUCCGCCGGCUCUGCUCGCUUCGACGGCACUACAAGGAAUAUGUUAAUACACGAUGCUAUAUUUUCGUCGCUACAUCGUCACGGUUUUUAGUUUACGACGAUCUCACGACGAAAAACCAAGCAUCGAAAACGGAGCGUCAGAAAUGAACAACACUGACGUUUUGAUCGAAAUCGUCGUAACUUCUACGACGAUUCCUGGAUCGUCGUAACCUUUACGACGAUCCUAAAUCAUCGUUGACAAUAUAACCCAGUCCUACGUGGCAGUCCUACGUGGCAAAGUUACGACGAAAUCAAAACAUCAUAGUUGAAAUCAGCCCAACCCAUUUCAAUUGAUCACAUGGGCUGGUUUUUAUUUUUUUGGGCUUUUUCUUAUUGGACUUCUUUUGGGCCUUAGCCUAUUUACAGACACUUUAGUAUGGUUUUCUUGAAUUUUUUUUAUCAUUAUAAUUUGGGCCCUGGCCUUUUAGUGCCCAAAUACAUUUGGUCCAAUUUCAGUUUUGGCCUUUUUUCAUUUUUGAAUUCAGCAACUUUUUGUUUCAGAACUUGGUUUCAUUUCUAUUUGUUGGGCCUUAUCAACCCAAUUAUUUGUCCAAUAUUCAACCCAACACUAUUUUAUAUUCAAAUCAAGAAAACUCUAAGUCAAAUUAAAAUCAUCCAUCAUAUAACAUCACAUAGUACAUCUCCCAGGUUUACAUAACACAAUAACUCAUCUCAUGAAUACAUUUCUUUACACAGGAAUAUAGCAAGAACAGACAGAAUUGCACAAUAGAACAAUGGAACAUCUGCUAGCAAUGGAGUUCAUUCCACUCUCCUAUGAGACAUAGGUUCAGAAAUUUUUAUGUUGUGUUGAUUUGAAUGUCCCAAGUAGGCAUCAUCGAAUCUUCUCACCACUUUCCUAGCAACAGAAAAAGAGACAAAAGAAAAAACAUUAUGAAGUUGAAAGAGAUAGGCAGAUUCAUUAUCCCAACCAAAUUCUAGAAAUGAGUGUAAGCAUGUGAAUACAAAGGGGGCAAUAAGCACCUUUUGUCUCCUGGACAAUAUUAUGAAGUUUGAUUACUGAGUGUGCCCUCCUAGGUUGAUUACUGUGUGCCCAUAGUGUAAGUUUGAAAAUGACAAGAAACUAGCUUGAUACGCAAACAGACCAAUUUAGGCUGAUUACUGAGUGUGCCCUCCUAGGUUGUGGAAAAAGGAUAGCCAUAAACACGCUUGCCAGCAGGCAAGCAAAGAAAUGUUUUAACAAGAUUCCAAGAAAUGCAAUUUAACACCGUUCACUUCAAAACAAAUAUUGCCAGAUUUAUGAGAAUCAGGAAAAAGAUGUAACAAAUCAAAGAUUUAAGAAUUAUUAAGCAAAUAUGGUAUGCACGGUAGUUCAUUCCCUACCGCAGGUUCCUAACUAGUUCAAAGAUGUGACCAGAAGAUAAGUACCUCCUAUGGGAUUAAUAGUGCCUAUAUGUUGAACAUCUGCAUUUGGCAACGACGGACUACCUGCAGAACGUUCUGGAGGCAUGGCACCAAAGGACUGGGGACGAAAAUGACAUGAGCUAGUAUUACAAAUGAGCAGAAUAACAGAAAUGCAUUAUAAAAUGAAAAUGCGUAGUUAAAUGACAUGAGCUAGUAUGACAAAUGAGCAGAAUAACAUAAAUGCAUUAAAAAUAAAAUUAAAAUGCACGUGAACUUGUCCUUUUAAAUAUAGGGUUAGUUGUCCUUUUAAAUAUAGGGCUGGGACAAAAAAUUCCAUGAUAAUCAGGCUGCAGGCUCAAGUGCAAGACAAAAUUGACCCUACCUAUUCUAAUUGAUUUUCAUAGCUCACAUAGUUUGUGGACCAAGCACUAGUGGACUUUCUGCAUGGUCAUGCUGUGGGUACCUUGCCAACACAUGUUGGGCUGCCAAAUGGAGAUAUCCUGGUGUGUUUACCUGAAGUACACCCUCUAUAAACAAAUAUAACACCUUUAAGAUCACUAAACUGGUGAUCUGAAAGGUCUAAGGGACCAAACAACACACACGACGCACACACCCAAGGCAAGAUACAAAGAUGCCGGGCACCGACACAUCAUCCACCGACAACGAUGUAUAACGAUGUAUGGUUCAAUGAUAUUCUAAUUCUUGACACAUGGUGUCUGAAUGAGACGUGAGCUAUGACCAUUGCAUAUGUAGUAUUAUAUAUAUUAUAUUACAUUCUAUUAUUAGCCUUGCUUCAGCUUCAGGAAACUCUUUCUUCUCACAACGGAAACUAACUGUCAGGGCAACACAGCUCGGAAUAUGUUUCUCGUUCUAAAUUUCCUGUAGCUAAGUAUUGCUAUUAGGGAUAUGAUUCAAUUAUUUAUGAAUAUCAACUUAUAUAUACAUAUGCGCCUUGAUUAAAAAAGGGACUGAAGACUAACAAAGUAUGUGAAGGCAGCCAAUUUGAGGUCAUAUAUAUGUCCUGCUGCACUUGUGCUGCGAUGAACUCCCUUACUCUGUCACUCACAUGUAAUCUUUUUCAUGCACUCUCCUUCAACACAAUGUAUACUCUACUCAUAGCUAAUUGCAGUUUUAUCUGACUCACGCUUUUCUCUUAUCCUUGUUUACAUCAUGUGGUAAAUAAAUAUUCACAAAUCUGCAAAAGUGUCCGGCGUUUCAAGAAAAUCCAGUGUUAAAAAAUUGUUAAUUCUUUAAUUACAGAAAAACAAAGUUGCAUACGAUCCACGGGGAGCUCUCGUCAUAUGCCUGUCCUAUCAUGACAUUCUAUUUUUUCAAUAAAUUUCAAGACAUUCUAUUUCUGCUGGUAAGAUGCCAAGAGACUGGAACAGUUUAUCUUCCUGUCCUAGUUGCACGCAUGCAUCUGGUUCAGUUAAUAUGCAAUUAUUGUAUGUUCUUGCGGCAGGCUAAAUUGUAUAAAAAAAUUCCACAUCAUCUAUGUGCCCAAAUUCUCUACUAGGACCGACUGACACUGCAGGAUCCAUCGUCCAAUCGGUUCAAAGUGAUCCGAUGCUCCACAAAUCAUGCAGAGAUCAAUCAAUUAAAGAAGCAAUGCCCUAUAAGUAGAGGAUAUUUUUCCAAGAAAGAGGAUACGUGGGGAACAAGAGCAGCAGGCCAAGAAUUAUUAAAGAAGAAUAGGGUAUGUACCUCUGCAAGAUUCUUGCCGGUGACCAUGCCGAUGCAAGUGCACAGAUACUGGUUGAGGACGGCGGAGAAGUUGAAGAAGCGCACCAGCAGCACGAGGUCGUACCCGAAGCGAGCCCACUUGCCGAGAUCGAUGUACCCCACCGAGAUGAGCAGCGCCGUCCCGAGGGUACGGGACACAUGGUGCCGGCCAUCUCCGCCAGCGAGGGACUCGACGCCCUGCUCAGCCUCCAUCGAUCGCGGCAGCUAGCUAGCUAGCUGCACCUGCAUGGCUCGGAGCAACCAUUCCCGGACCGGAGAUACCAGCAGAGCCAGUCGACCAAGUUCACCGGAGACACCUCAGUAUUCACUCUCCAGUCUUCACCGGGGAGGAGCUUCCUCAAGCAGCAGGUGGGAGGAGGCGUACGUGGUCUGCUUCUGCUGAUGCGAAGGCGAAUCGAAUGGGCGGCCAUGGACGAAAGGCCCUGACCAGGACGCCCCUCCCGCAAACUCGGAUCUACAAGGAGAACAAGCGGCCGAUAGAUCGACGCACGCAUCAGGACAGAUCGGAGAGGGAGGGGGAUACCUCUGAUCCCCCCAGAGCCGCGGCCGCCUGCUCCGGCUCGGCCGCCAUGGCGAUCUGGGCUGCUGCUGCUGCGAGGAAGAGGAGGGCGAGCAGAGGGUUACGGAGGUGAUGGCGCGGGGUUUGGGUGCUCUUCAUCGCCGGUCUGCGCGGUGAGCAGGUGGUGGUGCACGGGCGCGGGUGGCGAGAUCGGCUUGCGGUAGGUGGCGGCGGCGAGGUCUGGAACUCUUUUUCUGAAUCGGGGGAGGGGGAGAGGGGACCGACGGGAGGAGUGGAGUUAGGUUUUGGGCUGCGGAUGGGUCGAUGGAUUGAUGGAUGGAUGGUUGGAUAUGUGCCAUGUCAUCAAUCCAUGGCACAAACAUCUCCACCAAUGAAAAUUAAGCUUACGUAAAUGCUGGAACGACGACAACGCGUACACCACCGCCUUCAUUCGUCGUUGCGGAGGCAGCCGCGGAUCCUAGCGAGGAAGGAGGUUGCUUCGAACCUAACGAGCGGGGGGAGAAGGAGGACGGGGAGGCAGGUCGUUCAAGUGGUGGGGAGGGGAGAGGCUGGGAGCGACGCCCACCAUGAUCGAUGACAACACGACGAGGUAUGAGGGAGCGACGCGGGGCGGUGGGUGGCGGCGCCGAUGUGGUGGAAGGGAUUCGAUCGGGGAGCUAGCGAGGAAGGAGCUCGGGAGGAAGGGAGGAAGAAGAAGAGAGGAAGAAGGGAGGCGGGGGUGGAUGAGAAAUGCGAGGAGGACAAAACUAGGGUUUCAUCUAUAGAGUAGAGGGCUGCAGUUGUAUCCGGGAUCAUCCAAUGGUCCUUAAUGCAUGAUCCGCGUGACAUCCUCAUGGGCCAAUCAGAACGUAGUAAAACACUAUGAAUACGCUAUGACCAUCUAAAUUGGUUGUAAUUAACUCAAAAUAAGUUCUUUUUCAGAAAAAAAAUUUCUAUUUUCGAGUGACAAAUAUGGUUUUGUGUGAAGGACCUUGUUCACAUCUGAUUUUGUCUUGGAAGAAACACAUUAUUAAGAUCUAUUCAAAUGAAUUUUUCAUUUUCUUUGGACAAAAAAUUCAUUUUCCAUCUUUCGAGUGCUCAAAAUGAGUUUUCCGGUUCAUGACAGGAUCCAUGGAGUGGUACACGAUCCGAGAUUUGAGACGCGGAGGGGAGGGGAGGAGGAGGGCGCGGUCCGUACCUAGAGGGCGGUGGAGUCGUGGGCGAGCUUAUAGUCCUUGUAGCUGCCACGUCAUCGAUCCAUGCCACAACCAAUUCCACCAAUUAGAAUAAAGCAUAUGUAGUUGUAUUUUUCUUAUUGUUUUGCUUCUACUUUUUCACAUGAUAACAUCUAAAUAUGAUCUUUUGGAGUAGACAAGCUUGCAUCUUGCAAUUAUAAACAAUGUUGCUAAAGGGACUUUUCAUUUUCUUUGCACAAAAAAUCCAUUUUUCAUUUUUCAAGUGGCCAAAGUGAGUUUUUUUUGUGAAGGACCUACCAAAUAUUUGUUGCAAAAUUGGAUCAAAUCAUUUUUCUAAAAUUUUAAGUCUUAUUAAAUGUACAAUUUAACAAAUGGUUUGGUGCCAAAAGCUUUUGAUCCACCUAGACCAUUUUUUUGAUUCACUUGGAAGCAGGUCAAAUUUGAACUACAACUCUUUGAUAGAAUGCUCUUUAAUUUUCCCAAAAAUCAUUUCUAGGUACAUAAUUAUCUAUUUAAUCAUAGAAACACCAAAAUAUUUGCAAGAAUCAAGCCCUAGCUACGAACGGUCAUACCCACCGUUUGAACCGCAUUUUGAAACACACAUGAAAAAUUCUACAAAAAAUUGAAAAACGUUCGCAUUGUGUCAUUAUAUGUGACCAACUUACCAGGAAAAAUAAUAAAGUUGUAAUAUGGCAAUUAUUUUAAAAAAGUGUUCUCAUGAAUGGGCUAUCGUGUGUGAAGAUUCAUGGCUUUCAAGCCAAAUGAUCAAUCUUAUGGCCACAUUCAUGGCAUAGUUUGUUCAAAUGAUCUAAUAUUAUGCACAAGGGUGUGUAUUGGAAUGGCAAACAAUGUUCCUUAAGGAAGUUUUCAUGUUCCUUGUAUGAAAAAAUCAUUUUCCAUUUUUCAAGUGCCCAAAAUGAGUUUUUUUGUGAAGGACCUACCGUAUAUUUGUAGCAAAAUUAGACCAAAUCAUUUUUCUAACAUACUAGGACAUACUUAAUGUACAAUUGAUCAAAUGGUUGGGUGUUAAACACUUUUAUCGACCUCUCGUGAAAAAGACAAAUUUUCGUUGAAUCAGCUGAAAGCGGGUCAAAUUUGAACUGCAGCUACAUUAUAGUUUGAUGUUUAUUUUUUCUAAAAAUCAUUCCUAGGUACACAAGUAUCUAUUUAAUCAUAGAAACACCAAAAUAUUUCCAAGAUUCAAUCAUUAGGUAGGAACGGUCAUACCCGCUGUUUUGACCGCGUUUUUAAAUGGCCAUGAAAAAUUUGAAACAAAUUCAAAAAAAUGGAAAACCAUUGCAUUGUGUCAUUAUAUGUGACAAAGUUACCAGUAAAAAUAAUAAACUAGUAAUACGACAAUUAUUUUAAAUAAGUGUUCUUAGAAAUGGGCUAUCAUAUGUGAAGAUUAAUGGCUUUCAAGCCAAAUGAUCAAUCUUAUGGUCACAUUAAUGACAUAUUUUUUUGAAAUGAUAUAACAUUAUGCACAAGGGUGCAUAUUGGAAUGGCAAACAAUGUUGAUUAAGGAAGUUUUAAUUUUCCUUCUAUGAAAAAUUCAUUUUUCAUUUUUCAAAUGACCAAAAUGAGUUUUUUUAUGAAGGACGUACCAUAUAUUUGUUUCAAAAUUGGACCAAAUCAUUUGUAUAAAAUACUACUCCAUAUUUAAUGUACAAUUGACAAAAUGGUUGGAUGUUAAAAACUUUUAUCCACCUCUCGUGAAAAAGACAAAUUUAUGUCGAUUCAGCUGGAAGUGGGUUAAAUUUGAUCUGCAACUGCAUUAUAGUUUGCUCUUUAUUUUUCCCAAAAAUCAUUUGUAGGUAUAUAAGUAUCUAUUUAAUCAGAAAUACAUGGUGUGGUGCCUUGACGUUGAGGUUUGGAUGGUGGUCGAGGGCCCAACUCCAGAGCGCAUGAACUUGCAUGCCAGCCGCAUGGUCACCGCCUGACCGUUGCGUUGCCACGCGUUCUAGGUGGAAUAUGCAUGUCUAGUGGGUUGGACAAUCCCUCGGUAGGUUUUAGCAAGAAGAAUACAAUAGAAGAAUCUCACGAGGAGAUUGAACUAAGCUCAAACAUGAAUUAGCACCCAAGUGUUUGAUUAGCGGUGCGGGUAAUUCACAUAGACAAUGGGCCUAAAUUUUGGCUGAGGAUGAUCAUCUACUAAGGACACUCUAUUGGCAAAUUUUUAGCUCAAAUGGAUGAACCUAGGUGGCACUUGCUUUGCAAAGUAACACACUGUGCAGAAAUAUGAAUGUUGAAGUUGGGAUCAAAUUAAUGAAUGGAUUGAGCUGAAAUUUGGUGUAUGAUGUUAAUUUGGGCAUAUGAAGGCACUGUAUAAAAAUUAUACCAUUUGGACAUGCCAAAGUGACACUUCCUUCACAAUGUGCCAAUCUGGACAGAAAAUGGUAAUUAAAACUGGGCUCACAUAGAUGAUUGGAUUGAGAUGAAAUUUGGAGGAGGACGAUAAUUUGGGCACAUUAAGGUACUAUAAAAAUUUCAUAANUUAAAUGUGCUAAAAUUUGGUGGAGUAAGGUUAUAUGGUCAAUGUCAUCCCGUGGUAAAUUUUCAUCAACUAUAAAGCAAUAUAAAAUGUAGUUGCUUCACAAAAUGAUAAUAUUACCAGAAACAAAGAUUGGAUCAUGAGCUCACAUGGAUUGUGAGAUGUGGCUACAAUUUUAUGGAGAGCUAUGUUUUGGGCACAUUGAUGAUGUGGAAAAAAUUCAACUCAUCAGGAUAUUCCUAUCUAGUACUUCCUUCACAAAGCUAUUAGCUGAACACAAACUUUGGAUAUUUGCUGAGAAAGAUUUACUAGGAAAAUCGUUACAAAAGUUUUCAUGAGGCAAUGAUUUGGAUAGGAAAGAGUGCCCAAAAAAUAUGAGGGUAAUCAAAGAAAUAGAAAUAGCACUUCCUUCACGAAUUGCUAUUCUGAACAAAUAGGAAAAUGAAUAUUGCUGAAUUAUUUUUGAACUAUGGAAGGAAGGGUUUUCACAUAUAUGAGAAAUAUAUGAUCCAAAGUAUUUAUGAGAAUUUUUCGAGAAUUUUUGGAAUGAUAGAAUAGUAGGUUGCUUCACAAACUAGGAUGAGGUGGGAUAUAAUGGACCCACGAGUGACAUGUCAACAUAGUUAGAACAUGUUACGACAUUUUUAAAUCGUCGUAAAAGUUAUGACGAUCUCAUCUUAUGCGGUUACGACGUUUUUGACUCACAUCGUCGUAAUUUAUAUGUAGAUUUGAUCCCCUCAAAUGGUUUACGACGAUCUCGGAUGAAAUCGUCAUAGAUUUAUGACGAAUUCAUCAACGACAUUUUAAAAAACAUCACAUAUGAGCAUAUUUCUUGUAGUGCGGCUCCGACAUUCUUGCCGGCUCCAGCUGCUUUAACGGCUCCAGCAACUCUGCCAGCUACACCAAACCUCGAACCCAGUCGGUUAAACACCCAGUGGGUGGCCGUCAUGGAGGUUGACGGCAUGCCAGCUACCACGAUGGCACCAGAGAUAGAAGGUAUCGAACCUGGGAUCUCAAUGACAAACUUGGGGGCUUCAGAUGCUCCUGAGCUUCAAGCCGAGCCGGAGUCGGCUCUUGUGUCGGCUCCCUCAUGGGCACAACCCAUCCUGGCUUUCCUUCUUCGCGGCGAUCUUCCUCAAUACGAGGCGGAGGCAAGGCAGAUUCAACAACGAUCUCCCGCAUACGCCAUCAUCAACCGCGAGUUGGUUCAACGUAGCGUAACCGGCGUGUUUCAACGUUGCGUCGAGUCAGAAAAACGGCAAGAAAUCCUCAAGGAUAUACAUCAGGGUGAGUGCGGGCAUCAUGCCGCCUCUAGAACCCUGGUGGCCAAGGCGUUCCGCCAUGGAUUUUAUUGGCCUACGGCCCUCGAGGAGGCCACAACUUUGGUCGACAAGUGUGAAGGCUGAAAGCGCUUCAGCACGAAGAGCCACUUGCCGGCCUCAGCCCUCAAGACCAUCCCCCUGUCAUGGCCGUUUGCCUUCUGGGGGCUGGAUAUGGUGGGACCAUUCAACACCGCUCGAGGCGGCAUGACGAAUCUCCUGGUAGCCGUCGACAAAUUCACCAAGUGAAUUGAGGUCAGGCCAAUCCAAAAUCUUGACGGUCCCACAGCCGUCAAGUUCAUCAAGGACAUCUACAUCCGCUACGGCAUCCCCCAUAGCAUCAUCACCGACAACGGCACCAACUUUGCCAAGGGUGGAAUGGCGCUCUUUUGUGCCAAAGAGGGCAUCCGGCUCGAUCUGGCGUUGGUGGCGCUCCCGAAGUGAAAAGGCCAGGCGGAAAGGGCAACCGGCCUAAUCCUGGGCGGCAUCAAGCCCAAACUCGUGGCGCCGUUCAUUAGGUCAGCCGGCUGCUAGAUUGAAGAGAUGUCGGUUGUGUUUUGGAGUCUUCGCACCACGCCGAACCGAUCAAUCGCCUUCACACCAUUCUUCCUUGCAUACGGGUCUGAGGCAAUCAUCCCUGCGGAUGUCGAGUUUGACUCGCCUCGAGUCACCAUAUACACGGAGGCUGAUGCAAAAGAGGCAAGAGAAGAUGACAUCAAUCUACUUGAGGAGGCAUGGGAGCAGGCCCUAGCUGGACGGCUACAUACCAACAGAAGCUGAGGCACUACCACAGCAAGAAGAUCAGUCCUCUCUCCUUUCGUGAGGGGGACCUGGUCCUCAGAAGAAUCCAGCGAACAACCGGCCAGCACAAGCUCUCUUCCCCAUGGGAGGGACCCUUCAUCAUCAUUAAGGCCUUGCACAACAAUGCAUACUAUCUGAUAGAUGCCCAAAAGCCGCAGAAGUGCAACAGAGAUGACUCCGGUGAAGAAAGAGAGCGUCCAUGGAACGCGGCAUUGCUUCGCCCGUUCUACCGCUAGAAUCAAGAGAGAAAAACGUGUACGUAUGUAUCCUUUACCCUUUUCGGGAUUUCAAUGAAUGCAAUGGGUGCUCCAAGUCAAUACUUGGGCCAUACCUUUUUCAAGUUCAUAAAGAGAAUUGUCAAUACAAGAGUAGGCUCUCCGGUCCGACUCCUCGGGCUCGGGGGCUCACUAGCCGGCCCGAGCUUCUUCCUUGGUUGUAGUCGAAUAUAUAAGGCACGGCGAAACGAAACCCUUACUACCCCGCACAAGCUACACACUAGCUCCCGGCUGUCCAGCUAACGGGAUAGUGGGAAGGAAGGCCGGCUGCAUGCAGAAUUCAACUACGAAGAGGUCGCCGGCUCAGGUUAGUUUGAUCACUUCUGAUCUUAAUUUUUAGCCGGCCUACGCCGACUCGCUCCAAGUCUAAGUAUCCUUUAGGCUUCCAAAAAUCCGAGGCCGAUGCCUUCGAAGGCAGAAACUUCGUCCCAGUCACAGACCGGCUCCCAGCUGUCGGUCUGGCGGGGUGGAUGCUGGAGGGGGCAAGUUAUUGGAUAGAUGGAGGCCAAAGUGAAACAGAAGACAGAAAAGCAAGCCGGCAAGCACACAUGCACAAUGCAAAAUAGAUAAACAUAUGUUACAUUCAAAAGCAUUUAAAGGCCCACAACCUGAGUUCAUUACAUAAACACCCCCGGUGGAUGGAACUAUUGGACUAAUAAUAGAAGUGCAGAAAAAUGAAAAAAGCUUCAGUUGGUGGCGGCUCCACCCGUGGCUCCGGCGGCACCAGUGGCACUUGAGGAGGAGGCGUCGACAUUGCCAGCUCCACCUGAGGUAGAGGCGUCGUCGUCCGCCCGAGCGCCUUCGGCACCGUCCCUUGCGACGGAGUCCGCGACCUCAAAUGCCGUCUCAACAGAGCUUCCAUCGGCAUCGUGGAGAUGCAGCUGGAACGGAUCCUCCGGGAUCACGAUGCCGUCAGCUCGCGUUCUAGGCUGAACUCAUUCCAGGCCGCAAAGGAUGCGAUGUCGCUGGCCCACACCUGCAAAUCGAGUUUGACGGCUGCCAGCUCCGCCUCUGUGCUGGCGCGUUCCGCUCUGAGCCGGCCCAAGUAUAGGUUUUUAUACCAUGACUUGGCCAGGUGGAGCGCCAUGUAUGCUCCAGCGCGUGCGGCCCAUGCCCGCUAGGCGUCCAGACGAGAGCUUCCGGCUUCAAGCCAGCGGGACAGCCAGCUCAUUGAUGUCGGCUCCACCGCAUCAGGCCAAAGGGCCUUCACCAUCGCCAGCCCGACAUCCUGGAGCCGGUUCAGAGAGUGCGCCAGCUCGCGCAAACGGGCCUUGGCGCUGGUGGAUAUGUCCUCCACGGUCCAGCCAGCGGUGGCGUCCACCUCACUGCCGGCAGCACGACAUUCGUCGCAACUGGCCUCCGCGGCUGUUUCCACCGCCUCCCGCUUCCCUAGGAAGAGUUCUGCGGAGCAGGAAUAGGGGCGCGGCGUGAUCAGAAAGAGAAAAGAAAAACCAAUGACGUUGAAAAAGAAGAUAAGGCAAAGAAGUUUUACGAUUGAGGUGAAUAUCAACCUCGCCCGCUUCCUCUAGAGCCUCGCGGUCUCGAACUAUGCGCUCUUGACCAACUCGGCAUGCACCUCCUUUAGGGUGGCAUCCUUCUGCUCCUUCUCCUCAAGGUGCAGCUUCUCCAAGCACUCCAGGUUGGCAGCAUGGGAGGCCUCCUUCUGCUUCAGGGCGUCGGCAUGGGCGGCGCGCAGCGGCUCUAGCUCUGUAUGAUGGGCCGCCUCGCGGUCCUUCUUCUCCGUCUGGAGAAGAUCCACCUCCUGGCGAAGUCGGUCGUCUUCACCUCGCAAGGCAGUGCUCUCCGAGAUGGAUUUAUCCAGCCGGCUCUGAAGGUCGCUGGUCCGGCCCUCGGCCUCUUGGAUCCGGGCCAGCAGCGUGUUGUGAGCCUGCGCUUGGCUGUUGUAAAGAUCCUAUGGCGAAAACAAGCAAAGAAAAUCAAGAGUAAUACUCGNUCAGGGCGUCGGCAUGGGCGGCGCGCAGCGGCUCUAGCUCUGUAUGAUGGGCCGCCUCGCGGUCCUUCUUCUCCGUCUGGAGAAGAUCCACCUCCUGGCGAAGUCGGUCGUCUUCACCUCGCAAGGCAGUGCUCUCCGAGAUGGAUUUAUCCAGCCGGCUCUGAAGGUCGCUGGUCCGGCCCUCGGCCUCUUGGAUCCGGGCCAGCAGCGUGUUGUGAGCCUGCGCUUGGCUGUUGUAAAGAUCCUAUGGCGAAAACAAGCAAAGAAAAUCAAGAGUAAUACUCGGCCCGGCUAACUCUCAGUCGGCCUGACUCUCGGGGGUACACCUAGUGGGUGCGCUAGCGUGCCCCCACUGAAAGAGAAAGAAGAAAAUCAAGCUGCCGCAAGUAAGACUUGGCCCGACUAACUGUCAACCGGCCUGACUAUCGGGGGCUACACGUAGUGGGUGCGCUAGCGCACCCCCACUGAAAGAGAAAGAAGCAAAAUAUCAACCGAAAGGUGCGGGAAUUGAAUACUUACCGCAGUCCACUCCUCGAGGCGGUUCAGGUCUUCCUUGGCCACCAGAGCCGCGUGCGCCACCUUGUCGCAGCUGCGGGAGAACGCGGCCACCAAUGCAGGGACCCCACUUAGCAUGGCUCCAGGAGGCAAGGUCGCGCGUCUGGCCUUGGCCGCGUUCCAGGACUCUAGGGGCUGGCUCCUGGAGAAGGAGCCGGCUCCGGAGGCGAACGGGCCACUGCCGGAUACGACUAUGGUGCCGUCUCCUGGCGGCGCGCUUUUGGUCGGCUCCUUCGAUGCAUCGAUCCGGUGAGGCGCCUGCGGACCCUCAAUCCACACGGUCUUGUCCUUCACCAACAGAACCGUCUCUGUGUCGGGUGGUGGGAUCUUUGCUCCCAGUGCAUCCAUUGUCACCUCCGGUGCGGUGUCCGCUCCAGCAUUGGGCGUGUCAGGCACCGCAUCGAGAUCUACCUGCGUGGAUGCAGGCUCUGGCCCGGUGAUCUUGGCGGUCUCGUCUGCGCCCGCGCCGGCCCGAACCGGUUCGCUGGUCGGGGCCUCCACACUCACCAGCGAGGCAGGAUCAUGCUUCGACUUGGACCGUCUCUCCUUGGUGGCCAGCUUCUCGGGAGGGCCGGCUGCGCGCUUGCUGGGUUGGCUCUGGCUCGCAGCCACCUUCCAGGUCGCAUCCUGCCAGGGGCGUUUCUCUAGCUCGAUCAGCGCCUUCUUGGCGGCGUCAUCCUCGACCCAAGCGGCCCGCUCUGCUGUGGUGUCGUCAUCUUCCUCCGUCGUUUGGGCCUCCCUGCUAGCCAUAAACUGGUAAGGAAGGCUUCCUGCCCAAGAAUCAAGAAAGGGGGAGGAAAGGAGGAGUGCAAUUACUUACCCUGCAACGACGGGAACCGGCCGUCUGCCAACAGUGACCCUCUGCUUCUUCGAGCCACCCCCGUAACCUCCAGCCGAAGGUCGUGUAGUAGUUCGUUUGGGGGCCAGCUUGGUGGUAGCAAUUUGCUUGCCCUUCCAUCAUGCUCCUUUGCCCUGCACGGCCGGCUCGCGGGCUGCUCGAGGUUGCCGCGUCAGGGGAGGGCUGGAGACCUCCUAUAGCUCUUCUAGGUCUUCCACGUCGGCUGCAUCGCGUAAGGGAGACGACACCUCGUCAUUAUCCGUCCAGUCAAGCAACACAGAUGCUAGAAAAUCACCGAUCGGCUCGGUGCCCUCCAACUCCGCCACCCCUUCCACAUCUUCGGAUGCGGAAGAUUGAAGCUCCACCUCGUCCUCAUCCUCGAUUUCGAUGGGGUUCGACACCUCCACGUCGGCAGCCGGCUUCCAUUAGACUUGCUGGCGCUCGAAUAGUUGAGGGUGUAGCCGGCGUCUGGCGUCAGAUGCCGGAUAGAAAUCAAAGAAAAACAAGAAACAUAAUCAAUGAAGGAACAUACCGUCGGAGCUGGAUGGCUUCAUUCGUAAGGGGCCAUGCCCCACUGCCACUCACCAGCUUCAUCCAUGAAGGCAGAGGAGAUCAAGUUCACCUGAUGGGCCACCUUGCCGGCUCGGAAGUUCUUCGUCGAGAGCCGGCAUGGAUCAUGUCGGCCACUUAUAUGUCUCAAACGUAUCUAUAAUUUUUGAUGGUUUCACGCUGUUAUCUUGACUUCUUUGGUUGUUUUGUGUAUCUUUUUAUAUCUUUUUGGGACUAACUUAUUAAUUCAGUGCCAAGCCCUAGUUCCUGUUUUUUCUGUGUUUUUGACUCUUAUCAGAUCUGAUUUUGGAACGGAGUCCAAACAAAAGAAAAACCCCAAAAUGAUUUUUACCCGAACGGAGGAAGAUGAGGGGGCCAUUGGGCCAAGCCAGGUGGGCUCCAGGGAUCCCACAAGCCCCCACUCUGCCACCAGGGGGAGGCGGCGGGGUCAGGGCUUGUGGCCUCCCUGGCCACCCCCUGACCUAGAUCCUUGGCCUAUAUAUUGUUGGGGAACGUCGCAAGGGAAACAAAAAUUUUCCUACGCGCAUGAAGACCUAUCAUGGUGAUGUCCAUCUACGAGAGGGGAUGAGUGAUCUACGUACCCUCGUAGACCGUACAGCAGAAGCAUUAGAGAACGCGGUUGAUGUAGUGGAACAUCCUCACGUCCCUCGAUCCGCCCCGCGAACAAUCCCGCGAUCAGUCCCACGAUCUAGUACCGAACGGACGGCACCUCCGCGUUCAGCACAUGUACAGCUCGACGAUGAUCUCGGCCUUCUUUAUCCAGCAAGAGAGACAGAGAGGUAGAAGAGUUCUCCGGCAGCGUGACGGCGCUCCGGAGGUUGGUGAUGACCUUGUCUCAACAGGGCUCCGCCCGAGCUCCGCAGAAACGCGAUCUAGAGGAAAAACCGUGGAGGUAUGUGGUCGGGCAGCCGUGGGAAAAGUCGUCUCAAAUCUGCCCUAAAACCUCCGUAUAUAUAGGUGGGAGGGAGGGGGGCCUUGCCUUGGGGUCCAAGGACCCUCAAGGGGUCGGCCGAGCCAAGGGGGAGGACUCUCCCCCCCCAAACCGAGUUGGACUAGGUUUGGUGGGAAGGAGUCCCCCUCCCUUCCCACCUCCUCCCUUUUUUUUUNNNNNNNNNNNNNNNNNNNNNNNNNNNNNNNNNNNNNNNNNNNNNNNNNNNNNNNNNNNNNNNNNNNNNNNNNNNNNNNNNNNNNNNNNNNNNNNNNNNNAUGGAGGGUUCUUCGUAGACAUCAACGACGACGAGUAGCUGGUGUCCCAGCUACGAUCUGGCCCUACGUUAGAUCUGUAGUAUAGUCAGGCCAUGUGCCUUCUAGUUGCCCUGUCUGUACUCAGACAGUUUAAAGUCUUCCGCUGGCUUGUAACUGAAUGACUGCUAUUAUGGGUCGUGAGACCCUUAAUGUGUAAUAUUAUGUCUGUGGCUCUUCCGAGCCUCUUAAAUAAAGGUUGUAUGUUUAUGGUUAUGUUGUGAUGCCAUCGAUGUAUCUAUACAUAUCGGUAUGCCACGCGUACGUGUGUCGUACUUGAUAUGUAUGGGGUUCGAUUACCUUGUCGUGAGCUUUAGUAUCAUUCCUUACAAGGAAAUGCCCCUUUGUGAUCCAACGAGCCUUGGUAGUUCGCUACUGCUCCGGACACAUUGGUUGACCGGCAUGUGUCCUUCUUAGCUGCUGUGUCUGUCCUCUUUGGGGAAAUGUCACGCGAUGUAAUGGAGUCCUUGUAGCUUGCUACGACUCGUCUACACUCGCUGGUGACCGACACGUGCUUUGUUGGGUCAUGUAUGCNNNNNNNNNNNNNNNNNNNNNNNNNNNNNNNNNNNNNNNNNNNNNNNNNNNNNNNNNNNNNNNNNNNNNNNNNNNNNNNNNNNNNNNNNNNNNNNNNNNNUACUGACUUAUUUUUAUUAUUUCUAAUCUUGCCAGAGGCUGACCCCACCAGUCAGUGGCUCAGGCCAGCCUAGGUCCACUGGCGGCGAGGUCGUCCUCGCUGGCGGGGAGCCUCCGGCGAGCACCAGAACGUCGGGAGGGCUCAGAAUGGCGCACAGAGGGCCAAACGCACGGCUGAGACCAUGGGAGGAACGACCACUCGAUGGCGCGCACGAUGGAACAAGCCCCAGGGGCUGGGGUGGUCGGGAUCAACGCCGACGACGAGCUUGGCGGCGACCAAGUUCGGCCAUCGUCGAAGCCAUCGGAUAACGGGUCAAAACGCUCGGGGCUGGGCACCUAAAGCAUCUACACGACGUCCUGAGGCUGUUGGUAGCCUCAGACGGACCAGCACUUCACCGAAGGGCUGCCGGCGACGAGCUGCAGCGGCGGUCCUCGUCAGGCUCCGAUGAAACUAGGGCUAGAGGAGGGGAUCGACGGGGAGAUCUUAGGGGAAAAGACCGCAUGCUCACUGGGAGUGCAGUGGUGGUGCUAGUCUGCUCGGGGACGGCCUGGAGAGGGAGAACGUCGGCGGCGAUCUUCGGUGACCCGAGGAAGAAGAAGACGGUUGCGCGUUGACUCACUGCAUCUGGGCGUCGGGCUCGUGGCUAGGAAGCUUCAGGGGGUUGCGGCGGAGCUAACGCGCGGCUCAGAAGGAAGGGAGGUCGGCUAGAACGACGACGAGCUCGAGCUCUGCUCGGGCUCCAAUGGCGGCAGAACGGGGAGGAGAGACCCGAGAGGAGAGGGAGAACUGGUGCUGGGAAUGGAUAGGGGUGGCCUCGGGGAGCUUAUCCCCGGCCUUGCCAGCGCGAGGAGGCGUCCAGGCAGGCGCACAGGUGCAUGGCCGUGCCGGAGAACGCGGCAGCCACCUCCUGCUGCACACUGGCGGGGAGGAAGACGGCAGGGGCUUAGAUGGGCCGGGCCAGGUGAGCGACAGGUUACCUCUUUUCNNNNNNNNNNNNNNNNNNNNNNNNNNNNNNNNNNNNNNNNNNNNNNNNNNNNNNNNNNNNNNNNNNNNNNNNNNNNNNNNNNNNNNNNNNNNNNNNNNNNUUUUUUUUUCUUUUUCUCUUUGAUUUUCUUCCUAUGGCGCAUAGGGCCUUCUUGGGCUGUCCCACCAGCCCACUAAGGGCUGGUGCGCUACCCCCAAGGCCUAUGGGCUUCCCCGGGGUGGGUUUCCCCCCCGGUGAACACCCGGAACCCAUUCGUCAUUCCCGGUACAUUCCCGGUAACUCCGAAAACCUUCCGGUAAUCAAAUGAGGUCAUCCUAUAUAUCAAUCUUCGUUUCUGGACCAUUUCGGAAACCGUCGUGACGUCCGUGGUCUCAUCCGGGACUCCGAACAACAUUCGGUAACCAACCAUAUAACUCANNNNNNNNNNCUGAGGUCAUCCUAUAUAUCAACCUUCGUUUCCGGACCAUUCCGGAAACCCUCGUGACGUCCGUGAUCUCAUCCGGGACUCCGAACAACAUUCGGUAACCAACCAUAUAACUCAAAUACGCAUAAAACAACGUCGAACCUUAAGAGUGCAGACCCUGCGGGUUCGAGAACUAUGUAGACAUGACCCGAGAGACUCCUCGGUCAAUAUCCAACAGCGGGACCUGGAUGCCCAUAUUGGAUCCUACAUAUUCUACAAAGAUGUUAUCGUUUGAACCUCAGUGCCAAGGAUUCAUAUAAUCCCGUAUGUCAUUCCNNNNNNNNNNNNNNNNNNNNNNNNNNNNNNNNNNNNNNNNNNNNNNNNNNNNNNNNNNNNNNNNNNNNNNNNNNNNNNNNNNNNNNNNNNNNNNNNNNNNUGAGUUUCUUCUGAUCUCUCUUAUGCAUGAUUUCAUAUCCUUGUAAUUCUCUUCGAGUUGUGGGUUUUGUGUGGCCAACUAGAUCUAUGAUUCUUGCAAUGGGAGAAGUGCUUUAUUUUGGGUUCAUACCGUGCGGUGACCUCACCCAGUGAUAGAAGGGGUAGCGAGGCACACAUCGUGUUGUUGCCAUCAAGGGUAAAAAGAUGGGGUUUUCAUCAUUGGUUUGAGAUUAUCCCUCUACAUCAUGUCAUCNAUAGUAGUAGAUGCAGAAAGUAUCGGUCUACUUGUCUCGGACGUGAUGCCUAUAUGUAUGAUCAUUGCCUUAGAUAUCGUCAUGACUUUGCGCGGUUCUAUCAAUUGCUCGACAAUAAUUUGUUCACCCACCGUGAUAUUUGCUAUUUUGAGAGAAGCCUCUAGUGAACACUAUGGCCCGGGGGUCUACUCCACACCAUAUUUUCAGCCUUACACUUUUUACUUCGUUGCACUUUCCGCCUUCAGAUCUCACUUUGCAAACAAUCUUGAAGGGAUUGACAACCCCUUUGAAGCGUUGGGUGCAAGCUUGUUUGUGUUUGCGCAGGUACUCUGGACUUGACGAGACCUUCCUUCUAGAUCAAUACCUUGGUUCUCAAAACUGAGGGAAAUACUUACUGCUCCUGUGCUGCAUCACCCUUUCCUCUUCAAGGGAAAAACCGACGCAAACAAGAGAAGUAGCAAGAAGAAUUCCUGGCGUUGCUUGGGAAGGACUUUUGUUGCCGUAGCAGAAGAAUUUCUCGCGCCGUUGCCGGGGAGGAAGAUCAAGUCAAGAACUCAUCCAAGUAGGUGUCGCAAACCCAUCUCUUGCAUUUACUUUGUUUGCCAGUUGCCUCUCGUUUUCCUCUCCCCCACUUCACCAAUUUCCCUUUUUUGUUUGCCUUUUUCGUUCGCCCUUUUUUCUCGCUUGCUCUUUGUUUGCUUGUGUGCCCGCUUGCUUGCUUGCCGAAGUCACCAUGAAUGAAAACACCAAACUUUCUGACUUCUCGAAUACUAAUAAUAAUGAUUUUAUUAGUACUCCGAUAGCUCCCGCCACUAGUGCGGAGUCAUACGAAAUCAAUGCCGCUUUGCCGAAUCUUGUUAUGAAAGAGCAAUUUUCUGGCCUUCCUAGUGAAGAUGUUGCAUCCCAUCUCAAUACCUUCAUUGAGCUUGGCGAUAUGCAAAAGAAGAAAGAUGUGGAUAAUGACGUGAUUAAAUUGAAGCUUUUUCCUUUCUCGUUGCGAGAUCGUGCAAAAACUUGGUUUUCUUCUUUGCCCAAAAAUAGUAUCGAUUCUUGGGAUAAGUGCAAAGAUGCUUAUAUAUCCAAGUAUUUUCCGCCGGCUAAGAUCAUCUCUCUCCGGAAUGAUAUCAUGAAUUUCAAGCAACUUGAUCAUGAACAUGUUGCACAAGCUUGGGAGAGAAUGAAAUUAAUGAUUAGAAAUUGUCCCGCUCAUGGCUUGAGCCUUUGGAUGAUUAUUCAAAUCUUUUACGCUGGCUUGAAUUUCGCUUCUAGAAAUAUCUUGGACUCCGCCUCAGGUGGAACGUUCAUGGAAAUCACGUUAAGAGAAGACACAAAGCUCUUAGACAACAUCAUGAUGAACUACUCUCAGUGGCACACUGAAAGGUCACCUACUAGUAAGAAGGUACACGCUAUAGAGGAAAUUAACUCGUUGAGUGCUAAGAUGGACGAGUUAAUGAAUUUGGUUGCUAGUAGAAGUGCUCCUUUGGAUCCUAAUGAUAUGCUUUGUCUUCUUUGAUUGAGAGUAGCAACGCUAGCUUGGACGUUAAUUUUCUUGGUAGGAAUAACUUUGGCAACAACAAUGCUUUUAGAGGAAACUAUGUUCCUAGGCCUUUUCCUGGUAACUCCUCUAAUAACUUUGGCAACUCCUACAACAAUACCCAUGGAAAUUACAAUAGAUUACCCUCUCUGAUCUAGAGAGUAAUAUCAAAGAGUUCAUCAACUCUCAAAAGAUUUUCAAUGCGUCCAUAGAGGAAAAGCUACUCAAAAUUCAAGACUUGGCUAAGAGCGUUGAUACAAUGUCUAGUGAUGUUGAUGCUUUGAAAGUUAGAUGUGCUCCUCCCAAAAUCAACAUGGAUGAAACUUUGAAAGCUAUGCGUGUUUCCAUGAUUGAGAGCCAAGAAAGAACCGCCAAAACUCGUGCUAGACAUGAAUGGCUUAAAAAGGCGUGUUCUCGUGAUGAGAAUCACGAACAUCUUAAAGUGCUUGGUGUGACUCCCAUUGAAUCUUUGUUUCUUGUGUCAAACCUAAUGAUUAUAGGGCUGGAUAUGAAUCCACUUUGUUUGAAAAGUGCCCCAAGGAUUCAGAGUCCAUCUAUCUUGAUGCUAAAAGCAUUGAAAGUGGAGUAGAAGAUGUUAAAAAUUUGAGUAGUAAUGAAAUUACUACUGUGGAUUUCAAGGAAUUCAAUUAUGAUAGUUGCUCCUUGAUUGAAUGCAUUUCUUUGAUGCAAUCCAUGUUAAACUCUCCACGCGCUUAUAGCCAAAACAAGGCCUUUACCGAUCAUAUCGUCGAAGCUAUGAUAAAAUCUCUUGAAGAGAAACUUGAAUUGGAAGUCUCUAUCCCUAGAAAUAUUCAUGAUGAGUGGGAACCUACCAUCAAAAUCAAAAUCAAAAACUAUGAGUUCAAUGCUUUGUGUGAUUUGGGUGCUAGUGUUUCUGCGAUUCCAAAGUCUUUAUGUGAUGUUCUAGGUUUUAAUGAGAUUGAAGAGUGUUCUCUUAAUUUGCAUCUUGCUGAUUCUACUGUCAAGAAACCCAUGGGAAGGAUCAAUGAUGUUCUUAUUGUUGCAAAUAGGAACUAUGUACGUGUGGAUUUAAUUGUGCUUGACAUUGAUUGCAAUCCUACUUGCCCUAUUAUUCUUGGUAGACCUUUCCUAAGGACUAUCAGUGCUAUCAUCGAUAUGAAGGAAGGGAAUAUUAGAUUUCAAUUUCCUUUAAGGAAGGGCAUGGACCACUUUCCUAGAAAGAAAAUAAGAUUGCCUUAUGAAUCCAUGAUGAGGGCCACUUAUGGUUUGAGCACCAAAGACGACGAUACGUGAUUCUAUCGCUUUUAUGCCUAGCUAAGGGCAUUAAACAAUAGCGCUUGUUGGGAGGCGACCCAAUGAAUUUAUCUUUUUUCUUUCUGUUUUGUUGCGUACACACCAUCACAAUUCUGUUGUGAUUGUGUUUUUUGUGUUUCUUUUUGUGUUUGAGCCAAGCAAAACCUUUGUGACUAGUCUUGGUGACGGUUGUUUGAUCCUGCUGGAAAAAGAUAAAAACUUUUCGCUCACGAGAUGAUUUUUCAUUUUUAUUCAGAAAGAGAUUUUGAGUUGAUUCUUCUUUCUGCUGGUUCAUAUGCUUUUUCCCAGGCCGUCGUAAUUUUUCAGAUUUUUCGAGGUAGCAGAAGUAUACGAAGUAUACAGAUUGCUACAGACUGGUCUAUUUUUGACAGAUUCUGUUUUGUUGAGUUGGUUGUUUGUUUUGAUGAAACUAUGGUUAGUAUCGGGGGGUACUAGCCAUGGAAAAGUGUGAAUACAGUAGCCCAACACCAAUAUAGAUGGAAUUCAAGUUUGCUACAGUACCAAAAGAAGUGGUAGUUUGUUUUCUUGUACUAAUGUUAUCACGAGUUUCUGUUUAAGUUUUGUGUUGUGAAGUUUUCAAGUUUUGGGUGAUGUUCUCAUGGACGAUGAGAUAAGGAGUGGAAAAAUCUCAAGCUUGGGGAUGCCCAAGGCAUCCCAAGCCAAAUUCAAGGACACCAAAAAGCCUAAGCUUGUGGAUGCCCCGGGAAGGCAUCCCCUCUUUCGUCUUCAAUCCAUCGGUAACAUUACUUGGAGCUAUAUUUUUAUUCACCACAUGAUAUGUGUUUUGCUUGGAGCGUCUUGUAUCGUAGGAGUCUUUUCUUUUUGUUGUGUCACAAUCAUCCUUGCUGCACACCUUUUUGAGAGAGAGAUACAUGCACUCAUCGUGAUUUUGCUAGAAUGCUCAUAGUGCUUCACUUAUAUCUUUUGAGCUAGAUACUUUUGCUUUAGUGCUUCACUUAUAUCCUUUAGAGCUCGGCGGUGCGUGAUUUGGUAGUUGGCUUAUGCUAUGAAAGUAGUCCCAAAUGUGAUAGGUACCCAAAGAGGAUGCAAAAACCUCGAUCUUCAUGUGCAUUGAGUAGAAAGAGAAGUUUCGAUUCCUCUCAAUUAGUUUUGAGACGUGGAUUCGGUAAUAUUGAGAGCUAUGUUAGUAGGGUGUUGUGAAUCUAGAGAUACUUGUGUUGAAGUUAGUGAUUCCCAUAGCAUGCACGUAUGGUGAACCGCUAUGUUAGGAAGUCGGAGCAUAAUUGAUCUAUUGAUUGUCAUCCUUUGUGUUGAGGUCGGGAUCGAGCGAUGGUUAACACCUACCAACCCUUCCCCUAGGAGUAUGCAUUUAGCACUUUGUUUCGAUUACUAAUAAAAACUUUCGCAACAAGUAUGUGAGUUCUUCAUGACUAAUGCGAGUCCAUGGUAUAGAUGCACUUCCACCUUCCACCAUUGCUAGCCUCUUUAGUGCUGCGCAAUUCUCGCCGGUACACAAACCCACCAUAUGCCUUCCUCAAAACAGCCACCAUACCUACCUACUAUGGCAUUUUCAUAGCCAUUCCGAGAUAUAUUGCCAUGCAACUCCCACCGUUCCGUCUCAUGACUUGUGUCGUCACUCUCAUAUUGCCAUUGCAUGAUCGUAAAAUAGCUAGCGAGAUGUUUUCAAUGUCAUACGCAUGCUAGAUCGUUGCACAUCCCGGUAUACUGUCGGAGGCAUUUCCUUUAGAGUCAUCAUCAUUUUGAGCUGUGAGUAAAUAAAAGUGUGAUGAUCAUCAUUAUUAGAGCAUUGUCCCAUGUGAGGAAAAAAAAGAGGCCAAAGANGCAUUGUCCCAUGUGAGAAAAAAAAGAGGCCUAAGAGCCCAAAUGAAAAAAAAGAGAAAAGAGAGAAAAAGAGAGAAGGGACAAUGCUACUAUCUUUUUUCCACACUUGUGCUACAUAAUAGCACCAUGUUGUUCACGAUUGAGAGCUUCUUGCUUCGUCACCACCAUAUGCUAGUGGGAAUCUUCAUUAUAUAACUUGGCUUGUAUAUUCCAAUGAUGGGCUUCCUCAAAAUUGCCCUAGGUCUUCGUGAGCAAGCAAGUUGGAUGCACACCCACUAGUUUUCCUUUUGAGCUUUCACAUACUUAUAGCUCUAGUGCAUCUCUUGUAUGGCAAUCCCUACUCAUUCACAUUGGUAUCUAUUAAUGGGCAUAUCCAUAGCCCUUUGAUAUGCCGAGUCAAUGUGACCGUCUCCUCCUUUUUGUCUCACAACCACCACCACACUCUAUUCCACUUAUAGUGCUAUAUCCAUGGCUCACGCUCAUGUAUUGCGUGAUAGUUAUAAAAAGUUUGAGAAAGUAAGAGUGCGAAAAUAAUUACUUGGCAAAUACCGGGGUUGUGCAUGAUUUACAUUAGUUGUGUGAGGAUGAUGGAGCAUAGCCAAACUAUAUGAUUUUGUAGGGAUAACUUUCCUUGGCCUUGUUAUUUUGAAAGUUCAUGAUUACCUUGCUAGUUUGCUUGAAGUAUUAUUGUUUUCAUGUUAAUAGGAAACUAUUGUUUUGAAUCUUACGAAUCUAAACAUUCAUGUCACGUGAAAGAAGUUGCAAAGGACAACUAUGCUAGGUAGCAUUCCACAUCAAAAAUUCAUUCUUUAUCACUUCCCUACUCGAGGACGAGCAGGAGUAAAGCUUGGGGAUGCUUGAUACGUCUCCAACGUAUCUAUAAUUUUUUAUGGUUUCAUGAUAUUAUCUUGUCAAAAUUUGGAUGUUUUGCAUGCCUUUUAUAUAUUUUUUGGGACAAACUUAUUGACUCAGUGUUAAGUGCCAGUUCCUGUUUUUUCCAUGUUUUUGACCCCUUCCACACAAGAUUUUGAAACAGAGUCCAAACGGAAAAAAAUCCCCGAAAAGAUUUUUUCCAUAACGGAAGAAGAUCGGGAAGCUUGGGAGCCAAGGCAGGGGAGCCUCAAAGGCCCCACAAGCCCCCACCCCGCGGCCAGGGGGGGUAGGUCGCGGCCCACGGGCUUGUGGGCCCCUUGGGCGCCCUCUGCCCUAGGGGUUGCGCCUAUAUAUUCCCUAAAAAUCCCAAAAAAAUCAGGAGAUCGUCGAAAUCACUUUUCCGCCGCUGCAAGCUUCUGUCUCCGCAAGAUCCCAUCUAGGGCAUGUUCUGGUGCCCUGCCGGAGGGGGGAUUCGGACACGGAGGGCUUCUUCAUCAACACCAUGACCUCUCCGAUGAUGCGUGAGUAGUUCACCAUAGACCUACGGGUCCAUAGCUAGUAACUAGAUGGCUUCUUCUCUCUCUUGGAUCUUCAAUACAAAGUUCUCCAUGAUCUUCAUGGUGAUCUAUACGAUGUAAUCUUAUUUUGCGGUGUGUUUGUCGAGAUCCGAUGAAUUGUGGAUUUAUGAUCAGAUUAUCUAUGAAUCUUAUUUGAGUUUCUUCUGAUCUCUCUUAUGCAUGAUGUCAUAUCCUUGUAAUUCUCUUCAAGUUGUGGGUUUUGUCUGGCCAACUAGAUCUAUGAUUCUUGCAAUGGGAGAAGUGCUUGGUUUUGGGUUCAUACCGUGCGGUGACCUCACCCAGUGAUAGAAGGGGUAGCGAGGCACGCAUCGUGUUGUUGCCAUCAAGGGUAAAAAGAUGGGGUUUUCAUCAUUGGUUUGAGAUUAUCCCUCUACAUCAUGUCAUCUUUCUUAAGGUGUUACUCUGUUCGUCGUGAACUCAAUACACUAGAUGCAUGCUGGAUAGCGGUCGAUGUGUGGAGUAAUAGUAGUAGAUGGAGAAAGUAUCGGUCUACUUGUCUCGGACGUGAUGCUAAUAAGUAUGAUCAUUGCCUUAGAUAUCGUCAUAACUUUAUGCGGUUCUAUCAAUUGCUCGACAGUAAUUUGUUCACCCAGCGUGAUAUUUGCUAUUUUGAGAGAAGCCUCUAGUGAACACUAUGGCCCCCGGGUCUACUCCACACCAUAUUUUCAGCCUUACACUUUUUACUUCGUUGCACUUUCCACCUUCAGAUCUCACUUUGCAGACAAUCUUGAAGGGAUUGACAACCCUUUGAAGUGUUGGGUGCAAGCUUGUUUGUGUUUGCACAGGUACUCUGGACUUGACGAGACCCUCCUUCUGGAUCGAUACCUUGAUUCUCAAAACUGAGGGAAAUACUUACUGCUCCUGUGCUGCAUCACCCUUUCCUCUUCAAGGGAAAAACCGACACAAACAAGAGAAGUAGCAAGAAGAAUUCCUGACAUUGCUUGGGAAGGAAUUUUGUUGCCGUAGCAAUAGCCAGAUGCAUUUUUUNGAUAUAUUCAAGAAGUUCAUUAAGCUUGUCUUUGACUCUCUGAUACUCCUAGUUGAUUGCUAGUCAUUGCCAAGUGCUACUCUGCUAGCUCAUUCCUUCUAAGACCUACCCACUAGCUUUUUCUGAAAUCUCAAUUUGUUCCUACAAUGACUAUUAUCUGCAUGUAAUGUCUAAAGUAAAGUUCUACUCAUUUUCUAUCCUACAAUUUUGGCGAAUAAAGUACUAAUCUGUAAAAAUCAGCUCUACAAGAGUGACAAAAUAAAAGUGCAUACAAACCAGCUCUACAUGAUACAACUAAUAGUAGUGCUAACACUAAUUAAGGCAUGACUUAGUGACUUUCGUAAACCAAUGGGAUAGAAAUGACACUUGUUUAUUUAUUUAGCAUGGUCUCUCUCACUGCUUCUCCUAGAUACCAACCAUGUUGUAUAAUGCGCUAUCGAGUGAGUAUGUAUAUCUAUUUAACGAACAGUCCCUUUAGUUUCUUCCCUUCUACUGUAGUUGUGCAUGGAUUAUACCAGUUUUUUCAUGCUAUCUGCUUUGUUGGGUGCUCAUGCUAUGUCCUCUUCAUUUAAUCUGGUAACAUAUAGUGACGGUGCACCUUUAUUGUUAUCUUCUUACUCGAUAUCUUGAUAGUUAGGACCUGUCCGAAGACCCUCCAGCUCCUGACUCCGCUCCGAGAGCAGCCGGAGCGAUAGUGCAAACUUAUGGAACGGGGAAACAGAGACUGUGUGGAUCUUUGGAUCUGGCGGAGCUCGAGGUUUCUCGAAUAACUCUUGAAUCUUUCAUGUGAUCUUCUUGCACCUUUGUGUAAGCUAUAUGGCUAGGCAUAUUGAGUAAUGCUACCUAGGAAUGUAUGACAAUCAUGUGUGUAUUAGAAAUGUACGAGUCACUACAGUCACCAUUAUUGUUUACAAGAUACAGUUUCCAUUAAUAUCAUUGCCUUCAUGAACUGUUUACAUGAUGUACACUAUGAGAGCAUUUUUCGAUCAUAUUUUGGAGGAAAACAGAGAACCCGCUUGCUAGAGGCAAUAGGUCAUCAAUAUUGGGCAGAGUAUAGCAAUGAAGGAAAGAAAAAUACUCAAGCAAAUCAAGCAAUGAAAAUCUUCCUCCGUGGUGCUAGUAAUGCAAAUAUUCAGUUUUUAUGUAACCUUGGCUAAAUUUUUAUCAUUUGAUGUUGCUGUGAACCUUGGUUGUAUUGCAAAGAUUGAACUUUUUACAAAGUCUCAUGUUGAAGUUCUCCUUUUGCUUUAUUUUCUACUCGCUCCCUUUAGAAAUAACAGACGCAAGGAGUCAUUUCCGAACGGAGGGAGUAUGUACUGGAAGUUAUAGUUUAAACUUUAAAGCAAAACAUUGUUGUAUGUGUGAACAGUACAGGAUCAAUGUUACUAAAACUGUUUGGAGACACCCUCCCGACCCCGACCCUUCCUCCUGCUCCCCUCCCCUUCCCUCCCGCGCCCGCNNNNNNNNNNNNNNNNNNNNNNNNNNNNNNNNNNNNNNNNNNNNNNNNNNNNNNNNNNNNNNNNNNNNNNNNNNNNNNNNNNNNNNNNNNNNNNNNNNNNNNNNNNNNNNNNNNNNNNNNNNNNNNNNNNNNNNNNNNNNNNNNNNNNNNNNNNNNNNNNNNNNNNNNNNNNNNNNNNNNNNNNNNNNNNNNNNNNNNNNNNNNNNNNNNNNNNNNNNNNNNNNNNNNNNNNNNNNNNNNNNNNNNNNNNNNNNNUGGGCGGCAGUGGCAGUGCUCGAGCCCUACAGGCCCAGAUCUGGGCCCCUCGGGCCCGAUCUGGGUCAGGUCAGGCCUGCCUCGUUGCCUCCGGUUGGUCUGCGGCACGACUCGCAACGGGGAUGACAGCGUUGACGUCGCACUGUUGCAGCGUGACGAUGGGAGCUUCUCGAGCUUGUCCAUGUCCGGCUGAGCUUUUGGGCUGCAUGAUGGUAGCGGCGGUGGCGGCCUGCGUGCAGCAGCACGAUGGCGGGGACUUUACGAGCCCCUGGACUUGGUCAGCACUCGGUCGGGCCUAUCUGGCCUGGUAUGUCCUGGCUGUUGUGUUUGGUAGGCACCCCCCGAUGGCGGUGGAGGACGUCCUCCGGGUGGCUGCGCUGUUGUAGCCCUCCGGUUCCAAUGGUUCGGCGUGCACUCUCGUCGUGUCCGGACGGUGAUAGCCUUGGACGGUGGAGGUGGUCCCCUCCUACGUGGUUGUCCUCCUGUCGGGUCUUGUCUUCGGGUGGUUCGCCUCAGACUGACCGGCCUUGCUACGUUGGCCAUGGUGAGACGACGAUGGUGAUUGCAAGACCGUGGUGGCGUUUGUUGGUGGUUGGCAUGCUUGGUGGAGCGUCUCUGAUUGUCCGGGAGGUGGUGGUUUGGUGGUCGGGAGAAAUCCUUGUCUUUUGACACCAAUACGGUGAUGCUUGAGAGUGUCACCCUUCCUUCCUAAAGGGUGUCGGGUGUUCCUCCUCCCCACGCCCCGGAGCGUACCGGGGGAAACCCUAGGACCUGUUCGGAGAGCAGUGUCGUCGUCGUCAUUAUCCUUCUUGGAGGUGAUGUUUGGUACGCGAUGGAUCAAGGUGCUUGGAUAGUGGUGGGAAUAUUUCAGAGGAGACGCAGCGAUUGCGGUCAUUAUUGUUUUCGUUAAGCCGUAGGUGUUGGCAUUGUUUUCUCUUUCUUUUCUUUUGAACGUGGAUGUGUUGUUUGCCCCAUCAGUGGUUUCAUGUUGUAUCAUGUGGUUGCUAUAUAUAUAUAUAACGGGGCGAAAGCCUAUUUUGAGAUCAAUGUUAUAUUGUUCCUCAUUUUGGUGUUUGCACGGAUUUCACCUCCAAAUCAUAGUGCCAGCCAAACAUGAAAUUUGGCUGUGGAAUCUGGAUUCAGCCAAAUGAUACCCUUAUCAGAAUUUCAUUUCAUUUCUAACAAAUGAAAUAAAUCAAGGGACGCAAACAAGCUGCAAUUGUUCUGCUGGGCUCAGAAUAUGCGUGGAUGUAUUGGGACCACCUGUCUCAUUGAACAUUGAUUCUUGAACGGCACCAGUCACACUGAACUUUGUAAUCACUGAUGGAAUUCUAACAGCAAUCAGUUCAUGGCAGCGCUCCAUUCUGCGGAGUAGUAUGGCUCAAUUACUAUAUAUCAUUUUCUUCAGAAAGCCAACCAACAGGGGCUCGUCACAGUUCACGAAUUUAAGAAUGUUUCAGUCAUAAGUGCACAAUGUUGUUACUGACAUGUCACGUGUUAGGUUAACUCCUCUCUCCCAGUCUAAAGAUCAGUGCCUAUCAAGGAUGAGCACAUCGACAAACGACAAGCUACAUGGAGGAAUCAAUCCAUAGCAGAUAUCCUCCUCUACAAAGGGGCAGAAGCUAAACACAAGACAAAAUUUCAUUGAAAUAAGCUGGUGAAACUUAAAAUGGCAAGGUCCAACAGAAAGUAAAAAGAUCAGAGUUAUGUUGGAAUUUCAACAAGCCCAGUCCAUAUGUUAUGGAAUUCACACAAGUUUGGAUGAUGAAAUUCCAGAGGGACAAAGAAGUAUUAUUGAAUGCUCUGGUAAAGGAACUUGGACUUCCAUCGUUAUCUAGUAUCCCCAGUAAUCGUUACGCAUCUCAUCAUCAAACUUCUUCUUGAGUUCAGGGUGCUUCGCAAAGUACUCGUCUGCUGUCAUUGUGCUGAUCUUUUUCUGCAUGUGUAAACAAAGAUGUUAGGAUGAAUGUAAAACCAACUGGCACCAAAUUUGUCAAAGAUCCACCUCACCUUCAUCUCCUUCAUUUCAGCAAUCUCCUUCUCUAUCCUCUCUGAUUCCUUCAGAGAUGUCUUCUCUGCCUCCUUCAAUUCGACUAACUAUGAAUUUUCAAAAGAAAGUUCAUAAGUAUCUGAAUGGAAGAGCCAUCAAUGGCAGGCAUCUAUGCGAAAAACAGGAAAGUGAAGCAUAUUUACAACAGUGAACCCUCACCAGAGCAUCAAACUUUGGCUUAUACUGAGGAGUGACAGUGUCAACAUACUUCGGGAUCUCAAUGCCUGCAUUAGUUCCAUUGAUUGGUGUAUCAGUGAGAGGUUAAACAGAUUGAAUGAGCAUAGACUCACAACUUCACAAGACUAACAGCUGUACUGGAAGGCAGCAGAAACCAGAUGCUAAAUUAUUUGGUGUGCAUUAGCCAAAAUCCAUAGCAGGGUUGAAAUUCCUAACACUAUGAUACAACAUAUUGCUAGGGGCGCCUGCUUAAGAAGGGAAACGAAACCUAAAACAUGAUGUAUUAGAAUGCAUACAUGAAGUUAUAUCACAACUAGAAUAUUGUAAAGGGAGCAUCUUAAACUAUAAGCACGUUACAGGUGGUAUCCUAAUUCUUAAUCUUCGGAAGACACAUCAUCCACAAGUUUAGAAUCCAGUAUUAAAUCAAAACCAUCUUGUUUACAAAUUUAUAGCACAGUGGUUUCCUGGAAAUGCAAAUAGAUGGAGAAUACGAAAUACACAUACUAUCAUAAGCCUCCUUGUACAUAUCCACAACUUUUGAUCCGAUUCCUUUUCUGUAGUAUUCCCAGUCAAUUGGCUGUGGUUCCUGCAGUAGCAAUACAUAUAGAUCUCUCAGAUCAGUCGAUAUGCCAGAAAUGGCCAUGCAUGCUUCAUAGGUAGCCAUAAGACUAGCAUACACAAGUUAAAUUCAAAGCUAACAACAAAUAGGGUUAAAGUUUACAAGCAUAUAACAUAUGCCAAAGAAGGCUACUUAGUCCAUCCUACAUGCCUGUAUUGAGACAGAACCACACCUUUUCCAGUCAGUAAUGUUGGGGUGUGCAGUGACUUGUGAAUACGUUGUUCUACACGGAGUAAAAUGUAAAAUGUACUGCCAAAGAUAAAGAGGAACAAUAGGGAGAGACACAGGAUAUACGACGCAUCCAGAAAUUUCCCCAAAUGUUCUUGCUCAUGUCUCAACCUCCUCUCAAAUCCUGCAUCAGAUCCCUAAAUCGUUCACUAGUUUGACAACUAAACCAACUGGGCAGGUAAAUCCUAAAAGCGAAUCGAUAUUUGAUUGCCCCCUAUUCAUGGAUCUGCGAAUCCCAGGCGCAACCGCGUUGACUAGCGAAAGUUAACGAUUCCCCUGAUCUGAUCUGACCGAGGACCAAACCCUAGCUACAUUGGCCAGAUCGAUUAGCCGAGCGCGAGACAGGGACUGGACCCCGGCGAUUGGAAUAAUACCUGGGAGAACUUGGUCUGGAGCUGGUGGUUGACGUCCUCGAAGGUGCGGCGGAGGUUGGCGAACUCCUUCCGGGCCUCCUCGGAGACGAGCAUCUUCGCCAUGCCGUCCCAGUCGAUCGCCUUCCCGGCCUUGGCCGCAACGUCCGCCACCUUCUUCACCCCGCUCAUCUUCGGCUCUGGAUCUGCUAACCUUGCUAGACCUGUGUCUGUGUAAAUCUUGAUUGUUUCAGGAGUUGAGAUCGGUCCAGAGUUAUAUGUCCCUGUUAUCUCCUCCCAAGUCCCAAGUUUAUGCGGCGCUAGAAUGACGAGCGCUUUCCCCGCUCCAGGCAAUUUCAGCCGCUAGAUCUUCACUCUAAACGAUCUCAGCCAUUUGGUGCUGUGGAGCAGGCUUUCCGUUACCCUAAAGUUGCAUUUCUCCGGUGACUGUUAAUGCGGCCUGCUUGGUCUUGGCCCGUGACACAGGACUCUUCAUCAUUUCGAGUGAAGUGUUAAACUUGUAUAUAUAAAAAAUAUUCCGGAUGUAUACAAAAAUGUAUAGUGUGUAUAAAAAAAAGUAGACACCCAAAAAUACAUAUUUUUUUUAAAAGGUUAAUACCCCCCCCCCAAAUUUUAAACAAAUGUAUCAGAUGUAUAAGAAAAAUGUAUAAUGCGUAUGAAGAAAAGUAGACAUAAAAAUGUACUAUAUUAAAGUAGGCAUAAAAAAUAUACAAUAUGGAUCGACUAUUCGUCAUCUUGGAUGAGGAAUAAAAAUUCCUCACCUCACCUCUUCAUGCAUCACAUAGUCACCAUAAGAACCCAAAUGCAUGUAAGGUAAUAUUACGGUGUGUAGUUAAGGGCUUUUAAAAUUGACCGUGAGGGCUCUUAAAAUUGACCGUGAGAAACUAAUGUAUCAUGCAUGUCAGAUAAGAUUACGACAUACAUGUGUGAGGUGAGGUCAGAUUAUAACAUCACGGGUGAGAAUUUAAUGCAUGUGAGGUAAGAUUCCAACACGACGAUGAGGUAAGAUUACGACAUGUGUGAGGUAAAAUUACCACAUCCAAAAGAACCAUGUCUUUUGUUAGUUUUUAUUAGGAUAAAGAAUUACUUAUUCUUCAUCCUGGAUGACAAUAGACUUUUAUAUAUUUACGAUAAAUAGACUUAUAUGUGUAUGUGUGUGUUGAAAUAUUUUAAAUGUAUAUUAGAAAUAUACAAUGUGUGUGAAAACAAUAGACAUCAAAAAAAUUAUUCUAAAAAUAUAUUAAUCAUGUACUUAGAAAAUGUUAAACGUGCAUUACAACGUUCUUGACGUAUACGAAAAAUGUAUAAUGUGUAGCAAAAAUAUAGACAUGUGUUGACGAAAAAACAAAGAAAGAAACUAAAAAAAACUAAAUAGAAAAAGAAAACCGGAAAACGGUGAAAAAAAGAAAGCCCAAGGAAGAAACAAAAGAUAAUCGAGAAGAAAGAGAAAUAAACCAGAGAAAAACCAGCAGAAAAAAGAAACAACAAAAGAACAAAGAAAAUUGGGCCACGCCACUAAAAAAUGGAGAAGAAACCCAUAGAGAAAAAACUAGACCAAAAACUAUGAAAAAUGGGGGAGAAGGACUAACGAUGCUGCAGUAUUAGGCCCUAUCGCACCUUGCGUGACGCGAUGGGAGCAUGCAUAUCGUUGUAAGCGAGAUAUAACUCAUGUGGGUGUUAAAACCUUCUCCCCCAUCUCCAACGAGUCUAUCUCCAAUGUAACAACAAAAGAUAUGGGCAAACCCGCAGCGGUGCCAUCGCGGUCUACAUAUCCCAACCUCUAGCUGAUUUCCUUCAAAUAUGUGCAUGGGGGCAGCAGUGCUUGCGUCUGGUGCAAUCGAGCUAGAGGUGGGGACCAAGGAGUCGGAGAAGUGUAGCCGAAGAUGGAGCCCGCAGAUAGGGUGGGGUGCUGAGGUCCGACGAUAGGAGAUGAGGUGCGAAGUGGCUGCAGACGGAUCAAGGUAACGCGAUGUCAACAUUGCACGACUCUAACCGAAUUGGAGUGUCAGGGUGUGGCGUGCAACUAUCGGCAACACGGUUGCAUCCCUAUUUUGGUUACGCGCUUUUGUGAGCAUUGUGAUCACGGGAAGCAACCUUUUUGCAUGAUGGGCGGUUGUGCACACACGGCCAUUGCAUGUUGGCUCAACCAUCCCCUAUAUAUGGUGGGUGUGUGGGAAGGAAGCCACACCCCUUCCCACGGGGUUGCCCCCUCCUCGUCUCUCUCAUUUCCUCGUCCCGGUUUCACUUAUUAAAGCGUUGCUAGUGGUGCACCACCACCCCCCCCCCCCCCCCCCCGUGCUGGUCGUGAUCCGAUCACCUUCUCCCCUUCACUUGCUGGAUCAAGGAGGAGGAGAUUUCAUCGAGUUGCACGCGUACAUAACUCGUAGGUGCCAUCCAUUUGGUGCUAGAUCGAUUUGGAUCAUGAUUGGAUCCGGAAAGUACGACUACAUCAGUCGGGUUAUAUAUGAUUCUGCUAUUUGAUCUACAAGGGUACAUCGACACACUCUCCCUCUCGUUGUUAUGCAUUUCCUAGAUUAGGUCUUGGGUUUUUGUAAAAAAAAGUUGUUUUCCAUGCAACGUUCCCAACAACUCGGUCCCUUCCCAUGCCUCACGGUCCACGACAUUAGUGCUCCCGGACCGGUUGGUCAACGGGGUCAGCAAACGACAAUCAUCGCAAGAGGACUAAUGUGGAGAGGCUGACAGCUGGGACCCACAUCCCAAACGUAUCUACUUUUCCAAACAAUUUUACUCUUGUUUUGGACUCUAAUUUGCAUGAUUUGAAUGAAACUAACCUGGACUGACGUUGUUUUCAACAGAACUACCAUGAUGUUACUUUUGUGCAUAAAUAGAGGUUCUCGGAUUAAGCUGACAAUUUACGAAGAAUAUUUGUAGAAUAUAUAAAAAAUAUAGGCAAAGAGAACUAUCGGAGGGGGGCCACCACAAGCGACGAGCUCACGUGGCGCGCCCACCCCCCUAGGGCGCGCCAUGCAGGCGCGUGGGUCCCACGGGCCUCUGUUUUCCCUAACUCGACUCGAUAAGUACCGUCUCACGGAGAAAAUAAUCAGAGAUAAACUUUCAUCAUGUUUUACGAGAUAGAGCCGCCCCUAGCUCCUAUUCUCAUUGACAGGGUUGAUCUGGAGUCCGUUUGGAGACCCGGAGAGGGGGAUUCGCCGUCGUUGUCGUCAUCAACCCUUCUCCAUCAAUAGUUCCAUGAGGCUCACCAUUGAGAGUGAGUAGUUCCUUUGUAGGCUUGCUGGACAGUGAUGGAGUUGGAUGAGGUUUGUCAUGUAAUUGAGUCAAUUUGUUAGGCCUUGAUCCCAAUUAUCCAUUAUGUUUUGAGAUUGAUGUUGCUAUGACUUUGCUAUGCUUAAUGCUUGUCACUAGGGGCCAAGCGCCAUGAUUUCAGAUCUAAAACUAUUAUGUUUCAAUGAAUAUGAGAGUGUUCUAGAUCCUAUCUUGCAAGUUAUAUGCUCCUAUUAUGUAUUAUGAUCAGUAGACCCUAGAGUGGCGAUAGUUGGGAUCCUCUACGAUGAUGACCGUAGUAUGAGGAGUUCAUGUAUUCAUUAUGUGUUAAUGCUUUGUCUCGACACUCUAUUAAAAGGAGGCCUUGAUAUCUCUUAGUUACCCUUUGGACCCCGCUGCCACGGGGGGUAGGACAAAAAUGACAUGCAAGUUCUUAUUAUAAGCAUGCAUGACUACAUACAGAAUUCAUGCGUACAUUACAUUGAUGAAUUCAAGUUAUUGUGUAUCUGUUAGAGCAUAUUUCUACAUGUGUGGUUUUGAUAAUUGAUGAAAAUCCCUAUGGACUAAUUAUUGCUUUGAAUUUUACUUCAAGGAUUUUUCAAUAGGCAUUUCUUGAUGUUCAUUUGUUGGUUUCAAGGAGUUUAUGUGAUAACCAAGGUGGUAUUCAAGGAUUUAUCCAAAGAUUGGUCAUUUAAGAUUUGAACUUAUUGCAAGCAUGUCUUGAAGAAGAAGAUUGUGCAUUGUGUGUCGUGGUUACCUUCAAUACAUCAUCUUUAUGAAGAGAGAAGAUAAGAUACAAGGUUGAUCAAGCCUAAGGCAAAGAGUGAUUCAAGUUGAUCAACACAUAAAGCAUGGAAGGUGUACCAAGCGGGAUCAAGUGAUCUCAUGGUAUGGUAAGUAUUGUCCAUUACGCUUUGUAUACUUGUUGGGGAACGUUGCAUGGGAAACAAAAAAAAUCCUAUGCACGCCCAAGAUCUAUCUAUGGAGAUGUAUAGUUACGUGAGGGUGAGUGCAUCUACGUACCCUUGUAGAUUGCUAAACAGAAGCGUUAAGAGACGUGGUUUAUGUAGUCAAGCGUCUUCGUGAUCCAAUCACGAUUCGUCCCAAUCUAGCACCGAACGGACGGCACCUCCGUGUUCAGCACACGUACAACUCGAUGACGUCUCUGCUACCUCUAUCCAUCGAGCGUGGGUGUAGUAGUACCUGAGUUCUCCAGCCCCGGUGAUGGUGGUGGUGGUGCGAUCUCGGCAGGGUUUCGCCAAGGGCAGUCGCGACGCGAUGGAGGAGAAGAACUACUAGAGAGAGGGAGGGAGGGCAACGCCAAGAACUUGUAUGUUGGAUGCCUCCCUCUCCUCUCAUAUAUAUAGGAGGAGGUUGGAGAUGUGGCCGCCAUAGGGUUUCCCUUAGUGUUAGGGGUGGCGACCAAGGGGCUCCCUUGGCCCCCAAGGAGAGGGGGUGGCGGCUACCCUUGGGUCAGGCCAUGCCCUUGGCCUCAUGGACCUUUGGUAGGAGGGGCGGCCAGCCCACCAGGGGCUAGUGCACCACCUCUAUCAUCCCAUGGGGCCAUUCGGGGCAGGUGGACCCUCCCGGUGGACCCCCGAACAAUUCCGGUAACUCCAUCACAAAACUGUUAAGUCCCAGAACUUUUCGGGAACUUGAAUACCAACUUCCCAUAUAUCAAUAUUUACUUGCGUACCAUUCCAAAGCUCCUCCUUAUGUCUGGGAUCUCAGUCGGGACUCCGAACAACAUUCGGUUACCAACAAAUGCAACUCAACAAUACUAUCUCAUCAUCGAACGUUAAGCAUGUGGAUCCUGCAGGUUGGAGAACUAUGCCGACAUGACCGAGACACCUCUAUGGUCAAUAACCAAUAGUGGGACCUAGAUGCCCAUACUGGUUCCUACAUAUUCAGUGAAUAUCUUUAUUGGUCGAACCAUGAUGCCAAGGAUUCAAUCAAUCUCGUAUGCAGUUCAGUUUGUCCAACGAUAUGUUACUUGCCCAAGAUUCGAUCGUCGGUAUCUCCAUACCUACUUCAAUCUUGUUAAUGGGAAGUCUCUUUACUCGUUCCGUAAUACAAGAUCCCGUGACUAACUCCUUAGGCACAUUGCUUGCAAGCUUCUUGUGAUACUGUAUUAUUGAGUGGGCCCAGAGUUACCUAUUUGUCAUACAGAGUGACAAAUCCCAGCCUCAAUCCAUGCCAACUCAACAGAUAACCUCAGAGAUACCAAUAGAGCAUUUUUGUAAUCACCCAGUUAUGUUGUGAAGUUUGAUACACACAAGGAAUUCAUCUGGUGUCAGGGAGUUGCAUGAUAUCAUGGUCUUAGGAACACAUACUUGCCAUGCAUAAAUCAACAACAAUAUACUUAAUGAUAUGAUCACAUGCUAUGCUUACGGUUGGGUCUUGUCAAUCAUAUCAUUCUGCUAAUGAUGUGAUCUCGCUAUCAAAUGACAAAUCAUGUCUAUGGCUAGGAAACCUUAACCAUAUUUGAUCAACGAGCUACUCUAGUAGAGGCUUACUAGGGGCGUGGUGUUGUCUAUGUAUCCACACAUGCAUCUGAGUUUCCAAUCAAUACAAUUAUAGCGUGGAUAAUAAACUAAUAUCAUGAACAAGGAAAUAUGUUAAUAACCACUUUAUUAUUGCAUCUAGGGCAUAUUUCCAAUAGUCUCUCACUUGCACUAGAGUCAAUAUUCUAGUAUUACAAGGUAAUGAAUCUAACACCCAUAGAGUUCUGGUGUUGAUCAUGUUUUGCUCGUGCGAGAGGUUUACUCAAUGGGUGUGCACCAUUCAGAUAGGUAUGUGAUACAUCUCCAACGUAUCUAUAAUUUUUGAUUGUUCCAUGCUAUUAUACUAUCAACUUGGGAUGUCUUAUAUGCAUUUAUAUGCCAUUUUAUAUCAUUUUUGGGACUAACUUAUUAACUCAGUGCCCACUGCCAGUUUCUGUUUUUCUGUGUUUUUGACCUUUUUUAGAAAAGAAUAUUAAACGGAGUCCAAACGGAAUAAAACCUGCGGGGUGAUUUUUUUUUCCAUAACAGAAGAUACGCAGGGGACUUGAGAACCAAGGCAGGAGGUCUCGGGGGAGGUCACGAGCCCCCUAGGCAUGCCCUAGGAGGGGGCCACGCCCAGCGGGCUCGCCCCCCCCCCCCCCCCGUGGCUCCUCUGCCCUACCUCUUUUGCCUAUAAAUUCUCUAAAAUCCUAAAACCAAAGAAGAGAGCCACCAAAAUACUUUUCCGCCGCCGCAAGCUUCUGUCUCCGCGAGAUCCCAUCUGGGGACCGUUCUGGUGCCCUGCUGGAGGGGGAUUCGUACAUGGAGGGCUUCUUCAGCAACACCAUUGCCUCUCCGAUGAUGCGUGAGUAGUUCACCACAGACCUUCGGGUCCAUAGCUAGUAGCUAGAUGGCUUCUUCUCUCUCUUGGAUCUUCAAUACAAAGUUCUCCAUGAUCUUCAUGGAGAUCUAUCUGAUGUAACUUUCUUUUGCGGUGUGUUUGUCGAGAUCCGAUGAAUUGUGGAUUUAUGAUCAGAUUAUCUAUGAAUAUUAUUUGAGUCUCCUCUGAUUUCUUAUAUGCAUGAUUUCGUAUCCUUGUAAUUCUCUUCGAGUUAUGGGUUUCGUUUGGCCAACUUGAUCUGUAAUUCUUGCAAUGGGAGAAGUGCUUGGUUUUGGGUUCAUACCGUGCGGUGUCCUCACCUAGUGACGGAAGGGGUAGCGAGGCACGCGUCGUGUUGCUGCCAUCAAGGGUAAAAAGAUGGGGUUUAUAUCAUAUUGCAUGAAUUUAUCCCUCUACAUCAUGUCAUCUUGCUUAAGGCGUUACUCUGUUUGUUAUGAACUUGAUACACUAGAUGCAUGCUGGAUAGCGGUCGAUGUGUGGAGUAAUAGUAGUAGAUGCAGAAAGUAUCGGUCUACUUGUCUCUGACGUGAUGCCUAUAUGUAUGAUCAUUGCCUUAGAUAUCGUCAUGACUUUGCACGAUUCUAUCAAUUGCUCGACAGUAAUUCGUUCACCCACCGUAAUAGUUGCUAUCAUGAGAGAAGCCUCUAGUGAACACUAUGACUCCCGAGUCUAUUUUACACAUUAUAUAUUCAGAUCUACAUACAAAAAUACCAAAAAUACCUUACUGCACUUUUAUUUUUACCUUUCAUCACUAUCAGAUCUCACCUUGCAAGUAAUCGUGAAGGGAUUGACAACCCCUUUAUCGCAUUGGGUGCAAGUUUAUUUGUUUUUGCGCAGGUUCAUUGGUGCCUCAUCUUGAUACUCCUACUGGAUUGAUACCUUAGUUCUCAAACUGAGGGAAAUACUUAUCUCUAAUUUGCUGUAUCACCCUUUCCUCUUCAAGGAAAAAACCAACGCAAGCUCAAUAAGUAGCAAGAAGAAUUUCUGGCACCGUUGCCGGGGAAUAUUCAAGUGAAGCAUAUCUACCAAGUACCUAUCGCAAACUCAUCUCUUGCAUUUACAUUAUUUGCCUUUUGCCUCUCGUUUUCCUCUCCCCCACUUCUAAAACGAUUUUUCGAAAAUACCAAAAAGAUUUUCCUUUUUAUUCGCUCUUCUUCUGUUCACCUUUUUGUUGGUAUGUUUGCUUGUGUUGCCAUGUGCCUUCUAUUUGCUUGCAUCUUCGCUUGCUAAAAUUCUAUUGAUAUGGAUCCUCAUCCACUUGCUAAUCUUUUCAAAAGACCAAAUUAUGAUGAACAAUUUGUAGUGAGUUGAGUGCUCUUGACUAUCUCUAUGGAGUUUUGUUUGAAAAUCAUGAAUCUGAAAAUUUUGAUGAAGUGUUGAAAGAAGAAAAUUAUAAAGUGGUUCAUGAUAUCUGCUUGAAUGGAAAACAUGAUUGCCAUGUUGUUAGUAUGAAUUUUCUGAAUAUCUAUGAUGCUAAUGAUAUGCAAAACCACAAGCUUGGGGAUGCUAUGCUUGAUGAAGAUGAUAUUUUUUGUUUCCCAAGUUUUGGUGAUGACCCUUAUGCUAUAAUUGAUCAUGAAAAGAAUGCUUUGUGUGAUAGUUAUAUUGUAAGAUUCCUUCAUGAUGUUACUGAAAAUUACUAUGAGAGAGGAACAUAUGCUUUUACAUAUUGCAAUAAUAUCAAGCUUCCUCUCUAUGUGUUCAAUGUUUUGAAGUUAUGCUUGUUUUGCCUUCCUAUGCUAGUUAAUUCUUGUUUCCAUAAAUUGUUUGCUCACAAAAUCCCUAUGCAUAGGAAGUGGGUUAGACUUAAACGUGUUUUUUGCCAUUCAUGAUGCUCUUUUGCAUAUCUCAACUACUACUUUUUAUGUGAGCAUGAUUGAAAUCUUUAAGCCUAACUAGGGGCGUUAAACGAUAGCGUUUGUUGGGAGGCAACCCAAUGAAUAAAUUUAUUUUUGCUUUUUACAUUCUGUUUUGUUGAGUCCACACCAUCAUAAUCCUGUUAUGAUUGUGUUUUUUAUGUUUUAAUUAGUGUUUGUGCCAAGUAGAACCUUUAUGAUUAGUUUUGGUGUUAGCUGUUUAAUCAUGCUGCAAAAACAUAGAAACUUUAUGCUCACAAAAUUAUUUUUAAUUCCUAUCCAGAAAGAGAUUUUGAGUUUAUUCCUUUUUAUGCUGAUUUAUAUGCAAAUUUCCCUAAUUUUCAUAAUUUUUCAGAAAUUUUGGGAUAGCAGAGUUAUACGAAAUAUACAUAUUGCUACAGACUAUUCUGUUUUUGACAGAUUCUGUUUUUGUUGUGUUGAUUACUUAUUUUGAUGAAACUAUGGUUAGUAUCGGAGGGUACGAGCCAUGGAGAAGUAAGAAUACAGUAAUAGAACAUCAAUCUAAAUGGAAAUCAAGUUUGCGACACUACCUAAAAAGUUGGUGGUUUGUUUUCUUAUGCUAAUGACAUCACGAGUUUCUGUUUUAGUUUUGUCUUGUGAAGUUUUCAAGUUUUGGGUGAUUUUCUUAUGGACAAUGGAAUAAAGAGUGGAAAUAGCCUAAGCUUGGGGAUUCCCAAGUCAUCCCAAGCCAAAUUCAAGGACACCAAAAAGCCUAAGCUUGGGGAUGCCCCGGGAAGGCAUCCCCUCUUUCGUCUUCAAUCCAUCGGUAACGUUACUUGGAGCUAUAUUUUUAUUUACCACAUGAUAUGUGUUUUCUUGAAGCGUCGUGUAUUAUAGGAUUCUUUGCUUUUUGUUUUAUCACAAUCAUCUUUGCUGCACACCUUUUUGAGAGGGACAUGGACUCAUCGUGAAUUUGUUAGAAUACUCAAUGAGCUUCACUUAUAUCUUUUGAGCUAGGCAAUUCAGCUCCCAUGAGCUUCACUUAUAUCUUUUGAGCUAGAUAAUUUUGCUCUAGUGCUUCACAUAAAUCUUUUUAGAGCACGGGGGUGUCAUAUUUUGUAGAAAUUAAAACUCUCGAUCUUCACUUAUAUCAUUUUGAGAGUGCUCUCUCUAAGUAACUUGGUAAUUAGCGUGUGCUAUGAAAUUAGUCCUAAAUAUGAUAGGCAUCCGAAGAGGAUAUAAUAAAAACUUUCAUAUUCAAGUGCAUUGAUUAGUAAGAGAAGUUUAAUUCCUCACAAUUAGUUUUGACAUAUGGAUAUGGUAAUAUUAGAGUUAUGUUAGUAGGUGUUGUGAAUCUAGAAAUACUUGUGUUGAGGUUAGUGAUUCCCGUAGCAUGCACGUAUGGUGAACCGCUAUGUUAGGAAGUCAGAGCAUAAUUGAUUUAUUGAUUGUCAUCCUUUGUGUGGCGGUCGGGAUCAUGCGAUGGUUAACACCUACCAACCCUUCCCCUAGGAGUAUGCGCUUAGCACUUUGUUUUGAUUACUAAUAAAACUUUCGCAAUAAGUAUAUGAGUUCUUGAUGACUAAUGUGAGUCCAUGGUAUAGAUGCACUCUCACCUUCCACCAUUGCUAGCCUCUCUAGUGCCGCACAACUUUCGCCGGUGCACAAACCCACCAUAUACCUUCCUCAAAACAGCCACCAUACCUACCUAUUAUGGCAUUUUCAUAGCCAUUCCGAGAUAUAUUGCCAUGCAACUUCCACCGUUCUGUCUCAUGACAUGUGCCGUCAUUUUCAUUUUUCCAUUGCAUGAUCAUAAGAUAGCUAGCGAGAUGUUUCAACGUCAUACGCUAAGCUAGAUCAUCGCAUAUCCCGGUACACUGUCGGAGGCAUUUCAUAUAUAGUCAUUAUUGUUCUAAGUAUUGAGUUGUAAGUAAAUAAAAGUGUGAUGAUCAUCAUUAUUAGAGCAUUGUCCCAUGUGAGAAAAAAAAGAGGCCAAAGAUGCCCACCAAAAAAAAUGAAAUGAAAAAAAAGAGGCCAAAGAGCCCAAACAAAAAAAAUGAUGAGAGAAAAAUAGAGAAGGGACAAUGCUACUAUCUUUUUCCACACUUGUGCUUCAAAAUAGCACCAUGUUCUUCAUGAUAGAGAGUCUCUUGUUUUGUCACUUUCAUAUACUAGUGGGAAUUUUCAUUAUAUAACUUGGCUUGUAUAUUCCAAUGAUGGGCUUCCUCAAAAUUGCCCUAGGUCUUCGUGAGCAAGCAAGUUGGGUGCACACCCACUAGUUUUCUUUUUGGGCUUUCAUACACUUAUAGCUCUAGUGCAUCCGUUGCAUGGCAAUCCCUACUCAUUCACAUUGAUAUCUAUUGAUGGGCAUCUCCAUAGCCCAUUGAUACGCCGAGUCGAUGUGACCAUCUCCUCCUUUUUGCCUCACAACCUCCACCACACUCUAUUCCACCUAUAGUGAUAUAUCCAUGGCUCACGCUCAUGUAUUGCGUGAGAGUUGAAAAAGUUUGAGAAAGUAAGAGUGCGAAAACAAUUACUUGGCCAAUACCGGGGUUGUGCAUGAUUUAAAUUUUUUGUGUGGGGAUGAUGGAGCAUAGCCAGACUAUAUGAUUUUGUAGGGAUAACUUUCUUUGGCCUUGUUAUUCCAAAAGUUCAUGAUUACUUUGCUAGUAUGCUUGAAGUAUUAUUGUUUUCAUGUCAAUAUUAAACUAUUGUUUUGAAUCUUACGGACCUAAACGUUCAUGCCACAAGAAAGAAGUUACAAAGAACAAAUAUGUUAGGUAGCAUUCCACAUCAAAAAUUUGGUCUUUAUCACUUCCCUACUCGAGAACAAGCAGGAGUUAAGCUUGGGGAUGCUUGAUACGUCUCCAACAUAUCUAUAAUUUUUGAUUGUUCCAUGCUAUUAUACUAUCAACUUGGGAUGUCUUAUAUGCAUUUAUAUGCCAUUUUAUAUGAUUUUUGGGACUAACUUAUUAACUCAGUGCCCAGUGUCAGUUUCUGUUUUUUCCGUGUUUUUGACCUUUUUCAGAAAAGAAUAUUAAACGGAGUCCAAACGGAAUAAAACAUGCGGGAUGAUUUUUUCCAUAAGAGAAGAUACGCACGGGACUUGAGAACCAAGGUAGGAGGUCUCGGGUGAGGUCACGAGCCAACUAGGCGCGCCCUAGGAGGGGGACGCGCCUAGCAGGCUCGUGGGCCUCCCGUGGCUCCUCUGCCCUACCUCUUUCGCCUAUAAAUUCUCUAAAAUCCCGAAACCAAAGAAGAGAGCCACCAAAAUACUUAUCCGCCGCCGCAAGCUUCUGUCUCCGCGAGAUCCCAUCUGGGGACCGUUCUGGUGCCGUGCCGGAGGGCGAUGCAGACACGGAGGGCUUUUUCAUCAACACCAUUGCCUCUCCGAUGAUGCAUGAGUAGUUCACCACAGACCUUUGGGUCCAUAGCUAGUAGCUAGAUGGCUUCUUCUCUCUCUUGGAUCUUCAAUACAAAGUUCUCCAUGAUCUUCAUGGAUAUCUAUCCGAUGUAACUUUCUUUUGUGGUGUGUUUGUCGAAAUCCGAUGAAUUGUGGAUUUAUGAUCAGAUUAUCUAUGAAUAUUAUUUGAAUCUCCUCUGAUUUAUUAUAUGCAUGGUUUUGUAUCCUUGUAAUUCUCUUCGAGUUAUGGGUUUCGUUUGGCGAACUUGAUCUGUAAUUCUUGCAACGGGAGAAGUGCUUGGUUUUGGGUUCAUACCGUGCGGUGUCCUCACCUAGUGACAGAAGGGGUAGCGAGGCACGCAUCAUGUUGUUGCCAUCAAGGGUAAAAAGAUGGGGUUUAUAUCAUAUUGCAUGAAUUUAUCCCUCUACAUCAUGUCAUCUUGCUUAAGGCGUUAAUCUGUUUGUCAUGAACUUAAUACACUAGAUGCAUGCUCGAUAGUGGUCGAUGUGUGGAGUAAUAGUAGUAGAUGCCAAAAGUAUCGGUCUACUUGUCUUGGACGUGAUGCCUAUAUGUAUGAUCAUUGCCUUAGAUAUCGUCAUGACUUUGUGUGAUUCUAUCAAUUGCUCAAUAGUAAUUCGUUCACCCACCGUAAUACUUGCUAUCAUGAGAGAAGCCUCUAGUGAACACUAUGAUCCCCGGGUCUAUUUUACACAUUAUAUGUUCAGAUCUACAUAAAAAAAUACCAAAAAUACCUUGCUGCACUUUUAUUUUUACCUCUCUUCACUAUCAGAUCUCACCAUGCAAGUAAUCGUGAAGGGAUUGACAACCCCUUUAUCGCGUUGGGUGCAAGUUUGUUUGUUUUUGCGGAGGUUCAUUGGUGCCUCAUCUUGAUACUCCUACUGGAUUGAUACCUUGGUUCUCAAACUGAGGGAAAUACUUAUCUCUACUUUGCUGCAUCACCCUUUACUCUUCAAGGGAAAAACCAACGCAAGCUCAAGAAGUUGCUGUAUGUACUUUGCAAAUGUUUAUGUCCUCCUCCUUGAUAUAAUCGUAGAUGGAAUUGAAGCGCUGCUUUAUGUAUCUGGUCAUUUUGUGAAACCUGGGUUCCUUGGCCACAACAAUGGCAUCGGUGUUGUCACAAAAGAGGGUCACUGGAUUUAGUGCACUGGGCAGAACUACAAGAUCCGUCAUGAACUGCUUCAUCGAUACACCUUCCUUUGCUGCUUCCGAAGGAGUUAUGUAUUGUGCUUCACAUGUAGAAUCUGCUACCACGCUUUGCUUGGAACUGCACUAGGUUACCGCUCCAUCAUUCAGAAUAAACACUUAUCUGGUCUGAGACUUAGAGUCAUCCGGACCUCUGUCAAAGCUAACAUCAAUGUAACCCUUUAGGACGAGCCCUUGAUCACCUCCAUAAACGAGAAACAUUUACUUAGUCCUCUUCAGGUACUUAAGGAUAUUCUUGACCGAUGUCCAAUGUUCCACUCUUGCAUCUCUUUGAAACCUUCCAGCCAUACUUAUGGCAAGGCUGAUAUCUGGUAUUGUGCACAACAUUGCAUAUAUGAUAGAGCCUAUCGCCGAGGGGGGUGACACUCAUCUUCUCACUAUCCUCUAUAGUUGCUCGGCAUUGAGUCUUACUCAACUUUAGACCUUGCAGGAUAGGCAAGAACCCCUUCUUGGACUGAUCCAUUUUGAACUUCUUCAAAACCUUAUCAAGGUAUGUGCUUUUUGAAAGUCCUAUUAAGCGUUUAGAUAUAUCUCUAUAGAUCUUGAUGCCUAAUAUGUAAGCAACUUCUUUGAGGUCUUUCAUUGAAACACUCUUGUUCAAAUAUAUCUUCAUGCUUUCCAAAAGGUUUAUAUUGUUUCCAAUCAGCAAUAUGUCAUCCACAUAUAAUAUUAGAAAUAAUAUAGAGCUCCCACUCACUUUAUUGUAAAUACGAGCUUCUCCAUAAACUUUUAUAAACCCGAAAGCUUUGGUCACCUCAUCAAAGCGAAGAUUCCAACUCCGAUAUGCUUGCACUAGUCCAUAAAUGGAUCGCUCGAGCUUGCAUAGUUUGUCAACAUUUUCAGGAUCGACAAAACCUUCCAGUUGUAUCAUAUACAACUCUUCCUUAAGGAAACCAUUAAGGAAUGUUGUUUUGACAUCCAUAUGCCAGAUUUCAUAAUAAAAAAUGCAGCUAUUGCUAACAUGAUUCUGAUGGACUUAAGCAUCGCUACGGAUGAGAAAGUCUCAUCGUAGUCAACUCCUUGAACUUGUGAAAACCCAUUUGCAACAAGUCGAGAUUUAUAGAUGGUGACAUUACCGUUUGCGUCCGUCUUCCUCUUAAAGGUCCAUUUGUUCUGGAUAGCCUUACGUCCAUCAGGUAAUAGUUCCAAAGUCCAUGCUUUGUUUUAAUACAUGGAUCCUAUCUCGGAUUUCAUGGCCUCUAGACAUUUUUUGGAAUCUGGGCCCACCAUCACUUCUCCAUAUCUUGUAGGUUCAUUGCUGUCCAACAACAUGACCUCCAAGACAGGAUUACUGUACCACUCAGGAGCAGUAUGUGUCCUUAUAGACCUACAAGGUUUGGUAGUAACUUCAUGUGAAGAUUCAUGAUCAUCAUCACUAGCUCCCUCUUCAAUCGGCGUAGGCGUCACACAAACACCUUCCUAUGCAGUGCUACUCUCCUUUUGAAGUGACGGUUCAUUAACCUCAUCAAGUUCUACCUUCCUCCCACUCAAUUAUUUUGAGAGAAACUCUUUCUCCAGAAAGGAUCCAUUCUUGCAACAAAGACUUUGCCUUCGGAUCUGAGAUAGAAGGUAUACCCUACUAUUUCCUUCGCGUACCCUAUGAAUACGCACUUCUUCGCUUUGGGUUUGAGCUUGUGAGGCUAAAGCCUUUUGACAUAAGGGUCACCACCCCCAAACUUUAAGAAACGACAACUUAGGUUUCUUGCCGAACCAUAAUUCAUACGGUGUCAUUGAAAGCACAUAUGCUCCCUUGGUGGUUUUGAUAAUUCAUGACAAUAUACAUUGUCUCUUGGACUAACACUUCUACCUAGUAUAUUUCAGGAUUAGUCCAUAGAGAGCAAUCACUAAAGGCUUGUGAGGAGAAGCUCCUUGAUGAAGGAAAGGGAAUAAGAUUUGCUCAAGCUUCAAGCUAGAAGACUCUUCAUUUUAUAUUUGUGAGGGAUCACUUUUGAGUGCAUAGGAAAGCUAAUACUAUUAAAAGGGGAUGAGGUAUUAAGAUGAAUUGGUUGCUCAAGUGCUCAAAGAUAGCCAUAAAAAAUGCUCAGCCAUUCUCCCACAUAACAUUUCUGUCCAAAGCCAACUAUCCAAAAUCGAUGCCACCAAGUUUUUAGAUUCGGCCUUACCGAUUUCCAACCCAUACAGAACCCUAGACAAACCUACCAUUUUGGUACAACCAAUUCUGCAUCGGUGUCACAACCCUAGAAUAUUGCUUGUAAAUAGUUGCACUGGCAUCCAUGACAUCAUGUUAAUUGUCCUUGAAUUUGAAAUGGGGAUGAUCAAACCCUAGCAUCAAUUUAGUUCAAUUAGGUUCAACCUUAUAUAAUUUUCAAUUAAUAUAAAAUGGCUUUAAAAAUGUCUAUUAUUUUUGGAAAAUGUUGGGAACAUCAACCAAAGGCGAUGCACAUUUUUCUUAGUCACGUGGGUUUUUGAAUUAACACAUAUUAUAUUUGAUUUGGGACCUUUAAAAUGCUAUAAAUAAUUUGAUGGCUCCAAUAAUUUUGAAACUUGCUGAGGGCCAUUGGAAUAAUCCUUUUAGUGCCCAUGAAAAGUUCCAGAAUUUUUUAUAAAUGAUUUGGUUAGUAAACAAAUUUUAAAACAAUUGCAGAAAAAUUGAAAAUACAAACAAAUAGAAAGAGAGACCCCCCCCCCCCCCCACGUGCAGUCCAGCCACAAGUUGGGCCAACCCACCAUGGCGUCGUGGUCAUCUUCAACCUAUGCCUACUGGUACACGUGAAGUCACGCACGCGCGCGUGCUCGGGCCGCCACGCCUUGCUUUGCGCUGGAGACGCCUCUCUCCCUUAUCCCCACGAUGCUGGACCGCCUCGACCCCCUCUAUUCAUUCCCCCUAUCUCUGCUCUUCCCCCUCGCCGCUAUCGAGCUCUUCUUAUCCGCCACAGCCGCCGGAAGCCUUUGUCGAUCCGCCACCGAGAGCCUCCUCCGAGCCAGUUGAGACCGCCCCGACCCCGCCGUGAGCCUCUGAUCCGUUUUCCCUAUCCUCCUCGCUGUGCUCACCCCCUAGAUGCCAUAUCCGCUAUGGCCGAGAUCCAGCCACCGUGUUGUUCAUGGCCGCCACCUACUCCGACCACCUCCGUUGCUGCCGCUAGCUCUAAUGGAUGCGUGCGAGAGCCAGCUCCCCGUAGCCGCAAACCGCAGUCGAAAUGGAGCUCUAUUGGCAAAUCCCGAGCAACGCCGGCAAGUCAUCGUCGUGGUUUUGGGUCACCGCGGCUAAAUGUCGGUGGUGAUGAUGUGGUAUUUUAGUUUAGGGCUAAUGACGUAUUUAGUAAACCACUAUCUAAUUAGCACACUAACCAGUCACUGACAACAGAACCUAGAGCCUGCUAAUUAUUCUCUUAGUUUGAACCAGACUAGAUUAAAUAACUGUUUCACUGGCUGAUGGGCCCCACAGGUCAGCUUUAACCAGGCCACGUCAGGGUUGACUGGCCCCACCAGUCAGCCUCUCGAGAUGCCCUUGUGUCAUUGACAUGUGGGUCCAGCCAGUCAGCUUUGACCUGGACCGUCUGACAUCAAGCUGACCUCAUGCUGAUGCAUUUAAUAAUUCCUGGAAUUAAAAUAAUUUAGGAAAUUCCACCCAUGAUUAAAACUUCUAAAAAUCAUAGAAAAUAAAUUAUAUAUGAAAAAUUAUCAGAAAAAUCCAAAGAAUUUGUUUAUGGCAUUUUCAUGCAUGUUAGGACAACUUUUGUCCUCUGUUUUGGACAGAUCAAAUAAAUGCCAUUUAAAUAACCACAUAUGAAGUUUGAAUUUGAACCUUUGGUUCAAACCAACUUCAUUUAAUGUUGUUGCUAGUUUCAUUAGCUCAACCAACAUCAUAUUGCCAUGUCAUGAUCAUGCAUCAUAAUGUUGCAUUUCCGUGAAUUAAAUGUUGUUCCUUUCCUGUUGCCGGUGUUUGUUCACCCUCGGUAGAUGAUGGUUCCGCUGUUGUGAUUGUUGACACCAAUGAAGACUCAUUGUUAUCUUCAGAACUGUCAAGCAAGAAAACAUCCUUGAGUAUUCCUAUACAAUCCCACUCUCUCGUUCGUGCUCUCUUUUACUGCAUUAGGACAACAACGCUUCAAGUGCUACAUGUUUUGGUAGUUGAACCCAUUCCUCUACAUAGCCUGUUUUUGCCACAAUAAAUAGUUGGAACCACUUAGCAUGAGUAUCAACUGCUUGAGCCUUGUUGUGCUUACUCAUACAUGCUUGCUUACUGUGUCUACUAUGCUUGGAGUGUGACGGGUCUGAUCCAUCUGGGAGAUGAAUUGGAAUGGUUGUAAUCAUGUCCUACUGUGUGAAAGCUAAGUGUGUGAAUGUGAUUUGGUAAAGGUAGUGAUGAGAGGCCAUGUAGGAGUACAUGGUGGGUUGUCUCAUUGAAACUGCUCUUAGGACAUGAGAUCUUGUGUUUCUGUUCCAAGACAAGAUACUACCGCACAUUGGGUUCCAGUAACUCGACCCCUCUCGGCCUAUUAACUUCCAUGUUCUCAGUCCAGGAGUCGCAGUAGUUUGAAAUGUUGAUAGGUGUGGCACGUCCCGCGAAGUGGAUGAAUGACCCAGUCGAGACCGGCUUGGGGUCGUGCUCACAACGUUUGAGGCCAUAUUAGAAACCUCGACCGGACUUCCAUUAUGGGUUCCGACUCAGAUAGGCAACUGCCUUGGAUGUGAGUCAUUGUAAGUUAACGUCCGUGGCGGACUCCCCCGCUGUGCUUUCGCUUGAAGGUUGCCGAGGUGCAUGAUGUGCACAUGGCGAUAAGUGGCGGGAGCAUGUGUGAAGAAGUAUACCCCUGCAGGGUGAAUGAUCUGUCCGAAUAGCCGCAUCCUCGGAUAUGGACUACUUGGACACUUAUAUGGUUCAUAGACAACCUAAACGGAUACUCUAGAAUACGCAAGAUAAGUGUGAGUGCUAUGGAUGGCCUUCUCGUAGGGAGACGGGAGAGGAUCCAUAGUGGUGUAUUGAUUUGGUGAAUAUGUGGACUCUUGUGCGCUAUCCCACCUGAAAGAAAGAAUUCAUGGUCGUAGUAUAGGUUAGCCAAGAGUCAAAGAUGGCUUGCUACAAUAAACUCCACAAUCCCCUAUGUCAAAAAUGAUGCAUAUGUAGAUAUUUCUGAUGUAAGACUUGUUGAGUACCUUUCAACUCACGGUUGCUUAAUUUAUGUUUUGCGGAUUAGGCAUUAGUCUCACUAUUGGUCUACGCGAUGUGUUCGACGUUAACCGGAAUAGCUUGGGAAUCCCACACAGAGGUCUAACUCCUAUGGUAGGGCCGUUGUAUCUUUUCAGGCUCUUUGAGCCACUUUUAAUAGAUGUCUAUACCCAGACAUGUAACUUCCGCUUGAUGUUUGUAUGCUCUGAAUGAUGGAUCAUGUGACACCCCUGUUGUAUCAUUGUACCAUGUUGGCUCUUCGAAGCCUAUUAAAUAAAUGGUGUGGCGUAGAGUUAUGUUGUGAUGCCAUGUUGUAUCUACACAUAUCAUGCAUAUUGUGUGUGUGUGUUUGAAAUGCAUUGAUAUGUGUGGGAUUCGACACCUAAUUGUGUGCCUCUAAUAGUACUCCUUACGGGGAAAUGCCUCUUUGUGCUUCCACCGAGCCUUGGUAGCUUGCUACUGCUUCGGACACAUUGAUUGACCGGCAUGUAUCCUUGUUUGCUGUUGUGUCCGUCCCCUAGGGGAAAUGUCACACAGUGUAACAGAGCCCCUGUAGCUUGCUACGACUCGCCUACACACACUGUUGACCGACACCCGCUUUGAUGGGUUAUGUGUGCAUGUCCCUGUAUGGAUGUGCCACUUGGGUUUAUAACAAGUCAUGUCGACCCAGGUUCUCUAACCUAUGAUUGUCGGCGAUAUAGUCAUAUACAUGAGCCAAAAGGCGCAAACGGUCCCGACCAAGGUAAGGUGGCAACUGUGGUGAUUACUGUGCGUGAGGCCACAAAGUGAUAUGAUGUGUUACAAGCUGCAACUAUAUGGCUUAGGAUCGGGGUCCCGACAGCCGGUGCUACCGAGUUCAGGUGACCAACCUUCUGUUGCUUCGGGACACAAAAUCGGAAUUUCCGAGUUUGAGUAUCGGUGUCACGAGUUGGGUCCUCUGACGGUUAGCCACCUUUUUGGUUCUAUCGAUUUGUUUAUAUCGGUCUCACCGAGAUUCCAAAGUUGCUGCCUUUUAUGCAAGUCAAUACCACCGAGUUUAUGACUUCCGUGUCACCGAGUUGGUCACUUUAGGUGUAACGGUUGGAUUUUGGGUGCUGCCUAUAUAUACUCCUCCACCAACCUCUCAUUCUAAGAGGAAGCACUCAGAACACACACUUCAUAGCCAAAUCCAUUUUUUUGAGAGAGAGCCACCUACUCAUGUGUUGAGAUCAAGAUAUUCAAUCCAUUCAUUUGAAACUUGAUCUCUAGCCUCCCCAAGUUGCUUUCCACCAAAUCAAUCUCUCGUACCCAUGCCUAUUCUGUGAGAGAGUGAUUGAGUGUUGAGGAGACUAUCUUUAGAAGCACAAGAGCAAGGAGUUCAUCAUUCUACCACAUCUAUUACCUUUUGGAGGGUGGUGCCUCCUAGAUUGGUUAGGUGUCGCUUGGGAGACUCCUACUUCGUGUUGUGGUGUUGAACCAAGAUGUUUGUAAGGGCAAGGAGAUCGCCUACUUCGUGAAGAUUUACUGUGAGUGAGGGUAGUCCUUCAUGGACGGAAACCAUGGUGGAAUAGACAAGGCCACUUCUUCAUGGACCCCUUGUGGGUAAAUCCCUCCGUGGACUCUCGCAGCCGUUACCCUUCGUGGGUUGAAGUCUCCACUAACAUGGACGCACGAUAGGGACACCUAUCGGAACCAUGCCAAACGAAGUCGAACGUACAUACGACGAUCUUCAUGCAUGAAUCGCCCUAUCAACCUCUUUGCGUUUGAUCUCCUAAACUCUACUCCUUACUACAUGUGCAAAGUCUUUUACUUUUUGUAGCCAUAUAUGUUGACUAACAUGUGUAGGCUGCACUAGACUUGUUAGAAUCGCUAGAAUCUGCCAACCAUUAAUUUGGGAAAAUGCUAGGAUUUUAAUCUUGUCAAGUAGUCUAUUCACCCACCUCUAGACACCUCUUCUAUCAAUCCCUCAAUUGGUAUCAGAGCGAGGUCUCCAAAACCUUGGUUUAAUCACCAUUGGAAGAAGAUGAAUGUGACUAGUUCAAGAAUUUUUAGUUGUAGAGUGUCCAUUCUCAAUGGUGAGUAUUAUACACAAGGGAAAGAUGAAAUGCUUGAUAUAUUUGAUGAAUUCCAUUUGCACAAGAUGUUGAAUAUCCCUAUGCGCCUCCCAUUGAUCCCGUACAUCCUUCUCAUGAUGAUGAAAUUGAUAUGAUUGGUAAUCUUAACAAUGUUAAUGUAAUCAUUAGAGGACUACCAAGAAAUGUGCUUAAUCAAAUGCAGAACUUUGAGUGUGCUCAUACUUUGUGGAAAGACUUAGAGGAAAGGUAUCCAAAUUAUUCCUUGAAAAAUAUUGAUAUCAUUAUCCAAAAAUGCAUUGCCUUUCACAAAAUGAAGCAAAUUUGAGCUUCGUGAGCUCACGCGUGCUAAAGGAGAUGUCAUUUCUGUUAACAAUAUCAUUGUUGAAGCCAUUCACAUGCAUAAAUAUGAAUAUUGUCAUAGUCAAAUUUCUGAUGAAAUUCUUGUUUCUUAUGAUGAGGGAACUUCAUCCGAUGAUGACUAUGUGGAGCAUGGCUACUACGAUGAAGAUGAGGAGUUUCACAUUGAGUAUGAGAAGACCAUGAGGAACCUUAGUCUUAUGGCGAACCUUAGAGACUACGUGGCUGGAGGAAAGGAGUGGAUACUUGACAGUGGAUGCACCGAUCACAUGAACGGAGAUAAGGACAUGUUCCAUGAGCUCACACCAAACCGUGGACCUCAAAGGUAUGUGACCUUUGGAGAUAACUCCAAGGGUAAGGUACUUGGUCUUGGUAAGGUGGACGUAUCUCAUGAUAGUUCCAUUCAAAAUGUCAUGCUUGUUGAAUCCCUUAGCUACAAUCUUCUUUUCGUAUCUAGACUAGAAGACUUUGGUUUUGAUGUGCUAUUUACGAAAGUUGACUGCCGAGUGUUCCGUAGCGGUGAUCUAUACAUUGUCGAUUUCAUUAAAAAAUCCAAACCUCGUACAUGUCUUAUUGCAAAAUUUUCUAAGGGUUGGCUGUGGCAUAGAAGGUUAGGACAUGUUGGUAUGCGUAAUCUUGACAAACUUAUAAAAGGUGAUCAUAUUCUUGGUGUUAAAGAUGUUAUCUUCGACAAAGAUAGACUUUGUAGUGCUUGUCAAGCAGGAAAGCAAGUUGGUGGAAGUCAUCCCGUGAAGAACAUCAUGACUACAAGAAGACCACUCAAGCUGCUUCACAUGGAUAUCUUUGGGCCCAAUGCUUACAAGAGCCUCGGUGGAAAUUCUUAUGGUUUAGUUAUUGUUGAUGAUUUUUCUAGAUUUACGUGGGUAUUCUUUCUUGAUGAUAAGUCGCAGGUACAAUGGAUCUUCAAGAACUUCGCUCGAAAAGCUCAAAAUGAGUUUGAGGUGAAGAUCAAAAAGGUUCGGAGCGACAACGGAACGGAGUUCAAGAACACUAAUGUGGAUACUUUUCUUGACGAAGAAGGUAUCUCACAUGAGUUCUCAGCGACGUACACACCUCAAGAAAAUGGAGUUGUUGAGAGGAAGAAUAGGACUCUCGUAGAGAUGGCCUAAAUGAUGCUUGACGAAUACAAGACGUCAAUACACUUUCGGGCAGAAGCCGUGGAAAUAGCUUGCCAUGCCAUAGAGCGACUUUACCUACACAAGCUUCUUGGUAAAAACGGCAUACGAGCUACUCACCGGUAACAAACCCCAAGUUGGAUACUUUCAAGUAUUCGACUCUAAGUGCUGCAUUCUUGAUAAGCAUCAUUGCUCUAAAUUUGCUCCUAAAUCUUAUGAAGCCUUGGCAUAUCUUCCUCCAAGAGAGUUAAUGGGACUUGGUCUCGAUGUCAACUAAAGAAUUGACUGAGUCAGGUAUUCCCUUAUGAAGGGCUAAUGCAGUCGAUUUCUUCACAUCUUCGGUCAAUUGGACUUUUUUCUAGUCUCGCCUUACUAAAAGGUAUUCCCAUAUCGGGUGAAUGACCAGAUCGAGAUAAGUUGGCCUUCUCUGAAUCUUUCUGAAUCCUUAAUCUAUCAAUAGAAGGACGACGAUACUCGAAGACUUUCCACUUUCAGCCCUAAGAGGAAACAACUCUCAAACGUGAUAAAAGCCCUAUUUUCGGCACCUUCACGCUCCUUGAAAAAUAGGGUACAACCCUAUAAUCUAAGCUCGGACUCAGUCAAGAUCCGAACAACGACGGAGCACUCAACUACAUGUUUAAUAACUAGUUGUCUUUUUCUCUUUGGAUUUUAGCGAACAGGCGUUUACAUGAGAUUAGUUGAGUAGGCUUGCCUUAUCUGCUAUAACAUAGCUAGUUGUGGGGAGUUGGCGCCUACAUAACAUGUAGCUUGUUUACCAAGCCGACUUUGAAAUAUUAUGCGGAUUGGGUAUCCAACCAAUUAAUCCUCCAAACCAACUAAAUCGGGGAAGCUGAAGCAGAAAUGCAAUUCUCGGGUGAGGGAAGGGGGAAGCUUCUGGAAGGCUUCGCUCGCUCGCUCAGAAAGCUCUAAUGCUCGUUUACAAGUGGUGUGCAUAAGCCCUUAUUGAAGUAGGGUGAGAUCUUACUACACGAGUUCGUAAGUCAAGCACCCACCUGUCAUUUGGUGGGAGUUGUGGGGCCCAUAUGUCAUUGGAACAGUGAGACACACCUACACUACACGCACACACAAUCUGUACACAUGUUUAUAUUCAUUCAUACAUACAUAUACACAUGCAUACAUAUAUUUGCACAUACACACAUCUGCACAUAUACAUACAUAUUUAUAUACACAUGCAUACAUACAUAUAUACCCCUUUUUCUACAUCCACACACAUGGGGGGGGGUAUCCCAAUACAGUAAUCACAGGGGGGUUUAACCCCCCUGGUUACAGGAUGGCGCAGGGCCGGCCGAGGCAAGGCCANNNNNNNNNNNNNNNNNNNNNNNNNNNNNNNNNNNNNNNNNNNNNNNNNNNNNNNNNNNNNNNNNNNNNNNNNNNNNNNNNNNNNNNNNNNNNNNNNNNNNNNNNNNNNNNNNNNNNNNNNNNNNNNNNNNNNNNNNNNNNNNNNNNNNNNNNNNNNNNNNNNNNNNNNNNNNNNNNNNNNNNNNNNNNNNNNNNNNNNNNNNNNNNNNNNNNNNNNNNNNNNNNNNNNNNNNNNNNNNNNNNNNNNNNNNNNNNNNNNNNNNNNNNNNNNNNNNNNNNNNNNNNNNNNNNNNNNNNNNNNNNNNNNNNNNNNNNNNNNNNNNNNNNNNNNNNNNNNNNNNNNNNNNNNNNNNNNNNNNNNNNNNNNNNNNNNNNNNNNAGAAUCUUACGAUCCAAACUAGCCCCUCUCAUUCUACAAUUUUGGUCAUAAAAUCGAAGUUUCUACAAUCCUGAUAGUUAUGAUUCUACAAUUCACGAUCCUAGCAACGGAGCUCCGAUCCGAUUCAGAAUCGUGAUUCUGACAACUUUGGCGCUCGGUCCCUCGCGUGGUCAUGGCGCUGGUGGGUGAGGGAGUGGGGCGCUCGGGGUGUGGGUUAGGUUUAGGUGGGGGUUAAAUACCCCAGGGGUGGCGUGGGCUUGUGGCUAGUUAGGUUGGCUGGGGGCCGACCCAAUGGUUUUUUUAUUUAUUUCUUUUCAAUUUAUGCUUUAGUUUCUUUUUAAACUUUGAUUUAUAAAAUANUGUCUCGGCCACAAAAAGUUUUAACCCCAACUAAAACUAGUCUAGUAUUUCAUAAAAUAUAAAAGGCACUUAUUUAUUUGUUUUUCUGUUGUUUUAAAUAUUAUAGUGCAUUCAAACAGUUUAUAAAAAUGUGGUUUUUUCACCAAAAUUAAUCAUGAUUUAUUUGCUACAACGUGAACAUUUUAGUUUUGACAUUUGAAAACUUUUAUUGUUUGACUUUAUUUUAAAUUUGAAUUGGAAUCGGUUUUGAACUAACGCGAGAUUAACAACAGUAAUCAUGGUGACGUGGCAUCAUUAGCAUAGGAUUACUAUAGCCUAAUUACAGAGAUCACUGUAGAAAAAACUGAGGAUGUCACAAAGCUACGGCAACAAAAGUCCUUCCCAAGCAACGCCAGGAAUUCUUCUUGCUACUUCUCUUGUUUGCGUCCGUUUUUCCCUUGAAGAGGAAAGGGUGAUGCAGCACACGAGCAGUAAGUAUUUCCCUCAGUUUGAGAACCAAGGCAUCGAUCCAGAAGGAGGGUAUCGUCAAGUCCAGAGUACCUGCCCAAACACAAACGAGCUUGCACCCAACGCUUCAAAGGGGUUAUCAAUGCCUCCAAGAUUGUUUGCAAAGUGAGAUCUGAAGGCGGAAAGUGCAACGAAGUAAAAAGUGUAAGGCUGAAAAUAUGGUGUGGAGUAGACCCGGGGGCCAUAGUGUUCACUAGAGGAUUCUCUCAAAAUUGCAAAUAUCACGGUGGGUGAACAAAUUACUGUCGAGCAAUUGAUAGAACCGCGCAAAGUCAUGACGAUAUCUAUGGCAAUGAUCAUACAUAUAGGCAUCACGUCCGAGACAAGUAGACCGAUACUUUCUGCAUCUACUACUAUUACUCCACACAUCGACCGCUAUCCAGCAUGCAUCUAGUGUAUUGAGUUCAUGAUGAACAGAGUAAUGCCUUAGGCAAGAUGACAUGAUGUAGAGGGAUACUCUCAAACCAAUGAUGAAAACCCCAUCUUUUUACCCUUGAUGGCAACAAAAUGAUGCGUGCCUCGCUACCCCUUCUGUCACUAGGUGAGGUCACCGCACGGUAUGAACCCAAAACCAAGCACUUCUCCCAUUGCAAGAAUCAUAGAUCUAGUUGGUCAAACAAAACCCACAACUCGAAGAGAAUUACAAGGAUAUGAAAUCAUGCAUAAGAGAGAUCAGAAGAAACUCAAAUAAGAUUCAUAGAUAAUCUCAUCAUAAAUCCACAAUUCAUCGGAUCUCCAUAAACACACCACAAAAGAAGAUUACAUCGGAUAGAUCUCCAUGAAGAUCAUGGAGAACUUUGUAUUGAAGAUCCAAGAGUGAGAAGAAGCCAUCUAGUUACUAGCUAUGGACCCGUAGGUCUAUGGUGAACUACUCACGCAUCAUCGGAGAGGCCAUGGUGUUGAUGAAGAAGCCCUCCAUAUCCGAAUCCCCCCUCCGGCAGGGCACCAGAACGUGCCCGAGAUGGGAUCUUGCAGAGACAGAAGCUUGCGGCGGCGGAAAAGUACUUUCGAUGAUCUCCUGAUUUUUUGUGGAAUUUUUGGGGAUAUAUAGGCGCAAAACCUAGGGCAAAGGGCGCCCACGGGGCCCACAAGCUGUGGGCCGCGGCCUCCCCCCUGGCCGGAGGGUUAGGGCUUGUGGGGCCCCUGGGGCUCCCCUGACUUGGCUCUCAAGUCUCCUGAUCUUCUUCUGUUACGGAAAAUUCUUUUCAGGGAUUUUAUUCCGUUUGGACUCUGUUUCAAAAUCUCCUCUGAAAGGGGUCAAAAACAGGAACUGGCACCUGGCACAGUACCAAAAAAUAUAUAAAAGGCAUGCAAAACAUCCAAAGUUUGACAAGAUAAUAGCAUGAAACCAUCAAAAAUUAUAGAUACGUUGGAGACGUAUCAAGCACCCCCAAGCUUAACUCCUGCUCGUCCUUGAGUAGGGAAGUGAUAAAGAAUGAAUUUUUGAUGUGGAAUGCUACCUAGCAUAGUUGUCCUUUGCAACUUCUAUCACAUGACAUGAAUGUUUAGAUCCGUAAGAUUCAAAACAAUAGUUUGCUAUUGACAUGAAAACAAUAAUACUUCAAGCAAACUAGCAAGGUAAUCAUGAACUUUCAAAAUAACAAGGCCAAGGAAAGUUAUCCCUACAAAAUCAUAUAGUCUGGCUAUGCUCCAUCAUCCUCACACAACUAAUGUAAAUCAUGCACAACCCGGUAUUGGCCAAGUAAUUGUUUUCGCACUCUUACUUUCUCAAACUUUUUAUAACUAUACAUGAACGUGAGCCAUGGAUAUAGCACUAUAGGUGGAAUAGAGUGUGGUGGUGGUUGUGAUACAAAAAGGAGGAGAUGGUCACAUUGACUCGGUGUAUCAAAGGGCUAUGGAGAUGCUCAUUGAUAGAUAUCAACGUGAAUGAGUAGGGAUUGCCAUACAAGAGAUGCACUAGAGCUAUCAGUAUGUGAAAGCUCAAAAGGAGAACUAGUGGGUGUGCAUCCAACUUGCUUGCUCACGAAGACCUAGGGAAAUUUGAGGAAGCCCAUCAUUGGAAUAUACAAGCCAAGUUUUAUAAUGAAGGUUCCCACUAGCAUAUGGUGGUGACAAAGCAAGAAGCUCUCAAUCAUGAAGAACAUGGUGCUUAUUAUGAAGCACAAGUGUGGAAAAAGAUAGUAGCAUUGUCUCUUCUCUUUUUUUUCAUUUGGGUUCUUAGACCUCUUUUUUCUCUAAUUUUUUUAUUUUUGGGCUAUUUGGCCUAUUUUUUUCCUCACAUGGGACAAUGCUCUAAUAAUGAUGGUCAUCACACUUUCAUUUACUCACAGCUCAAAGCUCAAAAUGAUAAUGACUCUAUAGGAAAUGCCUCCGGCAGUGUACCGGGAUGUGCAACAAUCUAGCAUGGCGUAUGACGUUGAAAACAUCUCGCUAGCUAUCUUACGAUCAUGCAAUGGCAAUAUAAGAGUGACGACACAAGUCAUGAGACAGAACGGUGGGAGUUGCAUGGCAAUAUAUCUCGGAAUGGCUAUGAAAAUGCCAUAGUAGGUAGGUAUGGUGGCUGUUUUGAGGAAGGCAUAUGGUGGGUUUGUGCACCGGCGAGAAUUGCGCGGCACUAAAGAGGCUAGCAAUGGUGGAAGGUGAAAGUGCUGUUGGGAAACGUCGCAUGGGAAACAAAAGUUUUCCUACACGCACGAAGACCUAUCAUGGUGAUGUCCAUCUACGAGAGGGGAUAUUCGAUCUACGUACCCUUGUAGAUCGCACAACACAAGCGUUAAGAAAAUGCGGUUGAUGUAGUGGAAUGUCCUCACGUCCCUCGAUCCGCCCCGCGAACCGUCCCGCGAUCCGUCCCACGAUCUAGUGCCGAACGGACGGCACCUCCGCGUUCAGCACACGUACAGCUCGACGAUGAUCUCGGCCUUCUUGAUCCAGCAAGAGAGACGGAGAGGUAGAUGAGUUCUCCGGAAGCGUGAUGGCACUCCGGAGGUUGGUGGUGAUCUAAUCUCAGCAGGGCUCCGCCCGAGCUCCGCAGAAACGCGAUCUAGAGGUAAAACCGUGGAGAUAUGUGGUCGGGCUGGCGUGGCAAAGUUGUCGCAAAUCAGCCCUAAAACCUCCGUAUAUAUAGGUGGGAGAGGGGGGGCCUUGCUUUGGGGCUCAAGGAGCCCCAAGGGGGUCGGCCGAGCCAAGGGGGGGGAGUCCUCCCCUUCCAAACCGAAUCCAACUAGGUUUGGAAGGAGGAGUCCUUCCCCUUUUUCCCACCUCCUCUUUUUUUUCUCUUUGAUUUUCUUCCUAUGGCGCAUAGGGCCUUCUUGGGCUGUCCCACCAGCCCACUAAGGGCUGGUGCGCUACCCCCAAGGCCUAUGGGCUUCCCCGGGGUGGGUUGCCCCCCCGGUGAACACCCGGAACCCAUUCGUCAUUCCCGAUAUAUUCCCGGUAACUCCGAAAACCUUCCGGUAAUCAAAUGAGGUCAUCCUAUAUAUCAAUCUUCGUUUCUGGACCAUUCCGGAAACCCUCGUGACGUCCGUGAUCUCAUCCGGGGCUCCGAACAACAUUCGGUAACCAACCAUAUAACUCAAAUACGCAUAAAACAACGUCGAACCUUAAGUGUGCAGACCCUGCGGGUUCGAGAACUAUGCAGACAUGACCCGAGUGACUCCUCGGUCAAUAUCCAAUAGCGGGACCUGGAUGCCCAUAUUGGAUCCCACAUAUUCUACGAAGAUCUUAUCGUUUGAACCUCAGUGCCAAGGAUUCAUAUAAUCCCGUAUGUCAUUCCCUUUGUCCUUCGGUAUGUUACUUGCCCGAGAUUCGAUCGUCAGUAUCCGCAUACCUAUUUCAAUCUCGUUUACCGGCAAGUCUCUUUACUCGUUCCGUAAUACAAGAUCCCGCAACUUACACUAAGUUACAUUGCUUGCAAGGCUUGUGUGUGAUGUUGUAUUACCGAGUGGGCCCCGAGAUACCUCUCCGUCACACGGAGUGACAAAUCCCAGUCUCGAUCCAUACUAACUCAACGAACACCUUCGGAGAUACCAAUAGAGCAUCUUUAUAGUCACCUAGUUAAGUUGCGACGUUUGAUACACACAAAGCAUUCCUCCGGUGUCAGUGAGUUAUAUGAUCUCAUGGUCAUUGGAACAAAUACUUGACACGCAGAAAACAGUAGCAACAAAAUGACACGAUCAACAUGCUACGUCUAUUAGUUUGGGUCUAGUCCAUCACGUGAUUCUCCUAAUGACGUGAUCCAGUUAUCAAGCAACAACACCUUGUUCAUAAUCAGAAGACACUGACUAUCUUUGAUCAACUGGCUAGCCAACUAGAGGCUUGCUAGGGACAGUGUUUUGUCUAUGUAUCCACACAUGUAUAUAAGUCUUCAUUCAAUACAAUUAUAGCAUGGAUAAUAAACGAUUAUCUUGAUACAGGAAUUAUAAUAAUAACUAUAUUUAUUAUUGCCUCUAGGGCAUAAUUCCAACAGUCUCCCACUUGCACUAGAGUCAAUAAUCUAGCCCUCACAUCAUCAUGCGAAUUACAUUGUAAUAAAUCUAACACCCAUACAGUUCUGGUGUUGAUCAUGCUUUGCUCGUGGAAGAGGUUUAGUCAGUGGGUCUGCUACAUUCAGAUCCGUGUGCACUUUGCAUAUAUUUACGUCCUCCCCUUCGACGUAGUCGCGGAUGAGGUUGAAGCGUCGUUUGAUGUGUCUGGUCUUCUUGUGAAACCGUGGUUCCUUUGCUAAGGCAAUGGCACCCGUGUUGUCACAGAACAAGGUUAUUGGAUUCAGUGCGCUUGGCACCACUCCAAGAUCCGUCAUGAACUGCUUCAUCCAGACACCUUCCUUAGCCGCCUCCGAGGCAGCCAUGUACUCCGCUUCACAUGUAGAAUCUGCUACGACGCAUUGCUUGGAACUGCACCAGCUUACCGCACCCCCAUUAAGAAUAAAUACGUAUCCCGUCUGUGACUUAGAGUCGUCCGGAUCUGUGUCAAAGCUUGCAUCGAUGUAACCCUUUACGGCGAGCUCUUCGUCACCUCCAUACACGAGAAUCAUCUCCUUAGUCCUUUUCAGGUACGUCAGGAUAUUCUUGACCGCCGUCCAGUGAUCCACUCCUGGAUUACUCUAGAACCUGCCUGCCAUACUUAUGGCCAGGCUAACGUCCGGUCUAGUGCACAGCAUUGCAUACAUGAUAGAUCCUAUGGCUGAAGCAUAGGGGACUGUGCUCAUGUGCUCUCUAUCCUCAUCAGUUGCUGGGCACUGAGUCUUACUCAAUCUCGUACCUUGUAAAACUGGCAAGAACCCUUUCUUGGACUGUUCCAUUUUGAACCUCUUCAAAACUUUAUCAAGGUAUGUGCUUUGUGAAAGUCCUAUCAGGCGUUUUGAUCUAUCCCUGUAGAUCUUAAUGCCUAGAAUGUAAGCAGCUUCUCCUAGGUCCUUCAUAGAGAAACUUUUAUUCAAGUAAUUCUUUAUGCUCUCCAAAAACUCUACGUUGUUUCCAAUCAGCAAUAUUUCAUCCACAUAUAAUAUUAGAAACGCCACAGAGCUCCCACUCACUUUCUUGUAAAUACAAGAUUCUCCAACCACUUGUAUAAACCCAAAUGCUUUGAUCACCUCAUCAAAGCGUUUGUUCCAACUCCGAGAUGCUUGCACCAAUCCAUAAAUGGAUCGCUGGAGCUUGCACACCUUGUUAGCAUUCUUAGGAUCGACAAAACCUUUGGGUUGCAUGAUAUACAACUCUUCCUUAAGGAAACCGUUAAGGAACGCCGUUUUGACAUCCAUCUGCCAGAUUUCAUAAUCGAAAAAUGCAGCUAUUGCUAAGAUGAUUCUGACGGACUUAAGCAUCGCUACGGGUGAGAAUGUCUCAUCGUAGUCAACUCCUUGAACUUGUGAAAAACCCUUUGCCACAAGUCGAGCUUUAUAAACGGUCACAUUGCCGUCAGCGUCCGUCUUCUUCUUAAAGAUCCAUUUGUUCUGAAUAGCCUUGCGGCCCUCAGGUAGUACUUCCAAAGUCCACACUUUGUUCUCAUGCAUGGAUCCUAUCUCGGACUUCAUGGACUCUAGCCAUUUGUUGGAAUCUGGGCCCACCAUUGCUUCUUCAUAAUUUGCAGGUUCACUGUUGUCUAACAACAUGAUUGACAAAACGGGAUUACCGUACCACUCUGGAGCAGCACGUGGUCUCGUCGACCUGCGUGGUUCGACAGGAACUUGAACCGGAGUUUCAUGAUCAUCAUCAUUAACUUCCUCCUCAACCGGCGUCGCAACAACAAAGGUUUCCCCUUGCCCCGCGCCACCAUCUAGAGGGAUGAGUGGUUCGACAACCUCAUCAAGUUCUAUCUUCCUCCCACUGAAUUCUCUCGAGAGAAACUCCUUCUCGAGAAAAGGUCCGUUUUUAGCAACAAACACUUUUCCCUCGGAUUUGAGAUAGAAGGUGUACCCAACUGUCUCUUUUGGGUAACCUAUGAAGAUGCACUUUUCCGCUUUGGUUUCCAGCUUUUCAGGCUGAAGCUUUUUGACAUAAGCAUCACAUCCCCAAACUUUAAGAAACGACAACUUUGGCCUUUUGCCAUACCACAGUUCGUAUGGUGUCGUCUCAACGGAUUUUGAUGGUGCCCUAUUUAAAGUGAAUGCAGCUGUGUCUAAUGCAUAACCCCAAAACGAUAACGGCAAAUCGGUAAGAGACAUCGUAGAUCACACCAUCUCUAAUAAAGUACGAUUACGACGUUCGGACACACCAUUACGCUGUGGUGUUCUAGGCGAUGUCAACUGUGAAACAAUUCCACAUUGUCUUAAGUGGGCACCAAACUCGACACUCAGAUAUUCACCCCCACGAUCAGACCGUAGGAACUUGAUCUUCUUGUUACGAUGAUUUUCAACUUCACUCUGAAAUUGCUUGAACUUUUCAAAUGUUUCAGACUUGUGCUUCAUUAAGUAGACAUAACCAUAUCUACUCAAAUCGUCAGUGAAGGUGAGAAAAUAACGAUAUCCGCCGCGUGCCUCUAUGCUCAUCGGACCGCACACAUCGGUAUGUAUGACUUCCAACAAGUCACUGGCACGCUCCAAUGUUCCGGAGAACGAAGUUUUAGUCAUCUUGCCCAUGAGGCAUGGUUCGCACGUGUCAAGUGAAUCAAAGUCAAGUGACUCCAAAAGUCCAUCAGCAUGGAGUUUCUUCAUGCGUUUUACACCAAUAUGACCUAAGCGUCAGUGCCACAAAAAUAUGGCGCUAUCAUUGUUAACACUAACUCUUUUUGUCUCAAUGUUAUGUAUAUGUGUAUCACUAUCAAGAUUCAAUAUGAACAAUCCUCUCACAUUGGGUGCAUGACCAUAAAAUAUGUUACUCAUAGAAAUAGAACAACCAUUAUUCUCUGACUUAAAAGAGUAACCGUCUCGCAAUAAACAAGAUCCAGAUAUAAUGUUCAUGCUCAACGCAGGAACUAAAUAACAAUUAUUCAAGUUCAUAACUAAUCCUGAUGGUAACUGAAGUGAAACUGUGCCGACGGCGAUUGCAUCAACCUCGGAACCAUUUCCUACGCGCAUCGUCACUUCAUCUUUCGUCAGCCUUCGUCUAUUCCGCAGUUCCUGUUUCGAGUUGCAAAUGUGAGCAACAGAACCGGUAUCGAAUACCCAGGCACUACUACGAGAGCCAGUUAAGUACACAUCAAUAACAUGUAUAUCAAAUAUACCUGAUUUUUCUUUGGUCGCCUUCUUAUCAGCCAGAUACUUGGGGCAGUUGCGCUUCCAGUGACCCAUACCCUUGCAAUAGUAGCACUCUGUUUCAGGCUUAGGUCCAGCAUUGGGUUUCUUCGUCGGAUUGGCAACAGGCUUGCCGCUCUUCUUUGAAUUACCCUUCUUGCCUUUGCCGUUUCUCUUGAAACUAGUGGUCUUAUUCACCAUCUACACUUGAUGCUCUUUACGGAGUUCAGACUCUGCGACUUUCAGCAUCGCAAACAACUCGCCGGGUGACUUGUUCAUCCCUUGCAUGUUGUAGUUCAACACAAAGCCCUUAUAGCUUGGCGGCAGUGAUUGAAGGAUUCUGUCAGUGAUAGCCUCUUGCGGGAGUUCAAUCCCCAGCUCAGCUAGACGGUUUGAGUACCCAAACAUUUUGAGCACAUGUUCACUGACACACAAAUUCUCCUCCAUCUUGCAAGCAUAGAAUUUAUCGGAGGUCUCAUACCUCUCAAUCCGGGUGUUCUUCUGAAAUAUAAACUUCAACUCCUGGAACAUCUCAUAUGCUCCAUGACACUCAAAGCGACGUUGAAGUCCCGGUUCUAAGCCAUACAAGACUGCACAUUGAACUACUGUGUAGUCCUCCUUACGUGUUAACCAAGCGUUCUUAACAUCCUGGUCAGCCGUAGCGGGUGGUUCAUCUCCUAGCGCAGCAUUAAGGACAUAAUCCUUCUUCCCAGCUUGUAAGAUUAGCUUAAGAUUACGAGCCCAGUCUACAAAGUUGCUUCCAUCAUCUUUCAGCUUAGCUUUCUCUAGGAACGUAUUAAAAUUCAGGGUGACUGUCGCGUGAGCCAUGAUCUACAACACAAAUAUAUUCAAAGUGGACUUAGACUAUGUUCAAGAUAAUUAGAGUUUAACUUAAUCAAUUUACUUGCUAAACUCCCACUCAAAAAGUACAUCUCUCUAGUCAUUUGAGUGGUUCAUGACCCACUUACACUAGCUCAAGUCCGAUCAUCACAUGAGUUGAGUAUAGUUUCAGUGGUAAGCAUCCCUAUGCUAAUCAUAUCAUCUAUAUGAUUCAUGAUCGACCUUUCGGUCUCAUGUGUUCCGAGGCCAUGUUUGCACAUGCUAGGCUCGUCAAGCUUAACCCGAGUGUUCCGCGUGUGCAAUUGUUUUGCACCCGUUGUAUGUGAACGUUGAGUCUAUCACACCCGAUCAUCACGUGGUGUCUCGAAACGACGAACUGUAGCAAUGGUGCACAGUCGGGGAGAACAAAAUUUCGUCUUGAAAUUUUAGUGAGAGAUCACCUCAUAAUGCUACCGUCGUUCUAAGCAAAAUAAGGUGCAUAAAAGGAUUAACAUCACAUGCAAUUCAUAAGUGACAUGAUAUGGCCAUCAUCACGUGCUCCUUGAUCUCCAUCACCAAAGCACCGACACGAUCUUCUUGUCAUCGGCGCCACAACGUGUCGCCAUCGGGGUUGUCGUGCUACUCAUGCUAUUACUACUAAAGCUACAUCCUAGCAAAAUAGUAAACACAUCUGCAAGCACAAACGUUAGUUUAAAGACAACCCUAUGGCCCCUGCCGGUUGCCGUACCAUCCACGUGCAAGUCGAUAUUAUCUAUUACAACAUGAUCAUCUCAUACAUCCAAUAUAUCACAUCACAUCGUUGGCAAUAUCACAUCAGAAGCAUGCCCUGCAAAAACAAGUUAGACGUCCUCUAAUUUUGUUGUUGCAUGUUUUACGUGGUGACCAUGGGUAUCUAGUAGGAUCGCAUCUUACUUACGCAAACACCACAACGGAGAUAUAUGAAUUGCUAUUUAACCUUAUACAAGGACCUCCUCGGUCAAAUCCGAUUCACCUAAAGUUGGAGAAACUGACACUUGCCAGUCAUCUUUGAGCAACGGGGUUACGCCAGUGAAGGUGAGAAAAUAACGAUAUCCGCCGCGUGCCUCUACGCUCAUCGGUCCAAGACGCUUCAAUCCAACAAUACCGCGGAAUCAAGAAAAUACUACGGAGGGCAGAAAAAUGCACAUCACCGCCCACAAAAACUUUUGUGUUCUACUCGAGAAGACAUCUACGCAUGAACCUAGCUCAUGAUGCCACUGUUGGGAAACGUCGCAUGGGAAACAAAAAUUUUCCUACGCGCACGAAGACCUAUCAUGGUGAUGUCCAUCUACGAGAGGAGAUAUUCGAUUACGUACCCUUGUAGAUCGCACAAUAGAAGCAUUAAGAAAACGCGGUUGAUGUAGUGGAACGUCCUCACGUCCCUCGAUCCGCCCCGCGAACCGUCCCGCGAUCCGUCCCACGGUCUAGUGCCGAACGGACGGCACCUCCGCGUUCAGCACACGUACAGCUCGACGAUGAUCUCGGCCUUCUUGAUCCAGGAAGAGAGACGGAGAGGUAGUUGAGUUCUCUGGCAGAGUGACGGUGCUCCGGAGGUUGGUGGUGAUCUAAUCUCAGCAGGGCUCCGCCCGAGCUCCGCAGAAACGCGAUCUAGAGGUAAAACCGUGGAGAUAUGUGGUCGGGCUGGCGUGGCAAAGUUGUCGCAAAUCAGCCCUAAAACCUCCGUAUAUAUAGGUGGGAGAGGGGGGGGCCUUGCCUUGGCGCUCAAGGAGCCCCAAGGGGGUCGGCCGAGCCAAGGGGGGGAGUCCUCCCCUUCCAAACCGAAUCCAACUAGGUUUGGAAGGAGGAGUCCUUCCCCUUUUUCCCACCUCCUUUUUUUUUUCUCUUUGAUUUUCUUCCUAUGGCGCAUAGGGCCUUCUUGGGCUGUCCCACCAGCCCACUAAGGGCUGGUGCGCUACCCCCAAGGCCUAUGGGCUUCCCCGGGGUGGGUUGCCCCCCCGGUGAACACCCGGAACCCAUUCGUCAUUCCCGAUAUAUUCCCGGUAACUCCGAAAACCUUCCGGUAAUCAAAUGAGGUCAUCCUAUAUAUCAAUCUUCGUUUCUGGACCAUUCCGGAAACCCUCGUGACGUCCGUGAUCUCAUCCGGGACUCCGAACAACAUUCGGUAACCAACCAUAUAACUCAAAUACGCAUAAAACAACGUCGAACCUUAAGUGUGCAGACCCUGCGGGUUCGAGAACUAUGUAGACAUGACCCGAGAGACUCCUCGGUCAAUAUCCAACAGCGGGACCUGGAUGCCCAUAUUGGAUCCUACAUAUUCUACAAAGAUGUUAUCGUUUGAACCUCAGUGCCAAGGAUUCAUAUAAUCCCGUAUGUCAUUCCCUUUGUCCUUCGGUAUGUUACUUGCCCGAGAUUCGAUCGUCAGUAUCCGCAUACCUAUUUCAAUCUCGUUUACCGGCAAGUCUCUUUACUCGUUCCGUAAUACAAGAUCCCGCAACUUACACUAAGUUACAUUGCUUGCAAGGCUUGUGUGUGAUGUUGUAUUACCGAGUGGGCCCCGAGAUACCUCUCCGUCACACGGAGUGACAAAUCCCAGUCUCGAUCCAUACUAACUCAACGAACACCUUCGGAGAUACCAAUAGAGCAUCUUUAUAGUCACCCAGUUACGUUGCGACGUUUGAUACACACAAAGCAUUCCUACGGUGUCAGUGAGUUAUAUGAUCUCAUGGUCAUAGUUACAAAUACUUGACACGCAGAAAACAGUAGCAACAAAAUGACACGAUCAACAUGCUACGUCUAUUAGUUUGGGUCUAGUCCAUCACGUGAUUCUCCUAAUGACGUGAUCCAGUUAUCAAGCAACAACACCUUGUUCAUAAUCAGAAGACACUGACUAUCUUUGAUCAACUGGCUAGCCAACUAGAGGCUUGCUAGGGACAGUGUUUUGUCUAUGUAUCCACACAUGUAUAUAAGUCUUCAUUCAAUACAAUUAUAGCAUGGAUAAUAAACGAUUAUCUUGAUACAGGAAUUAUAAUAAUAACUAUAUUUGUUAUUGCCUCUAGGGCAUAAUUCAAACAAGUGCAUCUAUACCAUGGACUCACAUUAGUCAUGAAGAACUCACAUACUUGUUGCGAAAGUUUUUAUUAGUAAUCGAAACAAAGUGCUAAACACAUACUCCUAGGGGAAGGGUUGGUAGGUGUUAACCAUCGCGCGAUCCCGACCUCAACACAAAGGAUGACAAUCAAUAGAUCAAUUAUGCUCCGACUUCCUAACAUAGCAGUUCACCAUACGUGCAUGCUACGGGAAUCACUAACUUCAACACAAGCAUUUCUAGAUUCACAACACCCUACUAACAUAGCUCUUAAUAUUACCGAAUCCACGUCUCAAAACUAAUUGAGAGGAAUCAAUACUUCUCUUUCUACUCAAUGCACAUGAAGAUGGAGGUUUUUGCAUCCUCUUUGGGUGCCUAUCACCUUUGGGACUACUUUCAUAGCAUAAGCCAACUACCAAGUCACGCACCGCUGUGCUCUAAAAGAUAUAAGUGAAGCACAUAGAGCAAAAGUAUCUAGCUCAAAAGAUAUAAGUGAAGCACUAUGAGCAUUCUAGCAAAAUCACGAUGAGUGCAUGUAUCUCUCUCUCUCAAAAAGGUGUGAAGCAAGGAUGAUUGUGACACAACAAAAAGAAAAGACUCCUACGAUACAAGAUGCUCCAAGCAAAACACAUAUCAUGUGGUGAAUAAAAAUAUAGCUCCAAGUAAUGUUACCGAUGGAUUGAAGACGAAAGAGGGGAUGCCUUCCCGGGCAGCCCCAAGCUUAGGCUUUUUGGUGUCCUUGAAUAUGGCUUGGGGUGCCUUGGGAAUCUCCAAGAUUGAGCUCUUUCCACUCCUUAUCUCUUUGCCAUGGGAACAUCACCCAAAACUUGAAAACUUCUUAACACAAAACUUAAACAGAAACUCGUGAUAACAUUAGCACAAGAAAACAAACUACCACUUCUUUUGGUACUGUAGAAAACUUGAAUUCCAUCUAUAUUGGUGUUGGGCUACUGUAUUCUCACUUUUCCAUGGCUAGUACCCCCCGAUACUAACCAUAGUUUCAUCAAAACAAGCAACCAACUCAACAAAAAACAGAAUCUGUCAAAAACAGCCCAGUGUGUAGCAAUCUGUAUACUUUGUAUACUUAUGGUACCUCCAAAAAUCUGAAAAAUUAUGAAUGACUAGGCAAAAGGCAUAUCAACCAGCAGAAAAAAGAAUCAACUAAAAAGAUCUUUCUGAAUAAAAAUGAAAAAUCAUCUCGUGAGUGAAAAGUUUUUGUCUUUUUCCAGCAGGAUCAAACAACCAUUACCAAGACUAGUCAUCAAGGUUUUGCUUGGCUCAAACACAAAAAGAAACACAAAAACCACAACCAGAACAGAAUUAUGAUGGUGUGGAUGCAACAAAACAGAAAUAAAAAGAUAAAUUCAUUGGGUUGCCUUCCAUCAAGCGCUAUUGUUUAACGCCCUUAGCUAGGCAUAAAAGCGAUAGAAUCACGUAUCGUCGUCUUUGGUGCUCAAACCAUAAGUGGCCCUCAUCAUGGAUUCAUAAGGCAAUCUUAUUUUAUUUCUAGGAAAGUGUUCCAUGCCCUUCCUUAAAGGAAAUUGAAAUCUAAUAUUCCCUUCCUUCAUAUCGAUGAUAACACCGAUAGUCCUUAGGAAAGGUCUACCAAAAAUAAUAGGGCAUGCAGGAUUGCAGUCUAUGUCAAGCACAAUGAAAUCCACGGGUACAUAGUUCCUAUUUGCAAUAAUAAGAACAUCAUUGAUCCUUCCCAUGGGUUUCUUGACGGUAGAAUCCGUAAGAUGCAAAUUAAGAGAACACUCUUCAACCUCAUUAAAACCCAGAACAUCACAUAAAGACUUUGGAAUCGCAGAAACAUUAGCACCCAAAUCACACAAAGCAUUGCAUUCAUAGUUUUUGAUUUUGAUUUUGAUGGUAGGUUCCCACUCAUCAUGAAGUUUUCUAGGGAUAGAGACUUCCAAUUCAAGUUUCUCUUCAAGAGAUUUUAUCAUAGCUUCGAUGAUAUGAUCGGUAAAGGCCUUGUUUUGGCUAUAAGCGUGUGGAGAGUUUAACAUGGAUUACAUCAAAGAAAUGCAUUCAAUCCAGGAGCAACUAUCAUAAUUGAAUUCCUUGAAAUCCACGGUAGUAAUUUCAUUACUACUCAAAGUUUUAACAUCUUCUGCUCCACUUUCAAUGCUUUUAGCAUCAACAUAGAUGGACUCCGAAUCAUUGGGCACUUUUCAACCAAAGUGGAUUCAUAUCCAGCCCCAUAAUCAUUAGGUUUGACACAAGAAAACAAAGAUUCAAUGGGAGUCACACCAAGCACUUUAGGAUCUUCAUGAUUCUCAUCACGAGAACACGCCUUUUUAAGCCAUUCAUGUCUAGCACGAAUUUGGGCGGUUCUUUCUUGGCUCUCAAUCGUGGAAACACGCAUAGCUUUCAAAGUUUCAUCCAUGUUGAUUUUGGGAGGAGCACAUCUAACUUUCAAAGCAUCAACAUCACUAGACAUUCUAUCAACGCUCUUAGCCAACUCAUUAAUUUUGAGUAGCUUUUCCUCUAUGGACGCAUUGAAAAUCUUUUGAGAGUUGAUGAACUCUUUGAUAUUACUCUCUAGAUCAGAGGGUAAUCUAUUGUAAUUUCCAUGAGUAUUGUUGUAGGAUUUGCCAAAUUAUUAGAGGAGUUACUAGCAAAAGGCCUAGGAACAUAGUUUCCUCUAAAAGCAUUGUUGUUGCCAAAGUUAUUCCUACCAACAAAAUUAACGUCCAAGCUAAUGUUGCUACUCUCAAUCAAAGAAGACAAGGGCAUAUCAUUAGGAUCCAAAGGAGCACUUCUACUAGCAACCAAAUUCAUUAACUCAUCCAUCUUAGCACUCAACGAGUUAGUUUCUUCUAUAGCGUGUACCUUCUUACUAGUAGGUGACCGUUCAGUAUGCCACUGAGAGUAGUUCAUCAUGAUGUUGUCUAAGAGCUUUGUGGCUUCUCCUAACGUGAUUUCCAUGAACGUUCCACCUAAGGCGGAGUCCAAGAUAUUUCUAGAAGCAAAAUUCAAGCCAGCGUAAAAGAUUUGAAUAAUCAUCCAAAGACUCAAGCCAUGAGCGGGACAAUUUCUAAUCAUUAAUUUCAUUCUCUCCCAAGAUUGUGCAACAUGUUCAUGAUCAAGUUGCUUGAAACUCAUGAUAUCAUUAUGGAGAGAGAUAAUCUUAGCCGGCGGAAAAUACUUGGAUAUAUAGGCAUCUUUGCACUUAUCCCAAGAAUCGAUACUAUUUUUUGGCAAAGAAGAAAACCUAGUUUUUGCGCGAUCUCGCAAUGAGAAAGGAAAAAGCUUCAAUUUAAUCACGUCAUUAUCCACAUCUUUCUUCUUUUGCAUGUCGCAAAGUUCAAUGAAGGUAUUGAGAUGGGAUGCGGCAUCUUCACUAGGAAGGCCGGAGAAUUGCUCUUUCAUAACAAGAUUCAGCAAAGCGGCAUUGAUUUUGUAUGACUCCGCACUAGUGGAGGGAGCAAUCGGAGUACUAAUGAAAUCAUUAUUAUUAGUAUUCGAGAAGUCACAAAGUUUGGUGUUUUCAUUCAUGGUGACUUCGGCAAGCAAGCAAGCACACAAGGGAACAAAGAUCAAGUGAGAAAAAGGCGAACGAAAAGGCAGACGGAAAAAGGCAAACGAAAAAGGCAAAUUGGUGCAGUGGGGGAGAGGAAAACGAGAGGCAACUGGCAAACAAAGUAAAUCCCAGAGAUGAGUUUGCAACACUUACUUGGAUGAGUUCUUGACUUGAUCUUCUGCUACGGCAACGGCGCCAGAAAUUCUUCUUGCUACUUCUCUUGUUUGCUACGGCAACAAAAUUCCUUCCCAAGCAACGCCAGCAAUUCUUCUUGCUACUUCUCUUGUUUGUGUCGUUUUUUCCCUUGAAGAGGAAAGGGUGAUGCAGCACAGGAGCACUAAGUAUUUCCUCAGUUUGAGAAUCAAGGUAUCGAUCCACAAGGAGGGUCUCUUCAAGUCCAGAGUACCUGCACAAACACAAACGAGCUUGCACCCAACGCUUCAAUGGGUUGUCAAUGCCUCCAAGAUUGUUUGCAAAGUGAGAUGUGAAGGCGAAAAGUGCAACGAAGUAAAAAGUGUAAGACUGAAAAAUAUGGUGUGGAGUAGACCCGGGGGCCAUAGUGUUCACCAGAGGCUUCUCUCAAAAUAGCAAAUAUCACGGUGGGUGAACAAAUUAUUGUCGAGCAAUUGAUAGAACCGCGCAAAGUCAUGACGAUAUCUAAGGCAAUGAUCAUACAUAUAGGCAUCACGUCCGAGACAAGUAGACCGAUACUUUCUGCAUCUACUACUAUUACUCCACACAUCGACCGCUAUCCAUCAUGCAUGUAGUGUAUUGAGUUCAUGACGAACAGAGUAACGCCUUAAGCAAGAUGACAUGAUGUAGAGGGAUAAUCUCAAACCAAUGAUGAAAACCCCAUCUUUUUACCCUUGAUGGCAACAACACGAUGCAUGCCUCACUACCCCUUCUGUCACUGGGUGAGGUCACCGCAUGGUAUGAACCCAAAACCAAGCACUUCUCCCAUUGCAAGAAUCAUAGAUCUAGUUGGCCAAACAAAACCCACAACUCGAAGAGAAUUACAAGGAUAUGAAAUCAUGCAUAAUAGAGAUCAGAAGAAACUCAAAUAAGAUUCAUAGAUAAUUUGAUCAUAAAUCCACAAUUCAUCGGAUCUCGACAAACACACCGCAAAAGAAGAUUACAUCGGAUAGAUCUCCAUGAAGAUCAUGGAGAACUUUGUAUUGAAGAUCCAAGAGAGAGAAGAAGCCAUCUAGUUACUAGCUAUGGACCCGUAGGUCUAUGGUGAAGUACUCGCACAUCAUCGGAGAGGUCAUGGUGUUGAUGAAGAAGCCCUCCGUAUUCGAAUCCCCCCUCCGGCAGGGCACCAGAACGGUCCCCAGAUGGGAUCUUGCGGAGACAGAAGCUUGCGGCGGUGGAAAAGUACUUUCGAUGAUCUCCUGAUUUUUUGUGGAAUUUUUGGGGAUACAUAGGCGCAAAACCUAGGGCAAAGGGCGUCCAGGGGCCCCAUAAGCCUGUGGGCCGCGGCCUCCCCCCUGGUCGCGGGGUGAGGUCUUGUGGGGCCCGUGGGGCUCCCCUGCCUUGGCUCUGAAGUCUCCUGAUCUUCUUCCGUUACGGAAAAAUUCUUUUCGGGGAUUUUAUUCCGUUUGGACUCCGUUUCAAAAUCUCCUCCGAAAGGGGUCAAAAAGAUGGAAAAAACAGGAACUGACACUUGGCACUGAGUUAAUAAGUUAGUCCCAAAAAAUAUAUAAAAGGCAUGCAAAACAUCCAAAGUUUGACAAGAUAAUAGCAUGAAACCAUCAAAAAUUAUAGAUACGUUGGAGACGUAUCACACAACUCUCCACCACUAAAAGAAAUUCUCGUCGUGAGAAUUCAGAGGUAGGGGUAAGGGGAAAACGUUUGGUUACGAAAUUCUAACGAGCCUUCUCGGUUUUGUUUGUUCUCCCCGAAGAAAUUCAUCCUUUUCGUUGAGGUCCUCAAUUCUCUGAGUUAGGUCAUCCUGAUGAAUUCAUCAUCAUUCCUUCAGGAUGUUCAUCAUCCUACGAAUGCGAUAACAGGGAAAACCAUGGAAGAACGUAGCUACACAAAGUUGGGCAUUUGACGGCGAACUCACAAAAGAGGGCAAGAAUUAUUCUUCAAGUUGUAACUCUCUAAAUUCAUUGGGAAUACAACAUCAUGGUACACAGGUUUCAAACGAUUAGACAAUCGUUUGAUGCCUAAACACUUAUGAAAAAGGGGGGUUAGAGCAACGAAAUAAAUAUUGCUGAUCAUACAGGAAUAGAUCGUCACAUUGAAGGUGGCUUGGGAAUUUCAUACGAAGCCAAGUGUAAAGGAUACUUUGGAGCCAAAGAUGUACAGGGGAGCCAGGUUUCGAUCCUAUGGAACUUUGGGUUAUGGGUCCAUCAUGCGGGCCAAGAGUAGGCAGAGCGGUGACAUCUUAUACGGUCUUGGUAGCAAGAUAUGUCAGAGGAUAUCCUCCCAGUUAUGUGGGCCACAACGUCGGUACCAAGGGCGGGGGACGAAUAGAACCAUUUUCCUGCUCGUUGAAACGAGGCGGACCAAUAGGCAAAGUUCUCAUCCACCGGCGGCUACCGGAAUGUUAUCCACAAUAGUAACAGGGUCUUACUGACAGAGUUGCAUACCGAGGUUUUUACCUAAGAAGGGGAUUACCACUUCUCAGAUAGGUUAUGCCACAAGAAAGGUCAAACAGACCAAUGGAAAGGAAAAUGUGUUCACACACACAAGUAUUUAGAGUAUACCAUUCCCGAGGGAAAAUAGGGUAUGGUAUACAAGAUAGGUCAUCAAGUACAUAACCAUUUUGAUAAAAGGGCAAGGAGAAUCAUGAUGCUUACCCAUACCAUACGAUUUGGAUAAUUGAUCCAUAACAAUUUAGCAUUGUGCUUCCAAUGUUCCUGUUGAAAUUUGAAGUACCACAUCCGUGCUCCGAGGUAGCAUUGACAUGGUCAUGAGAUAAAUGUCGGACUUUGGGUACACAAGGGAUACGUGAGGAACAACUUAUAAUACAAGUCCUACAAUUUCCUCAGGGGAGAAUGGCUAACCUUACCAAGGAAGAUAAUAUACAAAUAGGUCCUUCAGCCAGGUGUGCUGGACAAGACAGUACCGUACCGGUUUGCAUAAAGACCAAAGUUAUGAUUUAUUGGGAAAAGUUCCAACCAUCAUAUCUGCCCGAGAUUCAGAUCUGAUUGGUGUCACGACACCUCAGGCUCCAGAUACCUAAGAAGAAAAUAUGAUGAUGCAAUAUUCUCGAGACAUGAACUACAAAUGCAAGUCUUGGAUCAUGAGUUGGAUUGUAAGACACAUGAACACAAUGUCAAAACAUUCGUGCCCACGUGGAAUUCUUACAACACAAUGCAACCGGGUUCUGAUUUGAGAACAAUCAUCGAGGAUAUCGAGGUCCUUGUGUAAGCCUCGAUUAGCUCUUAUGAAGGAACUUCUUUUCCUUGAUCAAAUCAGUCAGUGGCUUGGGGUGCUAAGAGAAGUUAUAUGAAGUGAAGAUAGCAAAUCUUCAAAACAUAUAACGCUUCGCACAUGCAUGAAUCAUUUGGGAUUACCCGAGAGGAAGCGAAACAAGACUUUCUCAUAUUCAUGGCAGCAAGAAUGCAUGUGAACCUUGGGAAACACCUCUUCUAUCAAACAUUUUCUUCACAAGCUAGGCACGAGGAUAAUGCUUUCAAAAGUUUCAUUACGAAACAUGGAGAAGUUGAGGGUGUGGCCGAAGGGCUCAGUAACAAUCCCUCAAGAUUUUGAUAGGGAUGAAUUUCCAAAUUUAUAAGAUCAAGGAGAUAACAUUUGUGAGAUCAAAUGAUAUAAUGACGUAUGCUUGAGGAAACAUCAACAAUUAAACAUUGAUUGGAGGGUGCACUCGGAAAUACAGAAUGAGUAGCACGACCAAUGCUAGAAUGGUGAGUCAACAACCAACAUACCAAGAAUGAAACAAUCAAUUGUUAACCUCAAGGCAAUAGGGUUGCCACAAGUAUUGGAUCACACAUCAGAGUUCACUUGUCGGUAUUUCCGUUAGAAACAACACGUGACCAAUAAAUGAAUGGUGACGGCGAGAAGUAUCACCAUAUCAAGAAUUCUUAAGAGGUGCAAUGAUGCUCACCACAUUCUUGACAUAAAAGAUGGUCAUACUCCAAGGUAGAAGGUCACAUAAGCCAAUUAGCAAGGAACUUAAGGGACACCACAAAACAUGAACAAGUUUGUGUUGGAGGGAAGGCAAUAAGGUUGACGACGAUUUCAUAAAUCAUCGAGGGGCAAGGAUGGUAUUUCUCAUCAUGCAUUUGAUUUAUACCCUCGAAGAGCUCAGAAUGCUGAUGAUGAUCAUGAUACAAUUGUCGAGAAGUUUCAUGAAGAUUUAAUUGUUCAGCGACGACAUGAAGCAAAGGAAUGGUGAAGCUAAAGGUUGUUGGAAAUACAAAUAAGAUUGUUAGCUCGGAAUCGGAAUUGCCUUUCAAGACAACCAACACGAUGUUGAAAUCUCGAUGUAAGCUGGACGCACAAUUGGAAAUGUGUUACAGGGAUGAAAGACACAGAUAGUAUGGUCAAGCUCUAGCAUGACGAUGAUGAUGUAGCCUAAUAGCUUGGAAAGACAUGAUCGAGUACAACUCAUAAGCAAAGAAGAUUAUUAAGAGUUGUGAAAUCGCAAAGCAUACGCGAUUCAGUCAUCGGUGUCAUUGAGUGUUCAACAACUCAAAACACGAGAAACUGGAAUCAACAAAAUAUCGUAGUUGAUGAGGAGCUCACAAGAAGUUAGGUAGCUCCGUGAUAUUCUCGGGAUACGAGGGAUAAUACUCGAAGAUAGACCAACAUUAAGGCUUGGACCGAUGUGUUUAUAUGAAGAAGACAAGCACUUUAACUUGUCUACGUAUGGAAUUCAAGGAGGAUCAAUAAUGGUCGGAACCACGGUUGCAAAGGAUAAGAUAACAAAUACCAGAUUAAAACAUAGAAUGAAUGAUUAUUGAUAAAAGAAGUUUCUAUGAUAGGAUCAACAUCGUUUCCAUGGGCAUGAACAUAAAGUUCAAGGUCGACUCCCACUUCAUCAUUGCAUCAGCUGCCAUUUACUCCUCGCCUUUGAUGAGGUUGUAGCUUGGAAAGAUUAUCUGGCCAAACACCAGAAGAGUAAGACUCGUGAAAACUCUUCGGAUCAUAUUGUUUUAGCAAGGCAUAGGUUCAACCCAUCGGGGCAUCUUAGGAACAUAUACCACAAACUUCAAGAGUAAUUAACACAUGCUUGAAGAGCAUGGCUGACAAGGGCACAUGAUACAACUUAUCAGAAGGAGAAGACACAAUUUACCAAUGGCAUUAUGUAUGAGGGGAACAAUAUCACAAGAAUUUUGAAUGCAAAUGAUGCCAUCGGAUAAUAACCCAACAAUGGGUCUGGCGGUUCAGAAAGGACCUGAUGUGAGUAUCGUUACUUGAUCAGAGGAAGAUAGAAUGCAAGGCAUCAUAUUAUAGAACAUCUGAAAAAAUACCGAUACUUAAUUACCAUAGGAAUUAUGAUUACCAGGUUGGUGUAUCAGAUUCAGAUGCUCCGAUUAAGUACAAGUAAACUGAAUGGACUUAGACGAACAAUCAAUCAAGGUUGAUUUGCCGAGAACCACCUCCUGUCUGAAAGGACGUCUGAGUUGGAAAGAUAAUUUAUGAGAAUUAGCUCAUGAUUGUGUGCAUUCACACAAAGGUUGAAUAAAUAAGAUCAAAGGAAAAUCACAAAGGAUUGAAAUGAUGGUUACUAGACAUAUGGAAUUAACCAUAAUGCAAGCAGGUGAGAAGGUCAAGCGCAAUAGGCUACUGAGAAUUUCGGAAGAUCAAAUAGCAAUUCGAGGAACUUAUGAAACCCAUGACAACUGAGGAUGAACGAAUCCCUAGUGAGAUAAUUCGAUGCACCUUAUAAUAACAAGAGCAAUCGGGAGAGUAAGUAUGAACGACCUUUGUAUGCAGUCAUCCAUAGGGAUUGAGAGAAGAAGGGAAUCACAAAAGGCGACGAGCACAAGUUCUCGGGAUAACAUCGGAGAGUAUCUUCGGAGUCUUCUGACGAAUCAAGCCAUUCUCUAGAACGUGGGGCUCUCCGGGAGAAAUUAGUUUCGAGAACCUAGAGUUAGUGUUAGUAAAAUCUUUAACCCGAAAGAUAAGAGAGAUCAGAAAUGAGAGUAUAGAAGAGGAGUAAAAUAUACUAAUACCACUCGAUUGAGAUGUGGGCCCGUAAGCCACAACAUCAAAGUUAGUACGCUUUUCAAGUACUAGACUCAACUUCGGCCAAGGAGUUGGGAAGGGGGCUACCUACAGGCAGUCGGCUCUGAUUCCAACUUGUCACACCCUCGUUUUGAUCGUACGCUAAUCAUACACGCAAAUGCGUACGACCAAGCUGAAGGACUCAUGGGAAGAUAUCACAACACAACUCUAGACACAAAUAAAACAUACAAGCUUCAUAUUACAAGCCAGGGGCCUCGAGGGCUAGAAUACAGAAGCUCGAUAAACACACGAGUCAGCGGAAGCAACAAAUAUCUGAGUACAGACAUGAAACAUGACAAUGCCUUAGAGAAGGCUAGCACAAAAGAAACAAUGAUCGAACGAGGCGAGGCCUCCUGCCUGGGAACCUCCUAAACUACUCCUAGUCUCCGGCGGCCUCCACGUAGCAGCAGAUUCCGUUGGGGUAGUAGUCGUCAUCGGCGGGAUAUGCCAUCUCCUGGGCUCCAUCAUCCGGUCGCAGCAACGGAUCAAGGGGAGCAGGGGGAGCAAAGCAACGGUGAGUACUCAUCCAAAGUAAUCGCAAGACUGACAUCAAAACUAUGCUAAGUAUGCAUCAAUAUCAAAGGAAGGGGUUAUAUGUGGACUGACUGCAGUAAUGCGAGAAAGGGAGUGAAGGCCUAGUCCUAUCGAAGACUAGCAUCUUCAGGGGGUCUUGCAGCAAUAGACGAGAGUAGAAUAGGUAACACAAUUAAUAGUCAUAUUGUUGCAACAAUAUUAAUUAAAGUCACGCCCACAGAUUCUUCCUCGACUCCCUGCGAGGAAGCAAUCCCGGAGCAACAUUCCAGUUAAGUAAUAGUUGUAGUUGUAUAAGAUCGGGGCACAACUCCAAGUCGUCCUAUAACCGUGGACACAACUAUCCGAAUAGUUAAUUUUCAUCCCUGCACGGGUGCACCAAGUUUCCCGUCACACUCGAUAAACUCUGGCCGGACACACUUUCCUAGGUCAUGCCCGGCCUCGGAACAUCGACACGUCACAGCCCUACCUAGACUCAACAGAGAGUCCAGCCCGCCGGUCUUAAUCCUAAGCGCAGGGGUCAUGGGCCUGUCACCCAUCGUGCUCCUGCACGUUGUGUGGGCGUCCGAGGUCAGUCCUGGCACCUCUUAUACAAGAACAGUGAUAAUCCAGACCACUCGGGUGCGCGCCGCUCCAUUGCUGACGUCUGAAGAGGUUCAACUCAUACCACGGCAUCGAGUACCCAUAACUUCUCCCAUGUAGCCGGUUAGUGCGAAAAGGUCUCCGACCAACCUAGAUCAAAUACCCAAAUCCAUUAACAUUUUAAUUAACUCAUCGACACAUCCACGCGGGAAUGCACCCGCCUAACAUUUAAUCAUCAAUGUUCCCAGUAACAUGGUCAAGUAACUGUGUGGUUGUAACAUAAGGGGGAUCCGAGGUAUCACCCUCGUUGGAUUCUGAACGAUGUAACCGUCAAGGUGGACUUAGAGGAAUCACCCUCGAGGGUCUCACACUUGAGGGGUUGCAUGAUAGAGUCAUCGUCGGGAGUGGUGAAGGAGGAAUCACCCUCGAUAACCAUGACCGACUAGCUGCACUACAGGGAUAUCAUCAUGAGUACUUCGCGAGGUGUCACCCUCGAUACCCGAUAGUAGCUCUGCAGCGUCGUACAACUAAGGGGGUGUAAGUGCGGUGUCGGGUCUUGGCUCGUCGAUCAGGGAUUGAGACUUGAUGAUAAAGUGGGGGCAACUAGACUAAGGGUCGGAGGGGAUGACUGAGCAACCCAUACUAAACAGUUUUAAGGUGUAGUAGAAUAAUGUAGUAGUUUAUCAAAAUUAGCUAUGCAUCAAAUAUAGGAUCUAAUCUAACUACAACAGUAGCAAAAUUCUAAUGCAAACACGAGGGAGAAAGAAUAGGUGAUAUAGGAAUGAUCAAGAGGGUUUGCUUGCCUUGUUGCUCUGCAGCAAAGGGCUGGUCAUCAUGAGGGUAGUCAUACCCGGCAGCACCGUCAGUCUCGGGGUCUACCGGUAAGAAGGAGGGGGGGGGAGAAACAAUAAAUAUAAACACAAAUAAUAUCACUAAGCAUGACAUGGCAAUAUGCAGGUCUAGGCAUGAGCUAACACAGUAUCAUCCGUCAUAGACAGAUUGGGAAAAUAUCGGAUGAUAUUUCUCGGGUCUCUCAUUACUACCGGACAUGCGAAACAGAUGGAAAAGUUCCAUGUUCGCUAUGCUAGGGACGCAUGACAGACGAACGGAUAGCGUAUCCGGGUUCGUCUCGUUUUGCACAUGAACUUUCAUGUUCAAAAUAUUUUCAUGUGACUUACAGUUUAUUUUAUAUUAUUUUUUAAAGUUUUAAUAUUUAUUAGGAAUUAAAGAAAUUUAAACAAUUUAGAUAAUUAAAUAUGACAUCAUUGUGAUGUCAGCAUAACAUCGGUAGUCAACAGGGUUUUGAGUGGUCAAAUAUGACCCGUGGGUCCCAUGUGUCAUAGGCACAUUUAUUUUUAGGGCUUAAUAAAUAUUUAAUCUAGUUAAUUAGUUGGGUGGGACCCAACUGUCAUACACUACUUCACGAUAUUUUAUUUAUCUUAAUUAACAGAUUUAGCUAACAGUAACUUACCUAAUCUUAAUCAUUAUAAUUAACUAAAAUACUUAUUUAUCUAUUAUUAUUAUUAUAUUAAAUCCUAAUUAUCCAAAACAAGAAUUACUAUUUAACUAAAUAAUUAAUUGAAUUAAUUGAUUUUAUUAAUAUUAAACAUUUAUAACAAUUUUUUUUUAUUUUUGCAUGUUUUUAUGAGGGACCCCACCUGUCAUUUGGUGGGAGUUGUGGGGCCCAUAUGUCAUUGGAACAACGAGACACACCUACACGACACGCACACACAAUCUGUACACACGUUUGUAUUCAUUCAUACAUACAUAUACACAUGCAUACAUAUAUUUGCACAUACACACAUCUGCACAUAUACAUACAUAUUCAUAUACACAUGCAUACNNNNNNNNNNNNNNNNNNNNNNNNNNNNNNNNNNNNNNNNNNNNNNNNNNNNNNNNNNNNNNNNNNNNNNNNNNNNNNNNNNNNNNNNNNNNNNNNNNNNNNNNNNNNNNNNNNNNNNNNNNNNNNNNNNNNNNNNNNNNNNNNNNNNNNNNNNNNNNNNNNNNNNNNNNNNNNNNNNNNNNNNNNNNNNNNNNNNNNNNNNNNNNNNNNNNNNNNNNNNNNNNNNNNNNNNNNNNNNNNNNNNNNNNNNNNNNNNNNNNGGGGGACGAGGGCAAGCGAGGGAGAGGGCGCUCGGUCCCUCGCAUGGUGGCGACGCUAGUGGGUGAGGGAGUGGGGCGCUCGGGGUGUGGGUUAGGUUUAGGUGGGGGUUAAAUACCCCAGGGGUGGCGUGGGCUUGUGGCUAGUUAGGUUGGCUGGGGGCCGACCCAAUGGUUUUUUUAUUUAUUUCUUUUCAAUUUAUGCUUUAGUUUCUUUUUAAACUUUGAUUUAUAAAAUAUGUAACUAGUCCCUAAUUUAGUUUUAGUAAUUAUGUCUCUGCCACAAAAAGGUUUAACCCCAACUAAGAAUAGUCUAGUAUUUCACAAAAUAUAAAAGGCACUUAUUUAAUCAUUUUGCUGUUGUUUUAAAAUAUUAUAGUGCAUUUAAACACUUCAUAAAAAUGUGGUUUGUUCACCAAUAUUAAUCAUGAUUUAUUUGCUACAACGUGAACAUUUUAGUUUUGAUAUUUGAAAACUUCUAUUGUUUGACUUUAUUUUAAAUUUGAAUUGGAAUCGGUUUUGAACUAACGCGAGAUUAACAACAGUAAUCACGGUGGCGUGGCAUCAUUAGCAUAGGAUUAUUGUAGCCUAGUUACAGAGAUCACUGUAGCAAAAACUGAGGAUGUCACAAUUAUAGUGAUAAUGGACAUGUGAAGAUGUGCCGAAGAGAGGCCUGCCCAUAGUGGAUUAUAGGGGAUCAAUCUACUAGUCUUCAUCAAGCCGGUGCAGUCAAGAAAGGUGGUCCAUCUUGAGGAGGACAAGAUCAUCAUCAUCUAGCUCGAGUGGACUAUGGACAAGGUAAAGGUUUGACCUUGAUAGGUUUUCUAUUUUUCCGGUCUCAUGGUGGUAGCUGGAAGACCGGGUUAUAGGAUCGAUUGUCUGACUAUCAAGGGGCUCUCAAGUAAGUAGCUUGGUCAUAUUGUUCGUAGAGAGCUCAACGAAUUGCAUUCUUGGCAUCAUCAUAUUUUUGGGUUCUUGUUUGGCUUUUAUCUGUGUCGGUCUUAGAGGUUAUGGUCAUAUUCAUGGCAAGCUCGAGUUCAUCGAAAACGGAGUUCACAUACAUCUUCUAUGAUGUUUUUUAUGUUGGAGUUUUUGCUGGUUCUUCAUUCAUAGAAGUUUCACAUCUCUAUAUCAUUGGCAUUUUUUGCUGUUUGGAUAGUACUUGUCAUAUCCUAUCCAACAACCUUGAGUUCGCUCAAUUUAGAGCCUGCAUGUAGAAGUUAUGGUGGUUCAGGCUUUAUUGUACCCAUCUAUUUUGCUUGGGCUUCUUUAUUGCACUCCCGCGAUAGUACCGCUCUGGGAAGCGAUAGUACCCCUUAUAAGUGGUACUUCUACUGACCACUACCGCGGCUACUACAGUGCUUUUGGGGACUCGACUUUUGGUGUCGGGUUUGCACGGUAGUGGGAUGGUAGUACGAGCAUUAGUACCGCUUACAAGCGGUAGUACCACUCGCCCACUUUCACUUAUCAAGUUGCUUGUGUAUCUUUCGCGCUCUCAGUAAUGGUAGGGCAAAAGCGAGUGCACAAUACUACAACUUAUAAGCGGCAGUACCGCUCACACUCGGCGGUGGUACCACUGUUGCAUUAGUGCAUCACUCCACUAAUCUGCCCUAUCUCCAUAGGCGCUUGAGAUGCAACCCCACUGGUAGUACUGCUAGGGCGAGCAGUAGUACUGCUCCAGCAACACUGCCACCUUGUGUGUCCUCGCCAUUUGAUGACCCACAAGUGCAGUGGUCUGUCGUAGCCUUUUCGAUAAGUAAGAGUGUCAAACCCAACAAGGAGCAGAAGGUACUGACAAGCGAUCUUGAGUAAGGAAUAACUGCAAGUACUGAAAGGUAACAUUUAUGGGUUUUCUGGUAUAAGUAGCAAGAAAAUAACAGCAGGGAAAGUAAAAGGUGCCGAGGUGCAGCAAGUGUCCCAAUAAUUUUGAACACAAAGGAUAAGUCGAGGGACUAAACUUAUAAAGACUAAUGCGUUCCUGAGGACAUACGGGAGAGAUAGUCAAGGGAUUUCACCAUAUUCCGUCUAGUACUAUGUUUUGUAUUGAUAAGUGUUAUGUGGGUUGAUCUUAACUAGUGCUCCGUCUAGGAAAAUACAAGUACACUCUUAUGAUUAAACUCCUUGCAAGCAUCCGCAAAUGCAAGAGAUAAAUUAAGGCAAAGCCUAACCAUAGAAAUAAGCUUUAGGAUCCAACACUCCCUCGUGCAAAAGCAUGCGAACUGGGGUUCAGGUUUCUGUCACUCCGGCAACCCACCAUAAGCAUUCUUUAUACAAGAUGCAUUCUCCUAGGCCCUUAAAAAGGUGAAGUGUUAUGUAGUCGACGUUCACAUAACACCACUAGAAGAAUAACACCAUAACUUAAAUAUCAAUGAACACAUAUUACUUCAACAUCAUAUGACUAUUAUGAACUAGACUUCUCCCAUGUCCUCAAGAACUAAAGUAACUACUCACGAGACAUAAAAGAGAUCAUGAUCAGAGGUGAUGAAAAUAUGACGAACAAUCUGGUCAUAACAAUAACUCUCCAACAAUACUCAAUAGCAUUCACCACAAAAGAGUAAUCAACAACGGUAGAGUAAGGGGGAUGAAUAGUGCAAGGUACAACUCCGAUUGCAAUGGUAAAGUGAGAUGGGGUGAAGAUGGAGAUGUGCUGGUGAUGAUGAUCUCGAUGAUGCCCGUGACGAUGGUGAAGACGAUGAGGACGAUCUCCCCUUCCGGGAGGAGUUCUUCCCGGCGGAAUUUGCCCGACGGAAAUGUCUUUUCUUCUAUGUAGGUUUCCGCCCCGGAGCGGCGGCAGAACUCCGGAAAAAAUUCUGUCCCCGUAACUUUUAGGUCACGAGGGUCAUAUAGGCGAAAGGAGAGCACCGGAGGCGGGACCCACCACCCAGGCGGCCUCUAGAGCGACCUAGGUGUGACCCGCGCCACCAGGUCGCCUGGGUGCCUGGUGGCCCCCCUCCGGCCCUUCUUCGGCCUGUCUUCGUGAUCUAUUCGGAAACUCCUUCCCCGUAAAUUUCAGCUCAAUUGGAGAUGUUCUGAUUUGGCAACUCUCCAUGCUAUUUUCUCCGCUGAAUCCCGUGUGUGCUGUUUCGGCACCGGAAAGUUGUAAACUGUGUAAAAUAAGCCAAAACACUAUAAGAACAACAUCAUAAUGUGAAAUAUAUCAAUGAAUAGAGACAAAUUAUGAUACAAAAUAGUGAUGCAUUUUGGAAGUAUCAACUCUCCUAAUCUUAGAUCUCACUUGUCCCCAAGCAAAUACUGAGCUCGGUAAACCUGUCCACAAGUUUAGAGAGUGAAGUGUCGAUAAAUAAGAAUACAGACAAGAAGCAUCAUAAUUUCUCUACUAAACUCAACCAUCCUCAACACCAAUCUCAACUCAUAAGGCGCAUAUGAAAGAGUAAUAUCAAUUAAAAUCAAAAGUAGGACUAAGGAAACUCAUCAAACCAUGGCAAAAAUGUCCUUGGUCAAAGAACAACUAAUAACUUUUAACUUUUGCUCUUCCUCUUAUAUUUUGAUGAGAUCAACUGAAGCUUUUUGAAAGAACAAGUUAUUAGUCAAGAAGUGAAAAUGCUAACACAAAGGAAGAUGUUUGCUUUAGCUAGGCUUAACAAACAACUUACUCAUAUUAAUGAUAAUGUCAACAAAGUUGUGAUAUGGCAAUUCUCAAUGAAACAAUAUAAAUGCAUGCAUCUUUGUCAACAUAAGGUGUCUGCUCUUUUAUAGGAUAGAAAUAAGUAGGUUAUUGACUCAACAUAAAAAUAAAGGAUUAGCCCUUCACAAAGGGAAGUAGGGAAAACUGAUGUGCUAGAGCUUCUAGAGAUUUUGAAAUCAACAAGAUUGUAAAACAAGCUUUUGAGAGGUGCAUAAUUCGUCAACGAAUCCUAGCAGAUAGCCCAAUACUUCUCAUGCUGGACAAGUUUUGAGGAACGACUCCCAAAGCAGGGACGAUCACAUCCCCUUAGUCUCCUUUUUUUAUCACUACCAAAGUUUUCUGAUUUCUCAUAAACAAAGCGUGAAGGAGGUUUUGUUUGUUGUUAUUAUAUUUUACGAGCUGGGCGCACUCAUGCCAGUCCCUCCUUGUAUUAGGGGUUCGCAUAUUAGACAUGCAAACCCAGGAUAAAGCUUUUCCAGUACGAGAAGAUCAUGAAUUAUCUACUACUUCCUCAUGAGCUAAACUAGAGGCACAAAAGAGGGAGUAAUAUUUGAAGGUUUAAAGAUAGCACAUGAGUAAUAUGCUUUAGGAGUGAUGAUGAAAUACCACAUAUAGGGAAGGUAUGGUGGACUCUUGGGAAGGUUGAGGUUUCAAUGUAUGGAUGCACAAGCAGUAUUCCCACUUAGUACAAGGGUUGGCUAGCAAAGGCUUUUGAGAGCAGACAAAUGAUGUUGACUUGGAUGCAGAACAAUAUAAAGUUUAACAUAAAGAAUUGGCAUGAAACAUCAAGUUGUCUUCCUUGUCAGCAUAACACUUCAAGCAUAAGAACAUAAAGGUUUUGGCUAUGUCGCUACUAGAAAAAUCAUGCUUGUUGUUAUGACCAAUGCUAUGUUUGCCAAGAUUAAAUAAAGUUUUCAAUGCCAUACAUGAUAUGUAAGAUCAAUACUCCCAUAAGAAUCAACGUAUAAGGUCGAUUGCAUGAAGAGAAUACCAGGUGCAGCAAAGAAACCAAUAGACUUCUCAUUAAUAUUCCAUCAUAGACAACUGCACACUCACGGAUAUAAGACUCUCCACAAAGGAGUGAUAGACCUCAAUGCAAACACCUCUUUCAUAAGAUAACUUCCCUAGACAUGAUACGCCACUAAACUUGACCAUAAAGGAUAAAGGAUAAAGAUAAAGAUACCGGGCACUCCCCCAAGCUUGGAACAAGCUAAGGGAAUGCCAUUACCCAUGAAGAUUUCACUCUCCAUCCUUGUUCUUGUUCCUCAGGUAAUCCUUAGUGAAAAGCUUCCAUGGAAAAGGUCCUCCCUCCACACAGGAUUCUUCAGUCCCCAGGAUCCUGCUUUCGGCAGAUAAGCCCAUGCGCAAAACUUUAGUUCAUACUCACAGUUCUGGUUUUGAAGGUCAUAGAUGUACCCUUGAAGCUCGGACACUUUGGUUUCCAGUGCGGAUAUGAUUGAUCGCACUCCCUUUAUCUCCUUCUCAUGUUGCUUCUUCAGCUCGACGAUGAUAUCGAAAUUGGCCUCGACACCACGCUCGAUCAUCAACUUGUACUUGAAGACUUCUUGCUCCACUUCUUCCAUCAUAGCCUCGGUGCCCCCCUCCUUGACAAGCCCCUCCAAAUCUUCUUUGUGGAGGACAUCAUCCUCCACCCAGAGUUUUUGAGGGUGUCUCUUUACGUCUGCGAGGUAAUGGUUGAUGACGUUGAUGAAGAACUUGUCCUUGGGGGAGUUUGGGGAAGCCAUGGCACCUAGGUUUGCUGAAAGUUCUCCUGGCACAAAUAGAUCGAAAAGAAAACACACAGAAUUGCAAGAUACAAUACCGGGACGAUCCGGAAAAAUAUAUGGCAAAAAUUUCUGCAUCAAAAGGAAGGUAACAAGCGAAAGUGGGGUCGGAGACGGACUCCGGGUGAUCCACGCAGCCUCCUGGUGCGGCCAGGAGGUAGCCUGUGCCACCAGGUCGCCUGGAGCCCCUAGAGCUCCUCUCUGGCUCCAAUUUGGCUCUGAAUUUUCCUAAUUUUGCAAAAACACAUAAUACAAAACUUUUAUUGAUGUUCGCCAAGUUUCCUUACCAUAUUUCAGUUGGGGAACGUUGCAUGGGAAACAAAAAAUUUCCUACGCACACGAAGACCUAUCAUGGUGAUGUUCAUCUACGAGAGGGAGAUCGGAUCCACAUACCCUUGUAGAUUGCUAAGCAGGAACCGUUAAGAAACGCGGUUGAUGUAGUGGUACAACUUCGUGAUUCAAAUUACCGUCGUCCCAUGAUCCGUCCCACGAUCCGUCCCGAUCUAGAACUGAACGGAUGACACCUCCAUGUUCAGCACACGUAUAGCUCGAUGACGAUCUCCGCCUUCUUGAUCCAGCAAGAGAGACGAGGAAGUAGAUGAGUUCUCCGGCAGCGUGACGGCGCGUCGGUGAUGGUGAUGAUCUAUUCUAGCAGGGCUCCGCCCGAGCUCCGCAGAAAUCCGAUCUAGAGGUAGAACUACGAGGUAUAGGUUUGAGUUGCACGUGGCAAAGUUGUAUCUCAAAACCCUAAAACCACCAGUCUAUAUAGGAGGAGGGGAGGGGCUAGCCUUGGGGCUCAAGAGAGCCCCAAGGGCGCCGGCCGAAGGAGGAGAUGGACUCCCACUCCAAUUCGGUUUGGAGGAGGAGGAGUCCACUCCUUCCUUCCCACCUCCCUCUUUUUUUUCUUUUUGGUUUUACCUCUUGUGGUGGCAUAGUCCACUUGGGCUGGCCUCACCAGCCCACUAAGGGCUGGUGCGCCACUCUAGGACUAUUGGGCUCACUCCCGGGUGGGUGGGCCCCUCGCGGUGAAUACUCAGAACCCAUUCAUCACUCCCGGUACACUGCCCGUAAUGCACGAAAUCUUUCCGGUGACCAAAUGAAACCAUCCUAUAUAUCAAUCUUCAUUUCCAGACUAUUCCGGAAACCCUCGUGACGUCCGUGAUCUCAUCCGAGACUCCGAACAACCUUCGGUCACCAACACCUAUAACUCAACUAUACUAAAACGUCAUUGAACAUUAAGUGUGCAGACCCUGCGGGUUCGAGAACUAUGCAGACAUGACCCGAGACACUCCCCGGUCAAUAUCCAAUAGGGGGACCUGGAUGUCCAUAUUGGAUCCUACAUAUUCAACGAAGAUCUUAUCGAUUGAAUCUCCGUGCCAAGGAUUCAUAUAAUCCCGUAUAACAUUCCCUUUGUCCUUCGGUAUGUUACUUGCCCGAGAUUUGAUCAUUGGUAUCUCUAUACCUAUUUCAAUCUUGUUACCGGCAAGUCUCUUUAUCGUUCCGUAAUACAAGAUCUCGUGACUUACACUUGAGUCACAUUGCUUGCAAGGCUUGUAUGUGAUGUUUUAUUACCGAGUGGGCCCUGAGAUACCUCUCCGUCACACGGAGUGACAAAUCCCAUUCUUGAUCCAUGCUAACUCAACAGACACCUUCGAAGAUACACGUAGAUCACCUUUAUAGUCACCCAGUAACGUUGUGACAUUUGAUACACACAAGGUAUUCCUCCGGUGUCAGUGAGUUACAUGAUCUCAUGGUCAUAGGAGUGAAUACUUGACACGCAGAAAACAAUAGCAAUAAAAUGACACGAUCACAUGCUACGUUCAUAGUUUGUGUCUUGUCCAUCACAUCAUUCUCCUAAUGAUGUGAUCUAGUUAUCAAGUGACUACACUUGCAUAUGAUCAGAAAACCUUAACCAUCCUUGAUCAACUGGCUAGUCAACUAGAGGCUUACUAGGGACAUUGUUUUGUCUAUAUAUCCACACAUGUAUCUAUGCUUUCAUUUAAUACAAUUAGAGCAUGGAUAAUAAACAAUUAUCUUGAAACAGGAAAUAUAAUAAUAACUAUUUUAUCAUUGCCUCUAGGGCAUAUUUCCAACAGUCUCCCACUUGCACUAGAGUCAAUAAUCUAGUCUCACAUCGCUAUGCGAUUUACAUUGGAAUGAAUCUAACACCCAUACAGUUCUGGUGUUGAUCAUGCUUCGCUCGUGGAAGAGGUUUAGUCAGCGGAUCUGCUACAUUCUGAUCCGUGUGCACUUUGCAAAUAUUUACGCCCACUCCUUCGACGUAGUCGCGGAUGAGGUUGAAGCGUCGCUUGAUGUGUCUAGUCUUCUUGUGAAACCUUGGUUCCUUUGCUAAAGCAAUGGCACCAGUGUUGUCACAGAACAGAGUUAUUGGAUUCAGUGCGCUCGGCAGCACUCCAAGAUCCAUCAUGAACUGCUUCAUCCAGACACCCUCCUUAGCUGCCUCCGAGGCAGCCAUGUAAUCCGCUUCACAUGUAGAAUCAGCUAUGAUGCUUUGCUUGGAACUACACCAUAUUAUCGCACCCCCAUUAGGAAUAAAUACGUAUCCGGUUUGAGACUUAGAGUCAUCCGGAUCAGCGGCAAAGCUUGCAUCCACGUAACCCUUUGCGAUGAGCUCUUCGUCACCUCCAUAAACGAGAAACAUUUCCUUAGUCCUUUUCAGGUACUUCAGAAUAUUCUUGACCGCCGUCCAGUGAUUCUCUCUUGGAUUACUUUGAAACCUGCCUGCCAUACUUAUGGCCAGGCUGAUGUCCGGUCUAGUGCACAACAUUGCAUACAUGAUAGACCCUAUGGCUGAAGCAUAUGGGACGAUACUCAUCUUUUCUCUUCUUCCACAGUAACUGGACACUGAGUCUUACUCAACUUUAUACCUUGUAAUACUGGCAAGAACCCCUUCUUGGACUGCUCCGUUUUGAACUUCUUCAAAACUUUAUCAAGGUAUGUGCUUUGUAAAAGUCCUAUUAGGCGUCUCGAUCUAUCCCUAUAGAUCUUAAUGCCUAAUAUGUAAGCAUCUUCUCCUAGGUCCUUCAUUGAAAAACAUUUGUUCAAGUAAUAUUUUACACUCCCUAAAAACUCCACAUUGUUUCCAAUCAGCAAUAUGUCAUCCACAUAUAAUAUUAGAAACGCUACAGAGCUCCCACUCACUUUCAUGUAAAUACAAGAUUCUCCAACAACUUGCAUAAACCCAAAUGCUUUGAUCACCUCAACAAAGCGCUUAUUCCAACUCCGAGAUGCUUGCACCAGUCCAUAAAUGGAUCGCUGGAGCUUGCACACUUUGUUAUCAUUCUUCGGAUCGACAAAAACUUCGGGUUGCAUCAUAUACAACUCUUCCUUAAGAAAACCGUUAAGGAACCCUGUUUUGACAUCAAUCUGCCAGAUUUCAUAAUCAAAAAAUGCAUCUAUUGCUAACAUGAUUCGGACGGACUUAAGCAUCGCUACCGGUGAGAACGUAUCAUCGUAGUCAACUCCUUGAACUUGUAAAAAACCCUUUGCCACAAGUUGAGCUUUUAAAACGGUCACAUUACCGUCCGCGUCCGUCUUCUUCUUAAAGAUCCAUUUGUUCUGAAUAGCCUUGCGACCUUCAGGUAAUACUUUCGAAGUCCACACUUUGUUUUCAUACAUAGAUCCUAUCUCGGACUUCAUGGCCUCGAGCCAUUUGUUGGAAUCCAGGCCCACCAUUGCUUCUUCAUAAUUCAUAGGUUCAUUGUUGUCUAACAACAUGAUAGAUAAGACAGGAGUACCGUACUACUCAGGAGCAGUACGUGAUCUUGUCGACCUGCGAGGUCCGAUAGUAACUUGAUCCGAAGCUUCAUGAUCAUCAUCAUUAGCUUCCUCCUCAACCGGCGUCGCCUCGACAGAGGUUUCCCCCUUCCGUGCGCCACCAUCUAGAGGGAGUAGAGGUUCUACAACCUCAUCAAGUUCUAUCUUCCUCCCACUCAAUUCUUUCGAGAGAAAUUCCUUCUCAUGAAAAGCUCCGUUCUUAGCAAUAAACACUGUGCCCUCGGAUCUGAGAUAGAAGGUGUACCCAACUAUCUCCUUUGGGUAACCUAUGAAGACGCACUUUUCCGCUUUGGAUUCCAGCUUUUCAGGCUGAAGCUUUUUGACAUAAGCAUCGCAUCCCCAAACUUUAAGAAAGGACAACUUUGGCCUCUUGCCAUACCAUAGCUCAUAUGGUGUCGUCUCAACGGAUUUUGACGGUGCCCUAUUUAAAGUGAAUGCAGCUGUCUCUAAUGCAUAACCCCAAAACGAUAAUGACAAAUCGGUAAGAGACAUCAUAAAUCGCACCAUAUCUAACAAAGUACAAUUACGGCAUUCGGACACACCAUUACGCUGUGGUGCUCUAGGCGGUGUUAACUGAGAAAUGAUUCCACAUUGUAUUAAGUGAGCACCAAACUCGAAAGUCAGAUAUUCAGCCCCUCGAUCAGAACGUAGGAACUUGAUCUUCUUGUUACGAUGAUUUUCAACUUCACUCUAAAAUUGCUUGAACUUCUCAAACGUUUCAAACUCGUGCUUCAUCAAGUAGAUAUAUCCAUACCUACUCAAAUCAUCAGUGAAGGUGAGAAAAUAACGAUAUCCUCCGCGCGCCUCCACACUCAUUGGACCGCAUACAUCAGUAUGUAUGAUCUCCAACAAGUCACUUGCACGCUCCAUUGUUCCAGAGAACGGAGUCUUAGUCAUCUUGCCCAUGAGGCAUGGUUCGCAUGUGUCAAGAGAUUCAAAAUCAAGUGACUCCAAAAGCCCAUCGGUAUGGAGUUUCUUCAUGCGCUUUACACCAAUAUGACCUAAGCGGCAGUGCCACAAAAACGUGGCGCUAUCAUUGUGAACUCUACAUCUUUUGGUCACAAUGUUAUGUAUAUGUGUGUCAUCACAAUCAAGAUUCAAUAUGAACAAACCUCUCACGUUGGAUGCAUGUCCAUAAAAGAUAUUACUCAUAAAAAUAGAACAACCAUUAUUAUCUGACUUAAAUGAGUAACCGUCUCGCAAUAAACAAGAUCCAGAUACAAUGUUCAUGCUUAACGCAUGCACUAAAUAAAAAUUAUUUAAGUUCAUAACUAAUCCCGAUGGUAAAUGAAGUGAGACUGUGUCGACGGCGAUUGCAUCAACCUUGGAACCAUUUCCCACGCGCAUCGUCACUUCAUCCUUCGCCAGCCUCGUUUAUUCCGCAGUUCCUGCUUCGAGUUGCAAAUAUGAGCAACAGAACCAGUAUCAAAUACCUAGGCACUACUACGAGAGUUGGUUAAGUACACAUCAAUAACAUGUAUAUCACAUAUACUUGCUUUUUCUUUGGCCGCCUUCUUAUCAGCCAAAUAUUUGGGGUAGUUGCGCUUCCAGUGACCCAUGCCCUUGCAAUAAUAGCACUGUGUUUCCGGCUUAGGUCCAGCAUUGGGUUUCUUCGUUGGAUUGGCAACAGUUUUGCUGCUCUUCUUGGAGUUACCCUUCUUGCCUUUGCUGUUUCUCUUGAAACCAGUGGUCUUAUUGACCAUCAACUCUUGAUGCUCUUUCCGGAGUUCUGACUCUGUGACUUUCAGCAUCGCGAAUAACUCGCCGGGUGACUUGUUCAUCACUUGCAUGUUAUAGUUCAACACAAAGCUCUUAUAGCUAGGUGGCAAUGAUUGAAGAAUUCUGUGAGUGAUAGCCUCUUGCGGGAGUUCAAUCCCCAGCUCAGCUAGACGGUUUGAGUACCCAGACAUUUUGAGCACAUGUUCACUGACAAACGAAUUCUCCUCCAUCUUCCAAGCAUAUAAUUUAUCGGAGGUAUCAUACCUCUCGAUCCGGGCGUUCUUAUGAAAGAUAAACUUCAACUCCUGGAACAUCUCAUAUGCUCCAUGACGCUCAAAGCGCCGUUGAAGUCCCGGUUCUAAGCCAUACAAGACUGCACAUUGAACUAUUGAGUAGUCCUCCUUAUGCGAUUGCCAAGCAUUCAAAACAUCUUGGUCAGACGUAGCGGGUGGUUCAUCUCCUAGCGCAGCAUCAAGGACAUAAUUCUUUUUCCCAGCUUGUAGGAUGAGCCUAAGAUUACGUGCCCAGACUACAAAGUUGCUUUCAUCAUCUUUCAACAUAGCUUUCUCUAGGAACGUAUUGAAAUUCAGGGUUGCUACUGCGUGAGCCAUUGAUCUACAACAUAAAAUAUUGCAAAGUGGACUUAGACUAUGUUCAAGACAAUUAGAGUUUAACUAAUCAAAUUACUAAUAAAUUCCUACUCAAAUAGACAUCCCUCUAGUUACUUGAGUGUGACAUGAUCCAAAUUCACUAACUCAAGUCCGAUCAUCACAUGAGUUGAGUAUAGUUUCAGUGGUAAACAUCUCUAUGCUAAUCAUAUCAACUAUACGAUUCAUGCUCGACCUUUCGGUCUCUUGUGUUCCUAGGCCAUGUCUGCACAUGCUAGGCUCGUCAAGUUUAACCCGAGUGUUUCGCGUGUGCAACUGUUUUGCACCAGUUGUAUGUGAAUGUUGAGUCUAUCGCACACGAUCAUCACGUGGUGUCUCUAAACGACGAACUGUCGCAACGGUGCACAGUCGGGGAGAACACAAUUUUAUCUUGAAAUUUUAGUGAGGGAUCACCUUAUAAUGCUACCGUCGUUCUAAGAAAGAUAAGGUGCAUAAAAGGAUUAACAUCACAUGCAAUUCAUAAGUGACAUGAUAUGGCCGUGAUCUUGUGCUUCUUAAUCUCCACCACCAAAGCACCGGCAUGAUCUCCUUGUCACUGGCGCCACACCAUGAUCUCCAUCAUCAUGAUCUCCAUCAUCGUGCCGCCAUCGAGGUUGUCGUGCUAUCUAUGCUAUUACUACUAAAGGUACAACCUAGCAAUAUAGUAAAUGCAUCUGCAAACACAAACGUUAGUUUAAAGACAACCCUAUGGCUCAUGCCGGUUGCCGUAGCAUCGACGUGCAAGUCGAUAUUAACUAUUACAACAUGAUCAUCUCAUACAUCCAAUAUAUCACAUCAUGUCUUUGGCUAUAUCACAUCACAAGCAUACCUUGCAAAAACAAGUUAGACGUCCUCUAAUUUGUUGUUGCAUGUUUUACGUGGCUGCUAUGGGUAUCUAGUAUGAUCGCAUCUUACUUACGUAAAAACCACAAUGGAGAUGUGCAAAUUGCUAUUUAACCUCUCUCCAAGGACCGCCUCGGUCAAAUCCAAUUCAACUAAAGUUGAAGAAUCCGACACCCGCCAGUCAUAUUUAUGCAACGACUUGCAUGUUGGUCGAUGAAACCAGUCUCUCGUAAGCGUGCGAGUAAUGUCGGUCUGGGCCGCUUCAAUCCAACAAUACCGCCGAAUCGAGAAAAGACUAAGGAGGGCAGCAAAUCGAACAUCAACUCCCACAAAAACUUUUGUGUUCUACACGAGAUUACAUCUACGCAUGAACCUAGAUCAUGAUGCCACAGUUGGGGAACAUUGCAUGGGUAACAAAAAAUUUCCUACGCACACGAAUACCUAUCAUGGUGAUGUUCAUCUACGGGAGGGAGAUCGGAUCCACAUACCCUUGUAGAUUGCUAAGCGGGAAGCAUUAAGAGACGCGGUUGAUGUAGUGGUACAGCUUCGUGAUUCAAAUCACCGUCGUCCCACGAUCCGUCUCGAUCUAGCACCGAACGAACAACACCUCCGCGUUCAGCACACGUACAGAUCGAUGACGAUCUCUGCUUUCUUGAUCCAGAAGAGAGACAGGGAAGUAGAUGAGUUCUCCGGCAGCUUGACGGCGCACCGGUGAUGGUGAUCUAUUCCAGCAGGGAUCCGCCUGAGCUCCGCAGAAAUCCGAUCUAGAGGUAGAACUACGAGGUAUAGGUUUGAGUUGCACGUGGCAAAGUUGUGUCUCAAAAACCCUAAAACCACCAGUAUAUAUAGGAGGAGGGGAGGGGCUAGCCUUGGGGUUCAAGAGAGCCCCAAGGGCGCCGACCGAAGGAGGAGAUGGACUCCGACUCCAAGUCGGUUUGGAGGAGGAGGAGUCCACUCCUUCCUUCCGACCUCCCUCUUUUUUUUUCUUUUUGGUUUUUCCUCUUGUGGCGCCAUAGUCCACUUGGCCUGGCCUCACCAGCCCACUAAGGGAUGGUGCGCCACCCUAGGACUAUUGGGCUCACUCCCGGGUGGGUGGGCCCCUUGCUACGACAACAGACAACAGUGCAAGAGAUUGACACGUUGAUGGAGACUGGGCUUGCGUUGGUUUUUCCCUUGAAGAGGAAAGGAUGGUGCAGCACAUGAGAAGUAAGUAUUUCCCUCAGUUUGAGAAAGAAGGUAUAAAUUCAGUAGGAGAAUCUCGUCAAGUCUAGAGUACGUGCGCAAGCACAAAAGAGCUUGCAGCCAACACUAUAAAGGGGUUGUCAAUCCCUUCAAGAUUGAUUGCAAAGUGAGAUCUGAACGCGGAAAGUGCAACGAAGUAAAAGUGUAAGGCUGAAAUAUAGUGUGGAGUAGACUCGGGUGCCAUAGUGUUCACUAGAGGCUUCUCCUAAAAUAGCAAAUAUUACGAUGGGUGAACAAAUUACUGUCGAGCAAUUGAUAGAACCGCACAAAGUCAUGAUGAUAUCUAAGGCAAUGAUCAUACAUAUAGGCAUCACGUCCGAGACAAGUAGACCAAUUCUUUCUGCAUCUACUACUAUUACUCCACACAUCGACCGCUAUCCAGCAUGCAUCUAAUGUAUUGAGUUCAUGACGAACAGAGUAAUGCCUUAAGCAAGAUGACAUGAUGUAGAGGGAUAAUCUCAAACCAAUGAUGAAAGCCCCAUCUUUUUACCGUUGUUGGCAACAACACGAUGCGUGCCUCGCUACCCCUUCUGUCACUGGGUGAGGUCACCGCACGGUAUGAACCCAAAACCAAGCACUUCUCCCAUUGCAAAAAUCAUAGAUCAAGCUGGCCAAACAAAACCCACAACUCGAAGAGAAUUACAAGGAUAUGAAAUCAUGCAUAAGAGAGAUCAGAAGAAACUCAAAUAAGAUUCAUAGAUAAUCUGAUCAAAAAUCCACAAUUCAUCGGAUCUCGACAAACACACCGCAAAAGAAGAUUACAUCGGAUAGAUCUCCAUGAAGAUCAUGGAGAACUUUGUAUUGAAGAUCCAAGAGAGAGAAGAAGCCAUCUAGCUACUAGCUAUGGACCCGUAGGUCUAUGGUGAACUACUCACGCAUCAUCGGAGAGGUCAUGGUGUUGAUGAAGAAGCCCUCCGUGUCCGAAUCCCCCCUCCGGCAGGGCACCAGAACGUGCCCCAGAUGGCAUCUUGCGGAGACAGAAGCUUGCGGCGGCGGAAAAGUACUUUCGAUGAUCUCCUGAUUUUUUCUAGAAUUUUAGGGAAUAUAUAGGCGAAAGACCUAGGGCAGGGGAGCCACGGGGAGCUCACAAGCCUGCUAGGCCCAACCCCCCUAGGCCGGGCCUGGUGGGCUUGUGACCUCCUCCAAGGUCCCCUGCCUUGGUUCUCAAGUCUCCUCGUGUCUUCUGUUAUGGAAAAAAAUCAUUCCGCAGGUUUAUUCCGUUUGGACUCCAUUUAAAAUCCUCCUCUGAAAAGGGUCAAAAACACGAAAAAAACAGGAACUGGCACUUGGCACUGAGUUAAUAAGUUAGUCCCCAAAAAGAUAUAAAAGGCAUACAAAGCAUCCAAAGUUUGACAAGAUAAUAGCAUGAAACCAUAAAAAAUUAUAGAUACGUUGGAGAUGUAUCACCCCUCCCAGUGAAUACCCAACACCCAUUCGUCACUCCCGGUACACUGCCGGUAAUGACCGAAUUCUUUCCGGUGACCAAAUGAAACCAUCCUAUAUAUCAAUGUUCGUUUCUGGACCAUUUCGGAAACCCUCGUGACGUCCGUGAUCUCAUCCGGGACUCCGAACAACCUUCGGUCACCAACAACUAUAACUCAACUGUACUAAAACGUCAUCGAACCUUAAGUGUGCAGACCCUCCGGGUUCGAGAACUAUGCAGACAUGACCCGAGACACUCCCCGGUCAAUGUUCAAUAGAGGGACCUGGAUGUCCAUAUUGGAUCCGACAUAUUCUAUGAAUAUCUUAUGGGUUGAUUCUCUGUGCCAAGGAUUCAUAUAAUCCCGUAUAACAUUCCCUUUGUCCUUCGGUAUGUUACUUGCCCGAGAUUUGAUCGUUGGUAUCUCCAUACCUAUUUCAACCUCGUUACCGGAAGUCUCUUUACUCAUUCCGUAAUACAAGAUCCCGUGACUUACACUUGAGUCACAUUGCUUGCAAGGCUUGUAUGUGAUGUUGUAUUACCUAGUGGGCCCCGAGAUACCUCUCCGUCACACGGAGUGACAAAUCCCAGUCUUGAUCCAUGCUAACUCAACGGACACCUUCGGAGAUACAUGUAGAGCACCUUUAUAGUCACCCAGUAACGUUUUGACGUUUGAUACACACAAGGUAUUCCUCGGGUGUCAGUGAGUUACAUGAUCUCAUGGUCAUAGGAGUGAAUACUUGACAUGCAGAAAACAAUAGCAAUAAAAUGACACAGUCACAUGCUACAUUUGUAGUUUGGGUCUUGUCCAUCACAUCAUUCUCCUAAUGAUGUAAUCCAGUUAUCAAGUGACAACACUUGCAUAUGAUCAGAAAACCUUAACCAUCCUUGAUCAACUGGCUAGUCAACUAGAGGCUUACUAGGGACAUUAUUUUGUCUAUAUAUCCACACAUAUAUCUAUGCUUUCAUUCAAUACAAUUAUAGCAUGUAUAAUAAACGAUUAUCUUGAAACAGUAAAUAUAAUAAUAACUAUUUUAUCAUUGCCUCUAGGGCAUAUUUCCAACAAUUUCAUACCUAUUCUUAUUCUGCUUCUGCUCGUGUCUGACACGGUACUGCAAUAUGUUCUUCAUGAGUAGCUACGUGUAUCACAUCCACCUCUACAUUGAUGGGAUCUCCAGCCAUGUAAUGCUUGAGUCUUUGCCUCUUCACAACAUGUGGUUUGUUGCCUUCAAAAUUGUUAAUCUUGAUUGCACCAGAGCGGUAGAAUUCUUCGACAUGGUACGGUCCUUCCCACUUGGAAAGUAAUUUACCUGGAGAAAACCUGAAACGAGAUCUAUACAACAAAACUUUAUCACCAACAUUAAAUUCAAGUUUCAAAAUUCUCUUGUCAUGCGACUUCUUUAAAUUUUCUUUGAACAUUUUUGCACUCUCGUAAGCUUCACUUCUCCACUCAUCUAGAGAAGUCAAGUUCAUGAGUGGCUUUUCACCAGCAAGCUUUGGGCCAGCAUUAAGCUCUCUAACAACCUAGAAAUAUUUGUGCUCUAACUCUAAAGGUAAAUGGCAUUCCUUGCCAUAGACCAUCUUAUACGGAGACAUUCCCAUGGGAUUUUUGUAAGGAGUUCUAUACGCCCACAAGGCAUCCCCUAACUUUUUGGACCAGUCCUUUCUAGAACUGUUCACUGUCUUUUGCAAGAUCAACUUGAUCUCUCUAUUUGUGAGCUCAACUUGCCCACUUGUUUGAGGGUGGUAAGGUGAAGCAAUUCUAUGAUUAACAUCAUAUUUGGCUAGAGCUUUUCUAAAAGCAGCAUGUGUAAAAUGUGAUCCUCCAUCGGUCAUGAGGUACCUAGGUACACCAAACCUAGGGAAGAUUACACCCUUGAGCAUUUUCAAAGAUGUGUUGUGAUCAACACUUUCAGUGGGGAUUGCCUCAACCCACUUGGUCACAUAAUCAACAACCACUAAGAUGUGAGUGUACUUGUGUGAAGGAGGAAAAGGACCCAUAAAAUCGAAACCCCAGCAAUCAAAAGGCUCAAUGACUAGAGAAUAAUUCAUAGGCAUCUAAUUUCUCCUACUGAUAUUACCAACUCUUUGACACUUAUCACAAGAUAAAACAUAAUUUCUAGCGUCUUUAAAGAGAGUAGGCCAAUAAAAACCUGACUGGAGAACCUUAUGUGCGGUUCUCUCACCGGCAUGAUGUCCUCCAUAAGGAUUGUUAUGACAUUAUGUCAAGAUAUCCUUCUGCUCAUGCUUCGGUAUGCAUCUCCUCAUGAUCCCAUCCACACCUUCUCUAAAAAGAUGUGGGUCAUCCCAAAAGUAAUACCUCAAGUUGGGGAAGAAUUUCUUCCUUUGCUGGAAUGUUAAACCUGGAAGCAAAAACUUUGCAACAAUAAAGUUAGCAUAAUUUGCAUACCAUGGAUCGGAAUUAGAUUGUACCUUCAAAAAAGCUAACUGUUCAUCAGGAAAACUAUCGUUGACCGGAAUAGGAUCAUGUGGUAUGUCCUCCAUCCUGGAAAGGUUGUCUGCUACAGGGUUGUCUGCUCCCUUCCUAUCAACAAUCUGCAAAUCAAAUUCUUGAAGAGGAAGGACCCAUCUGAUAAGCCUUGGUUUGGCAUCCUUCUUUUCCAUAAGAUACUUAAUAGAAGCAUGAUCAGUAUGAAUGAUGACUUUUGAAUCAAUGAUGCAAGGCCUAAAGUUAUCAAAAGCAAACACUAACGCCAAAAACUCUAUCUUAGUAGUAGCAUAAUUCUUUUGAGCACUGUCAAGGGUUUUACUAGCAUAAUGUAUAACAUUCAAUUUCUUAUCAACACUUUGUCCUACCACCGCUCCAACAACAAAAUCACUAGCAUCACACAUGAUUUCAAAAGGCAAAUUCCAAUCAGGUGGUUGGACUAUAGGGGCGGUUAUCAAGGCUUACUUAAGAAUUUCGAAGGCUUCCUUACAAUCUUCAUCAAACACAAAAGGAAUAUCCUUUUGGAGAAUAUUAGUGAGGGGUUUUGAAGUCUUAUAAAAGUUUUUAAUAAAUAUUCUAUAGAAACCGGCAUGAUCGAGGAAACUACGAAUACCUCUGAUGUCCUUUGGAUAAGGCAUCCUAUCGAUUGCUUCGACCUUUGACCUGUCCACCUCGAUUCCCUUUCAGAAAUCUUAUGGCCAAGAACAAUUCCCUCAUUGGCCAUGAAGUGACACUUAUCCCAGUUGAGUACCAAGUUCAUUUCCUCACAUCUCUACAAAACUUUAUUAGGGUUGUGGAGACAAUGGUCACAAGAGGUUCCAUAGACGGAGAAAUCGUCCAUGAAGACCUCCACAAUUUCCUCACAAAAACCAUGAAAGAUAGCAUACAUACACCUUUGAAAAGUAUCAGGAGCAUUGCAUAAACCAAAAUACAUACAUCUAUAAGCAUAAGUACCAAAGGGACAAGUAAAAGUGGUCUUCUCUUGAUCGGCAGUAUUAACAUGAAUUUGAGAGAAGGUAGAAUACCCAUCAAGAUAGCAAAAUUGAGUGUUUUUGGAUAACCUUUCAAGCAUUUGGUCGAUGAACGGCAACGGGUAGUGGUCCUUCCUGGUUGCUUUUUUCAUAUUCCUCUAAUCAAUACAAAUUCUAUAUCCAAUAAUAAUUCUUUGAGGUAUUAGUUGAUUCUUAUCAUUAGGAACCACAGUCGUACCUCCUUUCUUGGGAACACAAUGUACCAGACUUACCCACUUACUAUCAGCUAUAGGAUAGAUAAUACAUGCGGCUAGAAGCUUGAGGAUUUUGGUCCUCACAACAUCCUUCGUCGUCGGGUUCAACCGUCGUUGAUGAUCAACAACCGGUUUAGCAUCAGGCUCAAGAUUGAUAGUAUGCUGACAAAUAGAUGGACUAAUCCCCUUAAGAUCAUCAAGGGUAUAGCCAAUAGCACCUCGGUGUUUACGAAGGACUUCCAAUAAUUGCUCUUCUUCAUAUCCUGAAAGGUUAGCAUUGAUAAUAAGAGGAUAUACUUUCUUUUCAUCUAAAUAAGCAUACUUGAGCGUAUUGGGAAGAGGUUUAAGAUCAAACACCGGAUCUUCUUUUGGUUUCGAUAAAAUUCCCAAAGGCUCAACCGGAAGGUUGUGCUUCAGGAUAGCAGGUUGUCUCAAGAAUAUGUCGUCUAGCUCAUUCCUUUCCUGCAUAUGCAUAUCAUUCUCGUGGUCCUCCAUAAAUUGCUGCAAAGGAUCGUUAGGAGGAAUAGAAAUAGAAGCAUUCUCUUGAAUAAUUUUAUCAUUACUAGACAAAUCAGUAUCACGAGUUUUCUUCGAGAAUUUAGGAAAGUUAAAUUCAUAUGGCUCACCAUUAAAUUCAACAUAUACUUUUCCUUUCCUGUAAUCUAUAAUAGCUCCAUAAGUUUUGAGAAAGGCCUACCAAAGAUAAUAGGGCAAAAACUAUCUUGCAGUGAACCAAGUACUAGAAAGUCGGUAGGAUAUUUUACCUUUCCACAUAGGACUUCAACAUCUUGCACAACUCCAAUAGGAGAGAUAGUUUCUUUGUUUGCAAGAUGAAUAGUAACAUCAACGUCUUCAAUUUCACAUGGUAUGAUCUCAUUCAUGAUCUCUUGAUAAAGUGAAAAAGGAAUAGCACUAGCACUGGAUCCCAAAUCACAUAGCCCGUAAUAAUUAUGAUCCCCUAUUUUAACAGAUGCAACUGGAGUACCUGAAAUUGGGCCUUUAUUCUUGGCUGUAACAAGGUUGGUAUAAACAACACAAAAAUUUAUAUUGGAAUCCUCAAUAUUACUAGUAACAAGAUCCUUGACUAAUGCAACUUGAGGAUGGACCUUAAUCAAGUCCUCAUGCUCAUCAGUCGUUCUUUCACUUUUAUUCAGUAUGCCCGUGACAAAAGAAUGCUCCCUCAUCCUUGUGGGAAAAGGGGGCUUUUCAUAUAAAACUGCAGGCAAGAUAGGGUCAACAACAUUGAUACCAACAGGUAAUUCCUUAAAAGGUUUAUGGUAUUGAUCCCCCCUUUUCUUAGAAGAAUCAAUAUGAGCGGCAAAGUCUUUGCAAAAAUCAAUUAGAAGCCGGGAAUCAAGACCAAUCUUAGCACAAAAGGUAUUGAAGUAAUCAAAUUUCACAUAGCUCUCAAUGUAAUCAUGCUCAUAAUUUAUAACGGGUUCAAUACCUUUAUCAAUCUCCCAAUCUUCAGUAUUCUUCUGGAUCCUUUCAAUAAGAUCCCACCUAGCUUCAGUGCUUUUGUUGAAGAAUGCCCCACUAGAGGAGGCAUCAAGCAUCUCUUUAUCUUGACGAGAAAGCCUUGCAUAAAAAUUUGUAAGAAUAAUUUCCUUGGGGAGCUCAUGAUUGAGACAUUUGAGCAUUAGUGACUUAAAUCUCCCCAAGCUUGAGCGAUGCUUUCUCCGUCACGAUAUCAAAAGUUAUAAAUAUAAUUCUUGUUUCGAUGUAUUUCAUGAAGAGGAUAAAACUUUGCAUAAAAGAGAGGCAUAAGAUGUUACCGAUUUACCAAAUGAGAGUUAUCAAGAAGCCUAUACCAAUCCAAAGCAUUAUCUUUUAAUGAUAGAGAGAAUAGCUUUCUCAUAACAAAAUCCAUCGAUAUACCUGCAAGCUUAAAUAAGGAGCAUAGUUGUGAAAGAUAUAGCAAGUGUUCGCGUGGAUGUCUAUCUCCUGCAUAUCGAUUAGCUAAGACACAAUCAAUAAUACCAGUUGGUAUUUUAAAGGGCACAAUUUUAGUAGGUGGGGGAGGCUUCUCCACCACAAUAGCGUUGGGGAGGUUUCCCACAAGCAACAAACCAAGAGAAGAGUUGUCCAUAGGGACAAAAAACGAAAACUACAAAAUAAAAACAACACGUACAUCGUAAAGAUUUCCUUACCAAUUUCACUUACCAAUAGCGCUUCACUCCCCGGCAACGGUGCCAGAAAAUGGUGUUGAUGACCCACAAGUAUAGGGUAUCUAUCGUAGCCUUUUCUAUAAGUAAGAGUGUCGAACCCAACGAGGAGCAGAAGGUACUGACAAGCGAUCUUGAGAAGGGACUAACUGCAAGUACUGAAAGGUAAUUUUUUAUGGGUUUUCUGGUAUAAGCAACAAGAAAAUAACUGCAGGGAAAGUAAAUGGUGCUGAGGUGCAAAAAGUGGCCCAAUCCUUUUGAACACAAAGGAUAAGCUAAGGGACUAAACUUAUAAAGACUAAUGCGUUCCUGAGGACAUACGGGAGAGAUAGUCAAGUGAUUUCGCCAUAUUCUGUCUAGUACUAUGUUUUGUAUUGAUAAGUGUUAUGUGGGUGGAUCUUAACUAGUGCACCGUAUAGGACAAGACAAGUACACUCUUAUGAUUGAAAUCCUUGCAAGCAUCCGCAAAUGCAAGAGAUAAAUUAAGGCAAAGCCUAACCAUAGUAAUAAGCUUUAGGAUCCAACACUCCCUCGUGCAAAAGCAUGCGAAUUGGGGUUCAUGUUUCUGUCACUCCCGCAACCCACCAUAAGCAUUAUUUAUACACGAUGUAUUCUCCUAGGCCCUUAAAAAGGUGAAGUGUUAUGUAGUCGACGUUCACAUAACACCACUAGAAGAAUAACACCAUAACUUAAAUAUCAAUGAACACAUAUUACUUCAACAUCAUAUGACUAUUAUGAACUAGACUUCUCCCAUGUCCUCAAGAACUAAAGUAACUACUCACGAGACAUAAAAGAGAUCAUGAUCAGAGGUGAUGAAAAUAUGAUGAACAAUCUGGUCAUAACAGUAAUUCUCCAACAAUACUCAAUAGCAUUCACCACAAAAGAGUAAUCAACACCGAUAGAGUAAGGGGGAUGAAUAGUGCAAGGUACAACUCCGAUUGCAAUGGUAAAGUGAGAUGUGGUGAAGAUGGAGAUGGUGCUGGUGAUGAUGAUCUCGAUGAUGCCCGUGACGAUGGUGAUGACGAUGAGGAUGGUCUCCCCUUCCGGGAGGAGUUCUCCCCGGCGGAAUCUGCCCGUCGAAAAGGUCUUUUCUUCUGUGUAGGUUUCCGCCUCGGAGCGACGGCGGAACUCCGGAAAAACUUCUGUCCCCGUAACUUUUAGAUCACAAGGGUCAUAUAGGCGAAAGGAGAGCACCGGAGGCGGGACCACCACCUAGGCGGCCUUUGGGUGCGGCCUUGGGGUGACCCGCACCACCAGGUCGCAUGGGUGCCUGGUGGCCCCCCUUUGGCCCUUCUUCGGUUUGUCUUUGUGAUCUGUUCGAAAACUCCUUCCCCGUAAAUUUCAGCUCAAUUGGAGAUGUUCUAAUUCGACAACUCUCCAUGCUAUUUUCUCCGUUGAAUCCUGCGUCUGCUGUUUUGGCACAGGAAAGUUGUAAACUGUGUAAAAUAAGCCAAAACACUAUAAGAACAACAUCAUAAUGUGAAACAUAUCAAUGGAUAGAGACAAAUUAUAAUACAAAAUUGUUGGGUAACGUAGCAUAAAUUCAAAAAAUUUCCUACGCAUAUUCAGAUCUUCCUAUGGAGAGACGAGCAACGAGAGAGGGCUGAGUGCAUCUUCAUACCUUUGAAGAUCUCUAAGCGGAAGUGUUGCUAGAACGCGGUUGAUGGAGUCGUACUCGCGGCGAUUCAAAUCGCGGUGUGAUUCCAAUCUAGUGCCGAACCACGGCACCUCCGCGUUCAACACACGUGCAGCCCGAUGACGUCUCCCGCACCUUGAUCCAGCAAGGAGGAGGGAGAGGUUGGGGAAGCUCUCCGGUAGCACGACGACGUGGUGUCGAUGGAGAGACGAGGUUUCCCGGAAGGGCUUCGCCAAGCACCGUGGGAGGAGGAGCAAGGAGGGGAGCAGGGCUGCGCCGAGGGGAGAAGAAACCGUGUGCAAAACAGCCCCAAACCCCUGCCUAUAUAUAGGAGGAGGGGAGGGGAGUGCCACCCCUAGGGUUUCCCCCCUAGGUGGUGCAGCAGCCCCCUGUAGAUGGGAGGUGCGGCGGCUAGGGCAAGGGGAGGGGUGGCGCACCCCUUAGGUGGGCCUUAGGCCUACCAGCGCUAGGGUUUGCCCCCCUUCUCUCCCUCCUGUGCCUUGGGCCUCUUGUGGGAGGCGCACCAGCCCAAUUUGGGCUGGUUGCCCUCCCCCUUUUGGCCCAUGCUACCUCUUGGGCCUGGUGGCCCCUCCCGGUGGACCCCCGGGACCAUUUCCGGUGGUCUCGGUACGCUACCGGUGACGCCCGAAACAUUUCUGAUGUCCAAAACCAUCCAUCCUAUAUAUCAAUCUUUACCUCCGGACCAUUCCGGAGCUCCUUGUGACGUCCGGGAUCUCAUCCGGGACUCGGAACAACUUUCGGUAACCUCGUAUAACAUUUCCCUAUAACCCUAGCAUCAUCAAACCUUAAGUGUGUAGACCCUACGGGUUCGGGAAGCAUGCAGACAUGACCGAGAUGCUCUCCGGCCAAUAACCAUCAGCGGGAUCUGGAUACCCAUGGUGGAUCCCACACGUUCCAUGAUGAUCUCGUCGCAUGAACCACGAUGUCAAGGAUUCAAUCAAUCCCGUAUACAAUUCCCUUUGUUUGUAGGUAUAGAACUUGCCCGAGAUUCGAUCGUCGGUAUACCUAUACCUUGUUCAAUCUCAUUACUGGUAAGUCUCUUUACUCGUUCUGUAGCACGUCAUCGUGUGACUAACUCCUUAGUCACAUUGAGCUCAUGAUGAUGUUCUACCGAGUGGGCCCAGAGAUACCUCUCCGUCACACGGAGUGACAAAUCCCGAUCUCGAUUCGUACCAACCCAACAGACACUUUCAGAGGUACCCGUAGUGCACCUUUAUAGUCACCCAGUUACGUUGUGAUGUUUGAUACACCCAAAGUACUCCUACGGUAUCCGGGAGUUGCACAAUCUCACAGUCGAAGGAAAAGACACUUGACAUUAGAAAAACUUUAGCAUACGAACAAUACGAUCUAGUGCUAUGCUUAGGAUUGGGUCUUGUCCAUCACAUCAUUCUCCCAACGAUGUGAUCCCGUUAUCAAUGAAAUCUAAUGUCCAUGAUCAGGAAACCAUGAUCAUCUAUUGAUCAACGAGCUAGCCAACUAGAGGCUUGCUAGGGACACAUUGUGAUCUAUUUAUUCACACAUGUAUUACUGUUUCCUGUUAAUACAAUUAUAGCAUGAACAAUAGACGAUUAUCAUGAACAAGGAAAUAUGAUAAUAACCAUUUUAUUAUUGCCUCUAGGGCAUAUUUCCAACAAAAAUAGUGAUGCAUUUUGGACGUAUCACCAUUGCACUGCUUUUGUGGGUACUACCGUUCGAGCGUGGUACCGCUUACGUGGAGGUUGUGAGCAUAACGAUUGUAUUUGGGAGGGCCUAUUUAAGGGGGUCUUCUUACCCAAUGGUUAUUAUCCUUUGAACUCGUGUCCCCCCCCAUUGUUGACCUUCUUCGAUCUUGCUAUCUCUCAAUCCCUCCAAUGAUUCUUGCUAGUUCUUGAGGGAAAAGUAAGAGGAGAUAUAGAUCUACGUUUCCGCUAAUCAUUUUAUCCUGAAUGUGAGGGGAACCCCUUGGAUCUAGAUCUUGGAGUUCUUUGUGAGCUCCUUGUUAUUCCUCUCAUAUUCCUCACUAGCUUUUGUUGUGGUUGUGGUGGUAUUUCGUAGUGAGAGACUUGACCACUUCCAGUGUUCUUGACAUUACAUUAGUUGCAUGGGUUUGAGUUCUUCAUGGUGAUACAUGGAAGUUAAGUUUGAGAAGCUUAUAACUUUUGGUUGUUUCGGCAACCUAGAGCUUCUGACUCUUGUGUGCGUUGGUGCCCUAGAUGAUUGGUGGUGCCUUGGAGCUCAAUCAUUAUGGUGUAAAGCUUCGGUCAAGCGUCGGAGUCUCCAAUUAGGUUGUGGUGAUUGCACCGAGCAAUUUGUGCAGGUUCCGGUGACCUCCCCAAGGGUUAGCAAAGUGUACGGGUUGAGUAACUGCCCCAAGGGUUGGCAUGUGUACGGUGUUGGUGACCGCCCUCAAGGGUCCCUUUGUAAAACCACGACAUCUUGCAUUGUGCAAGGGCGUCAGAAGAUUAUGGUGCCCGAGUGGCUUCUUGGGGAUCAUUGUGCCUCCACACUGCUCCAAAUGGAGAUUAGCAUCCGCAAGGGUGUGAACUUUUGGAUACAUCAUCAUAUGUGCAUGCCUCAGUUAUCUCUUACCCGAGCCCUUUACUUAUGCACUUUACUUUGUGAUAUUCAUAUUUUUUCUUGUUAUAUAUCUUGCUAUCACUUAGUUGUUUAUAUUGUUUAGCAUAAGUUGUUGGUGCACAUAGGUGAGCCUAGUGGUUUUAGGUUUUGUGCAUGACAAAUUAAACGCUAGUUUUAUUCCAUAUUUUUCAAGCCUAAAUUGUAAUAAACUAAAAAACUACAAAGCUAAGAUCGUACCCUCUAAGACGAGGGGAGGUAAGGAACUACCAUCUAGCUCCGCAUUUGAUUCACCUUCUGCUUUGAGUAAACUUGUGACACCUCCACCUACUACUCAAUCUGAUAUGUAGCAAGUAUUAUACACUUCUCCUACUAAGGAGGAUGUUCAUGAUGAUGCUACUACUAUGCUAGAUGGAACUGAUACCGUGCCACUAAGUGAACUGUUUGAUGCUCAUAUUGAUAUAUCUACAGAAAUUGAGAAUGUUGAACGGAUGAAAAUUAUGAUUCACCUAUUAUGCCUAGCUCUCCUACUAGAGUUGAAAUGCGUGAGAUACUUGAUGGUUAUGUUACGAAUGGGGAGAUAUCUAGAAAAUUUCUUGCUUGUAAUGAUACAGAUGAUCUUAAAAAGUACCGAGUAUGGUGAGAGAAAAAUAUAUGAUAGAGAGAAUGAAAUAUGAUCCUAAAUUUUCUACUUCUCCUAUCUUUGUUAUUGAUAAGGAUUUUCAAUUCUAUGUCAAUCUUGAGUUAAUUUCUUUGGUUGAAUUUGAUCCUUUUCAUGCUUAUGAAACUGAAACUUUUAUGGCACACCUUACAAAUUGCAUGAUAUUGGCACCCUAUUUUCACACGAGGAAAAAAAUCACUACUAUUAUGUUCUUUAGUUAUAUCAAUAAUCUCUAAAGGGCGAUACCAAGAAAUGGUUUAAUAUUCCCGCUCGUGGUAGUUGAGUUUACUUCAAGUUUGUUAUGACCAGGUGUUAAAGAAAAUUUCCAAGUUGCACCAUAACCGCGGGCACAACUUUAUGUAAGAUUAAAUCCUCCACGGGUGCUCCAACUCAUCCAUCACAAACUAGCCACAAGUUGUGUUGAAAAGCUCAACCACGAAAAACCCGUAGUCUCCUCAGAAUCCCGGUGGAAAACCUCAACCUUGAGAUAGCCCAAAGUAUCCUAGGAAUCCCGGUCCACAAGAUAUUUCGUAAAAGGUAAAAUAAAUCUAGCAAGGCCGCUCGACGUGUCAAUGAACCCGAUAGGAGCCGGGUAUCUCGUUCUCAGGACACGACCGGAUAAGUGAUACGUCUCCAACUUAUAUACUUUUCCAAACACUUUUACUCUGGUUUUGACCUCUAAUUUGCAUGAUUUGAAUGAAACUAACCCGGACUGACAAUGUUUUCAACAGAACUACCUAGGUUUUAUUUUUGUGCAGAAAUAAAAUUUCUCAGAAUUGGAAAAACUCUUUGUGAAUUAUUUCUGGGAUAUUUAAUUAAUUAUGGAGAAAAGACGUGGAGAGGGGGAUUUUACUGACACAUGCUAAUCCGGAGUCCUUUUGGGGCUCUAGAGAGGUGGAUUCGUCUCCGUCGACAUCACCAACCCUUCUCCAUGAACUCAGCUAUGAUUCUCACCACAGGGAGUGAGUAAUUCCUUUGUUGGCUUGCUGGACGAUGGUGGGAUGGAUGAUUUUAACCAUGCUAUUGAGUUAAGUUUGAUAGGGCUUGAUCCCUAGUAUCCACUAUUUUCUGAGAUCGAUGUUGCUAUGACUUUGUUAUGCUUAAUGGUUGUCACUAGGGCCCGAGUGCCAUGAUUUAAGAUGUGAACCUGUUAUGUUUUCAUGAAUAUAAGAUUGAUUUGGAUCCUAUCUUGCAACUUAUAGUUACUUAUUACUUGUCUUGAUCCGCAUACUCAAGGUGACAAUAAUUGGGAUUAUGUUCGGUGAUUGCCGUAGUUUGAGGAGUUCAUGUAUUCACCAAGUGUUAAUGCUUUGUUCCGGUUCUCUAUUAAAAGGACGCCUUAAUAUCCCAUAGUUUCCAGUAGGACCCCGCUACCACGGGAGGGUAGGACAAAAUAUGUCAUGCAAGUUCUUAUCACAAACACAUAUGACUAUAUACGGAAUACAUGCCUACAUUAUGUUGAUGAAUUGGAGCUAGUUCUGUGUCGCCCUAGCGUUUAAAUGUUACAUGAUCAAUGUCAUCUAAAUCAUUAUCCAUCACCGAUCCACGUGCCCUCGCUUUACAUAUACUGAAUCUUGCUAAGUUACUACUGUUACUGCUACUAUCACACCUGCUACUCAAUUUCUAUUGUUACUAUUGUUACCAAAAUUGCUGCUAUCAGUGUUACUCUUACUACUACCUUUUGUUGUGCUACUAAACCCUUGCUACAGAAAGAUAUCCCAGGUGCGGUUGAACUGACAACUCAACUAUCAAGGCCAAUAAAUAUUCUUUAGCUCCCCUUGUGCCCAAUCAACAAAGUAGGGUGAAAUACUACUCGUGAAGACUGUCGCGAUCCCCUAUACUUGUGGGUUAUUAAGACCUUUUUCUCGCACUUUUGCCGGUGAGCAUACAUUUAUUUAUGGGUUGACUUGAGGAUAUCGAAUAUCUACUAUGAUGAAUCUGAAAGAUAAUUGAACUAAGAUCGUCCCCUCUCGCACGAGAGGAGGUAAGGAACUACCCUCUAGCUCUGCUUUUGAUUCACCCACUAUUUUGAAUGAGCUUAUUACACUACCACAUGUUGAUCGUCCUAAUAUGUCACAUGAACUUGAUGAUGCUACUUCUGAAAUUAAUCAUGAUACUAUUGCUACACAUGUUGAAACUGAAACUGUGCCACUGAGUGAAUUACUUGAUGCUCAUAUUGCUAGAGCUAGUGAACUUCAAAAUGCUGAAACUGAUGAAGACUUUGAAUCAUGUGUUACACCUCGUCCUCCUAAUAGAUAUCAAUUUCCUUAUGUACCUGAAGGUCAAGUUAUGGAUGGUGAGGUAGCUAGAGCUUUUCUUGCUUGUGAAAAUAGAGAUGAAGUCAAGAGAUUACUAUGCAAACUAAAAGAAAAAUCUAUGAUGGAGAAAAUGAAACAUGAUCCUGAAAUUGCUAGUUCUCCUAUAUAUGUCACUCAUAAGGACUAUGAACUCUCUAUAGACCCUAAACUAAUUCCUAUAGUAGAGUCUAAUCCUUUCCAUGGCUAUGAAAAUGAAACUGUGGCCGAACACCUUAUGAAACUGAAUGAUCUUACCAAUGAUGAAAAGAUACACUACUAUUAUAUCCUUAAGCUUUUUCCAUUCUCAUUGAAAGGCGAUGCCAAGGAAUGGUUCCUUUCUCCUGCUCCUAGUUGUAUGCAUAGUCCCCGGGAUAUGCUUUAUUACUUCUCUGAAAAUUAUUUUUCGGCUCAUAAGAAACUAGCUGCUUUACACGAAAUAUUUAACUUUGUGAAAAUUAAAGAAGAGAAUCUCCCUCAAGCUUGGGGGAGGCUUCUCAUGUUACAUAGAGCAUUGCCUGAUAUUCCUCUUAAGAAGAAUGAAAUUCUUGAUAUCUUUUAUAAUGGACUAACAUAUGCUUCUAGGGAUUUCCUAGAUAGUUGUGCUAGUUGUGUUUUCAUGGAAAGAACCGUUGUACAAGUAGAAGAGUUAUUAAAUAAUAUAUUGCAAAAUGUCGUUGAUUGGACACUUCCAGAACCACCGCGAGAACCUAUUCAAAUGAAGAGAGGUAUUCUGUUCCUCGGCCCUGAAGAUAUGCAGGAAGCAAAAAGAUCUAUGAAAGAGAAAGAUAUUAAAAUUGAGGAUGUCAAGAAAUUACCACCGAUUGAAGAAAUACAUGCACUUGAUAUUCUGACACACAUAAUAGAGGUAAACUCUCUCUGUUCCUUUACUGAAAAUGAUAUACCUUAUGCUAAGACUCCUGAUCAAUGCACGAACGAAUUUGAUUAUUACAUUGUUAAGCAAGAACACUUCAAUAACUAUGUUAAGGACCAAUUGAAAAACAAUGCCAUGAUGAUAGACCGCUUAAGUGACUUGAUGUUUAGAAUUUCUAAUGAUGUGAAAGGUCUAGGUAAACAUGCCUCUAUGGUCCACGCCCAACUAGAUCAACUAGCUAAGUCACAAAAUGAUUUGUUUGCUGAAAUGAUUAGACAUGUCUUUGCGCGCACUCGCUUGACUGAUAUAUUGAAAAUGCCCAUGUAUGCUAAGUACAUGAAGGAUAUUAUACCAACAAAAGAAAGAUACCCAACACUAAAAUUGGUACUAUGCUUGCUAAUUAUUGUUUUGGAGAUGGAAUACAUAAGAAGUUAGGAGAUCCGGGUAUACCCAAAUACCUUGCUCUAUUAAAAGAAAUUAUGUUAAAACUGUUUUAUGUGAUUUAGGAGCCGAUGUUAGUGUUAUGCCUUUCUCCCUUUAUAAAAGACUUGAAUAGGAUAAGCUUACACACACUCAGAUAUCUUUGCAAAUGGCUGAUAAAUCCACUGCUUUACCUAUUGGAAUUUGUGAAGAAGUUCCCAUUGUCAUUGCAAAUGUUACUAUCUUAACAGCCUUUUUAUUCUUGAUAUGCCAGAGGACGACAAUAUGUCGAUCAUCUUUGGUAGACCCGCUCUAAAUACUGGAGGGUCUGUUAUCGACUGCAACAAAAGUAAGGUCACUUUUCAUGUUAACGACAAGCAAUAUAUAGUGCAUUUUUCGAACAAGAAAACUGUGGUUAAUAAUAUUAAUGUCAUUGAGCCUAUUACCACGGUCAUAAUUGGAUUUUUUUACAAUCCCUCAACCUAUUGCUAAGAAAAAGAAAUGCUAUAAUCUUAUUGUUGGGGAGGUGCAAAUCCCCAUGAGGUAACCUAGUGAUAUACAAAAGUUCUUCGGUUUCAUGUUAAUCAGAAACGAUUGUUAAUAAGUCUUGAUCAACCUUAUCAAUGGAUCCUUUUGGAAAGACAUGUGUUUGAUGAAUUGAGUAUUCACAACUCUCUGUAUUACAAAUUUAUUAUCUUUUCUCUUGGCUAAAUAAAAGAAAAUGCAUGAUUACCCUAUUUUUUGAGUUUUCCAUACCAUAGAAAAAUGACCCAAAACUAAAAAGUCUUAUAAUAACACCAAAUUUGAACAUGUUUUUUUCUGGAAUAAAUAAGUAUUUGUGGCAUACAAAUAAAAGCAGGGAGACGCACUUGUGGGCCACAAGCUAACAGGGCGGCCCUAGGUCGCGCCUUGAUGGCUUGUGGGGCCCAUAGCCCUCUUCCUUAUCCCUUCAACUCACAUAAUCCUCUACCUCCAUAGAAAAUUCCUUAUCCCCCCCGUGUUCUUCCUCUAGAAACUGUAAUUUUUGAUCUCUUUGGUCGGGACUCCAUUACCGAAACUAUUUUAAGGGAAUUGUUCCUUGAUAUGUGACUCAUCUAUGCCUCCAAUUAGUUUUUGCUUUAGUGUUCUAUAUUUUGCAUAAAUUGCUUCACUUGGUGCUACAAAAAAUGAGCUUGCUUGUUGAAUUCUUUGGUCCAAGUAGUAUGAAUGCUUGAUAUAGCCUCUAAGUAUCCAUAUGAGUAGUUGCUAAGAAUCCCAUGAAGUUUUAUUGACAUAAAUUUCUGGCUCAAAAAUCUCAGAUAUUUGUGCUUAGGAGAAUGAAUUUAUUGAGGACAUGUUCUUCUAGUCGUAACCCCAAGGGAGUUACUGGGAGGACUCAAGAUCGCAAUGUCAACAUUUUUUGCAACACGGAGGUUAGGCCUUGUGAAUGUCCACAUACACCGUUCAUGAGUGAAGAUGUUUUAUGAUGAAUUCAUGCAAUUUGUUGCAAAUGUCAGGCUGACGAACUUCCUCACAGAUGAGUGUGACCAAUACUAUCUCCUUACUAAUCCCUUUGUGCAAAACUUUCACUUCUUAAACACACAUGGUGCCCCUAGAGUACACUUUGCUCUUUAUGCAACAAACUUUGAAUUGCCUUUAGAUGAAUUUUGUGAGAAUUGCUCGAUCCCCUGUGACAGGAGGAUAUGCGGGCCUAAGACUAAGGAAUUUGAGGGUUUCCUCCUCACCUUAACUGUGGGGGAGACUAGGGGUGUAUCAAACGCCAGGGCCUCUAGUUUGCAUUUUCCUUCUAUGCACUAUUUCUCUCUGUUUAUAGGAAAAUGCAUAACUCCUAUGGAGUAGGGUUGUGGUCUUAGUUCCCCAAACCUGGGUACUUUGCGCCGCACACUCUAUGGUGAUAACACUUACAACCUAGGAGCUAUUGUCAUGCACCGCUUACAUAUUAACAAAACCAAAGGCAAGAUCCAUGGUGGUAUUUAUGCCAUGGGCUUGGCAAAGCGUCUUAAUGUUGCCAUACGACCUACUAUUAAUUUGUUACCUUAGGUUUUUCUCGACGACCAAGCUAUGUCUGACCAUCAAUUCACUGUUGUAAACUUAGCCAUCUCAGGGCAUCCGCUAUAACUUAGUAUACAUCAAGAACAUUCGCGAUAUUAUUGUGUUCCUGCACCCUGUUUGUUUGUUUUUCAUGCCAGGAACGGAUACACCAUCAUGCUGGAAGACAAAACUGCAUAUCGUGACAUGUUGGUAGCUGCACACAUGGAGGCCCAUGAUUGGGAUGCUGAGGUGCCACCGCAGGAACACUUUCCUGGACCUGAUGGUUACUACCAGUGGUGAUUACCAAGCUAGGCAAAAGCCUAAGCUUGGGGAAGUACAUAUUUCUCACCGACAUUUCAUUCAUGUUCACACACCUCAUACAAAUUUUCAAUGUUCAUCCUCUUUCGUUGUAUAUCCAUAUUAGCUUUACUUUUCCGCAUUCUUCUUGUGUGUUUGAAAAACUUUAGAAAAUCCAAAAAUACUUCUCACUUUUUUCCGUUUUGUCCCUAGUUGUAGUAUUAAAAGAAAACCCCAAAAGAUUUCCUCUUGCAUGUUGGGAGCUUUCCCGUGUAAAUAGGCUUUCUCAUUCUUGUUUUCCCUUAGUUUAUUUUGCUUGCUUAAGAAAAACAGAAACUCCAAAAAUAUUUGAGUGUGUUCCUCUGAAUUUCUUUUUCGUUUUGUUGAGUUAUGAAAGGAGAAGACCAUGUCGAAAAUGAUGAGGCCUCUCAUAUGCUUUGUUGUUAAUCUAACAAAGAGCCAAUAUAACCAUGUCUUCUCCUUUGUUUAAAACUGCCAUGCAAAAUCUAGCCUAGUUGACGACACCCUUGCACUUCUAUUAUUAUCACAUCAUUCGGUCAUGCAAGUAAAAGGUAAUAAUGAAGAUAUUUGAUAAAGUGAUCGUGGCAAAGGAAACGGGUAUGAACUCUUCUUGUUCUUUAUUUUUUUAAAUAUGUUAGCUCGUUCGAUCUUGAUUCGGUAUAUCAUGAGUGAACAUGUUUAUGAUGACAACUAGAGAUUGUAGUUUUUCAUGCCAUGCUUAAAUAUCUAGGAGCUGAUAAUGAUUUAGCUUGUGUGUCAACAUGCAUUAAAAUGGUUAUGAUGUGAUAUGGUAUUAUGGUAUUUCCCUGUGAGUAUUUCGAGUGGCCUGACUUGGCCCAUGUGCAAACAUGUAGUUGAUUCAAAACCAAUGUAGCCUUCAUGCUAUUUAAAUUCAGAGUAUUUAUAUCCUACUCAUGCUUUGUCCAAAGUUGAUUAUUUUCAAUGAAUGUUCAUGACCGUUAUUGCUCUCUAGCUUGUCACUUUCCAAUCUUUUGCUAGCCUUCACCUGUACUAAGCAGGAAUGCUGCUUGUGCAUACAAUACUCUUAAAAUGAAGUUACCCCACAUGAGUCCACCAUACCUACCUAUAUGUGGCAUUGCCCUGCUGUUCCAAGUACAUUUGCAUGUGCCACCACUAAAUAUUCAAACAAACAUCUGGUUUAUGCACUCGUACCACCCAUGGAGCAACAGGGCAACCAAUAUCUUCCAAUCUAAGUAAGUUAUUCUCAAAAGGGGCGUUUAUUCACCAUCAUUGCAUGAGAGAGGUUGGUAACAAGGAUGCCCAGUCCUGCAUAAUCAAAAUUUAAUUAAAACAAAACUCCUUGGGAAAGUUGAUAUGUUGGAGGGAACCCGUGAAUUCGGCUAGCCAUGGUUGUGUAUGAAUGGUGGAUAGGAGUAAAACUUUACAACUCUGUUUGGGAACCACCAAUAAUGAGUUUAGCAUGGAAGAUACUAAAAACCUUUGUCGUAACAUUGACAAUAAACAACACCACUCAAAAACUAUAAUUUUGAUCCUGCUUUAAAACUUGAACUCUAGCACCUCUCCAAAUCAAUGCUUCCCUCUCCGAAGGGCCUAUCUACUUAAUUUCAUGUUGAGUCAUCACCUUGUUACCUACUGCACCAGACAAGAGAUCACUAUUCUCAUUCCUAUGCAUUGAGCCUAGUCAAUGUUCGAUAUGAGUAUGAGUGNACCAUAUUAUAUAAUUAUUGUUUUGACAAAUUGUUGGCAUGUGAGAUAUCUUAUUAUUGCUUGCUAGUUAGUUAUGUAUUGCCAUGAUUGAAUAUGAUGCUUGAUUGUGAUCAUGUAUGUGAUUUUUUAUGAUUCAUGCAGAAGACUUAAACAACUAGCUAAGCAUGUGUAUAAAGACAAGAACAAAAGAGUUUGGAAAAGUUUUCUUUAUCAUUAGCAGUUUAUCAACUGAAUUGCUUGAGGACAAGGAAUGAGUUAAAAUUGGGGGAGUUGAUACGUAUCCGACGUAUCUACUUUUCCAAACACUUUGGCUAUGGUUUUAACCUCUAAUUUGCAUGGUUUGAAUGAAACUAACCCGGGCUCACACUAUUUUUAGCAGAACUACCUUGGUGUUAUUUUUGUGCAGUAACAAAAGUUCUCGAAAUUGGACGAAACUUUUUGUGAAUUAUUUCUAGGAUUUAUAAUGAAUUAUGGAGCAAGGACCUGCUGGAGAAACACUUCCAGGGGGCACAAGCCAACAGGGCACGACCUCCAAGUCGCGCCCUGAUGGCUUGUGGGGCCCACAUGGCUCCUGCAACCCUAAUUCCAGUCCCAUAAAAUCACAUCUUUGGAGAAACAAACAGAGAUAAGUUUUCAUAAGGUUUCACGAGACGGAGUUGUCGCCACCUCCUGUUCUUCCUCCAAAGGGCUGACCAUGAGUCCAUUUGGGGCUUCGGAGAGGGGGAUUCAUUGCCUUUGUCAUAACCAACCCUUCUCCAUCAACACCGCUAUGAUGCUUACCACCGGGAGUGAGUAAUUCCUUUGUAGGCUUGCUGAAGGAUAUUGGGAUUGGAUGAGAUUGACCAUGUAAUCGAGUUAAGUUUGAUAUGGCUUGAUCCCUAGUAUCCACUAUGUUCUUAGAUUGAUGUUGCUAUGACUUUGCUAUGCUUAAUGCUUGUCACUAGGGCCCGAGUGCCAUGAUUUCCUGAACCUAUUAUGUUUUCAUGAAUAUAAGAUUGAGUUGGAUCCUAUCUUGCAAGUUAUAUCUACCUAUUACGUGUCUUGAUACGCAAACCCCAAGGUGACAAUAAUUUGGAUUAUUUCCGGUGAUUGUCGUAGUUUGAGGAGUUAAUGUAUUCACCAUGUGUUAAUACUUUGUUCUAGUUCAAUAGUAAAAGGAGGCCUUAAUAUCCCUCAGUUUCCAAUAGGACCCCGUUGCCACGGGAGGGUAGGACAAAAUAUGUCAUGCAAGUUCUUAUCGCAAGAACGUAUGACUAUAUACGGAAUACAUGCCUACAUUAUAUUGAUGAAUUGAAGCUAGUUCUAUGUCCCCCUAGUAUGUAACUGUUACAUGAUCAAUGUCAUCUAAAUCAUUAUCCAUUAAUGAUCCACGUGCCUACACUUCACAUAUACUGAAUCUUGCUAAGUUACUAUUGUUAAUGCUACUGUUUCACAAGUGCUACUCAAUUGCUAAUGUUACUACUAUUACCAAAAUUGCUGCUAUCACUGUUAAUGGUACUACUACCUUCUGCUGUGCUACUAAAUCCUUGCCGCAAAGAGAUAUCCCAGGCACGGUUGAACUAACAUCUCAACUGUCAAGGCCAAUAAAUAUUCUUUAUCUCCCCUUGUGUGGAAUCAAUAAAUUAGGGUGAAAUACUAUCUGUGAAGUCUGUCAUGAUCCCCUAUACUUGUGGGUUAUAAAUAAGCUAGUGUAUAGUGGCCUGAUAGAAAUCACUCGAGUUGCCCCGGGGUGGCCCCACACAGUGCUCUAGUUUGGGCCAACAGUCAUGAAGAGCACUGGCCCGGGUUGUUGAUUAAUUAUCCAUGGGCUAAUUACUCCAUGUGCAGGUUUACUAGUUAUUAGGAAAAUGUUCUACCAAAGUUGGGCCUUGCUAGAAGAGUUUUAUUCUAAGACGAAUUAUCAGCGGGUCCCCAUAACAACCCCAAGCAUGUUAGGAGAACUCAAUAUGGAACAUAACACUGGUACACAAGUAACUAGGGCCGCUAAGAUGGAACAAAACAUCAAGCAAACAACCAAUCCUUCCACCUUUCACCAAGUAUAUAUGUGCAUUAAAUAAAAUAGCAAUAAUAUUAUGAUAUCUCAAGACAUCCAUGUUGUCACAUGGAAAUAACCUGCACCUACAACUAGCAAUGCUAUAAGAAUGGCUGAGCAAGCGGUAACAUAGCUAAACAAUUGUUUGCUGGGAUGUGGAGAGGUUAGAGGCUUUUCAUGGCAAUGUUGGGAGGCUUGACAUUCAAGUGGUAGGUAACGAGACACAAUGAUAGAAGCAAGACAACUAGCAUGGCAAUGAUAGUAGUUGUAUCCAGGGAAAUGGUCAUCUUGCCUAAGGUCCCGCUUGGAAGAAGAAAGAAUCCGUGAGGUAGACGAACGGGCAUAGUCGAACGAAUUCUCACACCCUGAAUCGGUUUUGGAACUCUACCGAGAAGAAACAACCCAGAAACAAACAAUCAACACAUGAUAAACACCACAACAUAUUCAAGAUCUGAUGCGCAAACCAAUAUGAUGCAUUUCCAUUUAAUAAUGCAUGAUAUGGCAAAUCACAACAAUCAACUUCUACACAUUAAGUGAAGCUCAAUAUGCAACGAGUUGCAUAUUGACGAAACUCCAGAAUUGAAUCAUUUAAUUCCUCUUGUUUAUUUACACGAAAAGCUGAAAUAUUGUUAAACAUGGCAAAAGGUGAAGCAUAAAUAAACUAUGUUUCUAGGCAUUUUAAAUGAGGUCGGGAGCAACUUAUAACAUUUCCGAAACGACCCCAUAUGUUAAUUUCGAAAUUGAUACAGAUCCAUCUAAAACAUAUUUUAUAUUUAUUAAACAGGUAAACAAAAUGCACCAUGUGAUACUACAUGUCAUUCUGAGCAAUUUACAUAUAUAGAUCAUCUAAAACGGAGCUACGGUCUAAAACAUAUGACCAGCACAAGAUAAUAUGCCAUGAAUGCAAAAUGCAUGCAAACUACGACCACAAACAUGUUAAAUCAUGGAUGCAACAAUAUAUUAUGAAACUACAUGAGAUUAUAAGCAAGCUUAAUAUAUGACAUGUUCAAAACGGAGCAAUGGUUCAACAAUUACAACCAACACAUGUUCUAGCUACAAUUUGUCCAAAAGAGCAACAUGCAUUUUGUACACAUCAAAACAACAAGCUGCAAGAAUCUAAAAUGCGCAAACAAGACAUAGGACAGUAGUUGACAUGGCUCACAACAAAUUCAUCUCACACGAGCUAAUAUAAUACAAGCAUGGAUCACUAGAAAUGAGCUUACUAGAAAAUAACAGCUUUUAACAAAACCGUUUUAUUAUGAAGGCAUAUAGGCAGUAAGAAAAACAUAUGCUACAUGACAUAUAAUGACAUGAAUAUUUGCAACAUGGUAUUAGGCAUAAUGCGCUUCAUUUCAUUCCAUACUAGCAAGGUCUAAUUAUGCACACGUUCAUAGCUAGCAUCCACCCAACAUGUGAUACGUCCCAAACGUAUCUAUAAUUUCUGCUUCUUCCAUGAUCUUUUGGGUGACAUUGUUAUAUGUUUUGCUACACAUUCAUAUCUUUUUACACAUAUUUGGACUAACCUACUAACUCAGUGCACCUAGUGCCAGUUUCUAUCUGCUGAUGUCUUUUUUCGCAGGGACUUUUACCCAAAUUUCGAGAGCCCCAAAAAUCCCAAGAAAAAUAUAUAAAAAUCAGCGUGACGGAAGCUUCCGGAGCACCGAAGAUGGUCCAGAGGGGAGCCAGGGGCUGCCCAGGCGGCCUCCCUGCAUGGCCUGGCCCCUGGCCGCGCCCACAGGUCACCUAGGUGGGCCCCACCUCCCUUGAUGCCCUCCUUUGGCCUAUAUUUACCCCUCUGAUCGGAAACCCUUCCAUCAUAUCCAGAAUCGCGAAUUUCUCCAUCGUUCCGCCGUCAGAGCGCUUCCGAGAUCAGGAGCGUCAGGAGACCUCAUCCCGGCACCCUGCCGGAGGGAGAGUUGACCUCUGAGAGCUUCUCCACCGCCAUGGACGCUUCCCGGAAGUGCCGUGAGUAGUCCUCCUUGGACCAUGAGUCCAUGACCAGUAGCUAUGUUAUGUCUUCUCUCCAAUCUUGUGCUUCAAUGAUUAGCCCUUGUGAGCUGCCCUACAUGAUCAAGGCAUCUAUGUAAUUUUCCUGCUAUUGCUAUGCUCUGUUUGCUGGGAUUCGAUAGAUUAUGAGAUUACGUUCAGAUUAUGAUGAGUUAUAUAUUUGAUUAUCCUUUUAUAUUAUGUUAUUUAGUGAUUCAUGCAUGUUCUCCGUUGCUUUUUAUUGCUUUGGCCGAGUAGUAGAUUGUAAAUCCAAGAGGGAGCGUAGUGCAUGAUUGUGGGUUCAUGCCCCCUGAUGUCUAGCUUGAGUGACAAAAACAUGAGACUAGGGGAUGUGCUGUUGCCACCAGGGAGAAAACAACGGUGCUUGUGACCGCGGUUGCAAGUAUUGUUUACCUUACACAAAGUUCGUUAAUGCAGUUGUUCGUUGAUUUGAGUUUACAUUUUGGGUGGGGCUAGCAACUUAUUAACAGCGAGAUGUUCUGGAUAGAUAUCUCAAGGUGGAUUAUUAGUAAAUAGAUGCUGAUGGAUAAACGAUCUACUUUUCUUGGCGUACUGCCCAUUACUAUUGAGCCUCUAACUUUCAAGUAGCAUAAUUAGCAUUGCGGUGCGUUCAUAAUUCUAUCAAUUGCCCAACUGUAAUUUGUUUACCCAUGCAUAGUUGUUUAUCGUCUUUUGGGAGAGAGACAUCACUAGUGAACAUCAUGUGACUCAGGUCCACAUUACCACCAUUGUUUACAUCUCCACCAUCUGCUGCUUUCAUUUACUUUUCCGUUGCAAUCACUAUCACUAUUCCUGCUUGUGUUUUGAUCCUUUGCAAACUACAAGGCCAGAGAGAUUGACAACCUCUCUGUACUCGUUGGGAGAAAAGUUAUCUGUUGUGUGUGCAGGUCCACGUCUUCUGCUAGCGCCAAAGUAUCGGACACCUACUUGUUGAUCCUCGGAGUCCUCCUGGUUCGAUAAACCUUACAGUCCACGUGUAAGGGAAAUCUGCUGAUCACUACAUCUCCACCUUCCACUUGGGGUAACCAACAAGGGGCGAGAAGUAUAUCCAUCAACUCGUCAUCAAGCAAAUUUCUGGCGCCGUUGCCGGGGACUCUAGUCUUCAAGAUAGGGGAGUUGCAUGCUAUCUUUUACCUUUGCUUUUUAGUCUUGUUAGUUUGCUUUCUAGUUUUUCCUUUAGAGUCUUAUAUCAAAAACCACAAGAAAAUUAUUUGCUUUGUUCUUGCUUGUUGCUGCUGCUAUGGGUUCCACUGAAAACACCAAGUUGUGUGAUCUCACUAGUCACAACAACAAUGACUUUAUCUGCACUCCUAUUGCCGCUCCCGCUACUAGGGCUACCUACUAUGAGAUUAAACCUACUUUACUGAACCUUGUUAUGAAAGAUCAAUUCUCCGGUGCUGGAGAUGAUGGUGCUUUGCACUUGAAUAAUUUUGUUGAGCUUUGUGAUAUGCAAAAAUACAAAAAAGUAGAUGGUGAUAUUGUUAAAAUUAAGCUUUUUUCCUUUCUCCUUGAGAGGAGGAGCUAGAGUGUGGCUUCAAUCUUUGCCUAGGAAUAGCAUAGAUUCUUGGGAUAAGUGCAAAGAUUCUUGUAUUGGGAAGUAUUACCUGCCUACUAAAUUAUCCAGUUAAGAAGUAACAUUAUGAAUUUUAGGCAACUGGAUAAUGAACACGUUUGCCCAAGCUUGGGAACGUAUGAAAUCUCUCGUUAAGAAUUUCCCUAUACAUGGUUUGAUUACUUGGAUGUUUAUCCAAACUUUCUAUGUAGGAUUGAACUUUACGUAGCGGAAUCUGUUAGACUCGGCCGCGGGAGGAACCUGUUGGAAAUAUGCCCUAGAGGCAAUAAUAAAUUAGUUAUUAUUACAUUUCCUUGUUCAUAAUAAUCAUUUAUUAUCCUUGCUAGAAUUGUAUUGAUUGGAAACUCAAAUGCUUGUGUGGAUACAUAGACAACACACUGUCCCUAGUGAGCCUGUAGUUGACUAGUUCGUUGAUCAAAGAUGGUCAAGGUUUCCUGGCCAUAGGCAAGUGUUUUCACUUGAUAACGGGAUUACAUCAUUAGGAGAAUCAUGUGAUGGACAAGACCCAAAUUAUAUAUGUAGCAUAUUGAUCGUGUCAUUUUAUUGCUAUUGUUUUCUGCGUGUCAAGUAUUUAUUCCUAUGACCAUGAGAUCAUAUAACUCACUGGCACUGGAGGAAUACCUUGUGUGUAUUAAACGUCACAACGUAACUGGGUGACUAUAAAGGUACUCUACAGGUAUCUCCGAAGGUGUCCUUUGAGUUAGUAUAGAUCAAGACUGGGACUUGUAACUCCAUGUGACGAAGAGGUAUCUCGGGGCCCACUUGGUAAUACAACAUCACACACAAGCCUUGCAAGCAAUGUGACUAAGUGUAAGUCACAGGAUCUUGUAUUAUGGAACGAGUAAAGAGACUUGCCGGUAAUUAGAUUGAAAUAGGUAUGCGGAUACCGACGAUCUAAUCUCGAACAAGUAACAUACCGAAGGACAAAGGGAAUGACAUACGGGAUUAUACGAAUCCUUGACACUGAGAUUCAACCGAUAAGAUCCUUGGAGAAUAUGUAGGAUCCAAUAUGGGCAUCCAGGUCCCGCUAUUGGAUAUUGACCGCGGAGUGCCUCGGGGCAUGUCUACAUAGUUAUCGAACCCGUGGGGUCUCCACAUUUAAGGUUCGAUGAUGUUUUAGUAUAGUUGAGUUAUAUGUGUGGUUACCGAAUGUUGUUCGGAGUCCCGGAUGAGAUCACGGACAUCACGAGGGUUUCCGGAAUGGUCUGGAAACGAAGAUUGAUAUAUAGGAUGGUUUCAUUUAGUCACCGGAAAGUUUCGGGCAAUUCCGGCAGUGUACCGGGAGUGACGAAUGGGUUCCAGGAGUUCACCGGGAGGGGCCCACCCACCCGGGAGUGAGCCCAAGGCUCUAGGGUGGCGCCGUAAGUCCUUAGUGGCCUGGUGGAGUCAGCCCAAGGGGCCCAUGGCGCCACAUAAGAAAAUACCAAAAGAAAAUAAAAAAAAAAGGGAAAGAGGGAGGUGGGAAGGAAGAGGAGGACUCCUCCUUCCCAAACCGAAUUGGAGGAGGAGUCCUCCUCCUCCCUUGGCCGGCGCACCUUGAGGCCUUGUGCCUCAAGGCUAUCCCUCCCCCUCCCUCCUAUAUGUAUUGGUGGAUUAGGGCUGAUUUGAGACACAACUUUGCCACGUGCAACUCUAGCCUAUACCACAUAGUUUUACCUCUAGAUCGGAUUUCCGUGGAGCUCGGGCGGAGCCCUGCAGGAGUAGAUCAUCACCACCACCGAAGCGCCAUCACGCUGCCAGAGAACUCAUCUACUUCUCCGUCUUUCUUGCUGGAUCAAGAAGGCCGAGAUCAUCGUCGAGCCGUACGUGUGCUGAACGUGGAGGUGUCGUCCGUUCGGCACUAGAUCAGAACAAAUUGUGGGACGGAUCGCGGGACGGUUCGUGGGACGGUUUGAGGGACGUGACGACAUUCCACUACAUCAACCGCGUUUCUUAACGCUUCAUGCUGUGCGAUCUACAAGGGUACGUAGAUCCAAAUCUCCUCUCGUAGAUGGACAUCACCAUGAUAGGUCUUCGUGUGUGUAGGAAUUUUUUUGUUUCCCAUGCAACGUUCCCCAACAGAACCUUUAUGUCAAGUACACUUGGUGCUCCCAUGAAACUAUUGGAUGAGAUGAUGACAAAUUAUUCUCAAUGGCACACCGAGAGAGCUCCAAUAGGUAGGAAGGUAAACUCUGUUGAGGAGAUCUCCUCCCUUAAUGAUAAGGUUGACAUGAUCAUGACUUUACUCACUAAGAAAGCUCCUAUUGAUCCUCAUGAUGUUCCUUUAAAUUCUUUGGUUGCUCAAAAAAGAGAGCAAGUUGAUGUUAAUUUUAUUUCUAGGAACAACUUUAAUAAUAAUGCUUAUAGGAGUAUUUUUGGUAGCAAUCCUAGACCGUUCCCAUCCAACAACUAUGGGAAUAGCAGCACCUAUAGUUACAUUCCUAAUGAUAGAAGAAUGCCUAGUUAUGAAAAACUUUUAGAGAUAGAGAAGGCUACAAAGAAUUAUAUGGACACCCAAUAUGAACAAAACAAGGCCUUCUCUAGACAAUUAGAUGAGCAUUCUUCUAUUUUGCAAAACAUUGAAAGACAACUUGAGAGCCUGAAUAGUGAGAUUUCCAAUCUCCAAGCUAGACUCACCACCACGGAGACUCAAGUUUCCAAUAUGUCUCACACCCAGGCCACUUCCAUAAAUCAAAUGGCGGCCAAGCCCGAAGUGGUUGUAUCUCAAGAAGAGGAAGAUAGGAUUAAGAGCCUUCCUACACACACUACCCUUGCUACUAUACAAGUUGUUGAGGAUCUCAAAACUUUUAGCACCCAUCAGACCCCUAGUCCCAAUGGACCAAUUAAUGGUUAUGCUAAUACCUCAACUAUAGGACAAGAAGGUCCUUUGAACUUAGAGGCUACCAAAAUAAUUAGCUUAGAUGACAUCACUACCACUUUAAUUAAUGGUAGUAAUCUUGAUUUUAAUAAUUGUAGUCUCUCCGAAGUUAUCACUUCUUUGCAAAGAAUGGCUAAAGACCCCCACACUAGUAAACUCAAUAUUGCCUUCACCGAGCAUAUUACCAAUGCUCUUAUAAAAGAUAGGGAGGAUAGGCUCAAGCUAGAGACUUCUAUUUAUAGGAAACUAGAAGAUGGUUGGGAUCCUAUGGUCAAUAUUAAAUUGAAUAAUAUAUCUUGCUUUGCUUUAUGUGACGUUGGAGCUAGUGCCUCCGUUAUGCCAAAAAGAAUGUAUGAUAUGCUUGAUUUGAAACCUUACGAUCAAUAUUCCUUUGGUGUUUGUCUUGUUGAUUCUUCCAUAAAGAAACCUUUAGGGAGAACUGGUUAUGUUCUUAUUGUUGUCAAUGAUAAUUAUGUGACCAUUGAUUUUCUUAUUAUGGACACUGACUGUCAUCCCUCAUGUCCAGUUAUUUUGGGACGUCCUUUUCUCCGCACUGUUGGUGCUAUCAUUUACAUGAAAGAAGGGACCAUUAGAUUCCAAUUUCCCCUCAAAAAGGGAAUGGAACACUUCCCUUGAAAGAAGAUUAAGUUACCUUAUGAGUCUGUUAUUCGGGUAAGCUAUUCUUAUGGAGUUGAUAAUACUUGAUAUUUUUGCAUCAUGCCUAGCUCAAAGGCAUAAAAGAAAGCGCUUGUUGGAAGGCAACCCAAUUUGUUUUUACUUUCAGUUUUAGUGGUCUUGAUGCUUGUUACUACUGUAGAAACAUCAUUGUAUCUUUAUUAUCAAGCUUUGUGCCAAGUUUUAGCCUCCGAUUGCAAGAAAGUUCAAAAGUUGUGACAUGGUCCAGAAACAGAUUCUGUGUGCGUGACGGAAAAAUUCGCCAAAAAUCAGCAGAUCAUCUUUUUGAUCUGAAGUUUUUUUAUAGCAUGCUAUAUAUAAUUUUAUUUCUGGCAUCAGUUCUGAGGUUUUUUUAUUUGAGUUGCAUAAGUCCCCCGAAAAAAUUAUUUACUACGUGCUGUUCUGUUUUUCACAGAUUCUGCCAAGUUUUGCGUUUUCAUCGUUCUGCAAAUCUUAAGCUUGCUUUUCCUUUGCAAAAAUCUUUUGACAAUCAUGAGAAACAUUAGCUUUUCAUGAAAAUAUUUAUUUCCAGUAGGGAAUAAAUUAUUUUAUUAUGGGCACUAACCACUCUAAUCAGCUUAUGAUGAGUUUCGUAUGAAGGGAGUUUUCAACUUUGCGAUGGAAGAUGAUGAAAGAAGAUCCAGGAGUGUCAAGUGCUCAAGCUUUGGGAUGCCCUAAUGCACCCCAAGAAAUAUUCAAGGAGACUCAAGCGUCUAAGCUUGGGGAUGCCCCCGUGCAUCCCCUUCUCCAUCAACAAUCAUCAGUUCAUCCAUCUCCAUGCUAUAUUUUUAUCACUUCAUAAGUUAUGUGUUAUGCUUGGAGCAUCCCGCUCUUUACUUUUUAGUUUGUUUUAGUUUUGAUUGCUGUUCAUAAAAAGUUGGAACCUAGACUUCCUUGUUUUUGAGAUAAACACGCUCCACUCCACCCUAGAACACAACAUAGGUUUUCAUGCUUAUCUUUUUGUGUGUUCUUUAUCUUUUCAUAGCUACUGCCAUGCUUAGCUCUUAGUUUUCAUGCUUUAUCUUUUUAAGAGCUAUUAUUUAGGUUGCUUUUGGAACUCACUUGAGUUAUCAUGCUUAUCUUGUUUAGAGAGUUGGCUUGUUGCACCGAGUUGUGUGUCUUGCAUGAGUAGGUAAUUGAGGUUGCUAUUCAAGUAUAGUAGUAACUUGCAAUAGUUUUGAGGUAUUGAUUUGAGUAAUCUUUGGACUAUUGGUGCCAAGAGAUUGAGACUAUUAGUGAUAGGUGUCGUAUUUUGGGUAAUCCGUGUAUUUUUUGAAAACUAGAAAAAUUAGUUGAGAACUCUAGCUACUAAAUUGAUCGCUAACCUCUGGAUGGGUUGGAAUAUAUAGAGUACCCUCACGUUACCAUGGGUCGAGGAUGCGCAAGGAUAACCAAACCCCCAAACACUCCUCCUCGGGGUACUUGUCUCAUUGUGAAUUUCCUAACUAGAUAGAGAGUUCAGAUAAUAAGUGUAUGAGUUCUUCGGACUAAUGCGAGUAUUCGGUUGUUGGCAUUUCCACCAUCCAUAUUUUGCUAGACUCUUCGGUACCGUGCAUUUCCCUUUCUCAUCUUGAAAGUUGGUGCAAACUUCGCCGGUGCAUCCAAACCCUUGGCAUGAUACGCUCUGUCAUCAUAAGCCUCAUUAUAUCUUUCCUCAAAACAGCCACCAUACCUACCUAUUAAGGCAUUUCCAUAGCCUUUCCGAGAUAAAUUGCCAUGCAACAUCCACCAUCUCAUGACUUGAUCUUCAUGUCAUACAUGCUUUUGCUUGAUCAAGGAGCCGCAUGCUAGUUGGGCCUUGCCCUUAUUAUUGGUACAUGACGCACUAGCAUCAUUGCAUAUCCUGCUACACUCGCAGAGGCAUACAGUUACAUACAUCAUGAUAGUUGUCAUUUGUCUUUAUGUGAGUACUUCUUAUAAAGUGUGACGAUCUUCUUUUUAUUCUUGUAAAACAUAGAGUGUUGCCCUUAAGUGAGGAAAAUAUCCCAAAGAGGAUAAAUUAAAAGAUCCCAAAAGAGGACAAAUGAAAAGAUCCCAAAGAGGAAAAAUGAGAGAUAAAUAGAAAGAGCUAAGGAGGCCACACACAAAAAAAAAUAAAUAAAAAGAGAGAAGGGGGCAACACUACUAUUACUUUUGAAAGAUCCACACUCAUACUCCAUUGUUAUAUUUGUACUCCAUAGAGAUUAUCAUUCAUGCAUAACUAUGUGGGGACCCUUACACUAUAGAACUUGGCUUGUAUAUUCCAAUGAUGAGCCUCCUCAAAUGAGCUCUAGGUCUUCAUGAGCAAGCAAGUUGGAUGAACCCCCACUAGUUCCAUUGGAGAGCUUACCUUAGUUCAUAUGUGCAUCCGUUGCAUGGCAAUCCCUACUCCUCACAUCAUAUCUAUCAUUUGGCUUUAUCUCGCCUAUGGUUGUCCUCAUUGAUGUGAGCCUUUCACACCUUUUUGUCUUCCUUCCCCAUCAUUAUUCUCUUUGCCAUCCUAAGUGCCAACAUAUCUUGCUCACUCUCCUCCAUUGCAUGAGUGCUCAAAGUCGAAAGGGAGAGGAUCAUUUUGACUUGUGCGUGACUAGUGGUCUGGGGAUGAGUCAAAAUAAGAUUCCGAAGGAGACCAAGUGUCAAGUUUAGUAGAUCGAGUUCUCAAUUAAUAUAUAUAUUUUUAUGCUCUAAACCCAUCUCCCACUUCUUGCACGCAAACACCAUUUGGAGACAUUCGAGUCACGGACAGCAAGAGCUCUUGCACCUUUAUGUUCUCACUUUGCUAAUUUCAAUACUAAAUAUAGACUCUUGCUUGUUAUUGUCUUGACUUGAAUUGCAUAUCUUACUUGCUUUACUUUGAAAUUCUUAUAUGUGUGUUAGCAUGUCACCACGGAAGUUAUUUGUGUUAUCAUUUACCUACUCGAGGACGAGCAGGAAUUAAGCUUGGGGAUGUUGAUACAUCCCAACCGUAUCUAUAAUUUCUGCUUGUUCCAUGAUCUUUUGGGUGACAUUGUUAUAUGUUCUGCUACACUUUCAUAUCUUUUCACACAUAUUUGGACUAACCUACUAACUCAAUGCACCCAGUGCCAGUUUCUGUCUGCUGAAGUAUUUUUUUCGCACGGACUUCUACCCAAAAUUCCAGAGCCCCAAAAAUCCUGAGAAAAAUAAUAUAAAAAUCAGCAUGAGGGAAGCUUCCGGAGCACCAAAGAUGGGCCAAAGGGGAGCCAGGGGCUGCCCAGGUGGUCUCCCUGCGCGGCCUGACCCUGGCCACGCCCACAGGUCGCCUGGGUGGGCCCCACCUCCUCUGACGCCCUCCAUUGGCCUAUAUUUACCCUCCGAUCGGAAACCCUUCCAUCAUAUCCAGAUCGCAAAUUUCUCCAUCGUUCCGCCGCCGCAGCGCUUCCGAGAUCGGGAGCGUCACGAGACCUCUUCCCGGCACCCUGCCGGAGGGAGGAUUGACCUCCGGGAGCUUCUCCACCGCCAUGGACGCUUCUCGGUGUUGGAAUUAUGCCCUAGAGGCAAUAAUAAAUAUAGUUAUUAUUAUAAUUCCUGUAUCAAGAUAAUCGUUUAUUAUCCAUGCUAUAAUUGUAAUGAAUGAAGGCCUAUAUACAUGUGUGGAUACAUAGACAAAACACUGUCCCUAGCAAGCCUCUAGUUGGCUAGCCAGUUGAUCAAAGAUAGUCAGUGUCUUCUGAUUAUGAACAAGGUGUUGUUGCUUGAUAACUGGAUCACGUCAUUAGGAGAAUCACGUGAUGGACUAGACCCAAACUAAUAGACGUAGCAUGUUGAUCGUGUCAUUUUGUUGCUACUGUUUUCUGCGUGUCAAGUAUUUGUUCCAAUGACCAUGAGAUCAUAUAACUCACUGACACCGGAGGAAUGCUUUGUGUGUAUCAAACGUCGCAACGUAACUGGGUGACUAUAAAGAUGCUCUAUUGGUAUCUCCGAAGGUGUUCGUUGAGUUAGUAUGGAUCGAGACUGGGAUUUGUCACUCCGUGUGACGGAGAGGUAUCUCGGGGCCCACUCGGUAAUACAACAUCACACACAAGCCUUGCAAGCAAUGUAACUUAGUGUAAGUUGCGGGAUCUUGUAUUACGGAACGAGUAAAGAGACUUGCCGGUAAACGAGAUUGAAAUAGGUAUGCGGAUACUGACGAUCGAAUCUCGGGCAAGUAACAUACCGAAGGACAAAGGGAAUGACAUACGGGAUUAUAUGAAUCCUUGGCACUGAGGUUCAAACGAUAACAUCUUUGUAGAAUAUGUAGGAUCCAAUAUGGGCAUCCAGGUCCCGCUGUUGGAUAUUGACCGAGGAGUCUCUCGGGUCAUGUCUACAUAGUUCUCGAACCCGCAGGGUCUGCACACUUAAGGUUCGACGUUGUUUUAUGCGUAUUUGAGUUAUAUGGUUGGUUACCGAAUGUUGUUCGGAGUCCCGGAUGAGAUCACGGACGUCACGAGGGUUUCCGGAAUGGUCCAGAAACGAAGAUUGAUAUAUAGGAUGACCUCAUUUGAUUACCGGAAGGUUUUCGGAGUUACCGGGAAUGUACCGGGAAUGACGAAUGGGUUCCGGGAGUUCACCGGGGGGGAACCCACCCCGGGGAANNNNNNNNNNNNNNNNNNNNNNNNNNNNNNNNNNNNNNNNNNNNNNNNNNNNNNNNNNNNNNNNNNNNNNNNNNNNNNNNNNNNNNNNNNNNNNNNNNNNNNNNNNNNNNNNNNNNNNNNNNNNNNNNNNNNNNNNNNNNNNNNNNNNNNNNNNNNNNNNNNNNNNNNNNNNNNNNNNNNNNNNNNNNNNNNNNNNNNNNNNNNNNNNNNNNNNNNNNNNNNNNNNNNNNNNNNNNNNNNNNNNNNNNNNNNNNNNNNNNNNNNNNNNNNNNNNNNNNNNNNNNNNNNNNNNNNNNNNNNNNNNNNNNNNNNNNNNNNNNNNNNNNNNNNNNNNNNNNNNNNNNNNNNNNNNNNNNNNNNNNNNNNNNNNNNNNNNNNNNNNNNNNNNNNNNNNNNNNNNNNNNNNNNNNNNNNNNNNNNNNNNNNNNNNNNNNNNNNNNNNNNNNNNNNNNNNNNNNNNNNNNNNNNNNNNNNNNNNNNNNNNNNNNNNNNNNNNNNNNNNNNNNNNNNNNNNNNNNNNNNNNNNNNNNNNNNNNNNNNNNNNNNNNNNNNNNNNNNNNNNNNNNNNNNNNNNNNNNNNNNNNNNNNNNNNNNNNNNNNNNNNNNNNNNNNNNNNNNNNNNNNNNNNNNNNNNNNNNNNNNNNNNNNNNNNNNNNNNNNNNNNNNNNNNNNNNNNNNNNNNNNNNUUUUCUGCGUGUCAAGUAUUUGUUCCUAUGACCAUGAGAUCAUAUAACUCACUGACACCGGAGGAAUACUUUGUGUGUAUCAAACGUCGCAACGUAAUUGGGUGACUAUAAAGAUGCUCUACAGGUAUCUCCGAAGGUGUUCGUUGAGUUAGUAUGGAUCGAGACUGGGAUUUGUCACUCCGUGUGACGGAGAGGUAUCUCGGGGCCCACUCGGUAAUACAACAUAACACACAAGCCUUGCAAGCAAUGUGACUUAGUGUAAGUUGCGGGAUCUUGUAUUACGGAACGAGUAAAGAGACUUGCCGGUAAACGAGAUUGAAAUAGGUAUGCGGAUACUGACGAUCGAAUCUCGGGCAAGUAACAUACCGAAGGACAAAGGGAAUGACAUACGGGAUUAUAUGAAUCCUUGGCACUGAGGUUCAAACGAUAACAUCUUUGUAGAAUAUGUAGGAUCCAAUAUGGGCAUCCAGGUCCCGCUGUUGGAUAUUGACCGAGGAGUCUCUCGGGUCAUGUCUACAUAGUUCUCGAACCCGCAGGGUCUGCACUCUUAAGGUUCGACGUUGUUUUAUGCGUAUUUGAGUUAUAUGGUUGGUUACCGAAUGUUGUUCGGAGUCCCGGAUGAGAUCACGGACGUCACGAGGGUUUCCGGAAUGGUCCGGAAACGAAGGUUGAUAUAUAGGAUGACCUCAGUUGAUUACCGGAAGGUUUUCGGAGUUACCGGGAAUGUACCGGGAAUGACGAAUGGGUUCCGGGAGUUCACCGGGGGGGGGGGGCAACCCACCCCGGGGAAGCCCAUAGGCCUUGGGGGGGGCACACCGGCCCUUAGUGGGCUGUUGGGACAGCCCAAGAAGGCCCUAUGCGCCAUAGGAAGAAAAUCAAAGAGAAAAAAAGAGGAGGUGGGAAAAGCGGGAAGGACUCCUCCUUCCAAACCUAGUUGGAGUCGGUUUGGAAGGGGAGGGUUGCCCCCCUUGGCUCGGCCGAAGCCCUUGAGGGUCCUUGGACCCCAAGGCAAGGCUCCCCCUCUUCCCCCUAUAUAUACGGAGGUUUUAGGGCUGAUUUGAGACGACUUUUCCACGACAGCCCGACCACAUACCUCCACGGUUUUUCCUCUAGAUCGCGUUUCUGCGGAGCUCGGGCGGAGCCCUGCUGAGAUAAGAUCACCACCAACCUCCGGAGCGCCAUCACGCUGCCGGAGAACUCAUCUAACUCUCCGUCUCUCUUGCUGGAUCAAGAAGGCCGAGAUCAUCGUCGAGCUGUACGUGUGCUGAACGCGGAGGUGCCGUCCGUUCGGCACUAGAUCGUGGGACUGAUCGCGGGACGGUUCGCGGGGCGGAUCAAGGGACGUGAGGACGUUCCACUACAUCAACCGCGUUCACUAACGCUUCUGUUGUACGGUCUACAAGGGUACAUAGAUCACACAUCCCCUCUCGUAGAUGGACAUCACCAUGAUAGGUCUUCGUGCGCGUAGGAAAUUUUUUGUUUCCCAUGCGACGUUCCCCAACACUCGGACGUGCAUGAGUAGUCCUCCUUGGACCAUGAGUCCAUGACCAGUAGCUAUGUGACGUCUUCUCUCCAAUCUUGUGCUUCAAUGAUUAGCCCUUGUGAGUUGCCCAACAUGAUCAAGGCAUCUAUGUAAUUUUACUGCUAUUGCUAUGCUCGGUUUGCUGGGAUCCGAUGGAUUAUGAGAUUUUGUUCAGAUUGUGAUGAGUUAUAUAUUUGAUUAUACUUUUAUAUUAUGUUCUUUAGUGAUUCAUGCAUGUUCUCAGUUGCUUUUUAUUUCUUUGGCCGAGUAGUAGAUUGUAACUCCAAGACAGAGCGUAAUGCAUGAUUGUGGGUUCAUGCCCCCUGAUGUCUAGCUUGAGUGAUAGAAACAUCAUACUAGGGGAUGUGCUCUUGCCACGAGGGAGAAAACAACGGUUCUUGUGACUGCGGUUGCAAGUAUUGUUUACCUUGCGCAAAGUUCGUUAAUGCAGUUGUCCGUUGCUUUGAGUUUAUACUUUGGGUGGGGCUCGCAACUUAAUACCAGCGAGAUGUUCUGGAUAGAUAUCUCAAGGUGGAUGAUUACUAAGUAGAUGCUGAUGGAUAAACGAUCUACUUGUCUUGGCGUACCGCCCAUUACUAUUGUGCCUCUAACGUUCAAGUAGCAUAAUUAGCAUUUUGGUGCGUUCAUAAUUCUGUCAAUUGCCCAGCUGUAAUUUUUUUACCCAUGCAUAGUUGAUUAUCAUCUUUUGGGAGAGAGACAUCACUAGUGAACAUCAUGUGAAUCAGGUCCACAUUACCACCAUUGUUUACACCUUCACCAUUUACUGCUUUCAUUUACUUUUCCGUUGCAAUCACUAUCACUAUUCCCGCUUGUGUUUUGAUCCUUUGCAAACUACAAGGCGGGAGAGAUUGACAACCUCUCUAUACUCGUUGGGAGAAAAGUUAUUUGUUAUGUGGGCAGGUCCACGACUUCUGCUAGCGCCAGAGCUGUGGACACCUACUUGUUGAUCCUUAGAGUCCUCCUGGUUCGACAAACCUUACAGUCCCCGUGUAAGGGAAAUCUGCUGCUGACUACAUCUCCACAUUCCACUUGGGGUAACCAAUGAGGGGCGAGAACUAUAUCCAUCAACUCGUGAUCAACAUGUUAAUCUGAACUAAGGAGUUUCUUAGACUUAGAAAAAUUAGCAUGGUGCAAGGAACAACAAUUUUAUCAAAUUGACAUGUUUGACAACAAAAUUUACUAGGAUGCAAAACCUAUACUUGAAAACUAAUGGCGCAAAUUAACAUAAGAUGUUGCUUUACAAUUCACUCCAUUGGACCAACCCCAAAGGGGCUAUAGAUUAAUGGAGAUUCACAUUGAAACACAACAAAAAAUUAUAGCACAUUCCUUACUUAGAAUUAUUUUGGACCCUCAAAACAGGAACAUUUUAUGGCAAGUUCACAUGAUCAAAACUAUAGCUAAACAUGAAAAACAUGGCAUGAUAAACCUACUAACAACAAUUAGACAUGGAAUACUACAAAUCACUCCAUUGGCGCACAUUCAAAAGAGGCAUGGUUUGCUUAAUUCGAGCUUCACAAAAUGGAACUUAACGUUAACAAAUUAGCAGUUUUAGCAUCAUAGCACCUUUAGAGAAACAUAUUGAUAUGAUAGAGAAGAUUUACAUGGCAACCAUAGACAUGGCAUUAAAGUAGGCAUCACAGAGAACAAAUUCCAUGAAGGAAUCACAUGCAAAAGACCUACGGAUUAGAUGCAAUCAUCCACGAAAGUUUGCAAGUUUUAACAGUUUUCGUUGAUUAUGAUGCAAUGCACUUUUGCCACACAGUUUUGAGCACUUAGAUGAAACCCUAUACGCAUGCAAAUUCCACCAUGCAGUAGAGCACGAAAUGUAGAUCAAUUUUCAUACAUAUUACAUUGCCAUCAGAUGCACGGUUUGAACACCAUAAGAACAACAAAAUGCAAUCAUGGUGAUAAAACAAACUUUUCCAGACUUCCUCAUUUUUACCGUGCUCGUCGGAUAGCAUAUAUAGCGAACAUUCACUCUGUAGCCCAAAUAUGCACAUUCGCAAAUCGGUUAAACUCACAAACAACCGAGUCUUAACGGGUUCUCACGAGUGGGCCUUGGGCCAGAUCUGGAGAGGAGGCUGGGCCAGCGAGGCACACUGGGCCGGGGCGAGGCCCACACGAGGUCGGGGCCAACGCGGGUGAGGCAUGCAGCGAGCGAGUGCUCUCCGCCUCGAACCCAAUCGGGGAGCAGGUCACUUGUGGCAGUAGUACAACUUCCGGCGAGCAGGGUGGGCGGCUCGCGAGGACGCGGUGGAUGGAGGGGUAGUGCAUGGCGUGUCUCGACCCAAUCCUUCUGAAUUCGGGCCGGAGAUGGUCCACAUCAGCGCGGGCAAGCUGUGUGGUGGCUUUGUGAAUUGGCGGCCAGUGGCGGCGCGCGGUAGGGCGGAACGAGGCACGUGCGAGGGGGUGAGUGGCCGUGGGGCUAGGGAGGCAUGGAGGUUGCGGUCACCUGCGGGAGACACGACUCGGGUGGCUCAUUCAUAGCGGCUUAGCGGUGGUUGCUUUGAUGCGUCCAGUGAUGACAGCUUGGGCUCGUGUGGUCGGGCGUGUUGGAAAUAUGCCCUAGAGGCAAUAAUAAAAUGGUUAUUAUCAUAUUUCCUUUUUCAUGAUAAUUUUCUAUUGUUCAUGCUAUAACUGUAUUAACCGGAAACCGUAAUACAUGUGUGAAUACAUAGACCACACCAUGUCCCUAAUGAGACUCUAGUUGACUAGCUCGUUGAUCAAUAGAUGGUCAUGGUUUCCUGACUAUGAAUAUUAGAUGUCGUUGAUAACGGGAUCACAUCAUUAGGAGAAUGAUGUGAUGGACAAGACCCAAUCCUAAGCGUAGCACAUGAUCAUGUAGUUCGUCUGCUAGAGCUUUUCUAAUGUCAAGUAUCAUUUCCUUAGACCAUGAGAUUGUGCAAAUCCCGGAUACCGUAGGAAUGCUUUGGGUGUAUCAAACAUCACAACGUAACUGUGUGACUAUAAAGGUGCACUACAGGUAUCUCCGAAAGUGUGUGUUGGGUUGGUACGAAUCGAGACUAGGAUUUGUCACUCCGUGUGACGGAGAGGUAUCUCUGGGCCCACUCGAUAAUACAUCAUCAUAAUGAGCACAAUGUGACUAAGGAGUUAGUCACGGGAUCACUUGUUAUGGAACGAGAAAAGAGACUUGCCGGUAACGACAUUGAACAAGGUAUGGGGAUACCGAUGAUCGAAUCUCGGGCAGGUAACAUACCAAUGGACAAAGGAAUUGUAUACGGGAUUAAUCGAAUCCCCGACAUCGUGGUUCAUUCGAUGAGAUCAUCCUGGAACAUGUGGGAGCUAAUAUGGGUAUCCAGAUCCCGCUAUUGGUUAUUGGCCGGAGAGGUGUCUCGGUCAGGUCUGCAUGGUUCCCGAACCCGUAGGGUCUACACAUUUAAGGUUUGGUGAUGCUAGAGUUGUAAUGGGAAUUGUAUGUGGUCACCAAAAGUUAUUCGGAGUCCCGGAUGAGAUCUCGGACGUCACGAGGAGUUCCGGAAUAGUUCGGAGGUGAAUAUUUUUAUAUGGGAAGUCAAGUUUCAGUCACCGGAAAGGUUUCGGGGUUUAUCUGUAUUGUACCGGGACCAUCGAAAAGGUAUCGAGGGUCCACCGGGAGGGGCCACGUGCCCCGAAGGACCACGUGGGGUGAAAGUGGGUGGGAACCAGCCUCCUGGUGGGCUGGUGCGCCCUCCCCAAGGGCCCAAGGCGUCUAAGGCUGGGAACCCUAGGGCGUGGGAGGCUCCUCCCACCAACUUGGUAGGCAAGCCUCCCCCUUGGCCACCGCCGCCCCUUCCUAGGGCAUCUAGGGUGGCCGCCCCCCUGUCUCCUUCCCCCUAUAAAUAGAUGAGGGGUGAGAGGGCUGCGACACACCUGAAACCCUUGCCCCUGGCGCAGCCCUCCCCCUCAUACGACUCCUCCUCCUCCGUUGAGCUUAGCGAAGCUCUACCGGAGAACCACGAGCUCGACUGCCACCACGACGUCGUGCUGCUGGAGCUCUCCCUCAACUUCUUCUCCCCCUUGCGUGAGUACCAAAGGAUGUAAGGUUGAUAAUGAUAGUCCCACAUACUUGUGGCACUGCCGCCUUGGUCAUAUUGGUGUCAAACACAUGAAGAAACUCCAUCCAGAUGGACUUUUGGAGUCUCUUGAUUAUGAAUCAUUUGACACGUGCGAACCAUGCCUCAUGGGCAAGAUGACUAUGACUCCGUUCUCCCGAACAAUGGAGCGAACAAAAAACUUGUUGGAAAUAAUACAUACCGAUGUAUGCGGUCCAAUGAGUGUUGAGGCUCGCGGUGGCUAUCGUUAUGUUCUCACCCUCACUAAUGACUUAAGAAGAUAUGGGUAGGUCUACUUAAUGAAACACAAGUCUGAGACCUUUGAAAAGUUCAAGGAAUUUCAGAGUGAGGUAGAGAAUCAACGUGACAAGACAAUAAAGUUCUUACGAUCUGAUCGUGGAGGGGGUAUUUGAGUCACGAGUUUGGCACACACUUAAGGAAAUGUGGAAUUGUUUCACAACUCACGCCACCUAGCAUACCACAGCGUAAUGGUGUGUCCAAACGUUGUAAUCGCGCUCUAUUGGAUAUGGUGCGUUCUAUGAUGUCUCUUACUGAUUUACCGCUAUCAUUUUUGGGAUAUGCAUUGGAGACUGCCGCAUUCACUUUGUUAAUAGGGCACCGUCUAAAUCCGUUGAGACGACACCAUAUGAAUUAUGGUUUGGGAAGAAACCUAAGGUAUCAUUUCUAAAAGUUUGGGCAUACGAUGCUUAUGUCAAGAAACUUCAACCUGAAAUGCUCAAACCCCUAAUCCGAAAAGUGCAUCUUCAUAGGAUACCCUAAGGAAACUAUUGGGUAUACCUUCUAUCUUAGAUCCGAAGGCAAGAUCUUUGUUGCCAAGAAUGGAUCCUUUUUAGAGAAAGAGUUUCUGUCGAAAGAAGUAAGUGGGAGGAAAUUAGAAUUUGAUGAGGUAAUUGUACCCCCUCUCGAACCGGUGAGUAGCGAAGCGCAGGAAAAUGUUUCUGUGGUGUGUGCACCGACUAGAGAGGAAGUUAACGAUGACGAUCAUGAAACUUCGGAUCAAGUUAUUACUAAAGUUCGUAGGUCCACGAGGACACGUUCCGCACCAGAGUGGUAUGGCAACCCUCCUGAAAAUAAUGUUGUUAGACAACGGUGAACCUUCGAACUAUGAAGAAGCCAUGGCGGGCCCGGAUUCCAACAAAUGGAUUGAAGCCAUGAAAUCCGAGAUGGGAUUCAUGUAUGAGAACAAAGUAUAGACUUUGGUGGACUUACCCGAUGAUCAACAAGCCAUAUAAAAUAAAUGGAUCUUUAAGAAGAAGAUUGAUGCGGAUGGUAAUGUGACCGUCUAUAAGGCUCGGCUUGUUCCUAAGGGUUAUCGACAAGUUCAAGGAGUUGACUACAAUGAGACUUUCUCACCCGUAGCGAUGGUGAAGUCUGUCCAAAUCAUGUUAGCAGUUGCCGCAUUUUAUGAUUAUGAGAUCUGGCAAAUGGACGUCAAAACUACAUUCCUUAAUGGCUUUCUUAAGGAAGAAUUGUAUAUGAUGCAACCGGAAGGUUUUGUCGAUCCUAAGAAUGCUGACAAGGUAUGCUUGCUCCAGCGCUCCAUCUAUGGGCUCGUGCAAGCAUCUCGGAGUUGGAACAUUCGCUUUGAUGAGGUGAUUAAAGUGUUUGGGUUUGUACAGACUUAUGGAGAAGCCUGUAUUUACAAGAAAGUGAGUGGGAGCUCUGUAGCAUUUCUCAUUUUAUAUGUGGAUGGCAUAUUGUUGAUGGGAAAUGAUAUAUAACUUUUGGAAAGCAUAAAGGCCUACUUGAAUAAGUGUUUUUCAACGAAGGACCAUGGAGAAGCUGCUUACAUAUUAUGCAUCAAGAUCUAUAGAGAUAGAUCAAGACACCUAAUUGGUCUUUCACAAAGCACAUACCUUGACAAGAUAUUGAAGAAGUUCAAUAUGGAUAAGUCCAAGAAGGGGUUCUUGCCUGUAUUUCAAGGUGUGAAAUUGCGCACAACUCAAUGCCCGACCACGACAGAAGAUAGAGAAAAGACGAGUAUCAUCCCCUUUGCUUCAGCCAUAGGCUCUAUUAUGUAUGCCAUGCUGUGUAGGAGGCCUGAUGUGAACCUUGCCAUAAGUUUGGUGGGGAGAUACCAAAGUGAUCCAGGAAUGGAUCACUGGACAACGGUUAAGAAUAUCCUUAAGUACCUAAAAAGGACUAAAGAUAUGUUUCUCGUUUAUGGAGGUGCCGAAGAGCUCGUCGUAAAGGGUUACGUCGAUUCUAGCUUCGACACAAUCCGGAUGACUCCAAGACACAAACCGAAUACGUGUAUAUUUUGAAUGGUGGGGCAGUCAGAUGAUGCAUUUGCAAGCAAAGCGUCAUGGCGACAUCUACAUGUGAAGCGGAGUACAUAGCUGCUUCGGAAGCAGCGCAUGAAGGAGUCUGGAUGAAGGAGUUCAUCACCAACCUAGGAGUGAUUCCCAAUGUGUAGGGCCUGAUGACUCUCUUCUGUGACAACACUGGAGCUAUUGCCAUUGCCAAGGAGACUAGGUUUCACAACAAGACCAAGCACAUCAAGCGCCGCUUCAACUCCAUUUGUGGUUACAUUCAGGAUGGAGAUAUAGAUAUUUGUAAAGUACAUAUGGAUCUGAAUGUCGCAGAUCCAUUGACUAAACCUCUUCCACGAGCGAAACAUGAUCAACACCAGAAAUCUAUAGGUGUUCGAUUCAUCACAAUGUAACUAUAUUAUUUUCUCUAGUGCAAGUGGGAGACUGUUGGAAAUAUGCCCUAGAGGCAAUAAUAAAAUGGUUAUUAUUAUAUUUCCUUGUUCAUGGUAAUUGUCUAUUGUUCAUGCUAUAAUUGUAUUAACCGGAAACCGUAAUACAUGUGUGAAUACAUAGACCACACCAUCUCCCUAGUGAGCCUCUAGUUGACUAGCUCGUUGAUCAAUAGAUGUUCAUAGUUUCCAGACCAUGCAGAUUGGAUGUCGUUGAUAACGGGAUCACAUCAUUACGAGAAUGAUGUGAUGGACAAGACCAAAUUCUAAGCAUAGCACAAGAUCGUGUAGUUCGUCUGCUAGAGCUUUUCUAAUGUCAAGUAUCAUUUCCUUAGACCAUGAGAUUGUGCAACUCCUGGAUACCGUAGGAAUGCUUUGGGUGUAUCAAACGUCACGGCGUAACUGAGUGACUAUAUGGGUGCACUACAGGUAUCUCCGAAAGUGUGUGUUGGGUUGGUACGAAACGACUAAGGAUCUCAUCGAGACUGUGAUUUGUCACUCCGUGUGACAGAGAGGUAUCUCUGGGCCCACUCGGUAGUACAUCAUCAUAAUGAGCUCAAUGUGACUAAGGAGUUAGUCACGGGAUCCUGUGUUACAGAACGACUAAAGAGACUUGCCGGUAACGAGAUUGAACAAGGUAUGGGGAUACCGAUGACCGAAUCUCAGGCAGGUAACAUACCGAUGGACAAACGGAAUUGUAUACGGGAUUAAUCGGAUCCCCGAUAUUGUGGUUCAUCCGAUGAGAUCAUCGUGGAACACGUGGGAGCCAAUAUGGGUAUCCAUAUCCCGCUAUUGGUUAGUGGCUGGAGAGGUGUCUCCGUCAUGUCUGCAUGGUUCCCGAACUUGUAAGGUCUACACAUUUAAGGUUCGGUGACGCUAGAGUUGUAAUGGGAAUUGUAUGUGGUUACCGAAAGUUGUUAGGAGUCCCGGAUGAGAUCCCGGAUGUCACGAGGAGUUCCGAAAUAGUUCGGAGGUGAAGAUUUAUAUAUGGGAAGUCCAAUUUCAGUCACCGAAAAGGUUUCGGGGUUUAUCGGUAUUGUACGGGGACCAUCGAAAGGGUACAAGGGGUCCACCCGGAGGACCACAUGUGCUGAAAGUGGGUGGGAACCAGCCUCUUGGUGGGCUGGUGCACCCUCCCCAAGGGCCCAAGGUUCCUAGGGCUGGGAACCCUAGGGCGUGGGAGGCUCCUCCCACCAACUUGGGAGGCAAGCCUCCCCCUUGGCCGCGGCCGCCCCCUCCUAGGGCGUCUAGGGUGGACGAACCCCUCUCCCCUCCAACCUAUAAAUAGAUGAGGGGUGAGAGGGCUGCGACACACCUGAAACCAUUGCCCUUGGCGCAGCCCUCCCCCUCCUACACCUCUUCCUCCUUCCUUGAGCUUAGCGAAGCUCUGCGGGAGAACCACGAGCUCCACCGCCACCACGCCGUCGUGCCGCCGGAUCUCUCCUUCAACUUCUCCUUCCCCCUUGCUGGAUCAAGAAGGAGGUGACGUCCCCGGGUUGUACGUGUGUUGAACGCAGAGGCACCGUUCGUUCGGUCCUUGCAUUGGAUCUUCCCCAAUUUGAAUCGACGCUCCAUCAACCGUGUUGUUUGCAACGCUUCCGCUUAGCGAUCUUCAACGGUAUGAAGAUGUACUCCCUCUCUCUUGUUUCUAGCAUCUCCUAGAUUGAUCUUGGUGACACGUAGGAGAAUUUUGAAUUAUUACUACGUUCCCCAAUAGGGCGGACAUUGUCCGGUGGGUGUGCAGGGACGAAAUUUGACUCCGAGAUAUGAGAUAUGAGGGCCACAUUUGGCUAGGGGGCUAGGGUUUCGGGAUUGGAAGGAGGUGGAGCUAGAAGGUAGGGUUUUAGGGGUGGCUACAAAUUUGACAAGGGGAAACCCUAGUGGAGUGAGAGGGGUCUCUCCAUGGGUUGUCUUUAUAUAGGGAAUGAACAAUGGUGGGAUGGAUCUUGUCCGUCCGAUCGCGAUCCCACGACCACGAACAGACGGGGGGCCUAGGUGGAUCUAGUGGGCUGUGUAGAUGGCUUGGGCUAAGAAGAGAGAGAGGUUUAUGAAACAUGACAAGUUUAUUUACAAACUAAAAACGUCCGAGGUUUAUCCGACUAUAGUUCUGCUAUAUAUUUAAAGGUUCGAGUAUCAAACGACAUGUGAAUGCGACGAAAUUUGGCGGGCGUUCUAUCUACAUUAUAUUUAGACCGCAUGCCAAGUUUUGAACUUUCCUGAGAAUUUUUUGUACAUACUUUAAAAUAUAAUAUUUUUGCGAUGCCGUGGGCGCGUGCAUGUAUGGUUAGUCACAAAACGGUGAAAUACAAGAACAGAGAGAACCAAUAACUACAAACGGAUGCAAGUUUUAAAAAAUGACGAUAAUGGAGUGCCGAUGAAAUGUGAUGAUGUGCAUGACGCGAUGGUGAAUGCGACAACCAAAUGAAUCACACAACGAUAACAAAAUAAAAAGGGAAUCUCCUGGAGCGUCGGUCUCGGGCUGUUACACUCUAUGUCACAAAAUGAAAAAUAAAGUGAAUCAGGAAGUUGUUAGAGUUGUGAUUAGAGGAGGUAGAAUGACCCAGGUUACUCUAUAUCUUGAAGACCACCCUAAAAUAAUUGAGAAAUAUUCUUUGGUGGGUUAAUAUUGAUGCUCCUAGUACAUCUAAUAAGAAAAAGAAAAAAUAAGCAUGAUAGAACUCUGCAUGCUUCUAGUGAACCCAUGAUAGAAAAAUAUUUUGAGAAUCAUAAUGAUGUUUAUAUUUCUGAUGCUAAGACACAAGCUCAUAGUGAACAUCCACCUAGUGAUAAUGAUAAUGGUAAUGAUGAUGUUCAUGUCGAUGCCUAACCAGACAAUAGUAAAGAACCUAGUAAUGAAGUAUAAAUAGAACUUCUUGUUGAUCUUGAUAACCCACCUCCUAAGAAUAAAAGAUAUGAUAAAAGAUAUUUCAUUGCUAGAAAACAUGGUAGGGGAAGAGAGCCAUGGGUUCAAAAACCUAUGCCUUUUUCCUAGUAAAACUCCAAAAAAUACGGAUGGGGAAGAUUUGAGCGCUUUAAUGAAGUGCUUAGACCAGUCUUUUUGCGAACAUGUUUGACGGAUAUUUUUGAAACGCCUCCUUAUACUAAAUACAUGAAAGAUAUUAUAACUAUUAAAAGAAAGAUACAUGAAACUGAAAUUUCCACCAUGCUUGUGAAUUAUUCUUUUAAAUGGGGGUACCUAAGAAGUUAGGAGAUCUAGGAUUACCUACUAUAUCUUGCUCUAUUAAAAUAAAUUAUGUCAAAACUCCAUUAUGUGAUUUAGGAGAAGGUGUUAAUGUCAUAAAUUUCUCCUUAUAUCGAAGAUUUGAUUUGGAUAAAUUGACACAUACCAAAAUAUCUUUGCAAAUUAUUGAAAAAUUGACUCUAUACCCAUUGGUAUUUGUGAGGAUGUUGUGUUGUAGUUGCAAAUGUUACUAUCUUAACAAACUUUGUUAUUCUUGGUAUGCCCGAGGAUGAGAGCAUUUAGAUUAUCCUUGGUAGAUCAUUUUUGAAUAAUGCAUGGGUUAUUAUUGAUUGCAACAAAAGUAAUGUCACUUUUAAUGUUAAUGUUAACCAACAUCUGGUAUACUUCUCGAGGAAACAAAUUUCAGUGAAGAAUAUUAACUCCGUUAAACAAAUUGAGACAAUUACUAUUGUAGGGUUCAAAUUUCGUCUUCCUAUCGUCAAAAAUAUAUAUGAAAUUCUUAUUGUUGGGGAAAUGCAUAUCCCGUUGAGGUAACUUAGUGUUAUACAAAGAUUUUUUGGUUUCAUGUCUGUCACAUCCCUAGAUUCCCUGUUAGGGUUUAACAUCUUGUGCUCAUGUCUUCUUUCAUUGCAUUCAAGAAAUGGAAAGAAACCCAAAAGCAAAGCAAGAAAACCAAAGCAAAACCCUAGCCACUCUUUAUUCAAAAGAAAUACAACUAUUGCCAAAAUCAAUGAACCCAAAAUGGCCUUCAUAAAAGUCCAACAUUUCUGAUAAAUAUUGAAAACAAAAUAUCAGAGGUGAAACUUAUUUUCAAACCACUUUUGGCAUUUUAAAUUUCAGUUAAAAGCUACUGAAAUCAAUUAUAUAUUUGAUUUCAAAUAAUUCAAAGUUUCCAAAAAUGUUGAAAACAUUAUGAGUGGUUGGAAAUAUUCCAACUAACACUCUGGUAUUUUUCAAACUAUUUUUAGGAAUAGUUUGGAGCCAAAAAUAAAUGAAACAAUAUCAGAUAGAAUAAAAUAGAAAAAGAAAAGAAAAUAAAUGCAAAAAGCUUACCUCACGCUCACCUGAAGCCUAGUCCACCUUAGCUCUGUCGUCUUCCUCCUGCGAGUCGGAGCAGGAGGUGGCCACCGCGCUCCCCGGCNCCUGCCCCUCUCCCUCUCUCCUGAGCCGCACAACAGCUUCGCCGUGAUCCCCUGAAGCUCUCCAGCUAGUCGCGCGACGCCGAGAAGCUCUGAAACGUUGUGAAGCCACCGUCUUCUUCCUCGGGUCACCAGAGCUCGUCGCCGUCAUUCUCCCUCCUCAGGCCAUCCCCGCGCCCACUCUCGACGCCUCUGCACUCCCCGUGAGCUCAGGGUCCUUUCCCCUAAGUUUCCCCCCUCGAUCCCUUCCUCUAGACCCCGAUUCCACCGAAGCCCGACGAGAUCCGCCACGGGACCUUGUCGCCGGUAGCUCUCCGGUGAUCGGCUGGUCCAUCUGAGGCCACCAAUGGCUUCAAUGCGUCGCGUAGGUGCUCUAGGAGCUAAGCCCCGCUCGUUUUGCCUUCGGUUUCGUCGAUCCUGACAUAGUCUGAUCUUCGGCCGCCGCCAAGCUCAUCGCUGGCGUCAUCUCUGGCCAUCUUAGCCUUGGGUCUUUGCAGAAAUGAAAUUGCGGCUGUGCGCUGGUUCGUUUGGGGCCCUCCGCCGUGCAUUUGGUCGUCGGAGAUGGAUUUCCGAGCCCCUCCUCCGUUCUGCUCGUCGUCGGAGGCUCACCGCCGGCGAGAUCGACCUCGCCGCCGGUGGAUCUGACCCCCUGAGCCUAUGAAACGUGGGGCCAGCCCGUGGCUAAUUAAGUUUAGUAAAAAUAAAAAUAACUUAUUUAAUUAACUUAGUCAGACAGUGACAGGUGGGUCCCCCUCUGUUAAUUAACUAAUUAAGUUAAAUCUAAAUUUAAACUGACUAGAUACACUGACCAGUGGGUCCCACUGGUCAGGUUUGACUUUCAAUGGCCAGUUGGACCUGCUGAUGUCAAGCUGAUGCAAUAACUCAUUUUCUGUUUAAAAAUAAUUCCGGAAUAAGUUCAAAACUUUGGAAAUUCAUAGAAAAUUGAAUAUAACUCCAAAUUUGACAAAUAAUAUAUGUAAUUGGAUCAGAAAAAUUCAAGGAAUCCAAUGGUGCUAUUUUCAUGCAUGAAAAACAAAGUUAUGAGAAAUCAUCAGGUCAAAUCAAUUAAAAGAAUGUGAUAAAUUAUAAUUUAAAUGAUAUUUGAAUUAUGAUUUCAAAUCAAGAUCACCAACAGGGUUCUGCCAGUCAUUUCAAACCAUGCUAAAUUGCAUUUCAUGCAUCAUUUUGUUGCAUAUGUUUGAUACUGAUUGAUUGUUGAUUAUUCCGGUAGGCCUCGCUCCUCCGGAUACGUCUGAUUAUCCGACUGACGGAUAUCAACCUUCUGCCGAGCAACAAGGCAAGCAACCAUUUUGAUCAUCCCGAUAAAUCCCAUGUUCUCGCUCCUGCUCUUAUUUAUUGCAUUAGGAUCAAAUGCUUUAAAUGCUUUUUCCACGUUAGUUGAACCCACUUCUUUUGCAUGACCUGUCCUUGUCACAGUAAAUAGCUGAACCUUGCAACCUAGCAUACCUGGUAGAUGCUUAAGCCAUGAUGUGCCUUAUCCUGCUAUGCAUGCUAUGCUUAGAGUUGUGUAUGGUCUGUCAUCUGGACGAUGAACAUAAUAGUGAUAAUGUGUUCAGUAGUAAAGGUUGUGUGUUGAACUUGAUUUGGUAAAGGUACCGGUGAAAGGCUAUGUAGGAGUACAUGGCGGGUUGUUUCAUUGGAACCGUCCUUAGGAACUGAGUUUUGUGUAUGUAAUCCAAGAUAGAUACUACCACACGUUGGGAUACUUAAUUGACCCUCUCGACUUAUUAAUCGCUUAGUACUCAGUCCAGGAGUUGCAAGUAGUUUCUGGUGUUUAUAGUCAUGCUGGUGCCGUGCGUAGCGCUGACCUUAGAGGUGGGCUAUGAUGCGGUAGGCAGUGGCACGGUGUACCAAGUGGCUCCCGGAUGGUGGGCUUGGGAACCCUGCGCACAUCGUUUGGGGCCGUGGCGGAAACCUCGGCCGGACUUCCGUGCGGGUUACCCUCAGAUAGGCGAUAGACCUGGACUAAGUAUUAGCGUGGUUAACAGUCGUGGCCGACUCCCUCGCUGGGCUUCCGCUUGAAGGUUGCCGAGGUGCAUGACGUGCACACGGCGAUAAGUGGUGAGAGCGUGUGUGAAGAAGUACACCCCUGCAGGGUUAUGAUCUAUUCGAAUAGCCGCGUCCGCGGAUAUGGACUACUUGGAAACAUAUGUUGUUCAUAGAUAACUAUAAUGGCUACUCAUAAAAUUGUCAAGAUAAGCGUGAGUGUUGUGGACGACAUUUCCGUAGGGAGACAGAAUGAUUCCAUGAUGGAGUAUUGUUGUGGUGUUAGUGGACUCGUGUGCGAGAAACAUAGUUGUCAAAACUAUUUAAAAAUGCAAGUUGUCUAGCCAAGAGUCAAAUGCUCGCUUUCUGCAUGAAACCCCACAAAUCCAUGUUGAUAAAUUGCAUGAGUAGAUAGAUUUCCUAAAGUUUUGCUGACUACUUUCAUACUCACGUUUGCUUAAUAAUUGUUGCAGAGGUUGUUAAUGACCCUAAUGGAGGGUUCUUCCUAGACAUCAACGACGACGAGUAGCUCGUAUCCCAGCUACGAUCUGGCCCUAGGAUGGGUCUGUAGAUAGGUAGGCCAUGUGCCUUUGUCUUUCCAUCUGCCUGUACUCAGACAGUUUUAACUCUUCCGUUGGCUUGUAAGACUUGUGUGUAGGAAUCAUGAUGAUGGGUCGUGAGACCCCUAUGUGUGUAAUAUUAUGUGUGAGGCUCUUCCGAGCCUUCUAAAUAAAGUUUGUAUGUUUAUGGUUAUGUUGUGAUGCCAUCGAUGUAUCUAUACAUAUCGGUAUGCCAUGCGUACGUGUGUUGUACUUGAUAUGUAUGGGGUUCGAACACCUAGUCGUAUGACUUAGUAGCACUCCUUACGGGGAAGUGCCCCUUUGUGAUUCCAUCGAGCCAUGGUAGUUUGCUACUGCUCCGGACACAUUGGUUGACCGACAUGUGUCCUUCUUAGCUGCUGUGUGUGUCCCUUUGGGAAAUGUCAUGCGUAUGUAAUGGAGUCCUUGUAGCUUGCUACGACUCGUCUACAUUUGUUGAUGACCGACACCUGCUUUGUUGGGCCAUGUAUGCCUGUCCCUGUACGGAACUGCCGCUUUAGCUUAUGACUAGACAUGUCGAUCCGGGUUCUUUGACAUUGGAUUGCUAGUGACACAAUUGCAUACGCGAGUCAAAAGGCGCAAACGGUCCCGGCUAAGGUAAGGCUGCAGCCGUGGGGAUAACCGUGCAUGAGACCGCAAAGAGAUGCGAUGUGUUACAGGUUGGAUUCCUUAGGACUAGGUUACUUAUCUUUCUCUUAGGAUCAUGUUUUUGAUCGGUAGAUUAUAGGAUGAUGAGUCGAGAGUUACUUCGGGUCUCUCUUAUUUCAAGGAAAAUAAAGUAAGUUUUGAUGACCAUGGAAUUGAACUUGAUAGUUGAGUGGUUACGCUAUCCUAUUUUUAUGGGCUGUCUCAAAAUUGUUUUGAGCAUUUACAACCGUUAUGCUGCCCAAUUUUGUCUUCAGACACUACUAGGAAAAGGGCUAUAGAUGAUAUAGAUACUAAUGGCGCACCACACAAGUAGUGCGCCACUACUAUAUAGUAGUGGCGCACCAUGUGAGGUGUGCCAUUAGUGUGAUGGACACUAAUGGCGCACCACACAUUCGGUGCGCCACUACUAUAUUUUUUUUUGCAAAACUACUAAUGGCGCACCAGCAGCUGGUGCGCCAUUAGUAACCAGGGUUACUAAUGGCGCAUCUGUUGGUAGUGCGCCACUACUAUAAAUUUUUUGGUUUUUUUUGCAAACUACUAAUGGCGCACCACAGCUAGUGCGCUAUUAGUAACCAGUGUUACUAAUGGCGCAUCUGUUGGUGGUGCGCCACUACUUUUUUUGUUUACAGAACUACUAAUGGCGCACCACAGGGGGUGCGCCAUUAGUAACCAGGGUUACUAAUGGCGCAUUUGUAGGUGAUGCGCCACUGCUAAUUUGUUUUACUAAUGGCGCACCCUUAGGGAUGCGCCAUUGCUAUCACCCCCGCUAAAAUCCCCCAUGCCAGUCCCCGCGCGGCCCCUGUGCCCGUAUCGACCAAGUCGAGCUCGCUCUCCCCCGUAUCCCUCCCCUUCUCCUGCUCUCCCUCCCGGCGGCGAGCCUCGUCGGACACGCUCCUCGACGGCGUCGGGUACCUCCCCGCGCGGCCCCUUGGUUAGUCUCCUUCCCUUCUCCUCCCCCUCCGUCCCUCUCCCGCUCGUCCCCAUGGCCCAAGGGGGGGCUGGCGACCUAGGGUUAGGUGCAGAGCUCCCUCAUGGCGGCGAGAUCCAGACGGGGCCCGGCCGCCGCCGGCGCAUGUCCUCCGUCGACGCCGCGGGUAACCCCCUCCGCGCCUUCACCUCUGCGACGUCCCUCCUUUUCCGCACCCUUGGUCCUGCCGCAUCCCCCUCCAGGUCCCCUGUGGCGCUACUCGGCGGAUCCCUGGUAUAGCUCUCAAACCUGGUACUGGGUGUGCUGGGUGCUGGUGCACAAGGUGGGCCUAGGGAGCAAAGGCGCAGCGCUGGCCAGCGCCGUCUCCUACUCCACGAACCUGGCCAUACUGUGCCUAUACACGAGGCUGUCCGGUGCCUGCAGGAGGACGUGGACUGGGUUCUCCAUGGAGGCCUUCGCCUUCAAGGAGUUGCGCCAGUUCGCGGAGCUCGCCGUCCCCUCAGCAAUGAUGGUUUGGUGAGGAGAAAUCGUGAGCAAGUCCCCUCAGCAAUGAUGGUUUGAUUUCUGAAAUGACAAAUUUCUUGUUUUUCAAAUUUGCAGCUUGGAAUGGUGGUCGUUUGAACUGCUUGUGCUACUGUCUGGCCUUUUGCCCAAUCCUAAGCUUGAAACCUCUGUAUUGUCGAUAUGGUAAUCAAAUCAAGACAAACUUUUGCAAUACACAGUUCACCAAUUUUUAUUUUUUCCCUUUUGUUCUAUUCUAAGUUGUGCGUUGCUGAAUUCUGCAGUCUUAACACCGGCACUCUCAUGUUCACCGUGCCGUCCGGUCUCUGUGCAGCCAUAAGGUGCCGUAAAACUCACAAACAUAAUGUUAAAUGAUGUAUAUAUGCUGAUUGUUGUCUCAGUUUUUCCUGCAUUUGCAAUGCAGCACACGCGUUUCCAAUGAACUUGGUGCCGGUAGGCCUCAGGUAGCGAGGCUGGCAACCAUAGUUGUCAUAUGCAUGGCCCUGUUUGCAGGCUCAGUGAUCUCCAUCACAAUGAUUUUGCUACGCAAGUCUUGGGGUUACAUGUACAGCAUUGAGGAGGAAGUCGUGACUUAUAUUGCCAGGGUGAUACCUGUCCUCGGGGUUUCUUCCUUCAUAGAUGGAAUUGACACUUCCCUUUCAGGUACGAGCCACAUAUUUACAACAAUCUGGAACCUGUUAUAGCUCUCCCCAACACCCAGGUACUAGUUUAAUGCCCGUGCGUUGCCACGGGAAACCCAUGAAAAACAAAGCCGUGAAUGAAAAAGUGUGACAAACGGCAGUGUUUUUCUCCUCUACAUUUGUUGAACAUAGUCGUGUGCACAAAGGUUUUGUUACCAUAAAUAUGAAAUUUAGCAACAUAUUCGAUAGGUUUCUGAUAGUGGAACAUAAGUAGGCCCUGUUGGAGACCUGUAGUUCUUUACGAUCUCCUUGACUCACUUUAGGAAUUUCAUUCAUCUUUGCACAAAGAAAUAUACGAAUGGGAAAAUUUAGACUAUGCAAAGCUUGCAAACAAAAAGAAAGAUGUUCUGCUCUUGGUUGUACUACACCACAGUUUGCAAAAAAGUAAAAAAACGUGAUCAAACUAAAUAAAAAAAUGAGACAACAAACCUUAUCAAGUGUUCGAGCUUCUUGCAAAAUUUCAGCCAAAAUUAGCAUCCCAGGAGCUCUUACUGAAAGAAAAAACGAUGUUCAAAGUUUUGUGCACUGUUUGAGCAUUGAUUUUGUUUUUUUAGUGAGAGCUCCAUGGAUGUUAAUUUUAGCUGAAAUUUUGCAAGAAUGUGGAACACUUGAUAAGGUGUGAUGUCUCAAAUUUUCAGAUUUUUUUGGAGUUGAUUUGAACUCGUUUUUCAGGUUCUUUGAAAUUUGUGUGUAGUGCACCCGAGGGUAGUGGAUACUUUCAGAAAAAGAAAGAUCAAAUUAAAUAUUCUGGUUAAGCACGUAAUUAUUAAGCUAGUUGAACCUACUUGACGCAAUUGCAGUUUACAUCUGAAUAGGUACAUUAUACAUAUAAUUUAUGGCUUUAUUUGGCUACAAAGGAUGUAGCAUGCCCUGUAGGAGUAUCAAGCCAUUACUCACUCUCCCCUUCUAACUUUUAGGAGCUUCCUCGACACUUUGAGUGCUAUCGGGUAAUAACGCAGUGACAUGGUCGGAUGCAUACCAAUGUUCUGCAUUCAUCAAAUCCUAUUUUGCAUAGAUCUGCUAAUUUGAUCCAACCUUUUGUAGCCGGAGAGAAGAGAACUGAAAAGGGGAAACACAAAGAAAAUCACUAUCAUGGUAAUCAGGUUCAUGAACGCCACAUGAACACCAUCCCUGAAACAAGUGUAUCAUGUGAUUUCAUGCCUCUGCGAUUUGACAGUGAGCCCCAUCAGUGUUGACAGUGACAUCAGUGUCUUGGACAAUGUAAGGUGUUAGGCUUAGGCCAUAACUUGAGAUGUUGUAAUAGCUGGCGUGGAGACACUCACGGUUGAUCAACUCCAGCCAUGAAGCCGUAGCUAGUCUGUUCGGGCUUCUAUCUCAGACUAUGUGGGUAUGGUCUCCUGUUAGAGCCUUCUCGACUUGGUAAUCCGGAGCUUCAGCCUGGUAGUUCCAAUGCAGCAUGCCCAAGCAGUUGCAUCGAGCUUGAGAGGGAGGUCGAGGCUGCAGUCUUCGUGUACUGGCAUACGUAGACUGCAUGUCCCAUCCCUGACCCCUUAAGCAAGUUAGUCUUGUGCUCAUGUCUUCUUUGCAUUGCAUCUAAGAAUUUGUCAACAAGAACAAGAAAGUGGCAAAGGAAAAACUCAAAACCCUAGCCACUACUUUAAAUAAAGAAAAUCUCAAACUAGUUAAAAUCAAUGAAUCCAAAAUGGCCUCAAGAAAUAUUCAAACUUUCUGAUAAAUCAUGAAAGUAAAUGAGCAUUGGAGAAAACUAUUUUCUUGACACUUUAAGCAUUUUAAAUAAAUGCAAAAGCUACUGGUUUCAAGUUUUAAAAUUUGAAAUCAGAAACUUUAAAUUUUCAAAAAUGUUGAAAACUUUGGAAAUAGUUGGAAAUAUUCCAACAAAUAUUCUAGGGUGCUUAACAUAGCUUUUACAACUUAUUUGGGAGUUGAAAUAAUUAGAAAAUCAGUGAAAUAGCAAAACAGAAACAAAAACAGAAAGAAAAAGGAAAAGAGGUUACGUGUCGCUCACCUGGCCCGGCCCAUCUAAGCCCCUGUCGUCUUCCUCCCCGCCAGUGUGCAGCAGGAGGUGGCCACCGCGUUCUCCGGCGCGGCCACGCACCUGUGCGCCUGCCUGGCCGCCGCCUCGCGCUGGCAAGGCCGGGGAUAAGCUCCCCGAGGCCACCCCUAUCCAUUCCCAGCACCAGUUCUCCCUCUCCUCUCGGGUCUCUCCUCCCCGUUCUGCCGCCAUUGGAGCCCGAGCAGAGCUCGAGCUCGUCGUCGUUCUAGCCGACCUCCCUUCCUUCUGAGCCGCGCGUUAGCUCCGCCGCAACCCCCUGAAGCUUCCUAGCCACGAGCCCGACGCCCAGAUGCAGUGAGUCAACGCGCAACCGUCUUCUUCUUCCUCGGGUCACCGAAGAUCGCCGCCGACGUUCUCCCUCUCCAGGCCGUCCCCGAGCAGACUAGCGCCACCACUGCACUCCCCGUGAGCAUGCGGUCUUUUCCCCUAAGAUCUCCCGUCGAUCCCCUCCUCUAGCCCUAGUUUCAUCGGAGCCCGACGAGGACCGCCGCUGCAGCUCGUCGCCGGCAGCCCUUCGGUGAAGUGCUGGUCCGUCUGAGGCUACCAACAGCCUCAGGACGUCGUGUAGAUGCGUUAGGUGCCCAGCCCCGAGCGUUUUGACCCCGUAUCCGAUGGCUUCGACGAUGGCCGAACUUGGUCGCCGCCAAGCUCGUCGUCGGCGUUGAUCCCGACCACCCCAGCCCCUGGGGCUUGUUCCAUCGUGCGCGCCAUCGAGUGGUCGUUCCUCCCAUGGUCUCAGCCGUGCGUUUGGCCCUCUGUGCGCCAUUCUGAGCCCUCCCGACGUUCUGGUGCUCGCCGGAGGCUCCCCGCCAGCGAGGACGACCUCGCCGCCAGUGGACCUCGGCUGGCCUGAGCCACUGACUGGUGGGGUCAGCCUCUGGCAAGAUUAGAAAUAAUAAAAAUAAGUCAGUAAAAAUAAUAAGACACUGACAUGUGGGUCCAGUGGGUUUAAUUAACAAAAUAAGAUUAAUCCUAAUCUAAAAUUGACCUGAGUGACUGACCAGUGGGUCCCACUGGUCAGGUUUGACUUUCAAUGGCCAGUUGGACCUGCUGAUGUCAUGCUGAUGCAAUAAAAGNNNNNNNNNNNNNNNNNNNNNNNNNNNNNNNNNNNNNNNNNNNNNNNNNNNNNNNNNNNNNNNNNNNNNNNNNNNNNNNNNNNNNNNNNNNNNNNNNNNNGUCAUUGAACCAUUUGAUGUCUGGGGCUUUGAUUAUAUGGGACCCUUCCCGAGUUCCAAUGGGUACACUCACAUCUUAGUUGCUGUGGAUUAUGUCACCAAGUGGGUAGAGGCUAUUCCCACUAAAAACGCUGAUCACCACACCUCUAUUAAGAUGCUUAAAGAAGUCAUUUUCCCAAGAUUUGGAGUCCCUAGAUAUUUGAUGACUGAUGGCGGUUCACACUUCAUUCAUGGUGUUUUCCGCAAGAUUCUCACUAUGAUGUCAACCAUAGAGUUGCAUCUCCUUAUCAUCCUCAGUCUAGUGGUCAAGUGGAGUUGAGUAAUAGGGAGAUCAAAUUGAUCCUACAGAAGACCGUCAAUAGAUCUCGAAAGAACUGGUCUAGCAAACUUGACGAGGCACUAUGGGCUUAUUGGACUGCCUAUAAGAAUCCCAUGGGCAUGUUGCCGUAUAAAAUGGUUUACGGUAAGGCCUGUCAUUUACCUCUUGAGCUGGAACACAAAGCUUAUUGGGCAAUCAAAGAGCUCAACUUUGAUUUCAGACUUGCCGGUGAGAAGUGGUUGUUUGAUAUCAGCUCGUUAGAUGAAUGGAGGGCCCACGCAUAUGAGAAUGCCAAGUUGUUCAAGGAAAAGGUUAAGAGAUGACACGACAAACGAAUACAGAAACGAGAGUUCAAUGUAGGUGAUUAUGUCCUGUUAUACAAUUCUCGUUUGAGAUUCUUCGCACGCAAGCUUCUCUCUAAAUGGGAAGGUCCUUACAUUAUCGAGGAAGUAUAUCAUUCUGGCGCCAUCAAAAUCAAUAACACGGAAGGCAACUUUCCUAGAGUGGUAAAUGGGCAAAGAAUCAAGCAUUAUAUCUCUGGUACUCCCAUAAAUGUUGAGACCAAUAUCAUCAAUGUCAUAACUCCAGAGGAGUACAUAAGGGAUGUUUAUCAGCCUGUUUCAGACCCUGAAAACGAAGAGGUAUCUGUUUCGGUAAGAAAUUGGACUCUGAUACUUUUCCAAUAGGAAAUUUCCUCUGUUUUGGAAUUUUUGGAAAAUUAGAAAAAUAAAAAGCAGUCCGAAGAGCGCACGAGGUGGCCACAAGCUUGGAAGCCGCCACCUACCCCCUGGUGGCGGAUGGAGAGCUUGUGGGCACCUCGUGUGCUUCCCGGACUCCGUUUCCUUGCGGAGCACUCCUUCUGGUCCAGAAAAAAUCAUUAUAUAUUCGCCCGAAGGUUUUGAUCUCCGUAUCGCGCAGUUUUCCUCUGUUUUCGUUUCGAGCUUGUUGUUUGCCGCAGAUUUAGAGAAAAGAUGUCUCAAGAAUCUAUUGGGGAGAAUGAUCUUCCCCAAGUUCAUGAAGAAGUAGAUGCUGAUCUGAAAAGAGUAGAAGUCACGGAAGCCAGGGACAAAGCUAAGGAGAAAAACCAAGCUAGGGAGGAAGUGCAACCUAUGUUCAACAUUGAAGACGUUCAAGGAGUAGAUUUUCUCCAACCCUUCCUCCACGUGUUGUCUCCAUCCUUGAUUGAACUCUUGAGGUUUUGCGAAACAACUCGUGCUCGCAAUAUUUCCCUUUCUCGUGAAGUUGUUUUGCUGGAAAACCAUGUCACAGAUCUCAAAGGUAUAAAUCAAAGAUUGAUAGCUCUCCUGGAAUCAAAGGCAACAACUCCACCACCAUCACCACCAAGGAAGACAACUAAGCAUUUGUUGGAGCAUAUAUUGAGCAUAUAUCUCCAUAUGUGGUUUUGGUACUUGAUGACAAUUCCUAUGAACUAAUGGUUGCCUUAAGUUACAUUUAUAGGAUUUGUCCAUAGGCACUUCUUGAAGCCCAUCUGUUGGGUUCAAGGAGUUUAUAUGAUGACCAAGAUGGUAUUCAAGGUAUUAUCCAAAGAAUGGUCAUAGAGACACAUGGUUGAUCAAGAUCUCAGACAAAGAGUAAAUCAAGAUGAUAAACACACAAAGCGUACAAGAUGUAUCGAGAGGGAUCAAGUGAUCCCAUGGUAUGGUAAGCAUUGUCCAUUACGUGUUUGUGUACUAACCCAUGGUCUUCGUGAGAGUUCUAUGUGGGGGUUAGGUGUGUUUCCAUGGGCUUGCGUCAAAGGGAAGAUCUCAUACAACCCAUGGAGUAUGACGUCAAGUUGUGAUCAUCAUCAAUGGUUGAUCAAGAUCUCAGACAAAAAGUAAAUCAAGAUGAUCAACACACAAAGCGUACAAGAUGUACCGAGAGGGAUCAAGUGAUCCCAUGGUAUGGUAAGCAUUGUCCAUUUACGUGUUUGUGUACUAACCCAUGGUCUCCGUGAGAGUUCUAUGUGGGGGUUAGGUGUGUUUCCAUGGGCUUGCGUCAAAAGGAAGAUCUCAUACAACCCAUGGAGUAUGACGUCAAGUCGUGAUCGUCAUCAAGAUUGCGAUGUGCAAGUUCAAGUGGAUCAGCACGAAGAUAGCAUGCUUGAAGCUUGCCGUCCAUUGUGGUGGCAAUGGACUUGUGAAGAUAUGCUGAAGAGUGGCUCACCCAUAGUGAGUAUGGGGGAGCAAUCAACUAGUCUUCAUCAAGCCAACACAAUCAAGAAAGGUGGUCCAUCUUGAGGAAGCCAAGAUCAUCAUCAUCUAGCUCAAGAGGACGAGGUGCAAGGUAUAGGUUUGCCCUUGAUAGGUUUUCUGGUUAGGAUAGAUUGCUGUUCUAUCAAGGGGGGCUCUCAAGUGAGUAGCUUGAUCGUAUCGUUCGUUGAGAGCUCAAACCAUUUGCAUCCUUGCAUCAUACUUCUUGGUUCUUGUUUGGUGUUUCUCUUUGUGAGUUUUAGAGCUUAUGGUCAUCUUCGUGACAAGCUCGAGUUCAUCGAAAACGGAGUCCAUAUGCAUCUACUAUGAUGUUUUCGAUGUUGGAGUUUUUGCCGGUUCUUCAUUCAUAGAGAUCUCACAUCUCGCUGUUUGGAUAGCCCCUGUCGUCCUGAAUCCAACAAGCUUGGGUUUGCUCGAUUCGGGGCUCGUAUGCGAAAGUUAUGGCUGUUUCAGUGGCGAGCGGUAGUACCGCUAGAGUUGGCGGUAGUACCGCUGGCCCUAGCGGUAGUACCGCUGGCUCGCGGUAGUACCGCCCCUGAUCAGCGGUAGUACCGCUCCAGGAGCUUAGUACCGCCUGCCUAGCGGUUGUUCAUGGACGGACCUUUUUGCGAAGACUUUCUUGGCGGUGGUAGUGCCUUUGCACUACCAGGGGCCCAGCGGUAGUACCGCUGGGGCCAGCGGUAGUACCGCUGGAGUGCCAGCGGUAGUACCGCUGCAGCUAGCGGUAGUACCGCUAGAUGGCGGUAGUACCGCUGGAGUGACAGUGGUAGUACCGCUGGAGUGCCAGCGGUAGUACCGCUGCAGCCAGCGGUAGUACCGCUGGAGCUCGGGCAGAGAGUGGGGGUAACGGUCUGAUUCUUCCCCCCACUAUAUAAAGGGGGUCUUCUUCCCCCUUGGCCUUAUCCAUCCGUUGAGCUCUUGUUCUACCUCCAUUGUUGACAUUCUUAGAGCUUGAUUACUCUCAAUCCCUCCAAUGAUUCUUGCUUGUUCUUGAGGGAAAAGAGAGAGGAGAUCUAGAUCCACAUCUCCACCAGUCACUUUCUCCUCUAUGUGAGGGGAACCCCUUGGAUCUUGAUCUUGGAGUUCUUUGUGAGCUCCUUGUUCUUCCUCUCAUAUUUCUCCAUAGCUUUUGUUGUUGUGGAGGGAUUUGAGUGUGAGGGACUUGACCACUUCGUGUGUUCUUGCCAUUGCAUUAGUUGCAUCGGUUUGAGUUCUCCACGGUGAUACGUGGAAGUGAGAAGUUGAGAAGCUUACUACCUUUGGUACUUAGUACCCUUGAUAUUGUUCUUCGUGGAUGCUUUGGCGUCCUAGAAGCUUGGUGGUGUCUCGGAGCUCAAUCAUUGUGGUGUGAAGCUCCGGGAAGCGUCGGGGUCUCCAAUUAGGUUGUGGAGGUUGCCCCGAGCAAUUUGUACGGGUACCGGUAACCGCCCCCAAGGGUUGCCACGUGUACGGGUUCGGUGACCACCCCCGAGGGUUGCCAUUUGUACGGGUUCGGUGACCGCCCUCAAGGGUCCCUUAGUGGAAUCACGGCAUCUUGCAUUGUGCGAGGGCGUGAGGAGAUUACGGUGGCCUUAGUGGCAUCUUGGGGAGCAUUGUGCCUCCACACCGCUCUAACGGAGAUUAGCAUCCGCAAGGGUGUGAACUUCGGGAUACAUCAUCGUCUCCCCGUGCCUCGGUUAUCUCUUACCCGAACCCUUUGCUUAUGCACUUUACUUUGUGAUAGACAUAUUGUUUAUUGUAAUAUAUCUUGCUAUCACUUAGUUGUUUAUCUUGCUUAGCAUAAGUUGUUGGUGCACAUAGGUGAGCCUAGUGUUUGUAGGUUUUGUGCUUGACAUAUUAAACGUUAGUUUAUUCCGCAUUUGUUCAAGCCUAAACCUUAACUAUUUUAAAGCGCCUAUUCACCCCCCCCCCCUCUAGGCGACAUCCACGUCCUUUUCAACAUUGGUAUGGGCAAUCCCCUUGGCUUCUGCCAAACUUGGGGGAGUUGCCCUGGUAUCGUAUCACCUUUAUAUCUUUUGCUUUUACCUUUGUUUUAGUUCUUUCCUUUUCAGUUUUUAUUUCUUCUCUUACAGGAAUAAGUCUUUAGUGUUAGGUUGAGUCUUUUGCUUUUGUCUCUCCCCCGAUGUAUUCGAGCUUGCGAGCUAUACAAUAAAGAGUAUCUUAGUCAAGGGCUUUGCUUUAUGUCGUGAUCAAAAGUAUGAAAAGAACGAUAGCAUGAAAGAUCAUGAGACGAUCUUAUGGAAAGUGAUAACUUCACAUAUGACACGUAUGAUGAUUGAAACUUGUUGAGAAUAAAUCAACAUAGACCUUAGUCAUUGUUGCAAUUAAUAAGAAGUAAUAAGGAAAGAGAGGUUCACAUAUAAAUAUAUCAUCUGAGACACUUUCUACAAUUGUGAGCAUUCACGAAACUAUUACAUGCUUAGGAGUAGAUGUUGGACAAGGAAGACAACAUAAUGAAUUGUGUUUGCUUGGUUCCAAACAAUGUUAUAUGAUUAGAGAUCCCUUAGCAUGUGACAAUUGCUUCCACCUCAUAUUAGCCAAAACUCCCGCACCAAGUAGAGAUACUACUUGUGCAUCCAUAAACCUUCAACCCAGUUUUGCCAUGAGAGUCCACCAUACCUACCUAUGGAUUGAAUAAGAUCCUUCAAGUAAGUUGUCAUCGGUGCAAGCAAUAAAAAUUGCUCUCUAAUAUGUAUGAUCUAUUAGUGUGUGGAAAAUAAGCUUUGUACGAACCUGUGAUGAGGAAGACAUAAAAGCGACAGACUGCAUAAUAAAUUUCUUUAUCACAGGAGGCAAUAUAAAGUGACGUUCCUCCGCACUAAGAGGACACGCAUUCAAACCUCAAAAGUGCAUGACAACCUCUGCUUCCCUCUGCGAAGGGCCUAUCUUGUACCUUUACUUUUUGCCCUUGUAAGAGUCAUGGUGAUCUUCACCAAUUCCCUAUUUUUGCCUUUGUCUUGGCUAUCGUCACAUGCUUGGGAAAUAUCUAUAUUCAUAUAUCAACUUGGAGUUGAGUACUUAUGCUUUAUUAUUGUUGACUUUACCCUUGAGGUAAAUAGUUAGGAGGCAAAACUAUAAGCCCCUAUCUUCCUAUGUGUCGAGCUGAAACUUUGACACCAUGAGUACCACGUGAGUUGUAACAAUUGUGGAAAACAAAAGAGAUGAUUGAGUAUGUGGGUUUAUUUAUGCCUUUUCUCUCUUAUUUUGCAAGGUUUAUUUGAAGAGGGACAAUUCAGGCAGCUGGAAUUCUGGACUGGAAAAGGAGCAAAUCUUAGUCCACUAUUCUGCACAUCUCCAAAUGCCCUGAAAAUUUACGUGGAAUUUUUUGGGAUUAUAUAAAAAAUACUAGGCUAAAGAAGUACCAGAGGGGAGCUACUAGGGCGCCACAAGCCCUACAACCGCCACCCCCUGGUGGCGGCUAGCAAGCUUGUGGGCUCCCUGAUGGCCCACUGGCCCCCCUCUUUUGCUAUAUGAAGGGUUUCGUUCUAGAAAAAAUCAAUCGGGAGCUUUUUCGUGGUUUCGCCGCCGCCGCCACGAGGCGGAACUUGAGCAGAUCCAAUCUAGAGCUCCGACACGACGAUCCUGCCGGGGAAACUUCCCUCCCGGAGGGGGAAAUCGUCGCCAUCGUCAUCACCAACACUCCUCUCGUCGGAGGGGAGGCAUCUUCAUCAAGAUCUUCAUCAGCACCAUCUCCUCUCCAAUCCCUAGUUCAUUUCUUGUAACCAAUCUCCGUCUCGCGACUCCGAUUGGUACUUGUAAGGUUGCUAGUAGUGUUGAUUACUCUUUGUAGUUGAUGCUAGUUGGAUUACUUGGUGGACGAGUUUAUGUUCAGAUCCUUGAUGCUAUUCAUUACAUCUAUUAUCAUGAUUAUUAUUAUGCUUUGUGAGUAGUUACUUUUGUUCCUGAGGACAUGGGAUAAGUCAUGCUGAUAAUAGUCAUGUGAAUUUGAUAUUCGUUCGGUAUUUUGAUAUGAUGUAUGUUGUCUUUUCCUCUAGUGGUGUUAUGUGAACGUCGACUACAUAACACUUCACCAUACUUGGGCCUAGAGGAAGGCAUUGGGGAGUAGUAAGUAGAUGAUGGGUUGCUGGAGUGACAGAAGCUUAAACCCCAGUCUAUGUGUUGCUUCGUAAGGGGCUGAUUUGGAUCCACUAGUUUAAUGCUAUGGGUUAGACGUUGUCUUAAUUCUUCUUUCGUAGUUGCGGAUGCUUGCGAGAGGGGUUAAUCAUAAGUGGGAUUCUUGUCCAAGUAAGGGCAGUACCCAAGCGUCGGUCCACCCACAUAUCAAACUAUCAAAGUAACGAACGUGAAUCAUAUGAACAUGAUGAAACUAGCAUGACAGAAAUUCUCGUGUGUCCUCGGGAGCGUUUUUCCUCCUAUAAGACUUUGUUCAGGCUUGUCCCUUGCUGCAAAAGGGAUUGGGCCACUUGCUGCACCAUUGCUACUACUUGUUACUUGUUACUUUUCGCUUGCUACAUUUCACCUCACUACACCAUCACUUGUUACCACUACUUUCAGUGCUUGCAGUUAUUACCUUGCUGAAAACCGUUUAUCACAGCCUUCUGCUCCUCAUUGGGUUCGACACUCUUACUUAUCGAAAGGACUACGAUUGAUCCCCUAUACUUGUGGGUCAUCAAGACUCUUUUCUGGCGCCAUUGCCGGGGAGUGAAGCGCCUUUGUUAUGUGGAAAUUGGUAAGGAAACAUUUAUAUACCGUGCUGAAAUUUAUUGUCACUUGUCACUAUGGAAACUGUUCCUUUGAGGAGUUUGUUCGGGGUAUCUUCACCACGAACGGAAGCACGAGGAGUUGUUCCUCAACCUAAGGUACCUACUGAAAAUAUCUUUUAUGAAAUUCCUUCAGGUAUGCUUGAGAAACUGCUGGCUAAUCCUUUCACAGGAGAUGGAUCUUCACAUCCAGACUUGCAUCUGAUCUAUGUGGAUGAAGUUUGUGGUUUAUUUAAGCUUGCAGGUUUGCCCGAGGAUGAGGUAAAGAAGAAAGUAUUUCCUUUAUCUUUGAAGGAUAAGGCGUUGACAUGGUAUAGGCUAUGUGAUGAUAUUGGAUCAUGGGACUACAAUCAGUUGAAAUUGGAAUUUCAUCGAAAGUUCUACCAUUGCUACUACUUGUUACUUGUUAAUUUUCGCUUGCUACGUUUCACCUCACUACACCAUCACUUGUUACCGCUACUUUCAGUGCUUGCAGUUAUUACCUUGCUGAAAACCGUUUAUCAGAGCCUUCUUCUCGUCGUUGGGUUCGACACUCUUACUUAUUGAAAGGACUACGAUUGAUCCCCUAUACUUGUGGGUCAUCAGGUGUCAAACACAUGAUGUAGAUGUAUGUGGAGCUAGGAAGGCUUAUAAUAUGGUAGCAAAAAGGGUCAGCAAUAACCAGUUCAAAGAUGCAAAGUUGAAAGGAUGCUCAACCACGGUACCGUGUUGGUCCUAGGCUAGACCGUACUAGAGACGCAAGGCUAGAACACCAACAAAAUCACAACGCUACACGUAAUCAAGGGAAGGGCCACUCUGAUUUUUUUGCGAUUUUUUGCGCUCUUUUUUAAGAAAAUCACUAUAAUGGCGAGUGUCUCAAAACUCUUCCGAAUGGCUAAAAAUAGGAUAGGCACAAAAAAAGUUGACUAUUUUUUUGGGAGUGAUUCGGGGCUGCAACGACCAAAAAUUGCGACAAAAAAUUGCUAUGACGGCGAGUGUCUCAAAAUGCCGUGGACAGCCUCAAAAUAGGAUUGGAAAAAAUAUUUUCACCCACUGAAAUUUUGGUCUAAGGACUGCUCUCAAAACUAUGCUAGACUUUUUUUUUCUCAAAACCUACUCAGGCAAGGAAACGCGAACAAAGAAAUCUCGAAACGACACCUAAUAUGGAAAGGACUCGGGUUGGUGGUGGAUAUGUGGUGGGAUAUAUGGUAAUGAUGACGAUGGGUGAUGCUAUAUGCCAGCGGUGAUGAUAGUGGUGGGUGGCAGCGAGAUCGAAGAUGGGGCGGCGGCGGCAUGACAACUUGUGAAUAGAACUCAAAACUCCAAAGGACUAGACUCUAAGACGAGCAACUCGACAUGAUGAUGUAACCGCAAGUUCAACAAAGCAAAGUACCGAGCAGAAAAUUGCAAAAGGCUCAUAUUGGAUCGGAUAGGAUGAACUAUACCUAAUUUUUUGGCUUUUUUCAUGGACUAUAGGUAUGAAGAACAUAUGCGAUCUAAACUACGAAAAACUAGUAAAAUCUCACCGAGCAACCUAGAAAUCUGAUACCACUUGAUAGAGGCACAGUUGCCCCUGUCUUUUGAUGAGAUGGUGGCUAUCAUUUUUGGUGGAGUAGACUUUGACAAUUCGACUACGAACAUGCGAAGACGUCACACCUUAGCAAUCGCUAAACCAACUCCGAGAGGUUAUUGACCAAGUCGGAGCACGAUCAACCUGACCAUGAUGGUCUGUUUCCUACACGCAAACGAAGAACGGGCAAGAAACUGAAAUUGCAAUAUGGAUAUUGCGAAUAUAAGAGGAAAGCUUUAUUGAUGAAAAUGGGUUUAUGUGACGUCUUGGUCUGGUCGUAGGUCAGAAACGAAGAAUGCAAAGUUGCAGUUAUGGCGAACUUGUAAUCUAAACAAAACCCAAGUCUAAACAGUUCCCUAAGGGCUGUAUAUAUGGGACAAUAGAGGGGAAUUUCACGACCCCUUGGAGGAGGGGUCCGAAACCAACCCUAACUCCAUUUUCCCACACAUACGGACUCUAAAAACAGCCUAUAAAGUGGUAUUUCAAAAUUACAUGGGCCUGUCCCAAAAAUAAGGUGACGCAACCCCUAUAAUGGCUUAUGGAUGAAAUUUAUGAUGUGACAUAUUGUAUAUUUCGUCCAAGCCUUCAUGCUCCCAUUAUGGUGGCUUCAAAGUGCGAAAAUCACCACGGGAAGCUCCAUUUUCUUUCGUGUGCGCGCACCUUCUCCUCCGUGCUUGUUCCCAUUCCAAUGGCCAUCCUUCUUGUCCAUGCUAGGUCCUUCAUUCAUAGGUAAAACAAAAAAGUAUCUAACUUACGCAUCAUCAUGUGUUCAUGAACAUUAGAAGACUUUCCAAGAAAUGAAAGUACCUAGUGAUUAAUUGGCAUGUGCGUGGUCUAGUGACUGGUCUAGUAUGUAUAGCAGCAGGGGUUGUGGGUGUCACAAUUGUAUUGAUGUCCUCAUCAUGGGGGCUAGGUGGGGAGGACCUUAUUCCAUGUACAAAGAGUCGCACCGCCUUGCAUCUCUGAGUAGAACUGACAUAGGCGAGGUCCCGAUAUUUCGAUGAGAUGGUGGCUAUCGAUUUGGUGGUUACGACUUUGAGGAGGCUUAAUAUAUGAUAGCAAAAGAUUAGCAAUAAUCAAUUGAGAGAUGCAAUGUUGAAUAAACGCUCAACGACGGUACUUUGCUGGUCCUAGGCUAGACCGUACUAGAGACGCGAUCCUAGAACACUAAUGGAGUCAUGGCAUACCACAAGUAUCAGCAACGGAUGAUAUGAAGUAGCUCUAAAUAGCAAGAUAUAAGUGAAGAUCACAAUGACAGUAAAGAUAAUGAUGAUAAAUGAUCGUUCAGUCAUGAUAUAUCAAAACCCUCUCUUUAACUUCCUUCGGAAAACAUUAUGUCAAAUUUCUAAUAUCGUUUCUCAAGAUUGCCACUAAACCAAGCUUGUCAAUGCAAAAAGAAUCACUCAAUUCCGAUUUCGUAUGAGCAGUCACAAAAUUCGGGAACAGACUUGAAAAAUAUUGAGAAAUUAUGUUUGCGGCCUUGGGAGGGCAAAAGUCCUAUUUAGAAGCCGAAUUUGGAGUUGACAAUAAUGAACUAGUUUGAUGAACUAUUCAGAUGCGGCUCAUGGAUAGAUCGAAUUUGAGUUCUUGUGGAGCCAAAACGGACUUUGUAUGAGGAAGAAACACAUGUUUUACUGAACACUACACAAAAGAGUUUCCAAUCCGAAUUCACAUACGGGAUUGAGUAUAGAUAGAUCUGAAAUUUGUUUUUUUUCUCUUCUCUCUUUUUUUUCUCACUUUUUUACUUUUUUUCUUCUCUUUCUUUAUCUUACUUUUUUCCUUCUCUCCAACAUAUGGCAAUGACCGAUGGGAACUGGUGGUGGCAAUUGAUGGAUGGUGGUGGGCGACAACGAAAGGGAUGACGGCUCAGCGGUGGCAUGACUAAUGUGAAGACGACUUGAAACUCAAAAUGACUAGAUAAUAAGACGAGCAACUCGACAUGAUGAUGCAACCGAUCAUUCAACCAUGCAAGCAAUGAAAAUAAAAUUGCAAAGGCUCAGACUGGCUUGGCCAAAGGAUGAAUAGAUCUAACAUUUUUGUGGCUUUUUCUUGGGCAAUAGGUAAGAAAACAAAAUAUAAUCUAGGGAUAACUCUAACCGAGCAACCUGAAAACUGAUACCACUUGAUAGAGGUGAGGGUCCUGAUCUUUUGAUGAGAUGGUGGCUAUCGAUUUGGUGGAGACGACUUUGACGAUCCGACUACAGACGUGCACGACGUUGCGCUUUAGCAAUUGCUAAACCAACUCUAAUAGAUUAUUGACCACGCCGGAGCAUGAUCAACCUGACCAUGAAGGUCUCUUUAUGCAAGAAAUCAAAGAACAACCAAGAAUAUGAUAGAAGCAAUUUGAAUAUUGCAAACAUAUUUGAAGUAUUGAUAACGACGGGGAUCCGAAAGCGGUCUUGGUCUGGUCGUUGGACACAAACAAAGUACACAAAGUUGCAAUGGGUAACUUCUAACUAAACAAAUUCCAAGCAAUAAGCCACUAGGUUGAUCUACUUAUAUAGGAGCAAUGGGUGGCAGGCAAGGAGGUGGGAGAACAUCUCAAGGCAGCCCAAAACCAACCCUAGGUCGUACAAGGCCCAUCUGCUCAAGUGGAGGUGAUGCAACACCUUUGGAGUUAUAGUUUGACUCGGAUUCUGAUGCAACCUUAGAUUGUUUUGUCAUUAUCUCCACACUCCGGACAAAUUUUAAAGUGAUUCCAAUUGGUCUGGAACAUAGAUAAAGUCUAAUUUCAAACAAAAAAACACCCAAUUUGGAGUCCCUAUGCAAACUUUGUUGACGUUUUGAGACACGUGUGUCUGUGCAGUUUGAAUCUGAGUCCACAAGGUGAGAGACUUGGACUUUAUCUUAUCUUGGGCUAAAAGUGAUGUGAGAAAACUUCUUCAACGGCACAUAAUCAUUUGGUUUGAUGUGAGAGGACUUGUUGAACAACACCUAAUCAUUUCCUCUUUCUUUAUCUUCACACGUGGUUUGUGCAAGCGUUCGACAAUUCUGCAUUUAGGCAUGGAGUAAAAAUAGAUGAAAUAUUUUGUUCCGGAUAAUAUAGAUAAAUUAUUGCAUAAUUAUUAUAAGAAAUCACCUCACAAAUAUGCAAAUAUGAAAUAUUUUUUGGUCGUAUCCAAGGUAGCCAUGUCCUCAUCAAGAACACAAACCCUAAUAAAACCUAAAAAAGUAUCAGAAAAUGAAGCCCUCCCAUCGGCAAAGACCGGGAUAAUUAACGCCUCCAAGGCCCUAAAACCACAAAGACGAGGUAGACCGGCGAAGGCACCGACGGGAGUGAGGAGAAACCCUAGACUUGUACUAGGGUAAGAGCGGUCAGCCAAAUAUUUAUUAUUGAUGCUACCCCUCUGAAACUAUGCAGAUUGCCGGAGAGCCUUAAACUUGGGAGCAUAGGUUAAUGAAUUGUGCUUCACAAAUACUGGAGAGCAUGAGUUAUUUCACUUUGGAAGCACAAAUUUCACCUUGAAAAGCUUUCAUUCGGGCUUGGAACGAUGGUAUUCAGUUUUGAAGACCUUGACGCGAGCUAUCAUGAGAACGAACGCAUGGUUCGCAAGGUAUUUCAUUCUGAACAAUAGGGUCAAUGAAAAAAGCACAAAAAGCAUCCUCACACCCCUACCAAAUAUUUGUUUUCAAUGUCACGGGAGAUGUGGUAAUUUUGCAGAUGGUACCUUUAGUUAGUGAUUUUGCAUGUCAUGGGAUGAUAGACACACGAUUAACGUUCUUAUCAACGGUUCUGUCGGGCUCCCUAAGUGACCCUUUUUGUUACGUAAGAAUUGUAAGAAAAACAUGGUACCCGUGUUGGAUGAGUAUAAAGUACAUCUAGUUGAACAUUAUGGGGUAGAUUACAUUUGCUAGAUGACACAUUUUUCUAAUGAAAAAGAAAAUCCAGUGAAGUGUAAUAGUUUAUUUAUAGGUUAAGCUAUCAUAAGAAAUGUGAAAUAGAAGAUUGACACGCUAAAAGAGUGAGAUUUUAGAAACAUAAUAGUAAGACAGAUGGUUUGACUCUCGAGUUGUGAUAGUACAUACCUUUUUUUAUUUACUCAAAAUUUUAAAAAGCUACUCCCAAGUACAAACACGGUAGCAUGGACUGGGAUUACUUGUGUGGUAUCAGCCCAUCAGGGUUUGAAAGCACACAUGCUCCCUUGGUGAUUUUGAUAGUUCAUGACAACAUAUAUUGUCUCUUGGACUAACACUUUUACCUAGAUAUUUGAGGAAAAGUCCAUAGAGAGCAUUGGCUAAAGGUUUAUGUGGAGACACCCCUAGAUGCAAGAAAGGAAUAAUAUUGGCUCAAGCUUCAAGCUAGAAGACUCUUCAUUUUAUAUUUGUGAGAAAUCACUUUUGAGUCCAUAGGAAAGCCAAUACUAUUAAAAGGGGGUGAGGUAGUAAAAUGAAUUGAUUGCUCAAAUGCUCAAAGUUAACCACCAAAACACUCAUUCAUUUUUUCCCACAUAUCCACUCUGUCAAGUUCCAAAUUCACAAAUUCGGUGCACCAACAUUUCCACAUCGGACCCACCGAGUUUGAUACUCACAUAGAACCCUAGCCAUUCCCACCAGAUCGAUGCAACCGAAACUACAUCGGUGCUACCGAGUUCAGUGUGACCAACAUUCUUUUGCCGAGAUACACAAAAUCGGAAUUACCGAGUCUGAGUAUCGAUGCCACUGAGUUUGGCCAUCUAACCGUUAGUCGCCUUUUCAGUGCCACCGAGUUCUAUAUAUAUCGGUCUCACCGAGAUUCAAAAGUUCACACUUUUAGUACUAGUUGGUACCAUCGAGUUGUCCACUUCGGUGUCACCGAGUUUGCACUUUUGUGUGUAACGAUUGGAUUUUGGAUGCUGCCUAUAUAUACCCCUUCACCCACCUCUCAUUCCUGGGAGAAGCACUCACAACACACACUUAAUUUCCAGAUCCAUUUUCUGAGAGAGAACCACCUACUCAUGGGUUGAGACCAACAUAUUCCUAUCCAAUCAUUUGAAACUUGAUCUCUAGCCUCCUCAAACUGCUUUCCACCAAAUGAAGCUCUCCUACCCAUGCAUAUUGUAUGAGAGAGUGGUUUGUGUUGAGGAGACUAUCUUUAUAAGCACAAGAGCAAGGAGUUCAUUGAUCUACCACAUCUAUUACCUUUUGGAGGGUGGUGCCUCCUAGAUUGGUUAGGUGUCUCUUGGGAGCCUCCUACUUCGUGUUGUGGAGUUGAACCAAGAUGUUUGUAAGGGCAAGGAGGUCGCCUACUUUGUGAAGGUCUACCGUGAGUAAGGUUAGUCCUCCGUGGACGUAAGCCGUGGUGGGAUAGACAAGGCCGCUUCUUUGUGGACCCUCCGUGGCUGGAUACCUCCGUGGACUCUCGCAGUCGUUACCCUUCGUGGGUUGAAGACUCCACUAACAUGGACGUACGAUAGCGCCACCUAUCAGAACCAUGCCAAAAAUCACCGUGUCAACCUCAUACGUUUGAUCUCCCUACCUUGAUCCUCUACAUUACAUUUGCAUGUUUUACUUUCCGCUAUUAUACUUUUAGAACUGCGUGUGUAGGGUGACUUAGACUUGUUACAACUGCUAGAUUUCUGCCCUCCUAGGAAAUAGGUUAGGCUAGAUUUUUUAUCUUGACAAGUAGUCUAUUCACCCCCCCCCCCUCUAGACACAUCUUCUAUCGAUCCCUCAAUUGGUAUUAGAGCAAGGUAUCCAAAACCUUGGUUUAACCGACAUUGGAGGAAGGUGAAUGUGGCUAGUUCCCAGAUUUUUAGUUAUAGAGUGCCUAUUCUUGAUGGGGAUUACUUUAGACAAUGGAAAUACGAAAUGCUUGAGAUAUUCGAUGAUUUCCAUUUGCGCAAGUAUAUUGAAUAUCCCUAUGCGCCUCCCAUUGACCCCAUACAUCCUUCUCAUGAUGAUGAACUUAAUAUGCUUGAUAACCUUAACGUUGUCAAUCUUAUCAUUAGAGGUUUACCAAGAAAUGUGCUUAAUCAGUUGCAAAACUUUGAGUGUGCUCAUACCUUGUGGAAAUACUUAGAGAAAACAUAUCCAAAUUAUUCCUUGAAAAAAAAUUAAUAUCAUUGUUCACAAGUACAUUGCUUUCCAUAAGAUGAAGCCAACAGAUCCUAACUUUGAUAAAUGCCUAUUUGAGCUUCAUGACCUCAUGCGUGCUAAAGGAAAUGUCAUUGGUUUACCAUCAACAAUAUCAUUGUUGAAGCCAUUCGAAUGCAUAAACUUGAACAUUGUAAUAAUCAAAUUUCUGAUGAAGUUCUUGUUUCUUAUGAUGAGGAAACUUCAUCCGAUGAUGACAAUGUGGAGCAUGGCUACUACAAUGAAAAUGAAAAGUUUGACAUCGAGUAUGAGAAGACCAUGAAGAACCUUAGUCUUAUGGCUAACCUUAAAGACUACAUGGCCGGUGGAAAUGAGUGGGUUCUCGACAGUGGAUGCACCGAUCACAUGACCGGAGAUAAAGACAUGUUCCAUGAGAUUACACCAAACCGUGGACCUCGGAAGUAUGUGACUUUUGGAGACAACUCCAAAGGUAAGGUACUUGGUCUUGGUAAGGUGGUUGUAUCUCAUGACAGUUUCAUUCAGAAUGUCAUGCGUGUUGAAUCUCUUGGCUACAAUCUUCUUUCCAUAUCUAGACUAGCAGACUUUGGUUUCGAUGUGCUAUUUACGAAAUUUGAAUGCCAAGUGUUUUGUAGCGACAAUAAUAACAUCGUAUUUACUGGUUUCCGUAGAGGUGAUCUAUACAUUGUUUAUUUCUCUAAGAUAUCCAAACCCUGUACAUGCCUUAUUGCAAAAUCCUCUAAAGGUUGGUUAUGGCAUAGAAGGCUUGGACAUGUUGGUAUGCGUAAUCUCAAUGAUAAGUCGCAGGUACAAAUGAUCUUCAAGAACUUUGCUCGAAAAGCUCAAAAGCAGUUUGAAGUGUAGAUCAAGAAGGUCCGGAGCGACAAUGAAAUGGAGUUCAAGAAAACUAGUGUGGAUACUUUUCUUGACGAAGAAGGUAUCUUACAUGAGUUCUCGGCGACGUACACACCUCAACAAAAUGGAUUUGUUGAGAGGAAGAACCUGACGCUCAUAGAGAUGGCGAGAAUGAUGCUUGACGGAUACAAGACUCCAAGACACUUUUGGGCAGAAGCCAUGGAAACAUCUUGCCAUGCCAUAAACCGACUCUACCUGCACGAGCUUCUCAGUAAAAUGACAUACAAGCUACUCACCGGUAACAAACCCCAAGUUGGAUACUUUCGAGUAUUCGGCUCUAAAUGCUAUAUUAUUGAUAAGCAUCAUCGAUCUAAAUUUACACCUAAAUCUUAUGAAGGUUUCCUUCUUGGUUACGGAUCAAACUCUCACGCUUACCAUGUCUACAACAACUUCACUCGAAAAGUUGAAGAGACGGUAGACGCGAAUUUUGAUGAGACUAAUGGUUUGCAAGUCGAACAAUUGCCAAUUGAUAUAGGAGAUAAGAAACCAUCAGAAGCUAUCAAAGAUUUGUCCAUUGGCAAUAUUCGUCCCAUGGAGGUGAAGGAAAGCACUUCAUCAACUCAAGUGGAAGCUCCCACUUCAUGUCAAGGCGAACCACAAAAUGACAUGGAAGCAUCCACAAGCGGUACACGACAUGAUGAAGAAGAGGAAGAGAAACAUCUUGAUGAUCCACCUCAACCUUCCUCACCACCACCUCAAGGAGAAGUUGAUGCCAAUGACAAUGGUCAAGAUGAUUAUUAUGAAGAAGAAGCUCCUCCAUCCAACAAGAAGAAGUUGUCAAGAGUUAGAGCAAGAGUGGACAGAGAUCAUCCGUUGAAACAAAUCUUCAGCGACAUAAACAACGGGAGAAUCAGUCACUCUAAAUCUCGUUUAGCUAACUUUUGUGAGCACUAUUAUUUCAUAUCUAGCAUUGAACCCUUUAAGGUAGAAGAAUCUCUCCAAGAUCAAGAUUGGGUGAAUUCCAUGCAUGGAGAGAUACACAACUUCGAGAGGAACCAAGUAUGGACACUUGUUGAAAAACCAGAAGGCGAGCAAAAUGUCAUUGGUACAAGAUGGGUGUUUCGGAACAAGCAACAUGAAGACGGACAAGUUGUACACAACAAAGCACGUCUCGUAGCCCAAUGAUACAUGCAAGUCGAAGGUAUGGACUAUGGUGAGACUUAUGCUCCUGUUUCUAGACUUGAAUCCAUUUGUAUUCUUCUAGCUUAUGCCAAUCAACAUGAUAUAACUCUCUACCAAAUGGAUAUUAAAAGUGCCUUUCUCAAUGGAGAAAUUGAAGAGGAAGUUUAUGUUAACAACCUCCUGGUUUUGUGAACCUAAAGAAACCUGAUCAUGUUUACAAACUUCGUAAAGCUUUAUAUGGUCUUAAACAAGCACCUAGAGCUUGGUACAAAUGCCUAACAAAGUUUCUCAUUGAAAAGGGUUUUGAGAUUGGCAAAAUUGAUGCAACCUUAUUCACUCAAAGAGUAAAUGGAGAAUUAUUUGUUUGUCAAAUAUAUGUGGAUGAUAUUAUCUUUGGCUCUACUAACCCACAUUUUAGUGAAAAGUUUGGAAAGCUGAUGUUAGAGAAGUAUGAUAUGUCCAUGAUGAGUGAACAGAAGUUCUUCCUUGGAUUGCAAAUCAAACAAUCAAGAGAAGCAACGUUCAUCUCUCAAACCAACUACACCAAGGACUUAAUUCGGAAGUUCAACAUGCGAGAAUGCAAAGGUAUGAGAACCCCCAUGCCUACUAGUGGACAUCUUGACCUCACUAAGGAUGAUGCAGCCAUUGAUGAAAAAGUUUAUCGAUCAAUGAUUGGAUCAUUGGUAUAUCUUUAUGCCUCUCGUCCUGAUAUCAUGUUAAGUGUUUUCAUGUGUGCCCCUAUCAAGUAGCACCUAAAGAGUUUCAUCUAUUGGUUGUGAAAAGGAUAGUGAGAUACCUCAUACAUACACCAAAUUUUGGCAUAUGGUAUCCCAAGGGAUCUUCUUUUUAUCUUGUUGGCUAUUCCGACUCGGACUAUGUUGGAGACAAGGUUGAUAGAAAAUCCACCUCAGGUACAUGUCAAUUUCUUGGGAGAUCUCUUGUCUCUUGGACAUCCAAGAAACAAAGCUCGGUAUCCUUGCCAACUGCCGAAGCAGAAUACAUUGUCGUUGGAUCAUGUUGUGCUCAAUUACUAUGUAUGUCUCAAACGCAUAAGGAUUAUGGCAUUCAUGUUAGAAAAGUCCCAUUAUUGUGUGACAAUGAAAGUGCUAUUAAGAUUGCAUAGAAUCUUGUGCAACAUUCUAGAACCAAACACAUCCAAGUGCGACAUCAUUUCAUCUGUGAUCAUGUUGUCAAAGGAGAUAUUGAUCUGAGGCAUGUUCGUACUGACAAACAGCUGGCUCAUAUUUUCACCAAACCACUUGAUGAGAAAGUGUUUUGUCAUUUGAGGAGUGAUUUGAACAUCAUUGAUGAUUCAAACUUGAGCUAGGCUCACUCGGAUGCAUGCAAGGGCAUGAGCUUGAGUGACUAUUCCUUGAUGCCAUUGAUAUGACUAUCUUAUGUCUUGGAAACUAUGCUCCCUUGUAUUGCAUCUAACCUUUUGUAGGUACUUGGAAGAAAUACACUCCACAAGAUUGCAAACCAACUCUCAUCAAAAUCAAUCUUGACAUGGCCAAGUAUAAACAACCUUUUCUUCGGAGAUGAAGGAAGAAGGCAACAAAAUCAUAUCCUUGACAAUUUUAUGAUAUUGAAUUUCACUCAUGUCACUUGGAUAUAUUAUGUUCUUCCUUGCGUGACUAACCAUUAUAGGUGAAAAGUGAACCAAAACGUCAUGGAUAGCUCCCAACUCAAGAUGAUCAACAUCAACAUUGAGCAUCCACAACAAGUUCACCUACAUGCUAUGUCAUAAACAUCAUUUAAAGGUAUGUAAUCAUGUCCUUGAUAAAGAUCUACAUCAAUUCAUGGUUGAUGUCCCACAAGCGUAUGGGAUCGCAGCAGUUUUCGAGGGUAGAGUAUUCAACCCAAAUUUAUUGAUUCGACUCAAGGGGAAGCGAAAGAAUAUUCUCAAGUAUUAGCAGUUGAGUUGUCAAUUCAACCACACCUGAAAGAUUAGUGUAUGCAAGAAAAGUAUCAGUAGCAAGGUAGUAUGAUAGCAACGGUGCCAGAAAAAAGCCUUGGUUGACGGGAUGUUAGUACCGCUUACCUAGCCUCGGCAACGGCGCCAACAAAGUCUUGCAACAAGUAACAGCGGAGUAGUAAGGAACAGUAGUAGUAGCAGCAGCAAAGUAACAAGUAACAGCAGUAGUGACAAUAGGAGCAAAGUAACAAGUAACAGCAGUAGUGACAGCAGCAGCAAAGUGGCCCAAUCCCUUUUGUAGCAAGGGACAAGCCUAGGCAAAGUAACGUAGCGAGGACCAGUAGUAAAAGACUCGUAGGCAGUGGAUCGGUGAUGGAUGAGUGUGACGGAUGUGAUUCAUCAUGUAACAGCUAUAACACGCAGAGAUAUGUGGCUAGCUCCCGUUCGUCAAUGUAAUGUAUGCAUGUAUUCCGUAUGUAGUCAUACGUGCUUAGGGAAAAGAACUUGCAUGACAUCUAUUGUCCAUCCCUCCCGUGGCAGCGGGGUCCUAAUGAAAACUACGGGAUAUUAAGGUUCUCCUUUUAAUAAAGAACUGGACCAACGCAUUAACACGCGGUGAAUACAUGAACUCCUCAUACUAUGGUCAUCUCCGGGAUUGGUUCCGGCUAUUGUCACUCCGGGGUUGCCGGGUCAUAACACAUAGUAGGUGACUACAACUUGCAAGAUAGGAUCUAAAACACACAUAUAUUGGCGACAACAUAAUAGGUUCAGAUCUGAAAUCAUGGCACUCGGGCCCUAGUGACAAGCAUUAAGCAUAGCCAAGUAGUAGCAACAUCAAUCUAGAACAUAGUGGAUACUAGGGAUCAAUCCCCGUCAAGAACUAACUCGAUUACAUGAUAGAUCUCAUCCAACUCAUCACCGUCCAGCAAGCCUACGAUGAGAUUACUCACGAACGACGAAGAGCAUCAUGGAAUUGUCGAUGGAGAAAUAUUUAUGAUGACAAUGGCGAUGAUUUCCCCUCUCGGGAGCCCAAAACGGACUCCAGAUCUACCCUCCACAUGAAGAACACGAUGUGGCGGCGCUUCCGUAUCGCAAAACGCAAUGAAACCUUAUCUCUGAUUUUUUUCCAGGCGAAAUGGAAGAUAUAGAGCUGAGAUUGGGGGCGAUGGUGCCACGUGGGCCCCCACAAGCCUGCAUGGCGCGACCAUAGGGGGUGGCCGCGGCCUGUGGGCUUUCGGCCCACUGGCACGCCCCCUACGGUGGAUCUUUGCGCAGGUAUUUUUCUUUUAUUCCAGAAAAAAUCUCCGUAAAUUUUCAGGACGUUCCGAGAACUUUUAUUUCUGCACAAAAACAACACCAUGGCAAUUCUGCUGAAAAUAGCAUCAGUCCGAGUUAGUUCCAUUCAAAUCAUGCAAAUUAGAGUCCAAAACAAGGGCAAAAGAGUUCGAAAAAGUAGAUACAACGGAGACGUAUCAAUGGUGUACAACAACUCAAGUGAUAUGAAGACAUUUAAAUGCUUAAUCAAAAAAUGGCAAUCCCAUUUUGCGCUUAACGAUGAGUAUGACAUAUGGUCAAGCAUCCUCGCUUGACUCCUCAAGUCAAAUACUCUAAUAUAGGUGACCUAGUCACCGCCCCACAUCUAGAUGGAGAAUAUUGUAUGGUUCACCUUUGACCUUUCACAUUCUUAGAACCAUUCCACUCUCAUCUAUAUGUGUUUAUUUUCAAAAAAUAAAUCUUCUUACUUUUGUUUAAACUAUCUCAGUUGGAAUUAUCAUUCUUUUGGACUCUUGACCUUUUGAAAAAAUUCUCUCAAUCAACCAAUUUUAUGUUAAAGAGUUGACUAUCAUUGCAACUCGGUUUCACCGAAUUGGGAAACUCGGUCCAACCGAUUUCUCCAAGAGGCCUAAAUAUCAAUCUCGGUUCUACCGAAUCAUUAUGCCUCGGUGACUCCGAUUUUUCUGACUUUGUUGCUCUGAUAAUUUUUCUGGACUAUUGACUUAGAGGGAGACAACUUCUCUAGGGGGAGAAAACUCUCACUAAUCCCAUGUUAUAUAAGAGUGAAAAUUCUCUAGGAUCCCUAACUUAGGGGAGAUCGUUCAAGGAACUCUUUCCCGUACCUAAGGGGGAGAACAUUCAAUGAACCCUACAAAAUAUCUAAGGGGGAGAAAAGACAAAUUCUAGGAACCUUUACAAAAGAGAGAAGUAUCCAGGAACCCUCUAUUUACUCUCAAGGAGCCCUUACCCUCUGACCUUUCUUUUUGGUAAUUGUGCCAAAGGGGGAGAAAUAUCAUCAAAGCUUCCAUUCAGUGAACCUAUUUAUAGGGGAGAAAUACUAUCAAUACUAUCAAGAAGCUUAUACAAAAGAGGGAGCAACAACACUAAAGGGAGAUAUUUGUAUCAUACCCUAUACAUUAAGGGGGAGAGAGAUAAAUACCAUUUUAAUUGGCUUUAUUGGUUGAACUUAUUUUCCCUACCUACUCCCAAUAUCUACAUGCCAUGAUUCAGGGGGGAGGAAACUUUACAUACUCAUUUUUAAGGGAGAAAAAGUUAUUGUUCCUUGAAGACAUAUUCUUUCAUUCAAAUCCUAUUUUAAAAAUGUGUUCAAUUUCUUGGUACUUCUGAAUUUCUUUUGCAUCUUUAUAACAGGGUACUCUUGUGUUAUCUAACAUUUUUCCCCAAGUGUACUCCUAUGUCAAGACGCUCAAGAUCCUCAAGGUAAGUAUAUGCAUCAUAUCCUUGUUCAUGGUGACCUCUUGUUUCUUGCACAUACUGUUUGCAAGAGGGAGUUGUAAACAUGGAAGUCUCUCAAUCACAUAUGUUUGAUGCAUAUAGCCAAAAUUCCUAUGACUUGUCUUGUCCUUCGGCCUUGUGUGUGCCCAUGCAUUCCAAAGCAACUAUCCUUUAAAGGGAUUGCACACAUUUAGGGGGCGCUUGUACCAGUCAUAUUUCUUUCAAAGUUGUCAUAUCCUUAUGAGUAUAUUUAUUUGAAGCUUUGAUUGUAUGUUGUCAUCAAUUACCAAAAAGGGGGAGAUGGAAAGCACAUAUGCUCCCAAGGUGAUUUUGAUAAUUCAUGACAACAUACAUUGUCUCUUGGACUAACACUUUUACCUAGACAUUUCAGGAAAAAUCCAUAGAGAGCAUUGGCCAAAGGUUUAUGUGGAGACACCCCUGGAUGCAAUAAACGAGUAAUAUUGGCUAAAGCUUCAAGCUAGAAGAUAUUCAUUUUAUAUUUGUGAGAAAUCACGUUUGAGUCCAUAGGAAGCCAAUAUUAUUAAAAGGGGUGAGGUAGUAAAAUUAACUGAUUGCUCAAAUGCUCAAAGUUAGCCACCAAAACACUAAGUCAUUUUUUCCCACAUAUCCACUCUGUCAAGUUCCAAAUUCACCAAUUCAGUGUCACCAACAUUUCCACAUCGAACCCACCGAGUUUGAACCUCAGACAUAACCGAGUUCAGUGUGACCAACAUUCUGUUGCCAAGAUAAACAAAGUCGGAAUUUCUGAGUUUGAGUAUCGGUGCCACCGAGUUUGGCCAUCUGACCGUUAGUCACCUUUUCGGUGCCACCGAGUUCUAUAUACCGGUCUCACCGAGAUUCAAAAGUUCACACUUUUAGUACUAGUCGGUACCACCGAGUUGUCCACUUCGGUGUCACCGAUUGCACUUUUGUAUGUAACGGUUGGAUUUUGGUUGUUGCCUAUAUAUACCGCUUCACCAACCUCUCAUUCGUGGCAAAAGCACUCAGAACACACACUUCAUUUCUAGAUUCAUUUUCUGAGAGAGAACCACCUACUCAUGUGUUGAGACCAAGAUAUUCCAACCCAAUCAUUUGAAACUUGAUCUCUAGCCUCCCCAAACUUCUUUCCACCAAAACAACCUCUCCUACCCAUGCAUAUUCUGUGAGAGAGUGAUUUGUGUUGAGGAGACUAUCUUUAGAAUCACAAGAGCAAGGAGUUCAUUGAUCUACCACAUCUAUUACCUUUUGGAGGGUGGUGCCUCCUAGAUUGGUUAGGUGCCGCUUGGGAGCUGCCUACUUCGUUUUGUGGAGUUGAACUAAGAUGUUUGUAAGGGCAAGGAGAUCGCCUACUUCGUGAAGAUCUACCGUGAGUAAGGCUAGUCCUCCGUGGACGUAAGUCGUGGUGGGAUAGACAAGGCCGCUUCUUUGUGGACCCUCCCUGGCUGGAGCCCUCCGUGGACUCUCGCAGCUGUUACCCUCUGUGGGUUGAAGUCUCCACUAACAUGGACGUACGAUAGCGCCACCUAUCGGAACCAUGCCAAAAAUUGUCGUGUCAACCUCAUGCGUUUGAUCUCCCUACUUUACUCCUCUACAUUACACUUGCAUGUUUUACUUUCCGCUGCUAUACUCUUAGAACUGCAUGUGUAGGGCGACUUAGACUUGUUACAAGUGCUAGAUUUCUGCCCUCCUAGAAAUUAGGUUAGGAUAGAUUUUUUAUCUUGACAAGUAGUCUAUUCACCCCCCCCCCUCUAGACACAUAUUCUAUCGAUCCCUCAGGGUUCAAGUCCUAUAUUGGGGGUGCUCACAUUUACAUUGAUUUAUUUCGUGAUUUUCAGCAAUGUUCGUUUAGUGGGAAGAGACGUUUCCGUCAAAUAAGAAGGUACUUACGAUGAGUUUGCCAACCUUUAGAUGUUGUGUCGUCUCAGUAUCUUGGAGGUGCUCACAGAGGUAGGGUGUACGUGCUUUUAUAAGGGUGAGUGUAUGUUUGUACAUGUGCAUCAACGUCAACUAUGAAGGCACCUGAAGUGACCUCUCAAUAUGUUGUGUCGGAUCACUACCUCAAAAGUGCUAACAGAGGUAGGGUAUCCGCAUGAGUGUUCACAUGGUUGAAUUUAUGUGUGUGUAAGUGGACUUCAACGUCGACUACAAAGACGUCUGCGGUGACUUUGCCAAUCUCAAGAUGCUGUGUCGGAUCAAUAUUUCGGAGGUGCUCAUAAAGGUACGGUGUGCGUGUAUGCGUUCAUAGUGGUGGUUGUGUAUGCAUGUAUGUGGGCAUCAACGUCGACUACGAAGAAGUCUUCAGUGACUUUGUCAAUCUUAAGAUGUGUGACAUCUUGGUAUCUGAAGGUGCUUGUAGAGGUAGGAUAUGCGUAUAUACACUCACAGGGGUUGAGUGUAUAUACAUGUGGGCAUUUACGUUGUACUGUAUUAAAAAAUCAGUAGCUAAGCAAAAAAUCUGAUGAACUAAACAUGUGUCAGCUAGCGACACCCUCUUAAUAUGUUGUGCCGGCUCAGUAUCUCAGAAGUGCUAGCACAGGUAGGGUAUACGCGUGCACGUUCACACGGUUGAAUUUAUGUGUGUAUAUGGACUUCAACGUUGACUAUGAAGACGUCUGCGGUGACUUUGUCAAUCUCAAGAUGUUGUGUCGGCUCAAUAUUUCGGAGGUGUUCAUAGAAGUAUGGUGUGCGUGUGUGCGUUCAUAGUGUUGAUUGUGUAUGCAUGUAUGUGGGCAUCAACAUCGACUACGAAGACGUCUGUGGUGACNNNNNNNNNNNNNNNNNNNNNNNNNNNNNNNNNNNNNNNNNNNNNNNNNNNNNNNNNNNNNNNNNNNNNNNNNNNNNNNNNNNNNNNNNNNNNNNNNNNNNNNNNNNNNNNNNNNNNNNNNNNNNNNNNNNNNNNNNNNNNNNNNNNNNNNNNNNNNNNNNNNNNNNNNNNNNNNNNNNNNNNNNNNNNNNNNNNNNNNNNNNNNNNNNNNNNNNNNNNNNNNNNNNNNNNNNNNNNNNNNNNNNNNNNNNNNNNNNNNNNNNNNNNNNNNNNNNNNNNNNNNNNNNNNNNNNNNNNNNNNNNNNNNNNNNNNNNNNNNNNNNNNNNNNNNNNNNNNNNNNNNNNNNNNNNNNNNNNNNNNNNNNNNNNNNNNNNNNNNNNNNNNNNNNNNNNNNNNNNNNNNNNNNNNNNNNNNNNNNNNNNNNNNNNNNNNNNNNNNNNNNNNNNNNNNNNNNNNNNNNNNNNNNNNNNNNNNNNNNNNNNNNNNNNNNNNNNNNNNNNNNNNNNNNNNNNNNNNNNNNNNNNNNNNNNNNNNNNNNNNNNNNNNNNNNNNNNNNNNNNNNNNNNNNNNNNNNNNNNNNNNNNNNNNNNNNNNNNNNNNNNNNNNNNNNNNNNNNNNNNNNNNNNNNNNNNNNNNNNNNNNNNNNNNNNNNNNNNNNNNAAGAGUACGAACUUUCAAGACCAAACUCAAAGAGCUCGGGUUUUUUUUGCAGGUGAAAGGAGCUCGUUUUCAAAAGAGAUUUUUCUACAGCAUGAAAAAUUCAAAACUUUUUGUCAAUACUCAUAUGCAUGUGUAUUACGCGUGUGUGUGUGUGCUGUACAAAAAAAUGAAAAAUAUGUAUUUCUGACAAGGGCUGAUUUUUUUGGGCUGGAAUUUUAUUAUAUUUGUACUGCCUACAAAUCAUAAUAUUUUCAAAUGAUUUUUCACAUUUCAUGCGGAACACGUGUAAGUUUCCACAUAAUUUUAUUUGAUUUUUUCUGAAACUUUGAAAUAUGCCUUUUGAUUUUUCUUUUAAAUACCAAGCUUCGUGGAGCUCAGUCAUCGUUGGCAUUUUCAGCAGAUAAGAUAGCCUCUUAAAUAUCUGCCUCAUAUGAUCUUUAUACAUAUAUAUAAUCUUGGGCAUGACCGUAUACAUAUAUAUACAUGAACUUAUAUGAUCAAACACUUAAGGGCUGAGAACUAUUACAAUGAAAAAAGAGUGAGGAAGAGAGAGGAAAUCAGGCCAGAAAGAGUUUUAUUAGUUGAAUUGGUCGACCAUAUUGAGUACAAUACAUUAUAAUUCUUGUUUGAAUUACAUUAAGAUUUCAAGAAAAGAAAAUUCUAAUUUGCGAAGAUAUGGUUGAUGUAUUAAAAUGGAAUCGUAUAGAGAACAUUGAGACAAAUAUAUAGAGUAUGUCAUAAAUUUCAGAGAUAUUGUGUUUGAAAUGUAAGAAAAGUAUUUCUUUCACAACGGUACCAAUGCAUUACUAAUUACAACAAAAAUAUAUUAUUUAGCUUCAUGUGUGAAAGAGCAUGGUGCCCCCAUGGUUGGUUUUGAUAAUUGAUGACAAUCCAUAUGGACUAAUGGCUACCUUGAGUUAUAUGUGAAGGAUUUGUUCAUAGGCAUUGUUUGAAGACCAUUUGUUGGUUUCAAGAUUAUUUCAAGAACAUUAUUGCAAGCAUAUAUCUUGAAGAAAAAUAUUGUGUGAACAUUCAUGUUUACCAUCGAGAUAUCGUCUUUAUGAAGAGAGAAGAUAAGAUACUAGGUUAAUCAAGACUAAGUCAAAGAGUGAAUCAAGUUGAUCAACACACAAAGCAAAGAAGUCGUACUGAGUGGGAUCAAGUGAUCACAUGAUAUAGUAAGCAUUGUCCGGCUUUGUGUACUAACUCAUGGUCUAUGUGAGGGUUCUUUGUGGCGUUAGGUAUGUUUCCAUGGGCGUGCAACCAAAUGAAUAUAUCCUAUAACUCACUAAGGAUGGCAUCAAUUGCUGAUCGUCAUCAAGGUUACGGUGUGCAAGUUCAAGUGGAGCAUCACGAAGAUACCAUGCAUGAAGCUUGUUGUUCAUUCUUGUGAUGAUGGACAUGUGAAUAUGUGCAUGAAAGAGGCUCACCUAUAGUGGAGUAUGAAGGAGCAAUUUACAAGUCUUCAUCGAGCCAACGCAAUCAUGAAAGGUGGUCCAACUUGAGAAAGUCAAGAUUGUCAUCAUCUAGCUCAAGUGGACUAUGUCCAAGGUAAAGGUUUGUCAUUGAUAGGUUUUCUAUUUUACCGGCUUCGUGGUGUUAAUUGGGAGACCAAGUUACAAGAUCGAUUGCGGUACUAUCAAGGGGUGCUCUCGAGUGAGUAGCUUGAUCAUAUUGCUCGUAGAGAGCUCAAACCACUGCAUCCUUGGAAUCAUCUUUCUUGGUUCUUGUUUGGCUUUUAUCCAUGUGAGUUUUCGAGCUUAUGAUCUUUGCCAUGACAGGCUCUAGUUCACUAAAAAUGGAUUUCGUAUGCAUCAUAUUUGCAUUUUCGGUGUUGGAGAUUAUGUCGUUUCAUAUUUUGAAAGGUUCUCUUCCUUAUCCUAGUGGCAUUUAUCCUGUUGGAGAUUAUGUCGUUGUUGGAUAGUAUUCGUCAUCAUCUAUCCAACGAGGUUGAGUUUGCUGCUUUUGGAGCCCGUUUUCAAAAAGUUAUCACAGGUUCGGUCUUACUCGUUUCAUUUGUUUGCUUGGGCUAUUUUGUAGCACCCAAGAGGUAGUACCACUCUAUCCCAUGGUAGUACAGCUUAUGCGAUACUUCCGCCGCUACUGUUGCUUGGAUAAGUCCUCGAUGCAACUUUUUGUUGUGUAUUUUCUUUAAGUGGUAGUAGAGCAGUUGUAUUCCACUACCGCUCCUAUUUCCGCUUGGAUUCUAACUUAUGUAAGUCUCUGUUUUUAAGCAGCAGUAGAGCGGUACUACCGCUCACCCAAGCGGUAGUACCGCGUUACUGCCGCCGAGCAUAACUAUUGGAUCUUUUGUACCACUAUAAAAGGGGGUCUUGUUUUCCAAUGGACUUUAUCCUUUGAGCUCGUGUUUGCCCCCCCCCCCCAUUGUUGACCUUCUUUGAGCUUGUUAUCUCUCAAUCCCUCCAAUAAUUAUUACUCUUUCUUAAGGAAAAAAAGAGAGAGGAGAUCUAGAUCCACAUUUCCACUAAUCACUUUCUCCUCUAAGUGAGAGGAGCCCCUUGGAUUUAGAUCUUGGAGUUCUUUGUGUUUUCCUUGAUCUACCUCUCAUAUUCCUCCGUAGCUUUUGUUGUUGUGAUGGAAUUUGAGAGUGAAGGAUUUGACCACUUCGUGUGUUCUUGCCAUUGCAUUAGUUGCAUCUGUUUGAGUUCUCCAUGGUGAUACGUGGAAAUGAAAAGUUGAGAAGAUCAUUACUCUUGGGUGUUUGGCCACCCUACAGCUUGUGCCUCUCAGGUGCUUGGACGCCCUAGACGUUUGGUGGUGUCUUGGAGCUUAAUCAUCGUGGUGUAAAGCUCCUAGAAAGUGUCGGGGUCUCCAAUUAAGUUGUGAAGGUUGCCCCGAGAAAUUUUUACGGGUUUGGUGACCGCCCCUAAGGUCAUCCAUUUGUAUGGGAUCGGUGACCGCCCUCGAGGCUCCCUUAGUGGAGUCAAGACAUCUUGCACUAUGUGAGGGCCUGAGGAUAUUAUGGUGGCCCUAGUGGCAUCUUGAGGAGCAUUGUGCCUCCACACUACUCCAAGCGGAGAUAAUUUGUCGUUUUUCCCUAGGUAACACUUUUUGGACCAGAUAAUAUUAUAUGGAAGUAAUCCCAAGGAAUGGUAAUAAGAUCACGUAUUUUAUGUGAAAAUCAUUUACCAUAAGUGAAGGGAUCAAGUGGAACAAAGGAGUCGUUGCGCCGCCUCCAGAACAAAAGACGGCGUAUCAUGCAACCACGGCCGCUCGUAUGAGCAGUUGUAUGGAGUGCCAGUGCCGCCUCCUCGUCCAUUAUUUUCACCUCAUGGAAUCGGAUCAAGGAUCAGAUGCAAAUCAAAACUUGUCCACGAGGAGGAACCCUAGCCUCCGGAGCAUUCUGGGGGGAGGAAUUAGCAAGGAGGAUGCCACCAACUCCACCACCAUCACCGAGAAGGCUUCAACAUCAUCACCAAUGUAAUCGUCAUCAUCAUCCACGUCCAACUCAUUGUAAUCUCAGGAAUCAUGUUAGGGACAACUAUUCGGUUACAUGUGUGAUUAAUUCAUGAUCUCCAUCCGUGGUGUUAUGGUGUUCGUUGUUUCCAUGAGUGAGUAGCCCCCCCCCCNNNNNNNNNNNNNNNNNNNNNNNNNNNNNNNNNNNNNNNNNNNNNNGGUGAAACCUACUGUGUAAUAGAUUGUUUGAUAUUAAGAUUUAAUAUUCUCUUUGUAUGUUUGUGUUAAUGAUCUUCUUGAUGUUGGAUGAAGUCUAGCAUAAAUAUAUGUCAAGUUUGGGCGGAAGGUUAUUUAUGUUGGUGAACCGUGUGGUUGAGGGGGUGGGUGACGUGAUAGGCCCCAUCCCCUUCAUAGCGGAUCAUUGCAGCUGGGGGUAAAACAUAGACUACUUAUAUGUUGAGUCCACGGGUGUUAGAGCAUAUUUCUCCAUAUGUGGUUUUGGUAAUUGAUGAUAAUCCCUAUGGACUAAUGGUUGCCUUGAGUUAUAUUUGAAGGAUUUGUCCAUAGGCACUUCUUGAAGUCCAUCUGUUGGUUUCAAGGAGUUUAUAUGAUGACCAAGGUGGUAUUCAAGAUUUUAUCCAAAGAUUGGUCAUAAAGACACAAGGUUGAUCAAGACUAAGUCAAAGAGUGAAUCAAGUUGAUUAACACACAAAGUGUACAAGAUGUACCGAGAGGGAUCAAGUGAUCUCAUUGUAUGGUAAGCAUUGCCCAUUACGCUUUGUGUACUAACCCAUGGUCUACGUGAGAGUUAUAUGUGGGGUUAGGUAUAUUUCCAUGGGCUUGCGUCAAUAGAAGAUCUAAUAUGACCCAUGGAGGAUGACAUCAAGUGGUGAUUGUCAUCAAUAUUGCGGUGUGCAAUUUCAAGUGGAGGAUCAUGAGGAGAUCAAGAUUGAAGCUUGGUGGCAAUGGACUUGUGAAGAUGUGUUGAAGAAUGGCUCACCCAUACUGUGCUAUGGGGGAGCAAUCUACUAGUCUUAAUUGAGUCGGCACAAUCAAGAAAGGUGAUCCAUCUUGAGGAGGACAACAUCGACAUCAUCUAGCUCAAGUGGACUAUGCACAAGGCAAAGGUUUUCCCUUGAUAGGUUUUCUAUUUUUACCGGUCUCAUUGUGUUAGUUGGGAACCGGGUUAUAGGAUAGAUUAUCGUACUAUCAAGGGAGGCUCUCAAGUGAGUAUCUUGAUCGUAUCGUUCGUUGAGAGCUCAAACCAUUGCAUUCUUGACAACAUCAUCUUUCUUGGUUUUUGGUUGGCUUUUCUCUAUGUGGUUUCUUGAGCUUAUGGUCAUCUUCAUGACAAGCUUGAGUUCAUUGAAAACAGAGUUCAUCUCCAUCUUCCAUGAUGUUUUCGAUGUUGGAGUUUUUGUCGGUUCUUCAUUCAUAGAGGUUUCACAUCUCUAUAUCAUUAGUUGUUUGUAUAGUACUUGUCGUGUGUUAUUCAACGAGCUUGAGUUUUCUCAAUUCAGAGCUGAUAUGCGAAAGUUAUGGCAGUUCUCGUCUUACCCGUUUUCUUGCCAGCGGUUAUACCGCUUGUCCGAGCGGUUGCACCGCCUGGCCGUACUUCCGAUGCAACUACCGACCCAGGGGUGAUUCCGUCGGGUUGUUGCUCUCAAGUUAGUGUGAGCGGUUAUACCGCUGCCAACCCUGGAGAAUAGCUCUGGGCGGUUGUAUCGGCCCAGUACUGCCCUACAACUAGACAAGUCUCUAUUUUGAUGCGGUACUUGGGCGGUGGUGGCCCAGUUGUUCUGGUCAACAUUUUGAGCAGUUGUACUGCUCGGGACUUUGCCACCACCCGUGCUCGGUCCUCGCGGUUGUACCGGUUCUUAUAGUGUUUGUACCACUCCUAUGUUUUUCUACACAUAACGGGCAGAUUCGUGGGGACCUAUAAAAGGGGGUCUUCUUCCCCAUUGGUACCCAACUCUUGAGCUUGUGUUCUUCCCCCAUUGUUGACCUUCUUCGAGCUUGCUAACUCUCAAUCCCUCCAAUGAUUCUUGCUAGUUCUUGAGGGAAAAGAGAGAGGAUAUCUAGAUCCACAUUUCCACCGAUCACUUUCUCCUCUAUGUGAGGGGAACCCCUUGGAUCUUGAUCUUGGAGUUCUUUGUGAGCUCCUUGUUCUUCCUCUCAUAUUCCACCAUAGCUUUUGUUGUUGUGGAGGGAUUUGAGUGUGAGGAACUUGACCACUUCGUGUGUUCUUGCCAUUGCAUUAGUUUCAUCGGUUUGAGUUCUCCACGGUGAUACGUGGAAGUGAAGUUUGAUAAGCUUAUUACUCUUGGGUGCUUGGUACCUUGGAGCUUGUUCUUCUUGGGUGCCUUGGCGUCCUAGAAGCUUGGUGGUGACUCGGAGGUCAAUCAUUGUGGUGGAAAUUAUGCCUUAGUUGAAUCACGACAUCUUGCAUUGUGCGAGGGCGUGAGGAGAUUACGGUGGCCUUAGUGGCAUCUUGGGGAGCAUUGUGCCUCCACACCGCUCCAAACGGAGAUUAGCAUCUGCAAGGGUGUGAACUUCGGGAUACAUCAUCGUCUCCGUGUGCCUCGGUUAUCUCUUACCCGAGCCUUUUACUUAUGCACUUUACUUUGUGAUAGCCAUAUUGUUUCUUGUUGUAUAUCUUGCUAUCACUUAGUUGUUUAUCUUGCUUACGAUAAGUUGUUGGUGCACAUAGGUGAGCCUAGUUGUUUUAGGUUUUGUGCUUGACUAAUCAAACGUUAUUUUUAUUCCGCAUUUGUUCAAGACUAAACCGUAAUUAUUUAAAGUGUCUAUUCACACACCCACCCUCUAAGCAAUAUCCACAUCCUUUCAAUGGGAACCUCUCUCUCCUUAAUCAUCGUUUUAUAACCGGAGUGGGGAAGAAAAAUGGUGGCGUAUGUGAUAUGAGGCUGCCUAGAGUAUGCACGUAUUUGUACCGGCUCUGCCCACAAAUAUAAGUAUGCAAAGUGGCUUAGGAAUCUGACUUAGCAUUGUGUUUAUACACCACUAUAGAAGCACACUAGAGGGGAUUCCGGGCUCCUUGAGAACACUUUAGUCCUAUUUAUUUGAAAACUCUUUUUUUCAACCUUCACCGUUAGCUUUCAUUUCAAUACUUACUUUUAUGCUUGUUACAUCAUUCCUAUCAUAUAACUACUGCUUUGGGUUACUAACAACUUGUACGCAUAAUAUUUGAACCAUCCAAGAGACAAGAGAUUGAUUCAUGUGCUUUCUAUGGGAUCAAUGAUCUUACUUUAAAAAAUCUACAACUAAAACAUGUGCACUUGCAGGACAUCAUGUUCUUUUCCAAACUAUUAUGAGUUAACACACACAUGAUGUCACAUCAUAAUGACAUUGACAACAUGCACUACACUUGUUGUAUGUUUGUUUCUAUUGUAUGGUUGUUUAUGGUUGCUCUUUACUUAUGUUAGACUGUACGGAGAGCGAAAAGUAACUUGUUCAAGAUUGUGAGAUUGAAGAAUCAUCAAUACCAGACAAGAGGAACCUUUCAUCAUUAUGACCUAUAGUUUUACUUGCAUGUAUCAUUUCCCAAUUAGAAAUGCAUGACUAGGACCACACAUCAAGUUUCAUGAACCUAGUAGCAGAAACUUAGGUCCAUUUUUAACCUGGCCUUGUAAUGAAUCAGGUAGAUCUGCUUAGCUGCUAUUACGUAGAUUGGCAACAACAUUAAAAAGGUUACUUUAUGGUUGACUACUUAACAACAACUAAAUUGAUGAACCGAUCUGGGUGGAUUGGCAUUGAUUGGGUCAUUAGAGUGUAGUCAUUUGUGGGGAAUGGCACCCAGGUAUCAAAGGGAUUCUACGAGUUCAGAGUUGAGUAGAUUCCAUGUGUGACCGUGAGACAAUAUAGGAUCUAUAUUGACCAAUUAAGUUUUGGGAAUCCUCCGAGGUAUGAGAAACAUAUGUAGUUUUUCAUGUAGGGAAACUUGACUCGGUCUGCCAUUUGGGAGGGCUACUAUUUCCCAAAAGUCUUGUCUUGAUCUUCCUAGCCACUUCACGAGUGAAGUUUAGUAGCAGGAGGGUGUGAUUGGGAAUCACGGGUAAAGUACAAAAACCUCUUGAGAGUGUAUAAAACUGGUCAUGAUUAGUCAUGUUCCCGGUUACACGCAACUCUUGAGCAACUCAUCGGAGAAUUGUCAGCUUGAUCUCUUCACCUCUUCUUAAUUAAAUUUUGAUGGGUUUAACCAAUGGGGAGUAUGGACCCAACUCGGGUACCUAGGUGUGAACUAGGGGAUAUCUCGAGUUUGGUUUGGGGCAACUGUGCUGAUUCAGGAGCCCACAUACUCAAAUGCUAUAUGGACGAUCACGUGAUAUGAUUGUGCAGGACUACUAUGCUAUAUGGUAUGUCCAACUAUUAGAGUAGACCAUUUUGACAAAGGUAGGGGGAAAUGUUUUUGUGCAAAAAGGAAAAUCAGCCACACCAAAUUGCAUGUUAUAUUUCCAAGAAGCCAAUAUUGGUGAAGCUUGCCAAUACAUUCAAUGUAUUGACCCCUUGUGGAUUUAACAUAUCAUGUUGUAGGUUUACCGUAUCGAGGAAAAGGUAUGAAGUAGGGUUGUUAUGCUAUGUUCAACUCUUGCCCGUGAGUGGAUGGACACCACAAGACUAGGAUACCUCUGUUGCAUGGUUGUAUACUAAGCUAGCCCAUGAGCUAAACAGGUGUGUAUUGUAAAUCACUCGAUCUGUGAUAUAAUAGUAUGGCAUGUGAUGUAUUCUUGGUAUUUCAUCGUCGACUAUGCAUGUCAACUAUUGAUCCAGGGAGUGACACUAUAAGCGCAAAGAUUUGGACCCCUCUCGGGAUCGGGUCGUGAUAGAGCUGCUGAUGUGGCAUGCAAGCACUGCAUGUGCCACACAAACAUCACCAUACCUCGCGACGCGGACUGGAUGACAUACACAACCCGGCUGUGGUGGGGGAUGGGCGUGUGUUGGAGCCGCUGGACUGCACGGGGUGGCCACUAGUGAUAUGAAGCUAGUCGGUGAGCGUCCAUUAUGAUGAGGUAGAGGAGGAGAGGUUGUUUUCGUAUGGUCGCCCCGUCGAGAUCCAACCCCAGCACGCCAUCGUGGACCGGGUCCUGAUCGCUAGUCCUCACCAGGCGGAGCGGCUCCGUUCGAUGCGGAGGUGGACCGUGCUGAUCAGGGUUGGGGCGAUGGCGGACACAGUAGUCGGCGCAAGAGGGAGGUAGCGAGGAGGGGUGAUUGUGGCGGCACAAUGCCGGGCUUCUAGAAAAAGGCUAAUGAGGGGGCAGCGCCAGGUUGGGCUGCGAGGUGGCCGGGGGCGGGGCCUUUCUAGGUGCCUAAAAGCGCACCAUGGCCCGCCAGCAAGGGGAGGGAUGUUGCGUGUCGUGCAGUUCGGCAAGGGGAAGGGAUGCACGGGAGGAAGGUGGAGGGAGCUGGGGUGUGUUGGUUUGGGUGGGUUGGCUGGGCCUGGAGUGAGAAGAAGAUGUGGUGGUGGCCCAUGUGGGGGAUUUAUGGUUCGUGCGGGAGCUUUUAAGGCUGGUCGUAAUGGGGUAUCAUAUGUAGUAUCAUGCAUGCGAACUACUCCCUUCAUUUCUAAAUAUAUUUUUUUCUAAAGGUUCAACUACGUAUUACAUACGGAGCAAAAUAAAUGAACUUAUACUCUAAAAUAUGUCUAUAUACAUUCGUAUGUAGUCCUAGCGAAAUCUUUAAAAAGACAAAUAUUUAGGAACGGAGGGAGUAUGCAAUUUUGAUGAGGUGACAUAGAAUUAAAUAAAAAAAGAGAAGGUUGACUAUCAUAUCAUGAUACCGUAUCAUAUUAAAUGUUGUGGUAUUAUAUGUCAUGCAUGGCAAUAAAUGAACUAUCCUAUGAUACUAACAUAUGAUACUAUGCAUUAUGGAUGUAGUAUCAUAUGCAUGAUGAUAUUAGUAUAUGAUACUCUCUAUUACAACCACCCUAAGUUGUUUUUGUUUCAGUUUGGCUCGUAUAAAACUGUUAGCAGAAUAAGAUGGUGUUAGUAGAAUAAGACUCUUAAGGGUGUUAGUACACACACUACAAAUCUGAUGUAAAUGUGUAUUUAAUCUAUUUGAUUAGCACAAGAAUAUUUAUUUAAUGUGAACAUGGUCAUGUUGUUGACCAUGAACGAUAUGCAUCAUAUAGGCUUAUAUGUUUAAUAUGAUUCAUCGUGCUCAGCAUUUAGUAAUUGUAUCAAGAUUGUUUCUCGCUCUCCACUACUCCCUUUGUACCACAAUACUUAUUGUCGGAGAGAACUAGUCUAGUUCUCCUCAACAACAAGUAUUGUAUUUAGGAAUAGAGGGAGUAGUUGAUUUCUAUGCAUAGCUGAUACGUCUCCAACGUAUAUAUAAUUUUUUAUGGUUUCAUGCUAUUAUCUUGUCAAACUUUGGAUGUUUUGCAUGCAUUUUAUAUAUUUUUUGGGACUAAUUUAUUGACUCCGUGCCAAGUGCCAGUUCCUGUUUUUCCAUGUUUUUGACCCCUUUCAGAGGAGAUUUUGAAACGGAGUCCAAACGGAAGAAAAUCCCCGAAAACAUUUUUUUUCAUAAUAGAAGAAGAUCGGGAAGCUUGGGAGCCAAGGCAGGGGAGCCUCAGGGGCCCCACAAGCCCCCACCCCGCGGCCAGGGGGUAGGCCGCGGCCCACAGGCUUGUGGGCCCCCUGGGCGCCCUCUGCCUUAGGGGUUGCGCCUAUAUAUUCCCUAAAAAUCCAAAAAAAUCAGGAGAUCAUCGAAAUCACUUUUCCGCCGCCGCAAGCUUCUGUCUCCGCAAGAUCCCAUUUGAGGCACGUUCUGGUGCCCUGCCGGAGGGGGGAUUCGGACACGGAGGGCUUCUUCAUCAACACCAUGACCUCUCCGANNNNNNNNNNNNNNNNNNNNNNNNNNNNNNNNNNNNNNNNNNNNNNNNNNNNNNNNNNNNNNNNNNNNNNNNNNNNNNNNNNNNNNNNNNNNNNNNNNNNAUAGGCAUCACGUCCGAGACAAGUAGACCGAUACUUUCUGCAUCUACUACUAUUACUCCACACAUCGACCACUAUCCAGCAUGCAUCUAGUGUAUUGAGUUCAUGACGAACAGAGUAACGCCUUAAGCACGAUGACAUGAUGUAGAGGGAUAAUCUCAAACCAAUGAUGAAAACCCCAUCUUUUUACCCUUGAUGGCAACAACACGAUGCGUGCCUCGCUACCCCUUCUAUCACUGGGUGAGGUCACCGCACGGUAUGAACCCAAAACCAAGCACUUCUCCCAUUGCAAGAAUCAUAGAUCUAGUUGGCCAGACAAAACCCACAACUUGAAGAGAAUUACAAGGAUAUGACNAUCAUGCAUAAGAGAGAUCAGAAGAAACUCAAAUAAGAUUCAUAGAUAAUCUGAUCAUAAAUCCACAAUUCAUCGGAUCUCGACAAACACACCGCAAAAGAAGAUUACGUCAGAUAGAUCUCCAUGAAGAUCAUGGAUAACUUUGUAUUGAAGAUCCAAGAGAGAGAAGAAGCCAUCUAGUUACUAGCUAUGGACCCGUAGGUCUAUGNNNNNNNNNNNNNNNNNNNNNNNNNNNNNNNNNNNNNNNNNNNNNNNNNNNNNNNNNNNNNNNNNNNNNNNNNNNNNNNNNNNNNNNNNNNNNNNNNNNNAUAUGGGCAUCCAGGUCCCGCUAUUGGAUAUUGACCGAGGAGUCACUCGGGUCAUGUCUGCAUAGUUCUCAAACCCGCUGGGUCUGCACACUUAAGGUUUGACGUUGUUUUAUGCGUAUUUGAGUUAUAUGGUUGGUUACCGAAUGUUGUUCGGAGUCCCGGAUGAGACCACGGACGUCACGACGGUUUCCGAAAUGGUCCAGAAACGAAGAUUGAUAUAUAGGAUGACCUCAUUUGAUUACCGGAAGGUUUUCGGAGUUACCGGGAAUCUAACGGGAAUGACGAAUGGGUUCCGGGUGUUCACCGGGGGGGUAACCCACCCCGGGGAAGCCCAUAGGCCUUGGGGGUAGCGCACCAGCCCUUAGUGGGCUGGUGGGACAGCCCAAGAAGGCCCUAUGCGCCAUAGGAAGAAAAUCAAAGAGAAAAAAAAGAGGAGGUGGGAAAAAGGGGAAGGACUCCUCCUUCCAAACCUAGUUGGAUUCGGUUUGGAAGGGGAGGACUCCCCCCCUUGGCUCGGCCGACCCCCUUGGGGCUCCUUGAGCGCCAAGGCAAGGCCCCCCCCUCUCCCACCUAUAUAUACGGAGGUUUUAGGGCUGAUUUGCGACAACUUUGCCACGCCAGCCCGNNNNNNNNNNNNNNNNNNNNNNNNNNNNNNNNNNNNNNNNNNNNNNNNNNNNNNNNNNNNNNNNNNNNNNNNNNNNNNNNNNNNNNNNNNNNNNNNNNNNUGAUAUGAUCGGUAAAGGCCUUGUUUUGGCUAUAAGCGUGUGGAGAGUUUAACAUGGAUUACAUCAAAGAAAUGCAUUCAAUCCAGGAGCAACUAUCAUAAUUGAAUUCCUUGAAAUCCACGGUAGUAAUUUCAUUACUACUCAAAGUUUUAACAUCUUCUGCUCCACUUUCAAUGCUUUUAGCAUCAACAUAGAUGGACUCCGAAUCAUUGGGCACUUUUCAACCAAAGUGGAUUCAUAUCCAGCCCCAUAAUCAUUAGGUUUGACACAAGAAAACAAAGAUUCAAUGGGAGUCACACCAAGCACUUUAGGAUCUUCAUGAUUCUCAUCACGAGAACACGCCUUUUUAAGCCAUUCAUGUCUAGCANNNNNNNNNNNNNNNNNNNNNNNNNNNNNNNNNNNNNNNNNNNNNNNNNNNNNNNNNNNNNNNNNNNNNNNNNNNNNNNNNNNNNNNNNNNNNNNNNNNNNNNNNNNNNNNNNNNNNNNNNNNNNNNNNNNNNNNNNNNNNNNNNNNNNNNNNNNNNNNNNNNNNNNNNNNNNNNNNNNNNNNNNNNNNNNNNNNNNNNNNNNNNNNNNNNNNNNNNNNNNNNCUAUCAACGCUCUUAGCCAACUCAUUAAUUUUGAGUAGCUUUUCCUCUAUGGACGCAUUGAAAAUCUUUUGAGAGUUGAUGAACUCUUUGAUAUUACUCUCUAGAUCAGAGGGUAAUCUAUUGUAAUUUCCAUGAGUAUUGUUGUAGGAUUUGCCAAAUUAUUAGAGGAGUUACUAGCAAAAGGCCUAGGAACAUAGUUUCCUCUAAAAGCAUUGUUGUUGCCAAAGUUAUUCCUACCAACAAAAUUAACGUCCAAGCUAAUGUUGCUACUCUCAAUCAAAGAAGACAAGGGCAUAUCAUUAGGAUCCAAAGGAGCACUUCUACUAGCAACCAAAUUCANNNNNNNNNNAUCCAUCUUAGCACUCAACGAGUUAGUUUCUUCUAUAGCGUGUACCUUCUUACUAGUAGGUGACCGUUCAGUAUGCCACUGAGAGUAGUUCAUCAUGAUGUUGUCUAAGAGCUUUGUGGCUUCUCCUAACGUGAUUUCCAUGAACGUUCCACCUAAGGCGGAGUCCAAGAUAUUUCUAGAAGCAAAAUUCAAGCCAGCGUAAAAGAUUUGAAUAAUCAUCCAAAGACUCAAGCCAUGAGCGGGACAAUUUCUAAUCAUUAAUUUCAUUCUCUCCCAAGAUUGUGCAACAUGUUCAUGAUCAAGUUGCUUGAAACUCAUGAUAUCAUUAUGGAGAGAGAUAAUCUUAGCCGGCGGAAAAUACUUGGAUAUAUAGGCAUCUUUGCACUUAUCCCAAGAAUCGAUACUAUUUUUUGGCAAAGAAGAAAACCUAGUUUUUGCGCGAUCUCGCAAUGAGAAAGGAAAAAGCUUCAAUUUAAUCACGUCAUUAUCCACAUCUUUCUUCUUUUGCAUGUCGCAAAGUUCAAUGAAGGUAUUGAGAUGGGAUGCGGCAUCUUCACUAGGAAGGCCGGAGAAUUGCUCUUUCAUAACAAGAUUCAGCAAAGCGGCAUUGAUUUUGUAUGACUCCGCACUAGUGGAGGGAGCAAUCGGAGUACUAAUGAAAUCAUUAUUAUUAGUAUUCGAGAAGUCACAAAGUUUGGUGUUUUCAUUCAUGGUGACUUCGGCAAGCAAGCAAGCACACAAGGGAACAAAGAUCAAGUGAGAAAAAGGCGAACGAAAAGGCAGACGGAAAAAGGCAAACGAAAAAGGCAAAUUGGUGCAGUGGGGGAGAGGAAAACGAGAGGCAACUGGCAAACAAAGUAAAUCCCAGAGAUGAGUUUGCAACACUUACUUGGAUGAGUUCUUGACUUGAUCUUCUGCUACGGCAACGGCGCCAGAAAUUCUUCUUGCUACUUCUCUUGUUUGCUACGGCAACAAAAUUCCUUCCCAAGCAACGCCAGCAAUUCUUCUUGCUACUUCUCUUGUUUGUGUCGUUUUUUCCCUUGAAGAGGAAAGGGUGAUGCAGCACAGGAGCACUAAGUAUUUCCUCAGUUUGAGAAUCAAGGUAUCGAUCCACAAGGAGGGUCUCUUCAAGUCCAGAGUACCUGCACAAACACAAACGAGCUUGCACCCAACGCUUCAAUGGGUUGUCAAUGCCUCCAAGAUUGUUUGCAAAGUGAGAUGUGAAGGCGAAAAGUGCAACGAAGUAAAAAGUGUAAGACUGAAAAAUAUGGUGUGGAGUAGACCCGGGGGCCAUAGUGUUCACCAGAGGCUUCUCUCAAAAUAGCAAAUAUCACGGUGGGUGAACAAAUUAUNNNNNNNNNNCCGGGCCAUAGUGUUCACUAGAGGCUUCUCUCAAAAUAGCAAAUAUCACGGUGGGUGAACAAAUUAUUGUCGAGCAAUUGAUAGAACCGCGCAAAGUCAUGACGAUAUCUAAGGCAAUGAUCAUACAUAUAGGCAUCACGUCCGAGACAAGUAGACCGAUACUUUCUGCAUCUACUACUAUUACUCCACACAUCGACCGCUAUCCAUCAUGCAUGUAGUGUAUUGAGUUCAUGACGAACAGAGUAACGCCUUAAGCAAGAUGACAUGAUGUAGAGGGAUAAUCUCAAACCAAUGAUGAAAACCCCAUCUUUUUACCCUUGAUGGCAACAACACGAUGUAUGCCUCACUACCCCUUCUGUCACUGGGUGAGGUCACCGCAUGGUAUGAACCCAAAACCAAGCACUUCUCCCAUUGCAAGAAUCAUAGAUNNNNNNNNNNNNNNNNNNNNNNNNNNNNNNNNNNNNNNNNNNNNNNNNNNNNNNNNNNNNNNNNNNNNNNNNNNNNNNNNNNNNNNNNNNNNNNNNNNNNCGGUAUUUGCCAAGUAAUUAUUUUCGCACUCUUACUUUCUCAAACUUUUUAUAACUAUCACGCAAUACAUGAGCGUGAGCCAUGGAUAUAGCACUAUAAGUGGAAUAGAGUGUGGUGGUGGUUGUGAGACAAAAAGGAGGAGACGGUCACAUUGACUCGGCAUAUCAAAGGGCUAUGGAUAUGCCCAUUAAUAGAUACCAAUGUGAAUGAGUAGGGAUUGCCAUACAAGAGAUGCACUAGAGCUAUAAGUAUGUGAAAGCUCAAAAGGAAAACUAGUGGGUGUGCAUCCAACUUGCUUGCUCACGAAGACCUAGGGCAAUUUUGAGGAAGCCCAUCAUUGGAAUAUACAAGCCAAGUUAUAUAAUGAAGAUUCCCACUAGCAUAUGGUGGUGACGAAGCAAGAAGCUCUCAAUCGUGAACAACAUGGUGCUAUUAUGUAGCACAAGUGUGGAAAAAAGAUAGUAGCAUUGUCCCUUCUCUCUUUUUCUCUCUUUUCUCUUUUUUUUCAUUUGGGCUCUUAGGCCUCUUUUUUUUCUUUUUUCUUUUUUCUUUUUGGGCUCUUUGGCCUCUUUUUUUUCCUCACAUGGGACAAUGCUCUAAUAAUGAUGAUCAUCACACUUUUAUUUACUCACAGCUCAAAAUGAUGAUGACUCUAAAGGAAAUGCCUCCGACAGUAUACCGGGAUGUGCAACGAUCUAGCAUGCGUAUGACAUUGAAAACAUCUCGCUAGCUAUUUUACGAUCAUGCAAUGGCAAUAUGAGAGUGACGACACAAGUCAUGAGACGGAACGGUGGGAGUUGCAUGGCAAUAUAUCUCGGAAUGGCUAUGAAAAUNNNNNNNNNNNNNNNNNNNNNNNNNNNNNNNNNNNNNNNNNNNNNNNNNNNNNNNNNNNNNNNNNNNNNNNNNNNNNNNNNNNNNNNNNNNNNNNNNNNNAUCUAUACCAUGGACUCGCAUUAGUCAUGAAGAACUCACAUACUUGUUGCGAAAGUUUUUAUUAGUAAUCGAAACAAAGUGCUAAAUGCAUACUCCUAGGGGAAGGGUUGGUAGGUGUUAACCAUCGCUCGAUCCCGACCUCAACACAAAGGAUGACAAUCAAUAGAUCAAUUAUGCUCCGACUUCCUAACAUAGCGGUUCACCAUACGUGCAUGCUAUGGGAAUCACUAACUUCAACACAAGUAUCUCUAGAUUCACAACACCCUACUAACAUAGCUCUCAAUAUUACCGAAUCCACGUCUCAAAACUAAUUGAGAGGAAUCGAAACUUCUCUUUCUACUCAAUGCACAUGAAGAUCGAGGUUUUUGCAUCCUCUUUGGGUACCUAUCACAUUUGGGACUACUUUCAUAGCAUAAGCCAACUACCAAAUCACGCACCGCCGAGCUCUAAAGGAUAUAAGUGAAGCACUAAAGCAAAAGUAUCUAGCUCAAAAGAUAUAAGUGAAGCACUAUGAGCAUUCUAGCAAAAUCACGAUGAGUGCAUGUAUCUCUCUCUCUCAAAAAGGUGUGAAGCAAGGAUGAUUGUGACACAACAAAAAGAAAAGACUCCUACGAUACAAGAUGCUCCAAGCAAAACACAUAUCAUGUGGUGAAUAAAAAUAUAGCUCCAAGUAAUGUUACCGAUGGAUUGAAGACGAAAGAGGGGAUGCCUUCCCGGGCAGCCCCAAGCUUAGGCUUUUUGGUGUCCUUGAAUAUGGCUUGGGGUGCCUUGGGAAUCUCCAAGAUUGAGCUCUUUCCACUCCUUAUCUCUUUGCCAUGGGAACAUCACCCAAAACUUGAAAACUUCUUAACACAAAACUUAAACAGAAACUCGUGAUAACAUUAGCACAAGAAAACAAACUACCACUUCUUUUGGUACUGUAGAAAACUUGAAUUCCAUCUAUAUUGGUGUUGGGCUACUGUAUUCUCACUUUUCCAUGGCUAGUACCCCCCGAUACUAACCAUAGUUUCAUCAAAACAAGCAACCAACUCAACAAAAAACAGAAUCUGUCAAAAACAGCCCAGUGUGUAGCAAUCUGUAUACUUUGUAUACUUAUGGUACCUCCAAAAAUCUGAAAAAUUAUGAAUGACUAGGCAAAAGGCAUAUCAACCAGCAGAAAAAAGAAUCAACUAAAAAGAUCUUUCUGAAUAAAAAUGAAAAAUCAUCUCGUGAGUGAAAAGUUUUUGUCUUUUUCCAGCAGGAUCAAACAACCAUUACCAAGACUAGUCAUCAAGGUUUUGCUUGGCUCAAACACAAAAAGAAACACAAAAACCACAACCAGAACAGAAUUAUGAUGGUGUGGAUGCAACAAAACAGAAAUAAAAAGAUAAAUUCAUUGGGUUGCCUUCCAUCAAGCGCUAUUGUUUAACGCCCUUAGCUAGGCAUAAAAGCGAUAGAAUCACGUAUCGUCGUCUUUGNNNNNNNNNNNNNNNNNNNNNNNNNNNNNNNNNNNNNNNNNNNNNNNNNNNNNNNNNNNNNNNNNNNNNNNNNNNNNNNNNNNNNNNNNNNNNNNNNNNNNNNNNNNNNNNNNNNNNNNNNNNNNNNNNNNNNNNNNNNNNNNNNNNNNNNNNNNNNNNNNNNNNNNNNNNNNNNNNNNNNNNNNNNNNNNNNNNNNNNNNNNNNNNNNNNNNNNNNNNNNNNNNNNACACCGAUAGUCCUUAGGAAAGGUCUACCAAAAAUAAUAGGGCAUGCAGGAUUGCAGUCUAUGUCAAGCACAAUGAAAUCCACGGGUACAUAGUUCCUAUUUGCAAUAAUAAGAACAUCAUUGAUCCUUCCCAUGGGUUUCUUGACGGUAGAAUCCGUAAGAUGCAAAUUAAGAGAACACUCUUCAACCUCAUUAAAACCCAGAACAUCACAUAAAGACUUUGGAAUCGCAGAAACAUUAGCACCCAAAUCACACAAAGCAUUGCAUUCAUAGUUUUUGAUUUUGAUUUUGAUGGUAGGUUCCCACUCAUCAUGANNNNNNNNNNNNNNNNNNNNNNNNNNNNNNNNNNNNNNNNNNNNNNNNNNNNNNNNNNNNNNNNNNNNNNNNNNNNNNNNNNNNNNNNNNNNNNNNNNNNACUAAUAAAAACUUUCGCAACAAGUAUGUGAGUUCUUCAUGACUAAUGUGAGUCCAUGGUAUAGAUGCACUUGUUUGAAUUAUGCCCUAGAGGCAAUAACAAAUAUAGUUAUUAUUAUAAUUCUUGUAUCAAGAUAAUCGUUUAUUAUCCAUGCUAUAAUUGUAUUGAAUGAAGACUUAUAUACAUGUGUGGAUACAUAGACAAAACACUGUCCCUAGCAAGCCUCUAGUUGGCUAGCCAGUUGAUCAAAGAUAGUCAGGGUCUUCUGAUUAUGAACAAGGUGUUGUUGCUUGAUAACUGGAUCACGUCAUUAGGAGAAUCACGGAUGGACUAGACCCAAACUAAUAGACGUAGCAUGUUGAUCGUGUCAUUUUGUUGCUACUGUUUUCUGCGUGUCAAGUAUUUGUUCCAAUGACCAUGAGAUCAUAUAACUCACUGACACCGGAGGAAUGCUUUGUGUGUAUCAAACGUCGCAACUUAACUAGGUGACUAUAAAGAUGCUCUAUUGGUAUCUCCGAAGGUGUUCGUUGAGNNNNNNNNNNAACUAUGACCAUGAGAUCAUAUAACUCACUGACACCGUAGGAAUGCUUUGUGUGUAUCAAACGUCGCAACGUAACUGGGUGACUAUAAAGAUGCUCUAUUGGUAUCUCCGAAGGUGUUCGUUGAGUUAGUAUGGAUCGAGACUGGGAUUUGUCACUCCGUGUGACGGAGAGGUAUCUCGGGGCCCANNNNNNNNNNCGGUAAUACAACAUCACACACAAGCCUUGCAAGCAAUGUAACUUAGUGUAAGUUACGGGAUCUUGUAUUACGGAACGAGUAAAGAGACUUGCCGGUAAACGAGAUUGAAAUAGGUAUGCGGAUACUGACGAUCGAAUCUCGGGCAAGUAACAUACCGAAGGACGAAGGGAAUGACAUACGGGAUUAUAUGAAUCCUUGGCACUGAGGUUCAAACGUAAGAUCUUCGUAGAAUAUGUGGGAUCCAAUAUGGGCAUCCAGGUCCCGCUAUUGGAUAUUGACCGAGGAGUCACUCGGGUCAUGUCUGCAUAGUUCUCAAACCCGCUGGGUCUGCACACUUAAGGUUUGACGUUGUUUUAUGCGUAUUUGAGUUAUAUGGUUGGUUACCGAAUGUUGUUCGGAGCCCCGGAUGAGAUCACGGACGUCACGAGGGUUUCCGGAAUGGUCCAGAAACGAAGAUUGAUAUAUAGGAUGACCUCAUUUGAUUACCGGAAGGUUUUCGGAGUUACCGGGAAUGUACCGGGAAUGACGAAUGGGUUCCGGGUGUUCACCGGGGGGGAAACCCACCCCGGGGAAGCCCAUAGGCCUUGGGGGUAGCGCACCAGCCCUUAGUGGGCUGGUGGGACAGCCCAAGAAGGCCCUAUGCGCCAUAGGAAGAAAAUCAAAGAGAAAAAGAAAAAAAAAAGGAGGUGGGAAAAAGGGGAAGGACUCCUCCUUCCAAACCUAGUUGGANNNNNNNNNNNNNNNNNNNNNNNNNNNNNNNNNNNNNNNNNNNNNNNNNNNNNNNNNNNNNNNNNNNNNNNNNNNNNNNNNNNNNNNNNNNNNNNNNNNNGGCGCGGCCGUAGGGGGAGGGAUCGCUGAAGCUAGGGGAUGCGAUGGUCGCGGUCGUGGCCGGAGUGGAGGGAGAGAGGAAGGGAAGGGAGGAGCCCCGGGGCUCACCACCAUUGUAGGGGUGCCAGGGGCUCGAGGUCGAGGUGAGGAGGCCACAUCUAGUGGCGGAGGAGCUCUGGCGUGGGGGCCGGUGGCGGAGGGGGCCGAUCCAGUGGUGGAGAGCGACGGGCUUGAUGCGGGGCUGGCGUGGGAGUCCCUCGCGGUGACAGGGAGAGGCGGUGUGGGGCCGGCGCGGGGCUGGCCCUGGCAGCGGCGAGUGAGGCGGUGUGGGGCCGACGCGGGGCUGGCCCUCAUGGCGGCGGGGGUUAGCGAGGGGUGGGGGACGAGGGCGAGCGAGGGAGAGGGUGCUCGGCAAAGUUAUCAGAAUCGCGACUGAAGUCCUAGAAUCUUACGAUCCAAACUAGCCCCUCUCAUUCUACAAUUUUGGUCAUAAAAUCGAAGUUUCUACAAUCCUGAUAGUUAUGAUUCUACAAUUCACGAUCCUAGCAACGGAGCUCCGAUCCGAUUCAGAAUCGUGAUUCUGACAACUUUGGCGCUCGGUCCCUCGCGUGGUCAUGGCGCUGGUGGGUGAGGGAGUGGGGCGCUCGGGGUGUGGGUUAGAUUUAGGUGGGGGUUAAAUACCCGAGGGGUGGGGUGGGCUUGUGGCUAGUUGGGAUGGCUCGGGGCCGGCCCAAUGUUUUUUUUGUUUUUUAUUUCUUUUCAAUUUCUAUUUUAGUUUCCGUUUAAACUUUGAUUUAUAAAAUAUAUAACUAGUCCCUAAUUUAGUUUUAAUAAUUAUGUCUCGGCCACAAAAAGUUUUAACCCCAACUAAAACUAGUCUAGUAUUUCAUAAAAUAUAAAAGGCACUUAUUUAUUUGUUUUUCUGUUGUUUUAAAUAUUAUAGUGCAUUCAAACAGUUUAUAAAAAUGUGGUUUUUUCACCAAAAUUAAUCAUGAUUUAUUUGCUACAACGUGAACAUUUUAGUUUUGACAUUUGAAAACUUUUAUUGUUUGACUUUAUUUUAAAUUUGAAUUGGAAUCGGUUUUGAACUAACGCGAGAUUAACAACAGUAAUCAUGGUGACGUGGCAUCAUUAGCAUAGGAUUACUAUAGCCUAAUUACAGAGAUCACUGUAGAAAAAACUGAGGAUGUCACAAAGCUACGGCAACAAAAGUCCUUCCCAAGCAACGCCAGGAAUUCUUCUUGCUACUUCUCUUGUUUGCGUCCGUUUUUCCCUUGAAGAGGAAAGGGUGAUGCAGCACACGAGCAGUAAGUAUUUCCCUCAGUUUGAGAACCAAGGCAUCGAUCCAGAAGGAGGGUAUCGUCAAGUCCAGAGUACCUGCCCAAACACAAACGAGCUUGCACCCAACGCUUCAAAGGGGUUAUCAAUGCCUCCAAGAUUGUUUGCAAAGUGAGAUCUGAAGGCGGAAAGUGCAACGAAGUAAAAAGUGUAAGGCUGAAAAUAUGGUGUGGAGUAGACCCGGGGGCCAUAGUGUUCACUAGAGGAUUCUCUCAAAAUUGCAAAUAUCACGGUGGGUGAACAAAUUACUGUCGAGCAAUUGAUAGAACCGCGCAAAGUCAUGACGAUAUCUAUGGCAAUGAUCAUACAUAUAGGCAUCACGUCCGAGACAAGUAGACCGAUACUUUCUGCAUCUACUACUAUUACUCCACACAUCGACCGCUAUCCAGCAUGCAUCUAGUGUAUUGAGUUCAUGAUGAACAGAGUAAUGCCUUAGGCAAGAUGACAUGAUGUAGAGGGAUACUCUCAAACCAAUGAUGAAAACCCCAUCUUUUUACCCUUGAUGGCAACAAAAUGAUGCGUGCCUCGCUACCCCUUCUGUCACUAGGUGAGGUCACCGCACGGUAUGAACCCAAAACCAAGCACUUCUCCCAUNNNNNNNNNNNNNNNNNNNNNNNNNNNNNNNNNNNNNNNNNNNNNNNNNNNNNNNNNNNNNNNNNNNNNNNNNNNNNNNNNNNNNNNNNNNNNNNNNNNNUAGGGUUCUCCCCUGUCGCCGUCGUCUGCCCUCCAGCCACCGGCACAGCUCGCCGAGAGCCCCGUCCCCCGUCCAUCUCCCCCUCCCCUACCCUCCCCUCCCGCGACCUGCGCCACCCCCGCGGUGGUCGGGCCGCGCCCCAACCUCUUGGCUCCUCGCCCCGCCCCUUCCCUCCCUCCUCCCGCCGUCGUCGGUGCGUCGCGUCGGCCCUUGGUCGGGUGGCCCCAAUGGUGGCGGGCCUCCGGCCUUUACCCUCCUAGCUCGGUUGGCACGGGGCCUGGCAGUGCGGCUCGACGGCAGUGGCCCGGCGCGGCGGUAGGGAUCCCCCUGGUGCGGCGUGGAUGGUAUCGAUGGCGGUGGUGCUGGCGUUGGUGGCUGGGCGGCAGUGGCAGUGCUCGAGCCCUACAGGCCCAGAUCUGGGCCCCUCGGGCCCGAUCUGGGUCAGGUCAGGCCUGCCUCGUUGCCUCCGGUUGGUCUGCGGCACGACUCGCAACGGGGAUGACAGCGUUGACGUCGCACUGUUGCAGCGUGACGAUGGGAGCUUCUCGAGCUUGUCCAUGUCCGGCUGAGCUUUUGGGCUGCAUGAUGGUAGCGGCGGUGGCGGCCUGCGUGCAGCAGCACGAUGGCGGGGACUUUACGAGCCCCUGGACUUGGUCAGCACUCGGUCGGGCCUAUCUGGCCUGGUAUGUCCUGGCUGUUGUGUUUGGUAGGCACCCCCCGAUGGCGGUGGAGGACGUCCUCCGGGUGGCUGCGCUGUUGUAGCCCUCCGGUUCCAAUGGUUCGGCGUGCACUCUCGUCGUGUCCGGACGGUGAUAGCCUUGGACGGUGGAGGUGGUCCCCUCCUACGUGGUUGUCCUCCUGUCGGGUCUUGUCUUCGGGUGGUUCGCCUCAGACUGACCGGCCUUGCUACGUUGGCCAUGGUGAGACGACGAUGGUGAUUGCAAGACCGUGGUGGCGUUUGUUGGUGGUUGGCAUGCUUGGUGGAGCGUCUCUGAUUGUCCGGGAGGUGGUGGUUUGGUGGUCGGGAGAAAUCCUUGUCUUUUGACACCAAUACGGUGAUGCUUGAGAGUGUCACCCUUCCUUCCUAAAGGGUGUCGGGUGUUCCUCCUCCCCACGCCCCGGAGCGUACCGGGGGAAACCCUAGGACCUGUUCGGAGAGCAGUGUCGUCGUCGUCAUUAUCCUUCUUGGAGGUGAUGUUUGGUACGCGAUGGAUCAAGGUGCUUGGAUAGUGGUGGGAAUAUUUCAGAGGAGACGCAGCGAUUGCGGUCAUUAUUGUUUUCGUUAAGCCGUAGGUGUUGGCAUUGUUUUCUCUUUCUUUUCUUUUGAACGUGGAUGUGUUGUUUGCCCCAUCAGUGGUUUCAUGUUGUAUCAUGUGGUUGCUAUAUAUAUAUAUAACGGGGCGAAAGCCUAUUUUGAGAUCAAUGUUAUAUUGUUCCUCAUUUUGGUGUUUGCACGGAUUUCACCUCCAAAUCAUAGUGCCAGCCAAACAUGAAAUUUGGCUGUGGAAUCUGGAUUCAGCCAAAUGAUACCCUUAUCAGAAUUUCAUUUCAUUUCUAACAAAUGAAAUAAAUCAAGGGACGCAAACAAGCUGCAAUUGUUCUGCUGGGCUCAGAAUAUGCGUGGAUGUAUUGGGACCACCUGUCUCAUUGAACAUUGAUUCUUGAACGGCACCAGUCACACUGAACUUUGUAAUCACUGAUGGAAUUCUAACAGCAAUCAGUUCAUGGCAGCGCUCCAUUCUGCGGAGUAGUAUGGCUCAAUUACUAUAUAUCAUUUUCUUCAGAAAGCCAACCAACAGGGGCUCGUCACAGUUCACGAAUUUAAGAAUGUUUCAGUCAUAAGUGCACAAUGUUGUUACUGACAUGUCACGUGUUAGGUUAACUCCUCUCUCCCAGUCUAAAGAUCAGUGCCUAUCAAGGAUGAGCACAUCGACAAACGACAAGCUACAUGGAGGAAUCAAUCCAUAGCAGAUAUCCUCCUCUACAAAGGGGCAGAAGCUAAACACAAGACAAAAUUUCAUUGAAAUAAGCUGGUGAAACUUAAAAUGGCAAGGUCCAACAGAAAGUAAAAAGAUCAGAGUUAUGUUGGAAUUUCAACAAGCCCAG